UAGUUUACCAAAUAACGGAAGCCGCACAAUUUUGUUGCAAUCCCCAAGUUUAAGAGAAAUUAAAUUACUAAGAAUAAUUAUCCAACUUGGUAACGAUAAUCCGUCAUAGCAAUUUAUAUCCAAGCACUUGAGAUUUGAGUGAGGUUGAAGCUCUUCGAGUAAUUGCUCAGAUCUAAUUAUAGAUUCCUGUUGCGAUAUCCACGACAAGCAUAAUUCAUGAAGGUCUUUUUUACCCUUCAAAUUAGCCGCUUCAGCUUCAGAUAAACUACCAACAUUGUUUAAUCCUUUGAUACUCAGUUUUCCACCGAGGUUUAGAUCAUGUAACUCUGUCAAGCUAUUUCCUUUCUCUAAACUAACAAUGUACACACUUAAUGUUCUUAGACAAGUUAAUUUUCCAAUGUUGGGAAACAUUCGAAAUAAAGAUCCACAUCCUUCAAUGACUAUAUGUCUAAGAUUUUGUAAGCAAACCAAGCGUUUUGGGAGACAACUCAGUUCACGACAAUAUUUUAUUUUCAAGAUUUCCAGUUUUUGUAAGUUGUAAAUUGAGUUAGGCAACUUUUUUAUAUCAAGAGAACAAAGUUCCAAAUACCUUAAAUGAAUUAAACUCCAUACUGGGCCUUGUAGAGAGGAUGUGCUUAAAACUCGAAGAGAGCUGUUUAAUGGGAAGUGAUCAUGUUUUUUUGGAAUAUAAUUCUCCAAGUCAAACAAUGUUCGUAAGGAUUCAACUUUUUUGAAGGCACCCUCAUCGAAUGAUAACAAAUUUUCAGAGUUAAAACUUAUGUGGUGUGUGUUUUUUGUCAAAUUAGUCAUGUUUGCAUUCUCCAAAUACAUACAUUCUUUCCCCGUUACUGAUUGAGCGAGAUCAUGGACAAGAUCAUGCAUCUUGAAAGAAAUGUCUCCAAAAUAUUCAUCCAUCUUGCUAUCUUGAAAGAAUGAUUUUUGGUACAAUUCCUUCCAAACCAUUUUUCCAACAUCUUCAACGUCCAAAUUACCCAUAGAUGAAAUAAAUUCAUUAGCCAUCCAAAGUCGAAUCAAUUCUUCUUUUAGGAUUUCUCUAUCCUUGGGAAAUAUAGCACAAAAAGAGAAACAUUGCUUUAGGGUUGGUGUUAAAUAAAAGUAACUCAAUCUCAAAGCGGGCAAAAUAGAAUUUUCUUGUGGUAAAGCCCAAAGCUCACUGUCUUUAAUAUCAAGCCAUUCCUUUUCUUCAUUCCUUGAGCUCAUCAAACCCCCCAAUGCUUUUGCUGCAAGAGGCAAUCCAUUACAUUUCUUUACUAUCUCCUUUCCAAUUUCCACAAACUUUGUAUGCUCUUUGUAACGUCUAAAUGCAUGUUGUUUGAACAACAACCAACAGUCACUAUCAGAGAGACCAGACAAACGGUGAGUUUCCCAUGUUCCCAUGAUUGUUGCAACAUCCUCAUCACGAGUGGACACUAAAAUGGAACUACCUUUUGAUCCACACGACAAAACAGAUUUCAAAUGAUCCCAUCUAUCUUGUGUUAACCCAAAUUCCAAUUGUUCAUUUUGAUUCCACACAUCAUCCAAAAUCAGCAAAUAUAUUUUCCCUUGCAACAAUCCUUGCACCUUUCUUUCCAUUACAUCUAAAUCAAAGUCAGCACACUUCUCUCUUGUGAUAGAUUCUAUAAUAGAACACAAAAUCCUUUUGACCGAGAAAGUCUCAGAAACACAAACCCAAAUUUUUUUAUCAAAAUUGCGACUCACCCUAACAUCAUUGUAGAUCAAUUGAACAAGAGUUGUUUUUCCAAUACCACCUAAACCAACAACGGGAUAGACAGAAAUAAAGUCAGAGUCCUUCGCAAGGGUAAGAAGAAACUGGACAAUCUUUUCUUUAUCAUCGUCUCUUCCUAACACUUUUGUUUCAAGAGGGGUGGAGCUGGUUUGGCGCCCUUCAGCAGCUUGAUCUGGGCUUUCCCUAAGAGUUACACCCGUAUGGAGAGAAAACUUGUUCUUACGUUCAGCAAUACGAUCCAACCUCCCUGUAAUCUCUUUCAACCUGUUACCGAUCUUAUGGCGAAACUUUAAAGAUGUGAAUUUUCUCAGUCGACUAGACUUGAUCGAACACUCAUCAAGGAUGUCAUCGAGCACAUAAACAGCAUCUUUGAGGUCUUGUAGCCAUACCUUAAUGAAGUUGUCUUUGACUUGUCUCUUUUCAGCAUCUUCAAGAACAGCCUUGAUGUCAACUAAGGUGGUUGAUAGGUUUUCAGCCUUUGACUUGAUUCCAGAAAUAGUAGAAAAUUCAUUUUGAAGCAGAGAUAUCAAAUUCUCAAACACAACUCCAAGAAAGGGAUCAGCCAUUUUUUGAGAAAAAAAAGAGUUGAAAAGAUAAGAAAAAUGAGAAAUUGGUUUAGAUUGAAAGAGUAAUGAAGUAAACAGAAUGAAGAACUUUGAAAAUAAAUGCAAUGGUAGUAGAAAGUUAGGUGCUGAAUGGUAGUAGUAAUUUUUAAAAUAAAUGAUUUGGAGGAAGCUUCAAUGUACGUUUACCUCUUAAUAUAAAAAAAUAAUAGAAAAAAUUCACUUCAACAUGCGUAAUCCAUAAACAUAAUACUCCCACCGUCCCAAUUUAAUUGAACCAUUUAUUCAUUUCACACUUAUUAAGAAAAAUAUAUUAACGAAGAAGACAGAAAAAUAGUUUUGAGUGUUUUUGUUAAUUAUUGGUCCAUUAUUCUUUAUCAUAAAUGUAAAGUAGAAUAGAUUAUAUCGGAAGUGAUGAAAGUAAAAUAUUAAUUAGAGUUAUAAUUAAAAAAAAGUAAUUAAUAUUGUAUUUAAAAGUGAAAUGACUCAGUUGUUUUGAGAUACUUUUUAUUGAAAAUAACUCAGUUAUUAUGGAAGAAGAAGUAGAAUUUUACGGUGACAGGAAAAAAAACAAGUACCAAAACCGAAACCAUGUCAGAAGCAAUAAGACAAGCGGUGCCUCGGUGGUAGAUUCAUGAACUUGUAAAUUCUUUAUUCAAGAUGUGACCGACCACUUUAACCAAUAAGAUGUGGCCGAUAGAAUAAUGAUCCCUACACAGCACGAUAGCCAGUUGUUUAUGGGUCCAACUCCAACACUUGUUUUAUUGGUGAAAAAAAUAAGUCUUAUCUAUUAUUCUAAUGUUUAGAUAAAAUAAUAUUCCAUCUAUCCCGUGAGUUUUUUUUUUAAGAAAUCUAUCCCGUAAGUUUGAUUCAGUUAGUAAAGGAUAUUGCGUAUUAUAUGUAAGAAUCGGAGUUCGAAACACCAUACUUUUUCACAUUUAAAAUCUAUUAACUUAACUCUAACCACCAAACUACAUAACAAAAAAAAAACAAUAUUAAAAACCAUCUAACUGUCAAAAUUAUAGUUUCAAUUUAAUCAUUUAAUUCAAAAUUAUACUUCUUAUGAUAUCUAUGUUAAGGAGUGGGUAAACACAUCGUAGGCCCCUAUGUUUAAUAGCAGUUUUGAUGGUUGAUCAAUAAACACAUAAAUAUUGCUCACUUUAUUGAAAAAAGCCGAUCCAGAGUUACGAUCUGAUCGUAUUUUACACACAAAAACAAUUGAUCAGAAGUUACGACACGGUUGGAAGCAAAAUUGAGGAGUCUAUCGAACAACUUUAUGAAUUUUAUAUGGCACACAACAGAAGUGGAAAAAGGCACAUGUAACUUAUAAUUUGGUGUUUUCUUUGUUGGAUUUUCAAUUGGACAACUACGAAACAUGGUCACAAGAAGCAUACCUCAUGUUGCAACCGCAGUAAUGCUUUUUGGCUUUGAGCCAACAAUUGCAUAUGGCAAAUGGAUUUGGAGGAGUCAAUUGGGUUUUGAUGGAAAAGAAAAAGGAAAAAAUGUUUGGAUGAUAUGAAAUUGUAUGCUCUAUAUAAUUGGAUUGAGGUGUGUCAUGUGGACCCUAUAGUUUCUUUACAAUUCUAGAGAUAUUUUUAACAUGCAUUAUUAAUAAAUGUCAUUGCUACUUGCAUGCCCAUCACUUGAGAUUGGAUGGCAAACUUAUCCCUAUAGUAAUAAAAAGAUACACAUAGAUAUAUCUUAUCAUAAAAAUAUAAACUACAAUGACCUAAUGUGUGGUACAUUAACACUUCCUGAAAGUAAAUGUUGUAGUUAUUGUUUAUAUUAAACCUUAUCUAUCAAUUUUGAAAUAAUUAUUUUGUCAGGUGAUAUUGGAGGAAAUUUUGUACCUCUAUUUUUAUUAAGAUCACAAAUUCAUUAUUUUUUUCUUUCUAAUAAAUAGUUUUCUUACCAUCAAAUAAGGAAAAAUGUUUUGUUUGAUCCGUGAAACAUUUUUUUUUUAAAGAACAAUACAUAAUACCAAGAGAUGGAUAAGUACAACACAAACAUCAAGCUAUGUCGUGAGUAAUCAAGUUCUGCUAAUAAUAAAAGUGUCUCCAAUAUUUUUGCCCUACAACAUAAGUACAACACAAACACAAAACUCAUGUAUUGAUACAAAAAUCUGCAUAAUUAUGAAGAAUUGCAGGAGCAACCAAGUUCUUUGCUUAUAAUAAAACGAUAGAAAAAAAUAUCCAAGUUAAACUAACCAUUCAUAUUGACAUUACUAACUAAAACGUUGAAUGAUUCAAUUACAACACCUCUUGGCCCGCCUCGGAUCAGCCAUAACAAUCUCAGCAGCUUUCUCAUUAGCCAUAAUUUUCUUCAACUCUGAAGCAUUCUUCUUAGUCUAAGACAUCAAAUUCCGACUAAGACUUAUCAAAUCCUUCUUCCUCUGAAGCAUUAUUCUCGGUCUAAGACAUCAAAAUUAGUUCAAAUCAGCAAAAAGGUAAUAUAAAUCCAAGUAAAAUAAGAACAGUAAAAAUUCACAGUAACAGAGAAGUUAUAAAAGUAAUUACAAUUCCCAUAUUGUACGCAAGCAUUGUCUCCUCAUACUCCUCCUUGAACUUCUCAAACUUAGCAAUGAAUCGAGCCUUAUCCUAAAAUACACAUAAAUCACAAAAACAUUUAAAAACAAAACACGAACUAAGAUUUAUAUCAAUUUUCUUCAGUGAAACAUAGGUGAAAUUCUCACAGCAUCCUAACCUAUUUCAACCUUUAUAUCCAUUCCAUUCCUUUCCACCAACUUUCCCAACCUAAUUCAAAUUCACCGUAAAUCACGUUAGAAAACUCAAUAACAUUCAAAAUUUCCUAAAAAUCAAAUUCAACAGUUAAACAAUAUUGCUUCACAAAACUCACCACGACAAUGGAUUUGUUGCUUGGAUUCUCUUUUCUUAAACCUCUCUCUGAAUUCAGACCUAAAAAUCACAAAACAAAAAUCAUCAGAAUCAAUGGAACUUCAGCAUGUUGCAAAUCAGACACAAAUUUGUAUGGCUGAUUCCAGUACAGGUUUCACUAUAAGAAUUUGUAUACGAUCACUCUAUCAGACACAAAUCAGAUCGAAAUUAUAACUCAACAUCAACAAAAUCUACACCAGAAUCAAGAUUAUCACCAAUGUUAUAGUGAAAACCUAGAAAAAGACCAGAUGUAAUAAGUUUUAUUCUAAAAAACACCAUUGUUUGUUCAAUAAAACAACAAAAUACAAAAUUCACUUAAUUUAACGUUAAAUCAAAUAAACAUAAAUAAACCCAGAUAUUUAAUUCUAAAAUUCACAAAUUAGCAUACAACAAAUUGAAUACCUGGGAAAAUGGAAUUAGGUCAGCAAAAUCAAUGAAUUUUCAUGGGUUAAAACCAACAAAUCUAGAUGUAGAGGAUUUUGAGAUCUGGAUUUGAUGUGAGAUGAAUAUGUUCAUUCUCAACUCACAGUCUUGUGGUGGUUUACGUAAGGUGGCUGGAGCUAGAGGCAAUGACGAUGAAGAAGAGCAGAGCAUCGACUGAGAGAGGAGAAGAGAAGAGCAGUGACCGGAAGAGAAUGAGAGAGAAGAGUCACGUUUUUUUUUUUUGUUAAGAGGCAUUGAGCGUGUGAAAUAUUUGUCAUUUACAAUGUUAAGAGGCAUUGAGCGUUUUUUUUUUUUUUUUUGCAUUGGAACAUUUGUCAUUUACAAUGUUACUUUUAACUUUACAUGGGAACUGCUUUAUUAUACACACAGUUGCACAACCAUAUAAAUGUGCAUGGAAAAUAUACGCACGUUUACAGCUUUGCCAUUGAAAAUGUGCAUCCGAAAUAUGAAAUGCUUUAAAUGUUCUUCAUGUUUGAAUGGUGUACCGCCCUAGCAUAUAGUGAAGAGAUUUGAAAUUUGAAAAUGGCAUUAAAUGUGAUAUUAUUAGCAAAAGUUUCCCGCUCUAAAUCUAGGUUUAGGGUUUUAGAGGUGUUGUGUGCAUUGUACAUUAGGAUUAGAUAAUACUAGGACUAUUACCCGUGCUAACGUCCGGGACAUUAAAAAUGGAGAAGCUAAAAAAGUUCCGAUAUUAUUCAUUACAUAAAAAAUAAAAUAAAUAAACAUAAAAAGUAUUUAAGAGCAUACAAAAUAUUGGGUCACACAUUUUCGAAUAUCUCCUUAUAAACUACAUUUGAAGUGGUGCUGAUACAAUCCCAUUGUCAUCCGUUAAUAAUUUCUUCAGACCAUCCCUUGAUGUCACACGUGAUACUGCAACAUAUAGCUGCCCAUGUGAGACGACCGACUGUGGAAGAUAGAUGCCAACUUGCUAUAGAUCCAAACAGCUGCAACUGCCAACCCUAUAGAUGCUAGCCAGCAGCUGAAACCAACAACUAAAAUGCCAACAACACCAUGACAGCACCCUGAAACCACCAAAAACCUGCACAACACCACCAGAAAAGCUCCCAAAAUGACAGCAGAACCCGCACAAAAUAAAGGAAUUAAACGUAAGGAAUGUUGAAUAACUAAAUAUACUUCGCAAUCAUAUUUUCAAUUUAUAAACACAGAGCGAAGUGGAAAGCACAAUCAUUAAAGGUCAGCAUCAAUGGACAUAUUGGUGUGUUUGAAAAAAAAAUAAACAUAUGAUUUUAAAGUAUCAAUCAAUUUAUUAACAACAUAAUACAUGAUGGUAAAAUCUAUUUAAAUAUCAUCAAUUCACUUACAAACAAACCAAAAAUGUAAUGGAAUAACAAAGUUAGGGAAAAGUUACAGGAACAACGAUUUAGGAUAUAUAUAGUAGCAUCUUCAACACAUAUGGCUGAUACGAUGCCGCAGACGACAACGGCCAAGGUGAUGUCGGAAUCGAGAGCAUUGGUGAAGGGCGACGACAGGAGAGAGCUGCGGCAACGGAGAGAGCGGCAACGACAGAGAAUUUUGUUUGAAUGUCUGAGAGUGAGGUGGAAGAUGAACAACUCAAAGGGCGAAGAGAUUUUUUUUGAGUAAAAGCAAUCUGAAUUCCAACACAUAAAGAAGGAAUAAUGAGAGUGGAGAGAAGAGAACUUUAAAAUGAAGGAGAAAGAGGUGGACAUCGAUAAGUGUGGAGUCAAUUUGGGAAUUGGAGGAUAAUUAAUGAGUCAAAACUUGGAAAAGUGCAUAGGAAAUAUACAUCAAAUUUGAAAAUUUGACUCAGAUUAGAUCAAAGGAUGAGAUGCAUGCUUAGCCAAAUGAUGAGAUCCAACGGCCUCCCUUGUUUUGGAGCCAAAACCAUUUAGGUUUAGGGUUUGCAAUUUCAUUAGCAAUGUUAACAAAGAUUAGAUAUAAGCAUGACUAGGACUAUUACCCGUGCUAACGCCCGGGACAUUAAAAAUGGAAAAGUUAAAAAUGUUCCGAUAUUAUUCAUUACAUAAAAAAUAAAAUAAAUAAACAUAAAAAGUAUUUAAGGGCAUACAAAAUAUUGGGUCACACAUUUUCGAAUAUCUCCUUAUAAACUACAUUUGAAGUGGUCCUUAUACAAUCCCCAUUGUCAUCCGUUAAUAAUAUCUUCAGACCAUCCCUUGAUGUAACACGUGAUAUUGCAACAUAUAGCUGCCCAUGUGAGAAGACCGGUUGUGGAAGAUAGAUGCCAACUUACUUAAGUGAUUGUCCCUGACUUUUGUUUAUAGUCAUUGCAAAACACAAAGCUAUAGGAAACUGUAUGCGUUGAAAUUUGAAAGGAAUUCUGGUAUCAGAUGGUUCAAUGACAAUCUCGGUAUGUAGACCUUCUCUCCAACAUUGCUUCCUGAUAUUACCCUCCCUUCAAUAACAUAUCUUCCCAUCUUAGUGACUAUUAGUCGAGUACCAUUACACAAACCUGCUGUUAUGUCCAAAUUUCUCAACAACAUAAUAGGAACUCCAACUUUCAAAGUAAUCUUGUGAUUAGGAAGACCCGAUGAAUUGAUUGUGUUCAAGAAUUCUGGUAUGUGAAUAUCAUCUGGCCUAUUGACUGAUGCGAUAUCUGCUAUUACAGAAUCACAACUCAAAUAUGUCCUUUCUUCGCCGGGAAUGAGAGACAAAACAUAGUUAUUAACCUCAUCAACAAUUGUAUUUUUAGGAGUCAAUAUUGCUUUAUCUUGAAAAAAAGAUGUAUCAUGCAUAUUGAGUAAUAUUGACGGAUAGAUGCAGUCAACAAUUGAAGCAAUAUGAUCACUUGCGCUAUUAACGAGUAGAUCAUCUGGGAUUUCCACCUGAAUGCUAUCAUCUCCAAUCCCUAAUACCCAUUUGGCGAAUUCUGUUCUUUCUUGUACCUCAUUUGGUGAACAUCCAUGCAAAAGUCUCAUAUUCGUUGUUAAUGUUAAUACCUCACAAUGUCGCCAAAGUUUUGACGAAUUAAUACUUGUAUAAACGACAUCUGGUCUGGUGCCUUUAGGAACGACUGGUAGAAUCUGUCGAAAAUCUCCACCAAGAACCACAACUUUACCACCAAAAGGAAUGUCUGUCCUCCUGUUAUUAUGAUCUUUAAGGACAUCCCUUAAGGUGCGAUCAAGAGCUUCAAAGCAAUGUUUGUGCAUCAUAGGUGCUUCGUCCCAGAUGAUUAGUUUUGCUCGUAUAAUCAAUUGUGCCAACGGACUUUUAGGCUUUAUAGUGCAAGUCGAACAUUCGUCCACAUUGAAAGGAAUGCAAAACCUUGAGUGUGCUGUUCUUCCGCCAGGGAUAAGCAAUGCGGCAAUACCGCUGGAUGCAACUGUCAACACAAUUUCACCCUUCGAAUGCAAUGCUGAUGACAAAGCUCUCCAAAUAAAUGUUUUACCUACAUUAAGGAACCUAAUUAGAUUAAUAUCAUACACUUGCCAAUAUAUAUUUCUCACCGGAAUUUAACAAAAUAAUCAAUUGUUGUAAACUACUAUAUUUCAAGUAUAGAUCUGAUGCAAAAUUGUUGUACUAUUAUGCUAAUAUAUACCAUCAAAAUAAAAAUUUGAUAAAACAAUAAUUUUCCCAGCCAAAGACUACAAUAAUGAUUAUUACAAAUUUUUUUGAAUGUUAUUAAAACGAUAUAUUUUAAUAGGCAGCAAUGUGAAAUUUAAAAAACCAAGAUGAGCUUCGAAAACAAACACGUGAUAGAUAUUAUUGAAGUAGCAAUAAACGUCACAAGAAAGGGGGGGUUUGAAUUGUGACCCUUUUAAAAAUUAUUCCUGAAACUUAAUUUUAGAUUUAUAUACUCAAGAAUAAUCUUGGUGAAUGUUAGUUUAUCAAGAUUAGAGUAUAUAACAAUUAAUUGAAUUAGAACAGAACGUUCUGAAGAAUGAUUAUAAACAGAAUGAGAAAAAUGAAGUUAAGUUAAAAGAUUAUUUUAGCAAGGACCAGAAUGUUCUGGAGAUUAAUAAAAUAAUGUGUGUGUGUUGUGUAACUUUAAAUAAAGAGAGAGAGAGAGAGAGAGAGAGAGAGAGAGAGAGAGAGAGAGAGAGAGAGAGAGAGAGAGAGAGAGAGAGAGAGAGAGAGAGAGAGAGAGAGAAAUAACACAGGAGAGUUAUCCUGAUUCACCAAACCCGGCUACUUCCAGUCCCCACACCUCGUGUGAGAUUAUCCACUAUAGUUUUCUUGCUAACAGAAACUUCUGACUAGCACUACAAUUUCUUGAUCACACCAGAUCAGUCCAUAACACCUGUAUUAUCAACCUCAGCAGGCUUAUACAAUUCUUUGCACACUAGCAAAAGAAAGGUUGGAAUUUUCUAUCUCAAAACUAUUAAGCCCAAUAGACUUUGAGAAAUACAACACACUUUGUAUGAAGAGAUUUGUUUGGAUAGAAUAAAUACUCAAAUCUUUGUUUGAGUUUUACAAGAGGCAAAUUCAAGAGAGAUGAUCCAAGAGAUAUAGUGAGAGAGCUUGGAAUUUGCUUUGUAUGUGAAGAGCUUUGUUUGUAGUGAUGAUUUUCACUUUGAGAGAUAUUAGCUUUCAAAACUCUUGCUUAUGACCUUCAAAGGCCCUUGUAUUUAUAGGUGAGGAGUGUCUUGGUGACCAAGGGAGAAAAUAGAGCUGUUGGACACGUUUUUGAUAGCUGUCCAAAGUCUCAUUUGAUUUCUCUUUUCUUCUUAAAAAUAGCCAGAACGUUCUCAGAAUGUUCUUUCUGAUUUGCCUGACUUUGAAAGCACUGUUGCUUUGCUUGCGCAUGAGAUAACCAGCUGUAAUGAGCUGUAUAACUUGCAGCCCACUUCUGAUGAUGUCAUGUCCUUUUGCUCUAGUGAUGUCAUGCUUAAGUAAGCCAUGUGAUCUUAUCCAUUUAAUGGGCUUUACUUUUCCAAAUGGGCUUAAAGCUUUUCUUAUGGCCCAAUAGACAUAAUCAGCCAAGCUUUCUUGCUGUGCAGACUUGUUCGCUUUUGAUGUACUGUUCCUUUUUCAUCGUUUUCGCCAGAACGUUCUCAUUUCAUUCUCAUGAAACAAAUUCUCACAAAAACGAAUUAGUAGAUAACAAGAUUAAAUAAAUAUAAUAUGUUUGUAAUCUUUAAAACAUCAAAUAAGGAUUUUGUCUCAACAAUCUCCCCCUUUUUGAUGAUGACAAACAUUUAUAAUUUAUUUUGAUUUUGAUUUUGAGUUUUUGAAAAAUUUGUUAAAAACUCCCCCUCAAUUUUAGCAACCAAAAUUUUGUGCCAUUUUGAGAGUUUUCCAGAAUUUGUUUAUGGACAAUUGAGUUUGAUAAUUUUAUCAAAGAACUCCCCCUCAAUUCAUGCAUUCAAGAUUUAAUAUGCAAAAUGAGAAUAUAGAACAUAAACAACAUAAUUCAUAAAUCAUGAAGAUCAUUACAAGGUAUCAAACCUAGCAUUUCAAAACAUCAAAAAGCAUUGUUCAUAUGCGCACAUACUAGCAGCAAUUUGAUCCUUAGUUAAUCAUGAUCAAAAGACAUAAACAGAGAAAUAAAAACAGAGUUUUUUUUAAACAUCAAAAUACUUAAACAUAAACAGCAGCAUAGUGAUCUAUUCUUCCCUAGAUCCUAACUGUUUUCCUGGUCCUCCUAACUCAUAAUCCCCUAAAUCAUCUCCCCCUUUGUCAUCAUGAAAAGGGGCAGCAGCAGCAGUAGGUGGAAUGGUUGGAGAAGAAGCAUCAGAUGAUGAAGAGAUAGUAGGCAUGAACAUGGGAUACAUAGGAACUGGGAAUGGGUUUUGUUCUGGUCUAGCAAACUCAUUCUUGUCACUUAUGGAGUCCUUCCACUCCUGACAGAGACUCUCACGCGUCUUUGUUCUUUUGCCUUUCCUUNNNNNNNNNNNNNNNNNNNNNNNNNNNNNNNNNNNNNNNNNNNNNNNNNNGAAGAGACUUAAGGGAAUCCAUUUGGACAGAUGAAUCAAAAGCUUGUGGAGCAAAUAAUUUGUCCACUGAAUCACAUUGAAACAAAGCAGAAUAAUCAUGCUUUUGAGGAGAGAUAAACAAUUUUGAAGGUUUUGUGAUUAUGGUUUUUUCAGUGAAACUUUGAAGAAUUUCUGAAGCUUUGACUUUUGACAGAGAAGCAUGAUUGCCAAAGUUUUCAAGCAGUUCCUGAUCUUCCUCCAUCACAGGAGAACGUUCUGAAGAACGUUCUGGAGGAUUGCAGUGUUCAUCAGAAGCAUUUUAUGGAACUGGAUUCUGCAGAUCAGGCCCAUCUUCCCUCUUUCUUUUGAGGUCAGAAGGAGGCUCAUCAACAGGUUCCUGCUUCAUGUGACUCAGAUUUUUUGGAGUAAAUUGAGAAUACUCAAAAACAGAUUUUUCACCUUCAAAAGGAAUAUGAUUCUUAAUGAAGAUUUUGGUAAGAGCCAUUCCAUAAGGAAGACAAGAUUUUUUGUUACGAGACUGAAUAACAUUGAUCAUGUUAUGAAUAAUGAUAUGAGGCAGACUCAAUUUUUCUUUCAUUAAGAGAUGAUACAUGACCAAGAGAUCAUUUGAACUAACAUGUUGAAAAUUACCAUUUCUAGGCAAGACACAAUGUUGGCUUAUGCCAUUCAGCAUUUUUGGGGUUGGCAGAAGGUUCGAAGAAACAAACUCAGUGACAUUUGGUUUGAAAAGGAGUUUGUAAACAUUUUCAGAAUUGACUUCAAGUUUUUCAAACCAAUCAUCACCAAAGACAGUUUGACCAGAAUUUGAGAUACCAAGAGUAUCAGAGAUUACCUGUGGAGUGAGACGUAUCUCAACAUCCUUAAUCCUAGACACUAUUAAGCUUUCCUCAGGGUAUGCUUCUGCCAUGAAAUAGAAAGCUUGGACAAGCUUUGGGUAGUGUCUCUCACGAAGCUGUAGAAAUUUGGUCCAGCCUUGCUCAUCAACAUACUCCUUAAGAACGACUUUGUCUUUUUCCAGCUUGACAAAAUCAUAAUACCUUCCAAUUCCAAUUGACCUAUUUCCCCAUUUUUCUUUGAAAUCCUUUUUCAGAGAAGGAUCAAACAGAGGUACUCUCUUUCCUGUAGAGAUAUGAAUGAUCUUCUGUUUUGAAGGAUUUUUGGGCUUUGGAGAACAUUCUGGAGAAUAAUCUGAAGAGAGUUCAUAGUCUUUAUCAGAAAGACUUUCUGAAGAACGUUCUGGAGAACGUUCUGGUUGAGCAGUUUGCUUCUGCUUUCCUUUGUCCUUCACAGUUGGUUUAGGCUUUGGUUUUGGUACAGAAACCUUGAUAGGAGGUUUAGAGACCUUUUUGUUACUCUUAGGUUUGGGCUUAAGAGGAGAAGGAGUUUUCUCAGCCAAAGGGGUAGUUGGUUCAGUUUCUUCAUCUGAAUCAGAGAUUUCAUGUACAGUUGUGUCUACACUGUUGGUUUUCUUUGUUCCAACUGCAGAACGAAGCCUUUGAGAUUUUCUAGGUCUUGGAUUAGGAGCAGAUUUAGCCUUCUUGGGAGGCAACUUCCUUUUGGUCAUGUUCCUGAGAUGAGGAGCCAUUUUGUUCAAGUUUGGAGGUUCCUGAGGAGCGGUUGGUUGAUCUUCAACACCUACUCUUGGUGUGUUGAGAUUUAGGUUGACCGAAGUUGGUUGUGGUUCAACGUAGAGUACCAUCGCGAGAGGAUGGAAGGAUUCAGGGUCAGGGAUGAAAGGAAGUUCUUCGUCGUUUUUCAAUGGAGUUUUUUCUGGUGUGGUUUCGGUGGUGAGAUAACCAUCUUGCAUGAUUGGUUCUGUGGAGUUAUUGAGCGGAGAUUGUGGUGGAGUUUCGAAUGGAGUGGUUUCCUUGGUUGGUGAUGGAGUUGAAUCGAACAGAGGAGGAGAUGACAGCGGUUUUGUCACCGGAGGAGAUGGUGGAGAAGGAGAACGGGUUGGUGAAGGUGAAGGAGAAGAGUCAUCUGGGUUAGUGUUUCCGGUUCCUUUGGUUCUAGCCAUUUUGUGAUGAAGAAAAUGGUGGUUGAGAGAAGAAGAAGAGACGGUUUGAAGAAGGAAGAAAGUGGGAGUUUAGAGAGAAAAAGUGAAAACCGGUUUUGGGAGAAGGAAAAAGGUAAGAAGUGACUAUUAGUGGUUUAAUGAUGAGAGAGAGGACAAGAGCAUUAAUGAGCUGUAAGAGAUUUCUUGGUAAUUAAAUUUCUACCUAGAGAUUAGCUUAAAUAGAACUAAGCUGAAAGGACAAGGUUGAGGCGUGACCCUCAAGCCAGUCUUUGGGAGACAUUUUUCAAAGAAUGUUUUCAGAACAUUCUGAUGAAGAGAGACUCUUCCUAUUUUAAUCCUUUGCAAGGAUUUUGAAUAAUAUGCAAUUUUUCUUUAAUGAAAUUAAAGUGAUCCUCAACUAAAGGUUUAGUAAAGAUAUCAGCUAAUUGAUUUUUUGUAUCAACAAAAAUCAAUUCAAUUUCCUUUUUAUUGACAUGAUCCCUAAUGAAAUGAUGUUUUAUUUCAAUAUGUUUUGAUCUUGAAUGUUGAAUGGGAUUCUUUGAUAAAUUUAUUGCACUUGUAUUGUCACAAAAUACUGGAAUAUUUGUGUACCUUAUUGAGAAAUCUUCAAGUUGAUUUUUAAUCCAGAGAACUUGAGAACAACAGUUGGCUGCUGACACAUAUUCUGCUUCUGUAGUUGACAGAGCUAUAGUGUUCUGCUUUCUGCAUGACCAACUUAUGAGUGCAUUCCCAAGAAACUGACAUGCUCCACUUGUACUUUUUCUUUCUAUUCUGUCUCCAGCAUAGUCAUCAUCACAGUAUGCUAUAAGAUCAAAACAAGACCCUUUGCUAUACCAAAGGCCAAGAUCAGUAGUACCUACUAGAUAUCUGAAAAUUCUUUUUACAGCAGUUAAAUGAGAUUCCCUUGGAGAGGUUUGAAAACGUGCACAUAAACCAACAGCAAAAACAAUAUCUGGUCUGCUAGCAGUUAAGUACAACAGAGAUCCAAUCAUACCUCUGUAUUCUUUUUCAGAAAUGGUUUUUCCAUUUUCAUCCUUAUCUAAAUUAGAUGUUGGAUGCAUGGGAGUUGCCAUUAUUUUGGCUUCAUUCAUUUUAUAUUUUUUAAGAAGAUCUCUUAUAUAUUUUUCUUGACAAAUAAAAAUGCCAUUUGAUUCUUGCUUAAUUUGCAAGCCAAGAAAGAAUCUUAAUUCUCCCAUCAUACUCAUUUCGAAUUCACUUUGCAUGAGAUUUGAAAAAUCAUCACACAUUUUUUCAUUUGUUGAACCGAAUAUGAUAUCAUCAACAUAAAUUUGAACAAUUAAAAAAUUUGUUUUGUCAUUUUUUCUAAAAAGGGUUGUAUCAAUUUUUCCUCUAGAAAAAUCAUUUUUGAUUAAGAAUGGACUUAACCUUUCAUACCAAGCUCGAGGAGCUUGUUUAAGACCAUAUAGUGCUUUUGUGAGUUUAAACACAUGAUUAGGUUUGUUUGUGUUCUCAAAACCAGGAGGUUGAUGAACAUAAACUUCCUCAUUUAAAAAUCCAUUUAAAAAGGCACUUUUGACAUCCAUUUGAAAUAAUUUAAUAUUUUUAUGAGAUGCAUAUGCAAGAAGAAUUCUAAUUGCUUCUAACCUGGCUACCGGAGCAAAGGUUUCAUCGUAAUCAAUACCUUCUUGUUGAUUGUACCCUUGAGCUACCAAUCUAGCUUUGUUUCUGAUAACUUUUCCUUCUUCAUUUAGUUUAUUUCUAAAUACCCAUCUUGUUCCAAUGAUGGAUUGAUUUUGAGGUUUAGGAACAAGAUUCCAUACUUCAUUCUUUUCAAAUUGAGAGCGUUCUUCUUCCAUGGCUUUUACCCAUGAUUCUUCACAUAUUGCUUCUUGUAUAUUUUUUGGUUCAAUGUGAGAAAUCAUUGCCAUGUUGACAUCAUUAUUCAUAAAUGAUCGUCUUGUUCUUAUUCCAUCAGAUGUGUCUCCAACGAUUUGUUCAGGAGGAUGAUCACCGACGGUUUUCCAGCUUUUUGGAAGAACUUGAGAAGAAUGUUCUUGAGAAUCAUUACUUUCUUUUUGAGGAAUUUCUUCUUCAUCUUCUUUGUUGAUUAUCAAGUCAUCAAACUCAUCAAAAAUAACAUGCAUGCUUAUUUCCAUGGUUUGAUUUUUCAAAUUAUAAAUUCUAUAUCCUUUGGAGUUUGUUGCAUAUCCUAAGAAUAUUCCUUUAUCUGAUUUUGAAUCAAAUUUUCCUAGAUUUUCUUUAUCAUUUAAAAUAUAACAAUAACAUCCAAAAAUAUGAAAAUAUGAGAUGUUAGGUUUUAUAUUUUUCCAGAGUUCGUAUGGGGUUUUGUUUAAAACUUUUCUAAUUGAAACCCUGUUUAUGAUAUAACAAGAAGUAUUUAUGGCUUCAGCCCAAAAGUAUUUUUCUACAUUUGAUUCAUUUAACAUUGUUCUUGCCAUUUCUUGGAGUGUUCUAUUUUUUCUUUCAACAACUCCAUUUUGUUGUGGAGUUCUUGCACAUGAAAAAUUAUGAGAAAUUCCUUUUUCAUCAAAGAAGUUUUUAAAGAAAGCAUUUUCAAAUUCUCCUCCAUGAUCACUUCUUACUGAAAUGAUUUUUGAUUCUUUUUCAUUUUGAACUAAUGUGCAAAAAGUUUUGAAUGCUUCACAAGCUUCAUCUUUAUGUUUUAAAAAUAGAACCCAUGUAUAUCUGGAAAAAUCAUCAACUAUAACAAACCCAUAUUGUUUUCCACUUAGACUGGCGGUUUUAACAGGACCAAAUAGAUCUAUGUGAAGUAGUUCAAGAGGUCUCUUAGUUGAAACAAAAUCAUUUGUUUUAAAACUGCUUUUAACUUGUUUACCUCUUGUACAAGCUUCGCAUAUUCUAUCUUUUUCAAAAUCAAUUUUUGGAAGUCCUCUUACAAGAUCCAGUUUGGCGAUUUUUGAAAUAGUUUUCAUACUUAUAUGUCCAGCUCUUUUGUGCCAAAUCCAUUUAUCUUUUUCAAGUGUCAUAAAACAUGUUUCUGCUGGAAUAUCAUCUAAGUAUAAAGCAUAUAGGUUUUUCUUUCUAGAAGCGGUAAAGAAAAUCUUACCUGAGGAUGUAUGUUUUACAAUACAUGUAUUAGGUUUGAAAAUAACUUCAAAGCCACUAUCACAUAAUUGACUUAUGCUUAGUAGAUUGUGUUUUAAACCUUCAACAUAUUGAACAUCCUCAAUUUUUGCAGAGUCUUUUUUACCAAUAAUACCUUUACCUUUAAUUUGUCCUUUGUCAUUAUUGCCAAAGGUUACUAGACCUCCUUCCUUUUUUGUGAAGGAGAUGAAGCAUUGUUUAUCCCCAGUCAUGUGUCUAGAACAACCACUGUCCAAGUACCAUGGCUUUGUUCUUGCAUCUUGUGAGGAUCCCUGCAUUUUGAGUUAGUGGUUCCUUAGGUACCCAUGAAGAUGUGGGUCCUUUGUGGUUAGUUUCUUUGGUCUCAAGAUGUUUAAUCUUGAGAAAACAGUUUAAUUCUAGAUGACCUAAUCUCUUACAAUAUGAGCAUUCUUUUCUUUUUAAUGAGAAAGAAUGUUCUGGAGAAUGUUCUGAGAUAGAUGGUUCUUCUUUAAUUUCUAGUUUUCUCUUUUUAUGAAAACAGACUGAUUCAUGAUGUCCCCUUUUAUUACAGAAAGAACAUUUUAGUUUUUGUGGUAUAAGAACCUUUUCAUAAAUUUGAUUAAAACCUAAACCAGUUUUGUCAAAUUCUGCCAUUUGUGAACCCACAAUUUUUUGAAAUGUUUCUGUUGAUUUUAUAAACUGUGAAAGAUCAUUUCUAAGUUCUUUGACUUCCUUUUUAAGAAUAACAUUUUCAUUUUUAGAAAUUUCAGGAAGUUUUGUUUUUCCAAAAGCUUUUAAUUUUUCAGCUGCUUGAAAAUAAGAAUCUUGUAGACUUUGAAUGAUUUUCUUUUGAUCAUUAUUCAAAGUUUGAAGUUUCUCUUUUUCUUCUUUUAACUCAGAAAUUUCUUUUUGUAAAGAGUGACAUUUGUUUGUUAAGAAAUUUGAGUCAAAUAAAAGACUAUCAAAUUUAUUUUCUAACUCUUUAUAUACUAGAGGUUGGUUGAUAAGAAUUACCUCUUCGUUUUCUGAAUCUGCCAUUAGAACCAUGUUGGCUUCAGUGUCUUCAUCUUUUGAUUCUUCAAGAUCAUCCCAUGUAAACAUUGAUUUUGAGUAGGGAGAUUUUUUCUGACUCUUUUUGUUUAAUGGACAUUCGUUUUUGUAAUGUCUUAAUUUGUUGCAUCCAAAGCAGGUUACUUGACUUUUGUCAACUUCUCCUUUUGAGUUAUCUUUCUUGUUAGGAAAGUAUUUCUUUAUUUGAUCUCUUCUUCUCAUCAUUCUUUGAAUCUUCUUUGUGAUGAGAGCUAGUUCGUCUUCUGCUUCACCUUGGAUGUUUUCUUCUUCAUUGGUUUCUUUAAUUUCUUCGCUUUGUGAAAAGACAUCUUCUUGUUCACUUUGAGAUGCUUUGAGAGCAACCAUCUUUCCUUUCCUUGAUGGUUUAUCAUCUUGCAGCAGCGUCUCAUGAGCUUUUAAUGACCCAAUGAGAUCUUCAAGAGCUAAAGAGUUUAAGUCUUUAGCUUGUGUGAUUGCAGUUACCAUGGGUCUCCAUGUGCUUGGAAGACAUCUUAAGAUUUUUCUUAUCCGAUCAUGAGUGGUAUAAGUUUUUCCAAGUGAUCUUAAUUCAUUCACAAUAGAUGUGAAUCUGGAGUACAUUUCAUCAAUGUUCUCAUCUUCGUUCAUUUCGAAGAUUUCAAAUUUUCUUACGCCAAUGUCUAUUCUUGUUUCUUUUACAUGGCUAGUUCCUUCAUGAUGAAUUUUUAGAGUGUCCCACACUUCUUUUGCAGUCACACAUUCAUCAACUCUUUCACUUUCUUCCAUGCUUAGUGCGCAUGAUAGAAAGAGUCGAGCUUUAGAGUUUAGAAGUACUUUUUCUUUAUCUUCUUUUGACCAUGAUGCUUCUGGUGUGAGUGUCUCCACCUUUGUUGUUGCAUCGGUUGUCAUAGGUAUGUGUUCUCCAUUUGUGAUUAUUUUCCACAUAUCCACAUCUUGGGAUCUAAGGAAUAGUUCCAUUUUUCCUUUCCAGAAAUAAUAGUUCUUUCCAUUGAAGAAUGGUGGUCUUGUGCAUGAUAGACCUUCUGGUAUAUACUUUUCUUUUGACAUUGCCUUCUUCCUGAAUCUUUUCCUCCAACACUUGUUAGGUGUUUUUGUAGAGCCCGAGCUCUGAUACCAAUUGAAGUAGCAAUAAACGUCACAAGAAAGGGGGGGGGGUUUGAAUUGUGACCCUUUUAAAAAUUAUUCCUGAAACUUAAUUUUAGAUUUAUAUACUCAAGAAUAAUCUUGGUGAAUGUUAGUUUAUCAAGAUUAGAGUAUAUAACAAUUAAUUGAAUUAGAAUAGAACGUUCUGAAGAAUGAUUAUAAACAGAAUGAGAAAAAUGAAGUUAAGUUAAAAGAUUAUUUUAGCAAGGACCAGAAUGUUCUGGAGAUUAAUAAAAUAAUGUGUGUGUGUUGUGUAACUUUAAAUAAAGAGAGAGAGAGAGAGAGAGAGAGAGAGAGAGAGAGAGAGAGAGAGAGAGAGAAAGAGAAAAAUAACACAGGAGAGUUAUCCUGGUUCACCAAACCCGGCUACUUCCAGUCCCCACACCUCGUGUGAGAUUAUCCACUAUAGUUUUCUUGCUAACAGAAACUUCUGACUAGCACUACAAUUUCUUGAUCACACCAGAUCAGUCCGUAACACCUGUAUUAUCAACCUCAGCAGGCUUAUACAAUUCUUUGCACACUAGCAAAAGAAAGGUUGGAAUUUUCUAUCUCAAAACUAUUAAGCCCAAUAGACUUUGAGAAAUACAACACACUUUGUAUGAAGAGAUUUGUUUGGAUAGAAUAAAUACUCAAAUCUUUGUUUGAGUUUUACAAGAGGCAAAUUCAAGAGAGAUGAUCCAAGAGAUAUAGUGAGAGAGCUUGGAAUUUGCUUUGUAUGUGAAGAGCUUUGUUUGUAGUGAUGAUUUUCACUUUGAGAGAUAUUAGCUUUCAAAACUCUUGCUUAUGACCUUCAAAGGCCCUUGUAUUUAUAGGUGAGGAGUGUCUUGGUGACCAAGGGAGAAAAUAGAGCUGUUGGACACGUUUUUGAUAGCUGUCCAAAGUCUCAUUUGAUUUCUCUUUUCUUCUUAAAAAUAGCCAGAACGUUCUCAGAAUGUUCUUUCUGAUUUGCCUGACUUUGAAAGCACUGUUGCUUUGCUUGCGCAUGAGAUAACCAGCUGUAAUGAGCUGUAUAACUUGCAGCCCACUUCUGAUGAUGUCAUGUCCUUUUGCUCUAGUGAUGUCAUGCUUAAGUAAGCCAUGUGAUCUUAUCCAUUUAAUGGGCUUUACUUUUCCAAAUGGGCUUAAAGCUUUUCUUAUGGCCCAAUAGACAUAAUCAGCCAAGCUUUCUUGCUGUGCAGACUUGUUCGCUUUUGAUGUACUGUUCCUUUUUCAUCGUUUUCGCCAGAACGUUCUCAUUUCAUUCUCAUGAAACAAAUUCUCACAAAAACGAAUUAGUAGAUAACAAGAUUAAAUAAAUAUAAUAUGUUUGUAAUCUUUAAAACAUCAAAUAAGGAUUUUGUCUCAACAAUCUCCCCCUUUUUGAUGAUGACAAACAUUUAUAAUUUAUUUUGAUUUUGAUUUUGAGUUUUUGAAAAAUUUGUUAAAAACUCCCCCUCAAGUUUAGCAACCAAAAUUUUGUGCCAUUUUGAGAGUUUUCCAGAAUUUGUUUAUGGACAAUUGAGUUUGAUAAUUUUAUCAAAGAACUCCCCCUCAAUUCAUGCAUUCAAGAUUUAAUAUGCAAAAUGAGAAUAUAGAACAUAAACAACAUAAUUCAUAAAUCAUGAAGAUCAUUACAAGGUAUCAAACCUAGCAUUUCAAAACAUCAAAAAGCAUUGUUCAUAUGCGCACAUACUAGCAGCAAUUUGAUCCUUAGUUAAUCAUGAUCAAAAGACAUAAACAGAGAAAUAAAAACAGAGUUUUUUUUAAACAUCAAAAUACUUAAACAUAAACAGCAGCAUAGUGAUCUAUUCUUCCCUAGAUCCUAACUGUUUUCCUGGUCCUCCUAACUCAUAAUCCCCUAAAUCAUCUCCCCCUUUGUCAUCAUGAAAAGGGGCAGCAGCAGCAGUAGGUGGAAUGGUUGGAGAAGAAGCAUCAGAUGAUGAAGAGAUAGUAGGCAUGAACAUGGGAUACAUAGGAACUGGGAAUGGGUUUUGUUCUGGUCUAGCAAACUCAUUCUUGUCACUUAUGGAGUCCUUCCACUUCCUUGACAGAGACAUUUCAAAAGUCAUCCAAGACAGAUAAUGCAAAAUUGCAUUGUUCCCUUCAAUUACCCUAGUCAAGUCACUGCGUGUCUUGCUGCAGUCUUUCUCAACCUUGGACCUUUUGGUUGGCCUUUCAUUGUGCUCAAAAAUCCUUUGCGCCAUUGAAGGAGAUUCAUUGAAUCUUGAAGGAAAGGAGAGAUUAGUUUGAAGAGACUUAAGGGAAUCCAUUUGGACAGAUGAAUCAAAAGCUUGUGGAGCAAAUAAUUUGUCCACUGAAUCACAUUGAAACAAAGCAGAAUAAUCAUGCUUUUGAGGAGAGAUAAACAAUUUUGAAGGUUUUGUGAUUAUGGUUUUUUCAGUGAAACUUUGAAGAAUUUCUGAAGCUUUGACUUUUGACAGAGAAGCAUGAUUGCCAAAGUUUUCAAGCAGUUCCUGAUCUUCCUCCAUCACAGGAGAACGUUCUGAAGAACGUUCUGGAGGAUUGCAGUGUUCAUCAGAAGCAUUUUAUGGAACUGGAUUCUGCAGAUCAGGCCCAUCUUCCCUCUUUCUUUUGAGGUCAGAAGGAGGCUCAUCAACAGGUUCCUGCUUCAUGUGACUCAGAUUUUUUGGAGUAAAUUGAGAAUACUCAAAAACAGAUUUUUCACCUUCAAAAGGAAUAUGAUUCUUAAUGAAGAUUUUGGUAAGAGCCAUUCCAUAAGGAAGACAAGAUUUUUUGUUACGAGACUGAAUAACAUUGAUCAUGUUAUGAAUAAUGAUAUGAGGCAGACUCAAUUUUUCUUUCAUUAAGAGAUGAUACAUGACCAAGAGAUCAUUUGAACUAACAUGUUGAAAAUUACCAUUUCUAGGCAAGACACAAUGUUGGCUUAUGCCAUUCAACAUUUUUGGGGUUGGCAGAAGGUUCGAAGACACAAACUCAGUGACAUUUGGUUUGAAAAGGAGUUUGUAAACAUUUUCAGAAUUGACUUCAAGUUUUUCAAACCAAUCAUCACCAAAGACAGUUUGACCAUAAUUUGAGAUACCAAGAGUAUCAGAGAUUACCUGUGGAGUGAGACGUAUCUCAACAUCCUUAAUCCUAGACACUAUUAAGCUUUCCUCAGGGUAUGCUUCUGCCAUGAAAUAGAAAGCUUGGACAAGCUUUGGGUAGUGUCUCUCACGAAGCUGUAGAAAUUUGGUCCAGCCUUGCUCAUCAACAUACUCCUUAAGAACGACUUUGUCUUUUUCCAGCUUGACAAAAUCAUAAUACCUUCCAAUUCCAAUUGACCUAUUUCCCCAUUUUUCUUUGAAAUCCUUUUUCAGAGAAGGAUCAAACAGAGGUACUCUCUUUCCUGUAGAGAUAUGAAUGAUCUUCUGUUUUGAAGGAUUUUUGGGCUUUGGAGAACAUUCUGGAGAAUAAUCUGAAGAGAGUUCAUAGUCUUUAUCAGAAAGACUUUCUGAAGAACGUUCUGGAGAACGUUCUGGUUGAGCAGUUUGCUUCUGCUUUCCUUUGUCCUUCACAGUUGGUUUAGGCUUUGGUUUUGGUACAGAAACCUUGAUAGGAGGUUUAGAGACCUUUUUGUUACUCUUAGGUUUGGGCUUAAGAGGAGAAGGAGUUUUCUCAGCCAAAGGGGUAGUUGGUUCAGUUUCUUCAUCUGAAUCAGAGAUUUCAUGUACAGUUGUGUCUACACUGUUGGUUUUCUUUGUUCCAACUGCAGAANNNNNNNNNNNNNNNNNNNNNNNNNNNNNNNNNNNNNNNNNNNNNNNNNNAAAUAAUAUAAAUCAAGUAGGGGAGGGGGUGGGUGGUGUGGGGUUAGAAGAAAAGAAUAUUUUUUUUUUUUUUUGUUUUUUUUUGAAAAAUUUUUGCCCCAUUAUAAAAAAACCCCUUGUUUUGUCUUUGAUUUGUUCUUUAUUUUUUUUUUUUUUUUUUUAAAAAGAAUUCUCCCCAUGAUAAAAAAAUGUUUUUUGGAGUGGAGGGAGGUUUUUUUUUAGAGUUUUUUUUUUUUUAAAGGACACUUUGGUUUUUGUUAAAGUUUUUAAAUUUUUGGGCAUCCCAAAACCAGGGUAACUUGACCUUUUUUCAAAUUUUUUCCUUUUGGAGUUUUUUUUUUUUUUUUAGGGAAAAGUAUUUUUUUUAUUUUGAUUUUUUUUUUUUCCAUCAAUUUUUGAAAUCUUUUUUUGGGAGAAGAGCUAUGUUCUUUUUUUGGCUUCCCCUUGGAUGUUUUUCUUUUUCAUUGGUUUCUUUAUUUCUUCGCUUUGUGAAAAGACAUCUUCUUGUUCACUUUGAGAUGCUUUGAGAGCAACCAUCUUUCCUUUCCUUGAUGGUUUAUCAUCUUGCAGCAGCGUCUCAUGAGCUUUUAAUGACCCAAUGAGAUCUUCAAGAGCUAAAGAGUUUAAGUCUUUAGCUUGUGUGAUUGCAGUUACCAUGGGUCUCCAUGUGCUUGGAAGACAUCUUAAGAUUUUUCUUAUCCGAUCAUGAGUGGUAUAAGUUUUUCCAAGUGAUCUUAAUUCAUUCACAAUAGAUGUGAAUCUGGAGUACAUUUCAUCAAUGUUCUCAUCUUCGUUCAUUUCGAAGAUUUCAAAUUUUCUUACGCCAAUGUCUAUUCUUGUUUCUUUUACAUGGCUAGUUCCUUCAUGAUGAAUUUUUAGAGUGUCCCACACUUCUUUUGCAGUCACACAUUCAUCAACUCUUUCACUUUCUUCCAUGCUUAGUGCGCAUGAUAGAAAGAGUCGAGCUUUAGAGUUUAGAAGUACUUUUUCUUUAUCUUCUUUUGACCAUGAUGCUUCUGGUGUGAGUGUCUCCACCUUUGUUGUUGCAUCGGUUGUCAUAGGUAUGUGUUCUCCAUUUGUGAUUAUUUUCCACAUAUCCACAUCUUGGGAUCUGAGGAAUAGUUCCAUUUUUCCUUUCCAGAAAUAAUAGUUCUUUCCAUUGAAGAAUGGUGGUCUUGUGCAUGAUAGACCUUCUGGUAUAUACUUUUCUUUUGACAUUGCCUUCUUCCUGAAUCUUUUCCUCCAACACUUGUUAGGUGUUUUUGUAGAGCCCGGGCUCUGAUACCAAUUGAAGUAGCAAUAAACGUCACAAGAAAGGGGGGGGGGUUUGAAUUGUGACCCUUUUAAAAAUUAUUCCUGAAACUUAAUUUUAGAUUUAUAUACUCAAGAAUAAUCUUGGUGAAUGUUAGUUUAUCAAGAUUAGAGUAUAUAACAAUUAAUUGAAUUAGAACAGAACGUUCUGAAGAAUGAUUAUAAACAGAAUGAGAAAAAUGAAGUUAAGUUAAAAGAUUAUUUUAGCAAGGACCAGAAUGUUCUGGAGAUUAAUAAAAUAAUGUGUGUGUGUUGUGUAACUUUAAAUAAAGAGAGAGAGAGAGAGAGAGAGAGAGAGAGAGAGAGAGAAAAAUAACACAGGAGAGUUAUCCUGGUUCACCAAACCCGGCUACUUCCAGUCCCCACACCUCGUGUGAGAUUAUCCACUAUAGUUUUCUUGCUAACAGAAACUUCUGACUAGCACUACAAUUUCUUGAUCACACCAGAUCAGUCCGUAACACCUGUAUUAUCAACCUCGGCAGGCUUAUACAAUUCUUUGCACACUAGCAAAAGAAAGGUUGGAAUUUUCUAUCUCAAAACUAUUAAGCCCAAUAGACUUUGAGAAAUACAACACACUUUGUAUGAAGAGAUUUGUUUGGAUAGAAUAAAUACUCAAAUCUUUGUUUGAGUUUUACAAGAGGCAAAUUCAAGAGAGAUGAUCCAAGAGAUAUAGUGAGAGAGCUUGGAAUUUGCUUUGUAUGUGAAGAGCUUUGUUUGUAGUGAUGAUUUUCACUUUGAGAGAUAUUAGCUUUCAAAACUCUUGCUUAUGACCUUCAAAGGCCCUUGUAUUUAUAGGUGAGGAGUGUCUUGGUGACCAAGGGAGAAAAUAGAGCUGUUGGACACGUUUUUGAUAGCUGUCCAAAGUCUCAUUUGAUUUCUCUUUUCUUCUUAAAAAUAGCCAGAACGUUCUCAGAAUGUUCUUUCUGAUUUGCCUGACUUUGAAAGCACUGUUGCUUUGCUUGCGCAUGAGAUAACCAGCUGUAAUGAGCUGUAUAACUUGCAGCCCACUUCUGAUGAUGUCAUGUCCUUUUGCUCUAGUGAUGUCAUGCUUAAGUAAGCCAUGUGAUCUUAUCCAUUUAAUGGGCUUUACUUUUCCAAAUGGGCUUAAAGCUUUUCUUAUGGCCCAAUAGACAUAAUCAGCCAAGCUUUCUUGCUGUGCAGACUUGUUCGCUUUUGAUGUACUGUUCCUUUUUCAUCGUUUUCGCCAGAACGUUCUCAUUUCAUUCUCAUGAAACAAAUUCUCACAAAAACGAAUUAGUAGAUAACAAGAUUAAAUAAAUAUAAUAUGUUUGUAAUCUUUAAAACAUCAAAUAAGGAUUUUGUCUCAACAAUUAUAACAUUACGAAUGAGGUUACAUUUUAAGAUGCAAGAUUGCCGUAAUUUAACAAUCCAAAGUGAGUAAUCAAACAGACACGCGAGACUAAUUAUCACAUUAUGAACGACGAUCAGAUUUUAAGAUGCAAGUAUCGCAUGUCUGUUUCAUUACUCACUACUUUUCCUUAUGUGUAAACUUUUCAAGGCUACGGUGACACCGCAAUUCAAAAUAUGCAAGAAGUACUGAAAUUUGGUCGAAACGAUAUAUUUUAAUAUGCAGCAAUGAUCUCAUUAAAAAAACCAAGACGAGCUUUGAAAACAAACAUGUGAUAGAUAUUAUAACAUUACGAAUGAGGAUACAUUUUAAGAUGCAAGAUUGCUGCAAUUUAACAAUCAAAAGUGAGUAAUGAAACAGACACGCGAGACUACUUAUCACAUUAUGAACGACGAUCAGAUUUUUUGAAUGCAGCAAUGCCGCUUUUUGAAAAAUCUGAUACACUACUUUUCCUUAUGUGUAAACUUAUAAAGGCUACGGUGACACCGCGAUUCAAAAUAUGCAAGAAGUACUGAAUAUUGGUUGAAACGAAAUAUUUUAUUAUGCAGCAAUGUGAAAUUUAAAAAAACCAAGAUGCAGCAAUGCCGCUUUCAAAAAACUCUAAUUGUGUUUUGAAACAAACACGUGAUAAUAUAUUCGACAGUAUAAUACAUUCCGUUGUAUUGAAACAUCUGGUGUAAAAUAAUAUCUACUAUGAUAAUAUAUAUUUUCAACGACUGACAACACAUUAUAUUAUGUAUAAAAGAAAUAACCUUUAAACAUACACGGAUACACGUUAAAGUAAAAGUAUGAAGGUUCCUCUGACACCGCAAUUCAAAAUAUUCGCACAGCAAAGAAAUUAGAUUCCGUCAACAAUGACAAAGUUGUGAGCAUUUAAGUAAGAAACUCAACAAAAAGUGAAAUGCAGCAAUGCUGCUUUCAAAAAACUCUAAUUGUGUUUUUCAUAGAAUCAUACUCCCUUAAAAUAGGUUUCAACGAAAGGUCAGACAUACCAGAUAAACUGUGCAAAGCUUUGCGAGUAUUCUCUGCAACAUCAUUAUCCAUUCUGUUUCGUUUGAUCCACCUUGACUACUAAUUAGCCGUAACAAUAAGUUUUUUUGCAGAGAGAACAGAUGUGUAAGUAUGAGCCUCCAAAUGAUAUGUAAACCAAUGAAUUACCGCAUAAAUAGACAUUAAUGCGAUUUGGGUAACAACAAUUCUGAAUUAAUGACAUGACUUUGAAGCUGAACAGACACGUCCAAACAUUGAAUCAAAAAGAUCGUGAAACAAAGCAUGGGAAAACACUAUAUGAAUCUCUUCCAUAAUGCAAUCAAAGAGAAGUAUAUGACAAUUAAUACUAAUCAUAUAUCUUAUCUGUAACAUCAGCAGAAAUGAUGUUUUUUUUUGUAUAUCUGAGCAUCUUGAUAACUAAAAACGCACAUCUGACCGCAAUAAACCUACCCAAUUAUCAUACUGCUGAUGGAUUAGCAAUUUAAGGAAACACAUCAAUCUAAAAAUAUAAUGAGAUCAUCUGAUUAUAAAGGUUGUUACAAUUUUAUUAGGUGCAUUUGACUAAUAUCAUUGCCGAUUCCAUCAUUAUUAUUUAUCUAUCAAGAAAACGCCGUUGCUACAAAGCAAUAUAUUAAUAACAACAACGCCGCGUGUAGCAUUGUAUUCGUCUGUACACAAUAGGAGGUGAAUACUGCAUCUUAAUUUGUUUAUUCAAUAAAGAAGUUGUGCCAUUACAGGGAUUAAAAAAGAAAAAAGCACCAUUGCAUUAUCGGAAUAACCCACACCUUUUGAAUUACAUAAGACUGAUUUUCUAUUUUGCCUACCAGAACUUGCAAUACUAAAAAUGCAAAAUUUAAAAGAAUCUAAUAUAGAGCAUUAUUCACUUCUAAACAUCACACCCUUCUUAAUGAAAAAAAGAAAAAAAAAAUGAUGCAUUCAAACAAAAUAUGAAGCAUAAGUCUGCCACGCCACCACUAAAACUCAUCCAAACGUUGCACAUUGUUAAGAAGAUCAGUUGCGAAUCACACGAAGGUAGAGAGUUGUGUUGCUUCCAGCCAUUGGAGCACCAAGAACUAAUCGGGAACCUUGGCGAAGCCUGCGUGCCAUAACCAAUCUCUUCCAGCCACCUCCGAUUAUGAAAUGAGGUCCGCCAUCAGUAGCAAACAUCAAAGUACAGCCCCACACAUUGCCAUUGUCAUCAAAGUAAAGCGAAUAAAGUAAGUUUGUUUACUGUCAAAUGCAUAUAAAUAUAAUUACUCACGUUAAUAAAGUUAAGCUCGACUGUGUAAGUUCUAUACUUGAUACGAAGAUCAUUGACAAUCCUUUCCAAUUCAGAAUUCGGAUUAGGGUUCAGAGGUGCUGUUAUAAAAAAACAACAAAAAAGAAACAUAAGUGAGUUGUACAAAACUGGAAAUAACAACAUCAAAUGAUGGAAACUUAUACCUAUCAAAGCAUGGUAGGAAAGCAGUGCCUGGAUUCCAUUAUUUGCCAUGGGAUUCGAUUGAACUUGAAAAAGAAUGAGAUGUGAUUUUUUUGAUUCCAUGGUAUGGUAUAUAUACACGUUCAGAUUCAUUCACUAUGAUAAGGAGGUUAUGAUACCUAUACAUUGUUAUCAUAUCAAAGGCUUUGGAAUCAAUAACAACAUUAAAUGCAAUCAUGGAAUGGGGGAAGCCACAACCAAAAGCGUUAAAUGUAAUUAGCAUGGGGAAACUGAAAGUGCCAAGUCAAAUGAGAUCAAAGGAUGAGAUGAAUGCUUAGCUAGCUCAUUUGAUCAAACGGCUCUCCUUAAUUGGCGCCCAAAAUGGCUAGGUUUAGGGUUUUGCAAGGUAAUUAGCAUUGUUAACAAAGAUUAGAUAUAAGUAUGAUAAGAUAAGAUAAGAUAUAUUGAAUUUUAAUAAAUUUUUAAUUUUUAAAAUAAGAGAGGGCCUAAGCCCAAGAAAAAAACUACACUAAAAGUACAUAAAAUUGCUUUUCUUACUGCAAAAACUUUCUAAUAACACAUGAAAGUUACUAAAUUGUCCAUAGAAGUAGUUAACUACCAUUGGCAAGUCCGACAUCAGUUAAUUACCACUGACUCCCAACUGCAGUUAACUACCGCUGGCUCAUCUGCACUUAAGUUCGGUUCCUAGCAGAGCAUCAAUUGUGAUUAUGCGCGUUUCGGUCGAAAAAAAUAAAAAAAUCGAGACUUAUUUGGAAUGUUACGGAACAUUCCACAUCCUCUAUAUGUAUUUUUACAGAGGUGUCUAUAAAUUUGGUAACAUUCCGACUAAGUCUCGAUAUAUUUUGAUUUUUUGACCGAACCGUGCAAAAUCACAAUUUUUUUCAAGUUCGAGUCCGGAAAAGUGACCUAGACGUUGAAUUUUUUCAUGAUUUUUUGCACUCAUGUUUAGGACAAAAAAGAACAUCUCCCACAAAAAUUUUGAACUUUUUCGACAAUGGACGAAUCCUUUAUAUCUAAUCCUAGCAAACAUGCAAACCCUAAUUCCACAAUCCUAAACCUAAAAAAUUGGCUCCCAAAUUUGAAAUUUGAAUUUCAUAUUGGAAAACCAAUGCACACUACUCAAUACAUAUCUUAAGGGCUAGGAUUAAAUGCGACUAAUACCUCAAAUUCGUCCUUGAAUUUUAAAAAAUCGGUCAAAUUCGUCCCUGAAUUUUGCGAAAUAUCUAUUUAGUCCCUGAAUUUACAAAAUAUCAAUCAAAUCAGUCCCUCUGUUAAGUUGGUCUGUUUACGGAGGUGACGUGUAACGUUAACCUCUUACAAGGCUUACCAUGUCAGAUGUCACGCAAGCAGGGACCAAAUUGAUUGAUUUACAGAAAAUUGUCAAGGACCAAAUUGAUGGAUUUUCAGAAAAUUGCCAACGUUUCCAAGGACCAAAUUGAUGGAUUUUCAGAAAAUUCCCAACGACUCUUUCUCCCGUUUCUCAUUAAAGAAUCUUUCUCCUCUUCCUCAUUAACGGCUCUUUCUUCCCCAAAUAUAUAAAUUUGGAACCCUAAUGUUAUAAUUUGUUACCUAGAGUUCAAAAUCCCCCAAAUUUCUUCCAUGACUUGAUGUCAAUGUUCUUCCCAAUUAAAUAAACUUAACACCCUAAUUUUUUUGAUUCAAUUCGAAAUUCAAAAACCAAUGGUCAUUGUUGAAGAUUCGGUGUUCAGAAAUGAUGGGUAGUGGGCGUAUGGGCAAAAAAAACUACAAUAGUCAGUCUUCAUCUUCAAGCUCUAUGUACAAUGAUAAGGUGAGAGAGCUUCAAUGUUGCUGACCUAGAAUUUGUGUUGUAAGAGAAGCCAACACUGUCAAUAACCAAGGAAGGCCUUUCUAUAUCUUCCCUCUGCCAAAGGUUUGUUUAACAAUGGUUAUGUGAUGUGUAAAUGGUUUGUUUAAGAUAUUCAUAGGAGUAUUUUGUUUGAUUGAGUUGUUUAAAAUGAUAUUGUAUUGUGCCAAGUCCAUGUAAUGUUGUAAUGAAAAGAGGUUGUCAAUGAAUGAAUCAAACCCUUCUGUCAAAAAAUUUCAAUCAAAUUGGUCCUUGAAUUAUAUGCAUAUCCAUCAUAUCGAUCCUAAAAUUAGUGAUAAUACCAUCAAAUAGGUCCUUGAAUUUUCACAACAGAUAUCACUGUGAUCCUUGGUGCAUAUAUUUGCUGAACAAAGUAAAAAGUAAAAGACAUGCACUUUGACUAUAAAAAGACAGACAUUUGCAUACCAUCAUAAGUCAUAUAUUUGAUGUUCAUAAGUCAUUACAUAGCCAAAAAAAUAACAUUACAUAGCCAUAAAGUCAUCAAAUCGUUUGAUGUUCUUAAGUGAUUACAUAUCUGUUAUCACGAUUUUGGGGUAUCAAGUCAUUAAUUAGGCUUGAACCUUUCAAUCUUUGAUAUUCUCUAUUUUUUCUUGGGAAGGGAAAAAUUGAGAAAACCCUUAGAAAUUCUAAGUUCGGGGGUCGUUUUCGUUACGGGAAGGUGUUAGGAACCCGCAAUGACUAUAGUACUCUAUAGGAACCGUUUUCUUAGUUUUAUGUCUACGCUUUAUUUUUAAUGCUAUUUAUUGAAAAAAGAAGUUGUUUAUUUAGGUUAAGAAUGGAGGGAGAAAAUGUUUGGGAUUUUAUUUAUUGGACUUGGAGAGGUUUUGACCUCUUGCCUACAUACCCUUUUAAGGGAUCAAAAUUCCAUGUAGUUCUCUUUAAAAAAUGUUUUUGUGUGUUUGAUUGAUUUUAAGUUUUGGAAAAUGGUUUUGAAGAAGAGAAAGAGGCCGUAAAGGCAUGAGAGAAAAAAAUGGUGAAAGGUUGGUUCAAUUAUUAUUAAAAAAGGUCUAAGUUGGAAUUAGAGUUCAUUUGAGUUUGAUUAAGAAAAUAAAGGGAAAAUUCAAUGGAGUUUUGACUCCAAGGUUUAUUUGGAAAUUUUUUUCAAGUGAUGGAAUUUGCUUAUUUUGGAAAAUUGAUAUUUUUCUAAGUAUCGCGUUUCCUAAGCAUACAUCUAAAGCGGUAAACAUACAACGUGUGUGCGUGUCGGUGCUUGUGUCGGUGUACAUCAUUAGAGAGUCCAUUGUCCGUUACAUUGGCCCUAGUUUACAUUCUAUGGUCUUGCAAGAAAUUAAAAGGAAAUUUAAACUACCUAAAAUAUUAUAUGACAUUUUAACAUAGAAAUUAAAAGGUAAAAAUGCCUAAACUAUGAGAAAUUGAGAUGAAAAAGGUAGAAUGCUUAUGAGGUGAAUGAAACAAGAAAUAAAAUGGUUAGUAAAAUAAGGUGUAAAAUGAUAGGAAACAAGCAAGGAAACAUUGAAUGGAAUAGCAAAAAAGAGAGUAAUAAAGUGGUAAAAUAUGCCCAAAACUUGUCAUAAUACCUAAACAUGUACACGACCUAUAAUUCUCUCAUCAUAGCAAUUUAAAAGGGGGUUUAUUUUAUACCAUAAUGUGAGAAUGACAAGAACACAUUCAAGCCAAGAAUUAUGACAUAUUUCUAGAGAUACUUUGCACUUUAUUUCUUGACAAAAACACACAUUACUUGCAAAACAAGAAAAAAAGAAAAAUUCACAUCCACAAACAGUAAAACACACAUAUGAUCAGAGACAUAUUCAUCAUGAAAUUGCAUAUUAACCACUCAUAUCAUGUCAAGACCUCAUGAACGAAUUAUGGCAAGAAAAUUCACAAGUUUAAUAAAAAAAAAUGAACAUAUCAACAAGAAAAUGUUACAUAUAUUUUUUUAUCAUUUUUUAACAUGUAAAAGCAUCACAAAAGUAUUAAAAAUACCUCAAGAAACAUAUAGGAAUUUUUAGGAAUUUUUUGCACGAAAAUUGGACGAGCAGGGGGUUCAGAUAGCAAGAAACAGGGUGCAAAUAGCAAGAAAUAAGAAAAAAAAAGCAGAAACAAACAAACUGGAAGCCCAAGCCCAAAACCCAUGGAUCCGGAUGCACAAGGAGCGUUGGAUUGAUCCAGGAAGAGAAACCCUAGAUCUAAAGGCUCAGAAUGAAGGGGAAGAACCGGGAAUAAACCCGACCGGUUCAGUUGUUUAUAAAAAGGCUUGGGGACCGGUUUUUUUCAUUUCUUCCUCUCCUUUCUCUCUCUUCUCUCAUUCUAGUGAGAGAAGCUCUCACUUCUCUCCUUUCUGAUGAAUUAGGUUCUGGAAAAGUUAGGGUUUUCUGAAUGUUCUUGGUAAUUUUCUGUUUUGAUCUAACUAAAUGGAGAGAGAAAAUGUGAUUCUGUUUUUGGUGAUGUGACUGAUUCUGUGGAUCCUUUCUGAUUUGUGCAGUGAAUGCACCUUUUAUAGGCUGCCAUGUGUGAUUCUGAACCAAUGGAAGAGGAACACCUGUUUUGGACUUAGGGACUUUCCUGCAAAAAUAAGAAAAUUGGAGGACUGGACUGCAAAUAAGAAAAAGGACCUAAAAAUGCAAUUUUAAAAAGUAUUGGACUAAAAUGUAAUUUGGAAAAAACGUAAAGUGAAACCAAAAAUAAAAUCAACAAAAGGACUAAAAUGAACCAGUUACAAAAAAUGAGGUAUUUUAAAAUACCUCUCUGUCGAAAUUUUGACAGGAAAAGACCAAAAAUACCCCUAGGGACUAAACUGACUCAAACUGACUCAGAUGCAAUUUUUGAAAUGGUUUUUAAACAGAGAUUCAACAAUGAUUUGUACAGACAAGUUGAAAAGACUCAGAGGCAAACACAGGGACUAAAAUGGGUUCCAAUGCGGGAAAUGACCAAAAUACCCUUUUUGUAUGAUUUUUUGAAAUAAAAUGCAAGAAAAGCAAUGCAAUGAUUCAGAGAGUUUUCAAAUGACUUGUAAUGCAAGAAAGACACUUUGGGUAGUUUUAUUCAAGAAAAUCAUGAUUGAACAUACUUCGAGACAGAGACAGUAAAAUAUGCAGAUGAAAAGAGAGUAAAGGUUCGGAGUAAAAUAAUAGUAAAUUGACAAAUAUCAGUGUUGAAAAAGAAAUUUGAAUGAGUAUUUUUAGGUCCAAAAUCAGGGUAUAACAAUAUCCAAAAAAGCAUAAACUAAACAAGUCCAAAAAGCAUAAUUUAAACAAGCAUCAAUGCUUUGGAAAUCCUGAAGUUGGGUAUAAACUCCAUGUAUUGGGGUUGAGUAGAAGCGGAUGACCCGUAAUUUGGAUUUGGAACUCUAAUAACUCUAGGAGUAGUUAGAUUUUGUGGAGCAAGACCCCUCAAUGAUGUUUGUUUAUGCAUGUCAUUUGAAAUCACAGGUCAUCUCAUGCCAUAUCUUCUUGUACUCAUUCUCUGCAAAUAAAAUCAAUCAUAUCCGUCCUUAAAUUAUAACAAAAUCCAUCAAAUUAGUCCUCAAAUUAUGUCAGUAAGUCUCAAAUCGAUCCUUAUGUAAUAGCGGGGUAUAAUUGGAACACAUGAAAAAUUACACUGAAAAGUUAAAUCUCAAAUUUUUACCAUUUCCAUCAAAUUAGUCCUUGUACACGUGGUUGCCUUGUUGACACGUGUACAUGACAACACAACAUGCAAGAGGACACGUCAUCACCACUAACGGAGCUUUUGGACGGAGGGACCAUUUUGAUGGACGUCUGUAAAAUUCAAGGACUAAAUAGAUAUUUCGCAAAAUUGAGAGACGAAUUUGACCAAUUUUUUAAAAUUCAAGGACGAAAUUGAGGUAUCAGUCCAUUCAAUGUUAUACAAAAGUCUGAAAAAUAAAACACACAACACACGCGUUCCUUUUUCCCAGUGUUUUCUUCUUCUUCUUCCUCUUAUCAUCAUCACCACCGCCAACCCUCUCCCUCAAUCCACCGACGUUCUACCCCGUAUGUUCCAUGUCUUUUCUACUUUAACCGUCAUAUUUCUCCUCUCAUACUUCGCCGUCGUCGAUUCCACUGCCACUUUCUUUCCAUCGCCACGGGAAUAAUGAGAUUAAGCGCGAGAGUGAUCGACCUAAACUUAUUCCCUCUCUCCAGGUACUCAAUCUGUUAACUUUGAUGUUAGUUCAUACAAAUUUGCAUGUAACAAAUUUGUAUAAGAACAGGCAUAGACUUCUUAACCAAUCAAAUAAACUGCUCAAUCAAAGCUUACUCAAUUUUAUUGUAAAAGAAGAAAUAGAAAAUUUAGGUGGUUUGAAAUGUAAGAUCCAACAUAUGUUAGAUAUGAAAUUACUGUUGUGCUUUGAUGAUUUUUUCUCCUGAUUCCAAAAAUAUAGUUUUAAGCCAAUUUAUGGCAUUGAGUGAUUUGAUUUUCUGUUUCUUUUUUGUCUCAUUGGUUCUAAGUUGGAUGAGAAAUUAGUGGCCACAGAAAGAAGAAUGAAAUAUAAGUUAAUUAACAUUUUUUCAAUAACUUUGAAUUUUUGCUGAUUUUUCUUUAACUAUUGUUUUCUAAUACCAUUUGAAGUAGUCGUUUUUAUUAGAUUAUGUCAUUGCUACAAAAUUUUCUCUAUAUGGGUUCAUGUUGAUUUUGAAAUGAUUGCAAAUUUGUGUAUAAGCAUCUGUAUGCAAACCUCUCUUUUAAGAGCACUAUUUUUUGUUCCGGCUUUGUGUUUUUUGCGGAUGUGCUUAUGAUUUGUGCAGCUACAGGUUUGUUACUUACAGAGCUUUCCAAAUGUGGUAUGUUGCUUUGUUCAUUUAGUGGUUGAGAAUGAAAUUAGUUUGCACUCCCUGAGAAAAUAGCUCUCUAAACUGAAGUUCCCAUAAUCUCUUAUGAUCAUUGUACACACCAAAUCUCUUACCCUAAGUCAAAUUUACUGUACUGAGUAGAAAUUAUCUAUUCUUUCAUUAAUAUUGAAAAAUCUUUCAUCCCUUCAACAUUGUUUCUGAGUAUGAUGUUACCAGUGAAUUUUUGGUAUGUUCCUUACCAAUUCACAUUUUUUAUUGUUACUUUUAUUGGACAAAAUUACUUCUUGCGUCUAUUCUUCCCUGAUUCAUAGAAGUUGUUCUACAAUGGUUUUUGUGAAUUUGCAUUGGAUAAGAGGACCACGGCCAUGGUGGUCAUAGCACAAUUGCGACAACAAGUGGAAUUGCACUCUUAUUUUUGGAUCUAUGUCAUACAAUCAUAAUUGGUGGUGGUGAGUGGAAGAGCAUGAUUGAGUGCAGAAUUUUUGAAGGUGUACGUUUCAAGCUGGGUGAUCAGAUGGUCGGCAAAAGUGAAAUUGUUUACCUUCAUGUCUAUCGAGAUUUCAGUUUUUAAGCUGGGGUCUUCAUAUGAAUUUCCAUUUUGAAUAUUGUUUCUAUUGUAAUCUGCCAAUUAUCAGAAUUGUGUUAGAUAAGUUUGAGUCUAAUGUGUUCAGCUCCACUGUGUAAUCUGUUUCUGUAUUUCAUUUUCAAUAGAAUCCAAUUAAAACAACUUAUUCUGCUUGCUUAAUUAUCAUCUCCAAUCUGCACAAGUAAUACUAUAAACAGGGUCAUAUUAUUCUAUUGAAAUUGAAAUACGGAAACAUAUUACAAAGAAAAUGACUAAAGGCGGUGUAUAAAGAAGUUUUUCGCAAUUUAUGAAUUGUUCGGUGCUGAUGAAAUAAAGGUGUUGCCGUUUUGUUAGUCUGCCAUCGAUGUAAGUAUGUACUGUAUUUAUAUUAGUCGUUAAUAAAUGUCUUAAUAAUGGUCGUCAAACCUAACCCAUCAGUGUGUUGCUUAAUUUGUUUUUACAGAUUUGUUUGACCUGACUGUAGCAUUUGCCAUCAUAUCUGAAACGCAUAAAUUCAUGUUUUACUGUAUACUCGGUGAUCAAUCCUUCUGUCUAUAUGAAAAGGCUUGAUGUAUACUGGUACGGUGAUUAAAUUUUCGCAUAAAUCAGUUCUUCUCAUAUUAUAAAUAACUUAUAAUAAGGAUUGCAGCAACUAAUGCUUCAAUUUUAUGCUGUCUUUGUUUUUCUUCGCAGGUUGAGCACAAUUAAGGCAUUGCAUUUUUGGAGAUCGUUAUCAUUGUUAUACCAUUAUUAUCUUUGCUAAUAUAUGCUCCUAAUUGUUUAAGAAUUUCAUCUCUGGUCCAUACUGACGGUUUAUUACUGAUAUCAAUGGCACCAAUCUCAAUUGAUACUAUGUAUCACAUUAUCACCAACAAAGGUGUAACUUGGUUAUCAUUAUGAUCCAUUUCUGAUUCCGUAAUUAUACUAUAUCCAAGUUCGUUGUUAACUUAUUACAAAUAAUUUGUCGUUUAGAAGAAUAUUAACCACAAAUUACUCAUAGUGAUUUAUCGUUAUGAAAAUACAUAUAGAGAAUAUGAAAAUUUACGUAGUAUAUUGACUGAGCCUCAAUUUAUUUUGAAUUUUUCACCGAAACACAUAAAAUCACAAUAUUUUUGCAACUUCACAUCCGAAAAAGUUAUAUAGACGUUGAAUUUUUUCGUUAUUUUUUGCACAUAUGUUAAGGACAUAAAAAAACAUUUCCCACAAAAAAUUAGAAUUUUCCGACAACGGAUGGAUUAAUUAUGAAUUUUUAAUGCGCCAAAAACUCAAGAAACUAAAACAUCAAAAGAUCGACUUAGAAAUUGAAUUUUGAGUUGGUUUUUUGCACACAACUCUAUAAAAAUACAUAUAGAGGGUCUGUAAAUUUUCAUGGAAUUCCAAAUAAGCUUCAAUUUAUUUUGAUUUUUCGACCGAAACGCGUAAAAUCACAAUUGAUUCUCUUCCAGAAACUGCACUUAAGUGCAACAAAAUCAGCUGUAGUUAACUGCAACUGAAGCCAGCGGUAGUUAACUACAGCUGAGAGUCAGCAGUAGUUAACUACCGUUGGGGGAAAUUUCAUAACUUAAAUGUGUUUUUAGGAAUUUUUUGAUGUGAGAAAAACAAUUUUCAAAAGUAUAUGUUUUUUAAAAUAAAAGAGGGCAUAAGACCAUAAAAGGCACUGAUACGAUGACCUUUAACACCAGUUUGAUCAACUAAGACCAACCACAAUGGUGAGGUCUUAACAAUUUAAGAUCCGGUACCUAUUAGGUACCUCCAUUGUGGGAAAAAUAUUUGGGGGUCUCUUAAGACCCUCAUUUUUAAGUGGACCCCACACAACUUUUUAAUAAAAUAAUCAUUGUUUAGUUACUUUUGUUUAAAUGUAAAUGAUAAAGAGUUAUUGGUGGGUCCCAUUUAGACCUUUUGUUAGAGCGUCUCUGUUGGAGUGGUUGAGUACCUAUUAGGUACUAUCAUUAAAAAAUUAUAAAAAAAUGAUUUGUCAAUGUGGAAUCCGUUUAAGACCUCAAGAUUGAGGAUCUCCAUUGUAGAUCACAUGCAUGUCUAUUGCAUGAGUGCAUCUUCCAAAGAUUCAAAGUCUUCAUUUACAUGAAAUUUUCAUUCAGCUUUCAACAUUCAUAAGCACUUAAUGAAUUAACGACCAAUAUAUUGGAUGCAUGUUGUUUUGAAUAUGCCCUUAAUAAAGAUGAAAAGGAGAAAGAUGAACUUGAACUCAUCAUUUUUACAGCCGUUAAAAUAGCAUACAUGAUUUGCUUUUGCUACUUGUCUAAAUUUUAUCUAAACACCUAAUUAUGAUGGUUGCCAAACACAUUCAAACAUUUAUGUUAGUAACAAUUUUAUAAGCAUGGCAUUUUUAGGGUUGUAUGGCCCAAAAGUCCUAAACCAAAUGGCUUUCACCAUUUCUCAUGCGUCCUCCUAAAUUUCAAAACUGCCCUCAGAUUUUCGGAUUAUACAAUAUGCUACUCUUAUUUUCAACUCUUCCUUUGAGGUCCAACUCGAUUAGUCUCUUCAGUGGUUCAGUUGUGAUUUUUCCUCUUAAGUCCAACUAGAUUAGUCUCUUUAGCGGUCCAGUUAUAAAGUCGAUUUGUGACAAUACCUUAUAUGCAUCUAUGUUAGGAUUGAUACGAGCUGUUAGUAGGUUCUGAUACCAUGUUGGAUGGAGGAAUGUUUUACAUAUUGAGCUUUAGUUGUUUCAAGGGGCACUCAACAUGGAAAGGAUAUUGAAGCUUUGCAGAAAAGUUUGGACAAUGCUGAGUAAGGUUCAUAUACAAACAUGUCUAAUUUUCUAACAUAAUUACAUUUUAAGAGUGAUUUUCAAAUCAACUAAUAUUUAACAUUAUGGUUCUAAAGUUGGUGAACUAUGACAUAAAACUUUAACAUUGUUUGUGGUUUCUAGAAGAAUCAAUUUGGUUACAUAACAUGAAAAAUGGUUACCAUAAGACAAGGAGAAAGAAUAAGCAUGUAUCUUUACACUCGCAACAAAGAAACACACCAACUUUGGCCAUUGCAGAAGAUUAUGGUUAGACUCAGACAGUCAAAUAUAGGUUUGACGCCAUCGAAGUAAUCGGCAUUUCAACCUUAGGUUGUGUUUCAGAGUUUUGAAGAGAUUAUCAGAAUUCUAUUCACUUUGUUUUCUUGUCAAAUCUUAAUUGUUAGUGCUAAUUGAUGGUCUUAUCAUGAAAAUUAUAAAUCAAACCUAAAUAAAAACGAAUAAUAAGAACAUGUUCAUGUACCGAACUGAUAAGUAGCAAGAAAGUGAAAUAAAGAAAACACAAUGAUCUAAACUUAUCAUUGAAAAACAUCACAGAAAACACAAUGUUUGUUUCUUCAUUUUAAUUCUAACGAAUGUCUAAUUUUGGAAUGUGUGCUAUCUUAUCCCAGUCCACCCUUGUUCCCUCCUUGCAUCGCUCAUCUAAUCCUCCAGAAAAACAUAAUUAAUCAGCAAGAGUAUCAUGCAAAACCCCAAAACAGUUAAAAAGGUGCACAUGCACUUAACAAACUCAUCAUCAUUUUCUCUUCCAUAAUUCCCUUCCUUGUUUGUACCACUUUGUCCUUGAAAGAAUUCACAAUUACCUUUGCUAACUGAAUUAUUGCUUAUUGUGAAAAACAAAAAUAUCUCAAAGUUAUCUUAUGUGAACCAAAUACAAAACCAGUAAUUAAUAAUAUCAUAACAACAACAAAUUACAAAUUUGAUGUAUCAUUUUAAACUGAGUGAAAAACAUGAAAAAACAAAAGUCAUUGAAAGAGACAGAAAAUUUAUAUGCUAAAAGGGCAUUAUAAGGCUCUAAGACAGAUUUUAGAUGUCUGUUUUUCUCUCCCAUUGCUGCUCCAACUCUCUGCAGAAGUAUAUUACUGGAAGACAGAAGACAAACUAACAUGUGCUGCAAAACCACCAUAGUGAAGAGACAAGAGUGUCAUAUCCUGCAAACACAGUACAAAAUAUUGUUACUAUACUAUAAGAAACAAAAUCAAAAAAGGGUGAUGGUGGAAGAGAGAGCCUACCAAAUGUGAUAGAAAUUGGAAGCAUAUAUGUGUGUGCUUUUUCAUUCAAUCAACAUGUAAUUUUGGAAUGUGCGCUAUCUUGUCCCAGUCCUCACCGGUUCCUUUCUUCAAUCGCUCCUUUAAUGUUGGGCAACCUCGAAUUUUCAAAAACUCAAGUGAAGUGAGGUGUUGAAUAGAUUCGGGAAAGGAUCUCAAUCCUCCACAAUAACCAAUAUCAAUAGUUCGAAGAGAUCGAAGACCUUCCCAUGUUUGUUCCGGUAUAGACUCAAGCUCACCACAAGAAGAGAUACUCAGACACUCCAACACUAGGUUGAAGGGUUCAUUUGGUAGUUUCUUCAAUUUUGGGAAAUUAGAAAUUUUCAAACUUCGAAGACAAGUCAAGUUUCUUAACAAACCGUCAGGAAAGCAAAUCACGUCUUCACCGUUAAGAAGGUGAAGGGUGGUAAGACUACAGAAAUUGGAGAUUGAUCUCAGUAACUCAUUGUUACAUCCAAAUACAAUGAGGUCUUUAAGGGAUGGAAGGCAUGGCAACACAAGUUUAGGGCAAUCAAUAAUGGUCAAAUUAGAAAGAAGAAGGAACAUAUCUCUUAUUUGCACUUUCAACAAACGCUCUAAGUUUCGUAGUCCUGCUAGUAACAAUUUUUCCAAGGAUGGAAAAGCCCUCACCUCUACACCAUCAUGAUAUUCAGCAUCAUCCAUGUAUUGCAUAUUAUUCAUACCCCAUAAUUCAAGCUUUUUUAGAGAUGGUAGUUUACCUAGUGAUGAAAGAACACAAUUAUUGCAAUACUGAAGUUGAAGAUCAACUAAACUAUUAAGAAAUCCAAUCCAUUUUGGCAAGCAUAAUCCGUCAUAGUAAAGUAUUUUCAACCUCUUGAGAUUUGAGUGAGGUUGAAGCAUUUCAAGUACUUGCUCAGCAGUAGUAGUUGGUGUCUCAGUUUCACCAUUAUUCCUCCAUGACAAGGAUAAUUCUUGGAGGUCCUUUUUACCCAUCAAAUUGGCAUGUCGAGCUUCAAAUAAGCUACCAACAUUUCCCAGACCUUGUAUGCUCAGUUUUCCUCCAAGUGAUAGAUCAUGUAGCUCUCCCAAGCCAUACCCCCUCUCUGACUGAACAAUGUAUACACUUAAUGUUCUUAGGAAAUACAAUUUUCCAAUAUAAGGAAACACACAAGACAAUGAAUUACAAUCUUCAAUGACAAGAUGCCUGAGAUUCUGUAAACAAGUCAAGUGUUUUGGUAGAAAAGUCAGUUUUCGAAAAUAUUUCAAUUUCAAGAUUUCCAAUUUCUGCAAGCGAUAAAUUGAGUCAGGAAGGGUUUCUACGUCAAGAUCACGAAGCUCCAAAUACCUCAAAUGAAUUAAGUUCCCAAGUGACGAUAACUUGAAAGUGUUUGUGCUUAAAACUCGAAGGGAGCGAUUUGUUGGGAAGUAAUCGUAUUCUUUUUCGCUGUAAAACUCUAGUUGAUACAACGUUCGCAAGGAUUCAACUUUUUUGAAGGCCUCAUUGAAGGAAAACAAGUUAAUAUCAGAGUAAAAGCUAGUAUGGUGUGUGCUUCUUAACAAGUUAGUGUUAGUAUUCUCCAAAAUCAUACACUCUGACCCCAUAACUGAUUGAGCAAGAUCAUGCACUAGGUCAUGCAUCUUGAAAGUAAUGUCUCCUGAAUAAUCAUCUAUCUUGAUGUCUUGGAAGAAUGAUUUUUGGCACAGUUCCUUCCAAAUCAUAUUGCCAAAAAAUUCUACAUCCAAAUUAGCCUUUGAGAAAAUAAAUCCAUUGCCCAUCCAUAGAUGAAUCAAAUCUUCCUUUACAAUUUCCAUAUCUUUGGGAAAUAUCGCACAAAAAGCAAAACACCGCUUUAAGGUCGGUGUUAAAUGAAAGUAGCUUAACCUCAAGGCUGGCAAAAUGGAAUUCUCAUAUGGUAAGGUCCAGAGAUUACUGUCUUUAAUUUCAAGCCAUUCAUUUUCAUCACUCCUUGAGCGCAUUAGACCUCCCAAUGCUUGUGCUGCAAGAGGCAAUCCUCCACACUUCUUUACUAUCGCCUUACCUAUUGCUACAAGCUCUUCCCGUUCUUCUCCAGCACAUCCAAAUGCAUAUUGUCUAAACAACAACCAACAUUCGUUUUCAGAGAGACCAGAUAAAUGAUGAGCUAAACAUGUUCCCAUGAUUUCUGCAACAUCCUUAUCACGAGUGGAAACUAAAAUGGAAGAUCCUUUGGAUCCACAUGACAACGCAGAUUUCAACUUGUUCCAUUUGUCUUGGCUUAAUCCUAGUUCCAAUCCUUGAUUUCUGCUCCAUACAUCAUCCAAAACCAGCAAAAAUCUUUUACCUUGCAAUAGUUCUCGUGCUUUUCUUUGUAUUACAUCUAAAUCCAAGGCAUCAAACUUGUCUUUUGUGAUAGAUUCUAUAAUGGAACACAAAAUCCUUUUGACAGAGAAAGUCUCCGAAACACAAAUCCAAACUUUUGUAUUAAAAUUGCUACUUACCCUAUGAUCAUUGUAGACCAUUUGAGCAAGUGUUGUUUUACCAACACCACCUAGGCCAACAAUAGGAUAGAUGGAUAGGAAGUCAGAUACUUGCGCUUGGGUGAGAAGAAACUCGACAAUCCUCUCUCUAUCAUCUACUCGUCCAAACACUUUGGGUUCAGCAAUAAUGGAGCUUGUUUGGCGCCAUUCAGCAACUUCAUUUGGCCUUUCCCUAACAACGACACCCUCUCGUAAAAGAAACUUGUCUUUACUUUCAGCAAUUUGAUCGAAUCUCCUUGUAAUUUCUUUCAACCUUUUGCCGAUGUCACGGCGAAACACAAUGUUCUUUAGGUUGAAACAGGACGAGGCUUUAAGUCUACUAGAUUCAAUGGAACAUUCAUCAAGAAUAUCAUCAAGCACAUAUACAGCAUCUUUGAGUUGUUGGAGCCAUACCUUAAUAGAGCGGUCUGUGACCUGUUUCUGCUCAGCAUCUUCAAGAACAGCCUUGAUCAGAUCCAAGGUGGUUGACAACUUUUCAGCCUUUGAUGUGAUUCCAGAAAUGGUUGCAAAUUCAUUUUGAACAAGAGAUAACAAAUUCUCAAAUACAACUCCUAGCAAGGCCUCUGCCAUUUUUAGUUAGUACUAGGAAUAUCGGCUGUUAGGUGAUCAGUUGGAAAUUAUGAAGGAAAAUAAAACAAAAUGCAGAUUUGAUUCAAUUUAGAGCAACAUCCACUAAGCACUGGGGUGAUAGUGCUAGGACCCACACUUUAAAUUUAAUGUCAUUAUUAUGGAUCCAUUGUUGACUUUUGUUUCUUUUUUUUUUUCCUACCAUUUCAUACAGAAAUAAAAAACAGUCAUAUAAUCUAUCUUGGCUAUUUCUCAAAACGUAAAGUUCUUACUUGCCCUUUGAAAGAACAAGCAAGCCAAAUCUCCAUAUAAAAGUCUAUAAAUAAAUUUGAUUCCAAUGAAGAAAAGUUCUGAAGGGUUAAAAAAGAAAAAUAUAAAAUUAUCUACAAAAACAGAUACACUAUUUGAAGGAAAUUUUCAUAUUUUUAGUCAAUAGGAAUCGAACUCGGUACCAAGUGGUUUAUAACAGUCAAUAGCGUGCAUGACAUAUCAAUGAGUUUUUCAUCAGAGCAUAAUUUUUAGCUAUGAAGAAUAUUACAAUAACAUGAAAACAUUUUGACUGCAACGAUACCUUGCUUAUGUGAUACUCUAUUAUCAUAGGCAUAAAAGAAUUAACUUCGAAAAAUUUUCUUAAAUUUCAUUAAACUGGCUUUCAUGUAUUUGGCCUUUAGGAAACAUAAUUAAAUUUGGUAUUAACCCUACACAAGAGAAGUGUAACCAUAUAUAUUUGUUGAGUUUUACAAGUUAAUGUAUGUGUUUAAAUGAAUGUUAAUUGGACGGAAAUACAGCGCACGAGUAUCAUGUAUAAUUAAGUACAACAUUGGUUCUCAAAUUUUGCUUGCAAUCUGGAAUUUUUACCAGAUAAUUGAAGCGAAAAAUAAAGUAAAAGAACAGAAUAAUAUGCACAAAAAAGUACUGUUUUUUUUACUUCAAUUAAAAAUUAAUUAUAAUGUGCAAAAAACUUAAAUCAGUUUAGAGAGGGGAAAUUAGAGAGGUUGGUAUGGUAACAUAGAAAGCGUAAAACUAGACCUAAUCAUGUUAAUUAAAUAAAAAAUUAAAUAAAAAAUCUUCUGCUGCUUAAGUAAAAAAUUAAGCAAGACUGGAGUAUCAUAUAAAACCCAAAACAAGAACAUUGUAUGACCAAUGUUUCUACUUUCCUUGUACUAGACAAGUCCAAUGAACUUUGUUUAUUGUUUUUGGUAAGACUUGCUGAACUUUGUUGAUUUCAUGAUGAUUAUGAUUGGCAUCUGGCAAAUAAGACUUCUGAUUUUAACUAGUUGCAAAGCUUCAUACUCAUUCUGAUAGAUUGUUUCCUGAAAUUUGUUUCUGGUCUGAUAGCUAUCCGUCAAUAUUUACCUCCAACCUGGGAACGAAUCUACCACAUUGUCUUUAAUUUGAAAGAGCUAUGCUAAUUGAACUAUUGUGAAGAAUAAAUAUAUAAAGGCAUAAUAAGGCUCUAAGAAAGAUUCUGAAGUCUGCCUCCUAUCCACAAGCUACUACAACUCACAGCAGAAGUGUCACUAUUUACAUCACUGCAUUACCUUUUUGAUUGAUUUUAAUAUUACAACAGACGACUGAGAUGAUUUAAGUUAGCAUAGCUCUCAAGAUGAGAAAAACCACAAAAAUUGUGCAUAACCAUGUAUUCUUUGGUACAAUCGUUCAAUUAAUAAGUAUUUCAGAGAUUUGAGAGAUUGAGAAUUCUAUUAACUUUGUUUUAUGUCAGAUCCUAAUUAUUGUCAUGAAUUAUUCAUAGCAAGUUCAUUUACUGAACAGAUAAGAAACAAGAAUUUGAAAUAAAAUAAGGAUGAGUUCUUAAAUAUAUUUGGUAAAAACUAAAUUGUGAAGGUAAUCAAUAUUAUAAAUCCUUAAGAUGAAGUCCUUUCUUAAGGAUCAUUCAUGUGUGCUGAUGAUAAUGAACUCAAGUUGGCUGAGACUUCAUCUGUUGCUUUUUUUUUCGGACAACUGUUGCACCGGACUAUUCAUUACUCCUCAAGUCCUCUGUGGUGUGUUUGUGUUGCUUAGUGGGUGGUUACAUAUAUGGUAUAUAUUUCUCUACCCCCUUCCAUUUACUAUAUUUUGCUACCCCAAGUUAUUCACAUCAUUGAUAAUUUGUGCCUUGUUUAUUGAAUUCUUUGUGUGGUUACAUUUCUGUUGACAAGUGAAUUUUAUAAAUGACAAAAAUCACGUAGUCACUGAUUUUAGCUUCCAUAAGGCAAUAAUUUGAUCAAGUAUGAAUUCAAAAAAGCAUUUAUCCCUUUUAAAUAAAUAAUGUAUGUACACUGUUUGGAAUAACCAAGACACAAAAUGUCUGAUUAUAAGCUCACUAACAAAAAACUACACUAGAGAAAUGGGAAAGAGAUUAAUAUAAAGAAUCACUUAUGUUAGCAACAUUAGUACUAGUAGAUAUUGUAAAAUCAAGGACAACCUCCUAAGGCUUAGGAGAAGCUAUAUAUAACUCUUUCAACAUCUGUUAUUAGUUGGAAUUAAGUUCGGCUCAUGUGUUGGAUCACCGCUGUCAACAUCCUCUCGUUUCAUGCCAACCAUAUCAAUUUUUCUCAUUAUUUGUGAUUUCCAUUGCUUCAUUUGAUGGACUAAUAGAUUUUUCACUGCUUUCUUUGGAGAUUGAUUUUUCAGGCCAAAAUACAUUCAAUCCAUUACCUGUAUGUAUGACCAAAAUACAUUCAAUUCCUUUAUCAAAUCUUACCAUACAUCUAAAUAUGUUUGGUGAAAAAAAUGAUGUGUGAAGGUAAUUAGUAUUAUAAAGUCCUGAAGCAUGCAAUAAAAAGAAAGCCGACUGAAGUUUCUAUAUGUUAAAAUCAAACUGAAAGUUUCUAUAUGUGUGUUAAAAUCAAUCAAUUUGAUAAGGCAGAAAAUGCAUAUUAAAGUAUUCGCUAAGAUAUGAACUAUGUUUACCUGGAAACCAACGAUAACCAGUAAAGAGAUAUCAGUUAAAGGAAAUUGAAAUCUUCAGCAGCAAACAUCACUCCUAAAAUAUGCUCAACAACGUCGCCAAUUCUGGCUAUUGGUGUUUCCCCUGAUCGAACUUGAAACUCCAACUUUCCAUAAAUAUUUCAUACAUGAAGGGACUAUUUCAUAAAUGAAGGAUCAUAACCUGCAUAUUUUCAUGAACACGUGAAAUUAAAUUGAAAUCUAGUAGUAUAUGGAGUUGAACAUCUUAAUACUAUAGGAAUUGAAGAUCUAUACCAUAUCAAUACUAUGAAGGAUCAUAAGGAAGUGGAGACGCCAUAACGAUAAUCUGACCCAUUAGGUUGACAUCUUUAAUUGAUUUCGUCUCAGACAAAAAUCACAAGUUUCACAUAAAUGAAUUCAAAGAUGUCUUCUUCAUUCCAAUAAACAAUUUUUGGAAUAUGUGGUAUCCUGUCACAUUCCUCUCCUGCUCUCUCCUUACACUCCUUUAAUUUUAGGCAACCACGGAUACUCAUAAACUCAAGUGAAGUGAGGUGUCAAAUACCUUCUGGAAAGGAUCUCAAUCCUCGCAUUCAACAAUAUCCAUAGUUCAAAGAGAAAUAAAUGGCUCCUGUUCAGUUUCACAGGAGAUGCUCUCUGUAAGUGAUAUGACUAAUGCUAAUCUACUAAAAUAUAUGGAGUUAAAAGAUGCAAAAUUCACUUUGUUAUCAAAUAAAACAUUUGAUUUCUCAUUCAUAUCAUCCGAAAUUAUCACCUCUUAUAGUUUCUGUGGUUCAGCUGAAGCAUCCUCUUGCUUUCAGGAAAAGCAGUGGUCCGACACAAAUAUGGUUGGGAUUCAGCAGCAUUCCACAACAUAUCUGACACAAACAUAAUGAAAUAACAUGAGUGACUCGACUAGAAUCAUGAAUUACAAUGUCACCUUCCUAAUAAAGAGCUGUAUACACACCUGCAGAUUUUCUGUCUUUGGUUGGUAACAAUGACAGACACAUGGCAUCAUUUCUCACAAUAUUUACCAACACACGAGAAUUAUAAUAUGCAUUGGUUGUGACAAAAUGCUCUAGAUUGUUAUUGAUGUCGAUGAUAGUUUUACCCGGAGUAUUAUACACAUGUUGAUCUUGGCUUCCCUCACUCAAAAGAUGUUUUAACAACUAUGUAACAAGUGGUUCCUGCACAUAGAAAUUAAACUAAGACAAUAAUAUUGUUAUAAUGAUGUAAAAGAGACAAAGAAGCUUUAAAAAAUUGUUCCGACUAGAAAUUACACUCAGCCAUCAAAUUGAAACAUGCAAUUAUAGAUUUCAAUACCACAAAUAAAAAAAGGGAUAUUCAGAAACGUCAAAUAAGGAAACCAUAGUCAAGAGACAUGAGAGGCAUAUCCUGCAAAUAGAGUACCAAGAGAUUGUUAUGAAACACAGUCAAAAGAAAUAAAGAUGGAGGCAGAAACACCAACAUCUCUGUUUUUUGAUUCCUGUUGAAAUCAGUAGCAGAAACAUCACCUGCCAAAGAGUGAGCCAAACAAUAUAUAUUAUUCAAAUAAACAAUCUAAAACAAAUAAAUAAGAAUGACCAAUAAAAACUUAAGAAUAAAAAUCGAGAAAACCUUGACACCGAUCAGACUUUGCUAAUGGGUACGGAGCUCUGACCCAUUGUCACUUCCUCCACUCCAAAAGACUGCGUCUUCGUCAUUGGGUAUGUUUGUUCCAUUAAUCCCGUUAUUUGUCUUGUGUGUCGACGCCAAUCCUAACCAUUCAAUUAAAUCCCCACAAAAUCAGUAAAAUUAAAAAAAAAAAUCCAAAAUUCAAAUUAAAAAAAAUUAAACUAUGAUGAAGAAAAUGACCUGAAUUAGAACAUUUGUAACUUUAGUUGAGCAGUGAAAUAUCUUUCAUGUAGUCUGGAUCUCUUCCUGCGGAAUGGGUUCCAAAUAAGUCAACAACGAGAAUAAAAAUAAAGAUUUUUGAGCAGUUGAAAUCCAAACAUAAGAAGGGGAAAUUGAGAUCUUACCAGUAAAAUUGAUUUUUGCGAUGUUGAUUGUGGCAGAUAAGGGUAAACGUCUCUGCUUCUUAAUCCUCGGUAAACUGUAUUUUUGGAAUAUGAGCUAUCUUGUCCCAAUCCUCCCAUGUUCCCUCUUUGCAUCGUUCCUCUAAUGUUGGGCAUUCCCAAAUUGUCAGAACCUCAAGAGAAGUGAGGUGUCGAAUACCCUCCGGCAAGCAUCGCAAUCCUUUACAGCUAUAAAUCUGUAGAUUUCGAAGGGAAGUGAGGUGUCGAAUACCCUCCGGCAAGCAUCUCAAUCCUCUACAACUCGAAAUGUGUAGAGCUCGAAGGGAUUGAAGACCUUCCCAAUUUUGCUCUGGUAAGGACUCCAAUUGUGGGAACCAAUCUACUUCCAGAUAUUGAAGACAAGUAAGGUUUUUGAACAUCCCCUCUGGGAAGGAUGUUAUUCCUUCACCCUCCAUUAGGGUAAGCUGAGUAAGACCACGGAAGGUAGAGAUUGACCUCAGUAACUCAUUGUUACAUCCAUCCACAUAGAGGCCUUCAAGAGAUGGAAGAGAUGGCAGUCCAAGUUUAUGGCAAUAUGAGAUUUCCAAGUAAGAAAGACAAGGAAACAUCUCCCCUCUUUCCACUUUCAAUAACCCCUCUAUGUUUCGUAGGUAUCGUAAAUGGAGAUCCAUCAGAGAUCGGAAAACCAUCACCUCCACACCAUCCUGAGAUUCAUCAUCAUCCAAGUAUUUCAGAUUAUCCAUAUAAGAUAAUUCCAGUUUUUUUAGAGAUGGUAGUUUACCAAGUAACGGAAGCCGCACAAUUUUGUUGCAAUUCCGAAGUUCAAGAGAAAUUAAAUUACUAAGAAGGCUUAUCCAACUUGGUAACGAUAACCCUUCAUUGUAAUUUAUUGUCAAGCAUUUGAGAUUUGAGUGAGGUUGAAGCUCUUCAAGUACUUGCUCAGCACUAAUUAUAGAUUCCUGUUGGGAUAUCCAUGACAAGCAUAAUUCAUGAAGGUCUUUUUUACCCAUCAAAUUAGCCGCUUCAGCUUCAGAUAACCUGCCAACAUUGUUUAAUCCUUGGAUAUGCAGUUUUCCACCGAGGUUUAGAUCACGUAACUCUGUCAAGCUAUUCCCUUUCUCUACACUAACAAUGUACACACUUAAUGUUCUUAGACAAGUUAAUUUUCCAAUGUUAGGAAACAUUUGAGACAAAGACCGACAUUCUUCAAUGACUAUAUGCCUAAGAUUUUGUAAGCAAGCCAAGCGUUUUGGGAGACAACUCAGAUUACGACAGUCUUUUAUUUUCAAGAUUUCCAGUUUUUGUAAGUUGUAAAUUGAGUUAGGCAACUUUUCUAUGUCAAGAUAAAUAAGUUCCAAAUACCUUAAAUGAAUUAAACUCCAUAUUGGGAUCUGCAGAGAAAAUGUUCUUAAAACACGGAGAGAACUGCUUAAUGGGAAGUGAUCAUAUUUUGUUGUAAUAAAAUAAUAUUUCUUCAAGUCAAACAAUGUUCGCAAGGAUUCAACUUUUUUGAAAGCAUUUUCAUCGAAGGAUAAAAAUUUCUUGCUGUUAAAACCAAUGUGGUGUGUGCUUUUUGACAAAUUAGUCGUGUUUUUAUUCUCCAAACACGUACAUUCUUGCCCCAUUACUGAUUGAGCGAGAUCAUGGACAAGAUCAUGCAUCUUGAAAGAAAUGUCUCCAGAAUAUUCAUCCAUCUUGCUAUCUUGAAAGAACGAUUUUCUGUACAAUUCCUUCCAAACCAUGUUUCCAACAUCUUCAACCUCUAAAUUCCUCUUUGCAAUAAAUCCAUUAGCCAUCCAAAGCUGAAUCAAUUCUUCCUUCAGGAUUUCUCUAUCUUUGGGAAAUAUAGCACAAAAGGAGAAACAUUGCUUUAGGGUUGGUGUUAAAUAAAAGUAACUCAACCUCAAAGCAGGUAAAAUAGAUUUUUCAUGUGGUAAAUCCCAAAGCUCACUGUCUUUAAUAUCAAGCCAUUCCUUUUCUUCAUUCAUUGAGACCAUUAAACCCCCCAAUGCUUUUGCUGCAAGAGGCAAUCCAUUACAUUUCUUUACUAUCUCCUUUCCAAUCUCCACAAGCUUUGUAUGCUCUUCUUUGUUACGUCUAAAUGCAUGUUGUUUGAACAACAACCAACAAUCACUAUCUGAGAGACCAGAUAAACGGUGACUUUCCCAUGUCCCCAUGAUUGUUGCAACAUCCUCAUCACGAGUGGACACUAAAAUGGAACUACCUUUUGAUCCACACGACAAAACAGAUUUCAAACGAUUCCAUCUAUCUUGUGUUAACCCAGAUUCCAAUUGUUCAUUUUGAUUCCACACAUCAUCCAAAAUCAGCAAAUAUAUUUUCCGUUGCAACAAUCCUUGCACCUUUCUUUCCAAGACAUCUAACUCAAAGUCAUGACACUUCUCUAAUGUAAUAGAUUCUAUAAUACAACACAAAAUCCUCUUGACCGAGAAAGUCUCAGAAACACAAACCCAAAUUUUUUUAUCAAAAUUGCGACUCACCCUAACAUCAUUGUAGAUCAAUUGAACAAGAGUUGUUUUUCCAAUACCACCUAAACCAACAAUGGGAUAGACAGAAAUGAAGUUAGAGUCCUUCGCAUAGGUGAGAAGAAACUCGACAAUCUUUUCUUUAUCAUCGUCUCUUCCUAAUGCUUUUGAUUCAAGAGGGGUGGAGCUGGUUUGGCGCCCUUCAGCUACUUGAUCUGGGAUUACCCUAAGAGUUUCACCCGUCUGUAGAGAAAACUUGUUCUUUCUUUCAGCAAUAUCAUCUAACCUCCUUGUAAUCUCUUUCAACCUGUUACCAAUCUCAUGGCGAAACAUGAUGUUCUUUGGUUUGAAAGAGGUAAAUCCUCUGAGUCGACAAGACUCGAUCGAGUACUCAUCAAGGAUAUCAUCGAGCACAUAAACAGCAUCUUUGAGGUCUUGUAACCAUAGCUUAAUAGAGAGUUCUUUGAAUUGUUUCUUCUCAGCAUCUUCAAGAACAGCUUUGAUGUGAACUAAGUUGUCUGAUAGCUUUUGAGCCUUUGACUUGAUUCCAGAAAUGGUUGAAAAUUCAUUUUGAAGGAGAGAUGUCAAAUUUUCGAACACAACUCCAAGCAAAGCGCAAGCCAUUUUUUUGUGAAAACAAAUUAAAGAGUUGAAAAGAUAAGAAGACGAGAAAUUUGUUUAGAUAGAAUGAGUGUUGAACCAAGCUGGAGGACCUUUGAAAAUAAAUGCAAUGAAAGUAGAAAGUCAGCAUGUAGGUGCUCACAAACAGAAUAACGAUCUUCAGAAAAUGUUUAUGAAUCUAGUGCCUGCAUUUUUUUAUUUACGUUCCAUAUAAAAUUUCAUUCAAGUUGGUGUAACGUCAUUCACUUAUAUUUAAUCUUUAAAAUUUCAUGCCACUAGUGUUUAAAUUUAGUACUCUGGGUCAGGGGUGGAUCUGGUUUCACAAUAUUAAUGGGGCAAUUUUUUUUUUUGUCAAACAAUUAAAUAAUAUUAAAUUUGAUAAGAAGAUAUAUUAAAAAUAGUUGUUGCAACCAAAAUUACAAAGAAAAGUAUCUAUUUUUCAUUUGUUGAAUAUAAACUAAAAUUAUAUAAUUACUAAUUGUUCUAAGAACAUCCCUUUCUAUAUAGAUUACAAGAGAUGAAUCAAAUGCUCUAAGAGGAUACCCAUGCAUAUGGAUGGGUGAGCGUGUUGCGCUUUUUUUGAAAGUAAUUCACAAUUGUGUAGAAAUUAUAUAUAUAUAUAUAUAUAUAUAUAUAUAUAUAUAUAUAUAUCAUUGUAUUGAUUUUUUUGAGAGCAUAUUGAUAUAUGAAUAAAAAUAUAGAUAUAUGUAUAAACUGUACAAAAAAAUUAUUUAUUUAUAAAAUAUGAGUACAAAUACAGACACAUUUAUAAAUAAAUAAAUAGGUUCUCUAAUUAAUAUAUGAAUAACAAAAACCCAUUUGGGGUUGGCCCAGCGGUUGGCUUGGGAUCUUGGAGUUUGCUCCUUCAGAGGUCUCAGGUUCGAUUCACUCUGGUGUCAAUUUCGGUGGGCUAAGUCCAUACAGAGCUUGCUCUGGCUUUAAACGAUGCCCCCGCAAGUGGGCGGUGGGAUUGGUCCCCUCGGAUUAGUCAAUUCUUGGAUCGGAUACCGAGUUUUCAAAAUAUAUAUAUAUAUAUAUAUAUAUAUAGGGGUUUGCUAGAACACACCCACUAGUUUUUAUGUGGGAGUGUUUUAGCAAAGCUACACCUUAAGGUGUAUUUAACCACUUUUUAGUUAUUCAAUUGCUAAAAUACUCAUUCUAAAAACUAAGUGGAUGUAUCCUAGCAAAUGCCUAAAUAAAAAUAUAGACAUCUGUAUAAAUUAAAAAAUAACAUAUAACACCAUCUUAAUAUAUGAAUGAAUAUAUAGAUACAUGUAUAACAUAAAAAAAAAAAAAAAAUAGUUGUUUAUAUUAAUAUAUCUUGGAGUUUGCUUCUCCAGAGAUUUUAAGUUCGAUUCUUGGAUCGGAUACCGAGUUUUAAAAAUAUAAAAAAAAAAAAAAAAAACACCUUGUCAAGAAAAAAAAAGAACACCCUUUUUUUUUUGGUACAAAAAGAACACCUUUUUAUUUAUUUAAUUAAAUAUAAGUUUCAAUACGAUUAUGGUUAAGGAGGUCAUUCAGUGAUACCUCUAUCUACUAUAAAUAAAUAAAUUUAGGAAAACAAGUUGACCAACAAAUUUAUUAUUCGAAAAAUAGUUGACCCACAAAUUCAUAAUAGUAACCGUAUGCUUGUGUUUUUUGACAACUGUUUUUUUUGCAAACAAAAAUCUUUUAUUUUUUUAAAAAAAGAAAAACUUUUACACAUUUUCAUUCAUUAUAAAAAGUGAUAUAUUGUUAUUUGUCAACUUUAUCUUAUUUCUAUAUGCCACUUUAUUGUUAUGAGAUUAUUUUGUGGAAUUUUUUUUUUCUGACCCUAUUGGCCAAAAAUAUAUAUAUACAUUUGAACUAGGCGCAUAUGGGUCAUUGUCAUUCAGUGUUAUCACUAAACCAAUGUAUAUUUGAUGUUAAUUUUGCGCAUCCAAUAAUAUAUAUACCAUUUUUUAAAUCAGUUUCACACACCAUGAGGCAUGAACCAUCCAAUUUUUCAUUUUUGUUCCCUCAAAAAAAAAAAUCAUUUUUGUUUUUUUAAUAUAAGUCUUAUAAAAAAAAUAAAUAUAGGGUCCCCAUGAGCUUAGAUUUUAAGGUAAAUUUCUCUAGCUACUAGGCUAUUUGACAAAAAAAAAAUAAAUAGGAGAUUUUAUAAUUUUAAUUGGAUUCUAUAUUUUAUUUUGAAAAAUUACUUGAAUAUGAACAAAAUCUAGAUUUUAUUUUGAAUAUAUAUAUAUCUUGAAAUAAUAUAUAUGUCAUUUCGUCGGAUAAUUAUCGGUGAAAAAUAUAUAUUUCGUCGGAUAAUAAUAAUAUAUAUAUAUAUAUAAUUUAUCGGUGAAAAAAAUUAUUUCGUCGGAUAAUUUUUCACAGAUAAAUUAUAUAUAUAUUCGUCGGAGAUCCUAAAUUAUCCAAUUAAAAAAACAAAAAUGAAAAACUGGAUGGUUUGUGGUGUGUGAAACUGAUUUAAAAAAUGGUAUAUAUAUUAUUGGAUGCGAAAAAUUAACAUCAAAUGUACAUUGGCUUAGUGGUAACACUGAAUGGCAAUGACCUAUAUGCGCCUGAUUCAAUUCCUCCUGAGUGAAAAAUUUUAAUUUUUUCUCAAAUAAAUAAAAAAAAGCAAAAAACGAAAAAAAAAUAAAAAAAAUUGAUUUUUUUUAAAGGGGGUCAGAGCUGAAAUUUUUUUGGCCAAUAGGGUCAGAAAAAAAAAAAUUCCUAUUUUGUGCUGAUGAGUCACUACAUAGUAGAGUCGACGGUUGUUGUCAAUUAUUUGAAUAUAAUUUUUGCAUCUUCUAAUAAAAAUGAGAAUAACUAUAAUAUUCUAAUUAUAUAAAUGUGAAUAACUAUAAUAUUCAGGAUUUAUACGGGGACAAACAUGAUUUUCCAAAUUUUAGAUUCACUUAAUUUCUUUUUUUGAUGUUAUUUAUUAGGGUUUUGGCUUAAUCCCUCUUUUACAUAAUUUUUCCUUUUUUAAUAAAAUUUCAGAGUAAAUGAUAGAAAAUAGGAGCAGCUUACCAACCUAGUUGAGAUGUCUAUAAUUUCUUCUUUAGUUUACCUUUCUUGCUCUCUUGAUUAAAAAAUAAAUAAAGAAUCUACUUUUACAUCAAAGUUCAUGAAUCUAGUCCUAGUGGCCUGUAUAAUUGCUAGGAAGAGUUUGAUUGAUCCACUUUAACCAUUAAUACGUGGCCGACAAAAUAAUGAAAUAACUUUGCUUUAUGAAAACUUUGAUUUGGCAUUUUAAUUUCGUACCCUAGCUAAGGAGUAAGGACGAUAACCGGUUGUUGAUGGGUCCAACUCUCUAAUAUCAUUCUUGUAUUGCAUUUACAAUGUUUGUUCAUACACAUAAUUAGGACAUGAAACUCUCAAGUCUCAAAUGAAAGAAAAAUCAAUUUUACAGUUAUUUCAUUAGUUUUUUUUUUUUUUUUUUCUACCAAUCAUUUUUAAAUGCCCAAGCAAUUCAUCUUGCACAAAAUAUUGAAAACCAUCUAACCGUCAAAACUCAAGUUUCAAUUUCAUCUUGGGAUGACAAUGGGUAUCCAAUGGAUAGAAUACUAUAGUAUCCAUCCUCAUACCAUUAUUUAUAAAAAAUAUCCGUACCCGAAUCCGUAUCCUCAAUGGGAAAAGGGUGUAUUUAUAGUAUUAGAUAAAACAAAACAAAAAAAAGAAAGAAAAAAAAAACAGAGAAGUGCUAUUUUCCACAAAGAUUUUUCCAACAAAUACCAAGAAUGUAUUGCUUUUCUGUUUUAUAGAGAUGGAGGAAAACUAUUAAUUCCGGAUUUAAUGGAAAUCAUGGCCAUGUGUUUAUGAAAAUGGAUGGCGGAUAUCAAGUCGUGGUUUUCGUGGAUAACAGAUUCGUAGGAACAAGCAUUUUCCAAAAAAAAACUCAAUGGCAUGCUCGCCAUUUUAAACAUAGAGCACAAAAAUGUCAUCGUGAGCUUAGUUCAGUUGAUAUGAACAAUGCAUAAUAUAUACAAGGUUUGGGGUUCAAACUCCGACCAACAAACAAAACAUAGAGCAUAAAAAUAAAAAUAAAAAACCUAAAGAAAAUGGCUAGUUCGCCAUUUCAUAUCAAGAACAGGAAAUUAAAUACUAAAAAAAUAUUAUUCCGUUUCAAAAUAUAAGCAAAUUUUAUUUUUUAGGUUCAUUUAAUUAAUUAUGUAUAUAGUUCAUAAUAUAGACCACAUAUAUCAUUAAUUGAAUGAAUUUAAAAAAUAAAAUUUGCUUAUAUUUUGGAACUGAUGGAGUAUAAUGCUCGGCAACUGAAAUGUAGAGUGCUGAGAAGUUCAGGAAAAAACCUGCGGUUUCACAGAAAAUGUUGAAAAAACUGGCAUGGUCGCCAACAUAUCAAUUUUUUUCUUUACAGGGACAGAAGAAAAAAAAAAUCAGAUUAUUUUGUGCUGAUGAGUCACUACAAAGUAGAGUCGACGGUUGUUGUGAUUAGUCAAUUAUAUUUAUAAUUUUUGUAUCUUCUAGAAAAAAUGAGAAUAACUUUAAUAUUCUAAUCAUAUGAAUGUGAAUAACUAUAAUAUUCAGGAUUUAUACAAGGACAAGCAUGGUUUUCCAAAUUUUAGAUUCACUUAAUUUCUUUUUUGUUUUUGUUAUUUAUUAGGGUUUUGGUUUAGUCCCCCUCUUAUAUAGUUUUUCCUUUUUUAAUAAAAUUUCAGAGUAGACGAUAGAAGAUGGGAGCAGCUUACCAACUUAGUUGAGAUGUCUAGUUUAUUCUUUAAUUUACCUUUUUCUCUCUUAAUUCAGUAUCGUUCAUUCCCAAAGUAAAAGUCGAAAAUGCCCCUACGCAUGUUAACAUGCUCUAGUGCAGAUUAUAACGUAACUUAAAAUAAGUAGCGUGACUUAACAUGCGCUAGUGUUAUUUGUGAGUUAUUUGUUGAAUGCUUAGCGCAAGUUAACAUGCGCUAGUGUAUUGUGAAACGUGAGUUAACUCACGUUGCCAUUUGCACUAGCGUGAGUUAACUCACGUUCAUAGCAGACAACAGAAACUGCAAUAAAUGCAGUGCAGUAACAGAACUGGAACUUGAAAAGUGUAAAAUGACCCGUAAUCACGCCACAUUCAUAACUUAACCGAAUUACGCCAGUUUAACAAGAGUAUCGGAUAAUACGACAUAAUCAAUCCAAAUUACUCAAAAACAUCGUUUUUCUCACAAUCACGUAAUCACACAUAAACGAUCCAAACGGUCCAAAUUUCCCGAAAAUACACAAGAUAUAAGCAGACUUAAUGACACGUAAACAAUCCAAAACAAUUCAUUUCAUAUAUUUAUAUAAUAUUAGUUACAUAUUGGCCAUAAAUAUCAAAAUUACACAACCGGCCACCAAAAAAAUAUUUCGGGGUGUAAUACCAACAAAAAAAAUGACGAACACCGACCGACCCAGAAGUGUCAUAACAUAUCUAACUAGACUAGUGAUAGUGCAUAUUCUUCGUAUUCAUCCAUGACUUCGAUCUCUUGCUUUGGCUUUUCCGGAGUGUCCAAAUUAAUAGGAUUGUGCUCAUUUGUUGGUUUCUUUGGCGGCAUCGGAUCCUUAGACAUGAGCUCAUCGAAGGCGGCUUGUCUAUCCAAAAACUGAAAAAGCCAUUGCUUCGCCACACUUUCUUUGUUUUUUUCCUUCAAAUCCGUGAGAAUAUUCCUAGGCUUUGCCAAGCUCUUUGUCAUGUCGAUAACUCUUUGCUUAUCCUUCCCUCUUAGUCGACCCGCAAGAAGGUGGCCGAAUAAAUUUGGCGCCAAGUCAUGGUUGUGAACUCCACAAAGCAUUGUAAUCCACCAUUCUUAUUUUUUUUUUCAAAGAAACAUUUCAACCUAAACGGACAGUUACACUUCCUUGAGCCCGUGCCUUCAAGCUUCGGUUUCUUCCUCGUCUUAUGUGGCUUGUAUUCACCACUCCUCUCACAUUGCGUCGUCACGUAUGGCACUAUAGUACUAGAUUUAUCUAUAGAAAUAGUAAAUCCCUCCCUACCCACUUGUCGAUAAACCCAACCAAGUAAUUCUUCUCGAUCUUUCCAUCUUUCAUUUGUUGUAAAAAUGACCCGGUGUUUACUUGAAUAACACGAACACCGGUAGGUACCAGUUUAGGCUUCUCUUCAAAGUUACCAGUAGGUACCGGUUUUGUUUGGCUGUGAACUAUGUGAGCUUCAACUUGAAAAGGAAUUUUCACUUUAAACUUCACAUCAUUGGUUGGUUUGCGUACGCCGGAAGCUUUGUUUAUGCCCGUUUCGGCUCAACGCCAUCCUCCGCCACAUUUUCAACCAUGCCACUCAAUGUCUACUCAAUAAAAAAAAAUAAAGAAAAAAUAAAUAAGUGACUUGUGCGGCAAGCAAAGGAAAUAAAAAAGUGGCGCAAAAUUUCAAAUUCUGGGCUACUGUUAGUAGCGUGAGUUAACUCACGCAAGUGCUAUCUACCUACGCAACUUAAGUCACGUUGCCCUUACAACUAGCGUGAGUUAACUCACGUUGAGCCCAACGCUUACUGCAAUGAAAAACGAAACUACCAGCAAACCCAGCAAAAAGGAAAAAGUUUUGAUUGUACAUUACCUGUUCUUUGAUGCUUGAUGAGCGUAGAAACUUGUCUCCUGACGAUUUGCAAUGAUUUGGAAUGAAGAUUUUGACUCAAAAUUUCGCACUUUUGGGGGUUUUUGGAGGUGGAGGGAAAGAAAAAAUGGAGCUUUGUGGUUGCCUGCUGGGUUUUGAACGAAAAUAGUACUUGACGCAAGUUAACAUGCGCUACGUGACUUAACUCACUCUGCGUGACUUAAGUUAAGUUCUCCUUAUAACUAGCGCAUGUUAACUCACACUACGCAAGUUAACAUGCGUAGGGACAUUUUCGACUUUUACUUUGGGAAUGAGCGAAUUCAUUUGGGUAAUGAGCAGAGAUCCAUAAAAAAAAAAAAAAAAGGUUUAAAUAUGUCUUUAGUCCUUGCACUUUUAUCAGAUUUUUGCAUUGGUCCCUACACUUUUUUUUUUUUGUUUAGAAUUGAUCUCUGCACUUUGUAAAAAUAUUGGUAUUGGUUCCUCUAUUAACUUUCUGUUAAAAAAAACACAAAACUAUUGAUAUUGGUCCCUGCACUUUGUAAAAAUAUUGAUAUUGGUGCCACGUGGCGUGAAAUGAUUGAGCCACGUGGCACUCCGUUGGUUUUGUUUUUUUUUUUUUUUAACAUAAAGUUAACAGAGGGACCAAUACCAAUAUUUUUACAAAGUGUAGGGACCAAUGCCAAAAUCUGAUAAAAGUGUAUGGCUCAAUGACACAUUUAAACCAAAUAAAGAAUAUAUAUGAAUCUAGUCCUAGGGGCCUGUAUAAAUCUAGUCCUAGUGGCCUGUAUAAUUGCUAGGAAGAGUUUGAUUGAUCCACUUUAACCAUUAAUACGUGGCCGACAAAAUAAUGAAAUAACUUUUCUUUAUGAAAACUUUGAUUUGGCUUUUGUGACAGGUUAUAAUGCUAUGUUAUAACUUUACACUUUACUUAUUUAAUUUCAUAUAAAAUUUCAUUCAAGUUCUGGUGUAACAUCCAUCAUUCAAUGAUAUUUAGUCUUUGAAAUUUCAUGCCACACUGGCAUUUUAAUAUCGUACCCUAGCUAAGGAGUAAGGACGAUAACAUUAACCGGUUGUUGAUGGGUCCAACUCUCUAAUAUCAUUCUUGUAUUGCAUUCAAUGAUAUUAAUGUUUGUACGUACCCAUAAUUAGGACAUUCUCUAGUCUCAAAUGAAUAAUCAAUUAAACAGUUAUUUCAUUAGCUUUUUUUUUUCUACCAAUCAUUUUUAAAUGCCCAAACAAUUCACCUUGCACAACAUAUUGAAAACCAUCUAACCGUCAAAACUCAAGUUUCAAUUUAAUCAUUUAACUCAUUACAUAUCAACAUGUACAAAACUUUGUUUCCCAUAUCACAUGCUCUACCUCAUUAAUUUGUCCAAUUUUGGAAGCUUCUUCAACGUACUUGAAGUGACUAUUAAGUCCUCUCAACAAUGCAAAAUCGAAAGUUACUAAAACGAACUAGAAAUACUAUAGCUAAAAUAUGCACUUAAGAAAAAGUUUAAUUCUUCAUAUCCUUCCAGUUGUGGUUAAAGAGUUCAAUGGAUGCAUCAACAACUUGCUACUCAGAAUAUUCCUUAGUAGUCAGCAGAUUUUGUAGCAGUAAAAUUCUUUAGUAAAAAACCCAGAAAAAUAUUUAUCUUAGGAAAAAAGAAAAGGCUUAUAUAAUGUUAACAACAUACUACAUUACCUGCACAAUUAUUUGAAAACUACCGCAAAGGUUGAUCGAUAAAAUAUCUCUUGUGUACACUCUAGUGCUGAUUCUUCGAAACGUGUUAAAACCAAUUCAACCAAAGCCUGAAAAUCACUCCAUAUGGAGCAUAUAUAACAAUGUUUUGAAUGAAAAUUAAGUAAAUUAAGCACUUGAUGAAAUCCAAACAUGUGAUUCAAUGACUUUUGAUCUCAUCACAUGUGUAUUCACAAUGGCAUAUUUGAUAUCAGACAACUCAGCAGAACGAUGUACAAGAGACAAACAAGAAGCUUUAAAAAAUUGUUCGGACUAAAGAUUGUAGUCAAUCAUCGAAAUGAAGCCAUGAACAUGAAGAGCCCUAAUGGCAGCAAGCCUAUGAAAGAGGGAUAUUUACUGAACUGAUAACAAAUAAGAAAAGAGGGAUAUUCCAUUAGACCCACGUUUAUUUGAAAUAUUGAAUCAUGAUAUGUAAAUGAAAAGCUAAAUAGCACAUAGAAAACAAAAAUAAAACCUAAAGGGGGUGUUUGUUUCAAGGUUAAGAAUGACAUUCCCGGGAAUACAUGGCUAGGGAAUGAUUAUACCCAUGUUUGUUAUGAGGUUGAGAAAAAAAUAUUCCUGGGUAUAAAGAUUCCUGGGAAUGGAGUAACUUCCCAUAACUUCCAUUAUUCCCAUGUAAAGAGAUGGGAAUGUGCAUUCCCAUGAUAUUAUGCAUAGAUUUAAAAAAAAAAAAUUGUAACUUCCAAUUUUUCCAGGAAUGUCAAGUUAUUUGCCAAACACUUUUUUUAACAAAUACCCAAUAAUCAAAUUUUCAUAUUUUCAUUCCCGGGUAUAUUAUUCCUGGGAAUAAUUUGUGUUUUCCAAAAACAAACGCUCGUAUGCACAAAAGUUCAACCAUACUCAACAGGCACACAUUGCAAAAAUUCAAUUAGUUUAGAAAUUAUGGUAGGCAAAAGCCAUAUGUAAUACAUGAAUUUCUGAUACUAAUCGAAUGGCAUUAUUGUGUACCAAAACAUUUGAUUUUGUCAAUGUAAGCUCCCAUUUAUUUAUCCAUCAACUAAGCCAACAGUCACUAUAUCCUUCCUCCACAUACUUCCUGCAAUUGAUGAGCUGCAAGGUUCUGAUUCAUUCAUUUGACGCACAUCCAUCUGAAAUAUUGAAUCACGAUAUAUAAAUGAAAAGUUAAAUAGAACAUGGCAAAAAGAAAUUACUCAACAGGCACACUCUGCGAAAAUUCAAUUAGUUUAUAAUCCAUGGUAGGAAAAAUCCAUAUGUAAUAUGUACAUAAUUUCAGAUACUAAUGAAAUAGAAUUAUCCAACAAAAGACAAAUGCUAGGAAAGACCCGAAAUGAAUUUAUAGAGUGGCACCCCUCCUUACAUGUUGGUUUUGUAGGGUUGAGUUAGACCCAGUGUACAAUAUAAUAUGGCAUUAGAGCCUAUGGAUUCAGACCACCUACCAUUUAUAUCCACGCACCAAGUCCAAUAGUGUUGGGCAUGAGGAGGUGUAUUGGGAAAAACACAAGCCCGACAUAGGAUAAAGAUAAGACAUGAAAAAUUUAUAAAUAGUGGCACCUCUCUCCUUACAAAUCGGUUUUAUAGGUUUGAGUUUGGUCCAAUAUAGAAAUCUACUACAUUGUAUGGUAGAAUGUUAGAAAACAACCCAAAGUGAAAGAAUAAAAGGAAAUAAAUACGGUUAUUUAUUAUUUGCAUAUACCUGUUGAUGAAGGAAUCGGUGUGCGACCUUGUAUUCCCUCUGGAGGAUGAUGUGCUGAACAGAACAAUCUGAACGCCCACGGUGAAGAAUAUUGUUGCAGCCCUGGUGAAGAACAAUGCUGUAGUGCAGAACAGAACAAUCUGAACGCUCCUGGUGAAAAAUAUUCGAUACGAAAUGCUCGAUGCUCUGAAAUAAAAAUCUGAACUUGCUUCGAAUUUGAACAGAAAUUCUUGAUGCCGGUGGAAUCUGGAGAGAGGCCAUGAAAGGUGGAAGAAAUUUUGGAAUUAGGAUUCUAUUUAAAUUUGCUUGUUUUGAGAGUAUUUGGGCAUCCAAUUGACACCUCUAGUCUACACAGUGAACCACCACAUUAUGCAAACGUGCACCUUAGGUAUAGACAAUAACAAAACAAUAUAGAAUGAAUUCUUAUAAGUUAGUUCAUGAAAACAAAAUAUUUCCAUUUUGAUAUCAGAAAUGGUCAACUCAGACGUAUGCACCCUUCACUCUUAGUGGUAAUGGACAGUCUUAUCAUGUAUUACAGAUUUCGAUUCCCCAAACAAAAAUGGAUAUCUAAUACAUGUUCUCUCACUGAACCGAUUAGAAGUUUUCUACUGGAAUAGGUAGCAACUGAACAUAGAUCCAUUUUCUAAAGAUCAUUGAAAAUAUUUGUCGGGUCGAUUGAAAAGUCAAGUAAAUGAUAAAAUCUGGAUUUUAUUUAUAAAAAGAAUCGAAAAAUCCAGAAAAAAAAAGUACCUGUUGGGCAAUAAUGUUCUUUCUCUCCUUUUCUUUAACUUUCUUCUCAUUUUCUGCUUCAACUUUGUCUUUUAUAAGCUCAUCUACCUUGCUCGUAUAUUCCCGAAUAGACUAGAGAAAAAUAAAAAAUGAUUAUUAACAAAAGAAAAAAAUGUUUGUCCUUAAUAAUAAUUGUAAUGAAAGAGACCCUUGUAAAAAACAUACCUGUAAGAGAUAAGGGAAGGAAAAAUCCAUCAUAUUGUUCUUCCAAGCUAGCUCUAAUGCAACAUCUGGCCGUAUUAGAUCAUAACAAGUAGAGAGGCACGAUGCAAAACACUCUUUCUUCCCCUGAAAAACAAAGACAGAAAGAAAUCUUGACCAAGUAAGCAGUAAUGAAGUGUAGAAAGAAUGAAUAUAAUUCAUAACGAUGAAGAGGUCACACCGCAGAAUGUGACAGGGCCUAAUCUGGCAAGGAUCUAAUAAAUGUACACCUGCUCACUAAAAUAAACAAGCAAAUCCUCUGAGAGUUUCUGGUCACCAGAUUGAUAGCAAGUUUCCAUGCAGUCCUUGUAAAGUUUGUCUUUCUUUAACAUACAAAUGGACUGUUUCCAUCUUCCAGCUUUCUUGUAAAUAUAAGCAGCAACACGUCUCAUCUCAAGGAGCUCGUGCUUCUCAAUCUGAUCAUGUGUAUUGUUGAAACCAAUCAAUAAUCAUUCAAGAUUUAGAAGUUUGCGAAAAGGAUGUAGAACUCAAUUUGGCCAAAUAAGUAAGAUAAGGAAAAUCCACCUUCUGUGCAAGACCUAUCUGAUUGAAGUUGUCAUACAGAUCUAUCGAUUUACGAAGUCUAUCGUAGUCCACCUCGUCAACAUAAAUUUCAUGCAAAGCUUCAUUAAUAGAAAACACAUUGCUGCUUUGAACUUCAACCAUGUACGGCUUUAUCAAUCGGAUAUGGCCUGCCUAAAAAUCAGAAAAUUCGAGCAACAAGUAUAAUUAUUGCAUUAAUCAUUUGCAACUAAUUAUUUACAUAACCUAAUAAGAUUAAAAUUACAGAUAUUAGGCAAUAGAGUACAAGAAAUAUAGACCUUCUGCGCUAUUUCUACAAUACGGGCAUGUUCCACAUGACGGGCAAGCACAUUAAGAAGAUCAUUUAUAAUAUCAGGAUGUUCUUGCAAGUAGAAAUGAACAGCCUUAUAAUAUAGUUCUACACGACCAACAUUUACUAUAAUAUGUUUGAAUUGCAUGUGGUCCCAUGCUUCUCGAGAGUGAUUCAUUACAGUGAUUGCAGCAUUAUUAAACUCUUCAAAUUGCACAUAUAGGUAUGUGAGUUCUUUCCAGAGUUGAUGUUCAUCACACGCCUGAAAAAGCUUGAGACUGUUGAGGUUGGUUGAGAACAACUUAAUGUGCUCCAUUAACAUCUCAGGACGAUAUCUUGCGUAAAGAACUCCCAACUCAGUAAAGAUACUCUCAUGAGCACACUCCAGUUCUAUCCCUUUCUCCAUUAGAGAGAUGAGUUCAUUGAAGCGUCUUCUGUUCUGAUAAUACUUGCAAACUUCUUCCAGAUCGUCCGCCUUCAUAAAAAUGAUGAGUGAUUAGCCAUAAAAACGGAAAAUAACAAACAAAUCAACAGUUUAUCUGCUACUUAUUGUGUAUACUAAUAACUAGAUGUUCUAUACUUCACCGGAACACAUCCCAUUAACUUGCAUGCAAUGAAAUUGAAAUAUGAGCGGAAAACCUGGAUACUGAAAAUUGGAGACAUAGGGACAGGGGUGGUAUUACUGUCAGAAAAAAUAAACGAAAGUUUAAGCUAGAAAUCGUGCCACCUGAACAAUAACAUUGAGACCACAAAUCUGAGCUAAGGAGGAUUCCCCAGCAUCAAUGCAGGAAAAACAAACAUCCUUCCAUGUUUUCAAACUGUUUGCUUUCUUAGCAGCAUCAACAGCAUCUUGGAAUUGUUGAAGCUUCACCAAUGUCACUGCUAACUUAGCCCAGUCAGGGAUAAAAGCAAAUAUAAUUUUUGCAGCCUCAUAAAGCGCCUCAGCAUACAAGCGGUCUCCAACAUUUGGCAAAUUAGAAACAUUUGGCAUCAAAAUAAACUCUUCAAUUUCUCCAAGCCGACCAAUCUUUGCAUACGCAUAAAUGAGCUCACUGUCCACCUUGGGCUCUUUGGUCUUCUGCCUAACCAUGAGAAGGUACUUUACUAGGUCAUGGUAUACAUUUGCAACUUCAGCAGCCUUUAUAACCUCUAAAAACUGAGUGGCAUCAUCUGCACGGAUGAACAACUCAAUUGCAUCACUUACUAAGCCUUUUCUUAGUUUCGCCUUAGCCACCUGGCUCCAUACAGAAUCUUCUUCAACGCAGAAUGCAAACUCCAUAGCUCGAUCAAUGGUCUUAAGGUUAUCUAGCAGAACAUUAACAGCCUUAACAUUCAGAUUAAAUUUCUUGAAAACGGCAAAAGCUUCUUCAUAUAAGCGUGCUUCCACUGCCGCCUUCCCGACAGCAGAGCCAUCAAAGUUGUCCAGCCUAUUUAUGUAACCCAUGACUCUUAAAGGAUCUGCUUUUAUUGCAGCAAGGAUCAGUAAGCUUUUUAGAGUGAAGUUUGCACUAAAAGCAGAAUUAUGUAGCACAAUCUUGUCGAGAAGGUCAAUCACUUCAUGGGUAAGAUUGGCAGUCAUAAAAGCUUUCACUGCAGCUGAAACUUGGUCAGGACUCUUGCAUUUAGGCAAAGCAGUAGACACCACUUGAUCAAUCAACUGUCUUCUAAACACGUUCCCAGGAUUUAGAACCUCUUUCCAGAGGCCACCAUCCAUCCGUUCCAUAACAUAUCUGACACAAACAAUAUCAUAAAUAAGACGAGUGUCCCAGACUAGCAUUUUGAAAUACAAUAGCACAAUAUUAAUGAAGAAUUGUAUACACACCUGGCUUGGAGUUUGAACAAGGAAUUUUUAUUGGUCACAUUAACAAGCUCAUAAUCACAUUUCCCCCUUGUGUAAGCAACAACGGCAAGUGUUGGGUCCCUUUGCUCACAAUAUUUACCAAUAACACGAGAAUCAUAAUAUAGGUUGGUUGUGAGAAAAUGUACUGGAUUGCUAUUGCUGUCAAUGAUGAUUCUCCCAAGAGCAUUAUGCACAUGUACAUCUCGGCUCCCCUCCCACACAAGAUCCUCCAAGAUCUGAGUAAGCAAACGAAGACGAUUCCUGCAUAUAGAAAGUAAAAUGAGAAAAUAAUAUGGUAAUGUGGAGAUGCAGGGCAGAGAGAAAAAUAGCAUACCUCUUUACAAAUUCUUCAACUAAAGGCUCAACUGGGAAAGGAGAACGAAUCGAAAGUACAAGACCUUUAAUGAAAUUUUCAGGGCAUCGAUCAUCUAACAACUGCCCUACAACUAGAGGAAUCUUUUGAGGAUUGACCUAUAGGUAAGAAAUAUAAUGUUAGAAAUUCACGUUUAAGAUUAGCAUAGAAAGAUUCAAAAUUAAAUGCAAUCACAAAAAAAAAGUUACCCUUUGAACAUAUUCUUCAACAUAAUGAAGCAUGUUUUGACUAUAGAGAUAAUGUAUGAGAUGAGGAACAAAACCAAAACGAUCACACACAUUAAUCAGUGGCCGUGCAUUUGGAAGGUUGGUCUUCAUUAGAAAGUUCUUUGUCUUCUCAGCAUCAUAAUAGCAUGAUUCCCGGGUUACACGCUCUACCUCCGUAAUAUGUCCCGUUUUAACAGCUACUUCAAUGUACUUGAAGUGAAUGUCAGGAUUCUUACUGUACAAUACAGAAUCAAAAGCCAAAAUUAUUAAAGUAAUUACUACCAAAAGCAAAAUAUAGUCUGUCUGGAAAAUCAAUGCCAUUUUCAUUCUUCAUUUAGAAAUACCUAGAUCUCAAAUGUGCACCCAAGAAAAGGUAUAAUCCUUCAUCAGAAUUGAAUUUCUCAAAGAGUUUGAUGCAUGCAUCAACACCCAGCUGUUUCGAAUAUUCCUUGGAAGUCUGCAGAUUAGGUACUAGUAAGAUUAUUUUAUACAGAAACUAUAAUAACAAGAAAAAAUAUCCAUGUUACAGUACCUGCACAAUUAUUUUAAGAUUUCCCCCAAGGUUGACAAGUAAAAGUUGUUCCAUACACUCCAGUGCCCAUUUUCGAGGAAGGGUUCCAAAAAACUUAACAAGAGCCUGAAAAUCACUUCAUAAUAAGAAGACAACAUAUAAAAGACUAAGUAGAUACAGUCACUCUAGCACCUGAAAUCCAAACCUGAUGUUCAAUGGCAUCAGUUUUCACAAUGAUGCGUUUGAUGUCAGGCAACUCAGUAUAAUGCUGCACAAGAGACAGACACGAAACUUCAAGAAAUUACUGACAACAAAUUACAGUCAGUCAUUGGUAUGAAAAGCCAAGAACCUGAAGAGCCCGGAUGAAAAGGCCGGCCUUUUCACAAAGUUUAGCAAUACGUGGACGAUCAUAAUGACUAAACACGCCUUUUGCCAAUAUAGAAUCAGCAACAUUUGGAAAGGUCUUAAGAUUGAUUUCCAGCAGCUAAAAAUGAUUAGAGCAAAUUUUCAUAAAAUCACAAAAAAAAUAUUGUAUGACUCCAUCAACUCGUAGAUAAAGAUUAAGGCAAAGAAAAUAAAGGAACCUUUGUUUGAAGAUGUCCAUGUUCAGGUAGGUCUGGCUUCAGCAGUUCCAACAAAAAGGUAGUUGCCUCACGGAUCAUAUUCCUCUAAAAAGUAACAGUAGAAACAUACAAACAAAAUUAAGGGUUGACGACUUGAUGUUUCCAGCACAUAAAUAAAAAACAAAAGGAAAUGAUUGGCUCUUUAUUUAACAAAUAGUUCUCGGUACUCAAAUUAAAGGAAAACAUACACGGGAUGGUUAAAAACCACUAUCAAUGCGAGUUUUCGGAAAGAGAAGGUCUGAUUCCAUUAGAUUUUUCAUUUUUCCAUUAAGUAGAAAAUAACUUUUCUGAAAUGCAAAAACGCAUUAUUCACUCUGCCACUUAAAACAUUACAUAAAGAUUUCAUAAAAGUCGAAGUAGAACAGGCUCAAGUAAUCAAGUAUUAUAGGUUCUAAAAAGGAAAAUGAAGAAUGAAAUGGAGACAGAAAUUGUGUACAUGAUACUUCCUUUUCUAAGUUAGGUCAAAUUACAAGUUACGCUUGAUAUGGGAGAACAAUGAAACCUACAUCAAUAAAACAAAAGAUAAAAUUAAAUAGACCUGAAGAAACAGAUCGGCUAUUUUGUUGUAGUCAACAGGGCAACCCCCCUCCAUUCGCAACAUCAUCAGAGCAAAAUCUAGAGCACCCUACAAUGGAACAUGUUCUGAGUAAAUGAAUAAACAAAAAGUAAACUCACAAGAUAACAGAUAUUCUAGAAAGAUAAACAUCAUAAGUAGCACAGAUGAGGUGAUAUCAUUUUAUGAUGUUUGGAUGUUUGGACUUCGGAUGCAUUCAACCAUCAUGCAUGAGGUGCUAUAAUUUUAUGGGAAAUGUUAACGAGUGCCCCCCGGGGCACUUGUUAAGCACUUUAAAUAGUAAGUUUUAAAUGAAAAGUUGUGUAUUGAAUGUAUUGGAAAUUGUAAUAAUUGACUUUUUAAAAGAAUAAUUACUAAAUUUGGGAUGCUUAAAGAGUGCCCUGGGGGCACUCGUUAACAAGACCUAAUUUUAUAAGUGCACCACAAUGAUCAGAACUGAAAUAAGUUUACCAAUAAAGUAUUUCCAUAAGGCAAAACUUGAUCAUUUCAAAUCGAACUACACUAACCUGGGCAUCUGUUUGCAAUAUUGUUUGCAGAAGGAAUAUGUAAUCAAGAGUGUAUCCAACCUGCAGUAAAUAAAAGGAGAAAAAUACAUCAUGCACUGCAAAAAUAAUAAUAAUUAACUAUGUAAUAAAACAAAAGUAUAACAUUCAUUUAACAGUCCAAUAUUACCACUAUUUUCAUGAUUUUGUAAAGUCUAAUAAAACAAAUGUUUCAUUACCUGCUUUGAGUAUGUCAAAAUCUUAUCAUAUUCCCUCCUCUCAGCAAAAGCUGCAAUAACCUUUGGUGUGGCACUUGCUUUAGUAUAUAUUUUCAAUGCCAGGUCUUUAUCCACUUUCUGCAUUAGAUGUGUGUCUUAUAAGAUUGAAUAGACAAACGAAAGGAAUAUAUAGCAAACUAAAUAUGGUUAUUGAAUCGAGAUUCAAAUAGUGAAUCAGAAGAACUAUUUUCUAAAUUGAGAAUUGGAUCUUAUCACAAAUCGUAAGAUACAUUAUCAAAUAGUUAAGAGUACUAGAAUCGAGAAUCGAGAUACAACUAGCACCUAGCAUCGAGAAUCGAGAUACAACUUGCAUGUAUCUUAGGAUAUUGAUAACCAUAAGUAUAUUCAACUGAUAAAGAAACUAAGAAUCAAUUAUAGAUUUGUAUGAGAACAGAACCUUCACAAGGUCACCAAGCUCUUCAGUGCAUUCAAGUUUAUCCUCUGCUAGCCAUUUUCCUAAAAGUUUCUGUUUGUUUCGACUUACGGCUAGCCGUGACAUUUUCAAUGACUCAAAAGCAUCCAGUUUUCCACUAGAAAACAGAUGGUCAAAGUAUUGUAAGCAUGAUGGUGCAUCUUCCAAAGGUACGUUCUGAAAAAUAAUUUACAGAAGAUAAUUAACAAAAGAAAUGAACAACUUAAUGAAAUCGUCAUGUUAUUACUCUUCCAUCCCAUUAACAAAAAAAUAAAUGUAACAUCAUGAAGCACGAACAAUCCUUGGAUUAGGCAUGUCCCAGUGUCGGACAUGUGUCGUGUCCGACACCGACACAUAUAAUUACACUGAAUUAAGUGAUUUUCUCAAAUUAUUAGCGGUGUUUGGGUUUCAGCGUAUGUGACGUGUCCGGUGUCCGUGUUUGUAUCCGUGCUUCACUAUUUUAUUCCAACUCUACUUUCAAAAUAAUACAAUAUACAUCACUCUUAUGUCAAUUAUACUUCACCAUACAUUUAUGGCGAUACUUAACACUCUCAAUAAUUAAUAACUCUAGUUACGACAUUCCAGCUUGAAGGUGUGUGACGAGUAUCUAGUAUCUAACCGUUGUGUUUGACUGCUAUCAAUGUCACUGUCGUAUUUAGUGUCUGCCUCAAUGCUUCGUAGAUUAAUAAUCAUCCUUAUGUAAAAUUGUUGCACACUUUUAUUUAUUUACAAAUUUUCUUAAUUUAUAUAAAAAUACCUAAAAAUGAAAAUUAAACAAUCCGAGUAAUAAGCACAGUUAAUAACCGGAAACAGCCGUUAAGACCUAGCUCAACUAACAAUGUCGAUAUUGUUAGGCUAAACAACUUUAUUAGGCUAAACCGGACAUUGCAAUUGCGUGUGAGUUUCAGGUGUUGGUGUUUUGACAAGAAAAAAAAUAGGAAACAGACACACACUCUCGCGCAGAUGAAUGAAAAUUGUUAACAAGAUUGCAAAAGCAGAGUGCAAAAACCAUUAAUAUAACAGAAAAUAGGGUUUGAUCGAUAUUUGGAAUGGGAAUGUGAGAAAUUACUAACCGUUGAGGAUUCUUUCAUGGAGUUAGGAGUGUUAUCACCCGCCAUGACGAUCGAAACAGAGUUUUAGAGAGAGAGAGUUGAAAUUUUGAAGAAGAAAGUUUGCGAGUAAGAGAUUGGAACACAGUGACAGUGAGAGCGAGAGUGAGCGAGUGGAAUGAAGAGAAUAGAGGAAAAACUGUUUUAUUAUAAGAGCUACGUGUGCUACAAGCAAGCAUAAGCAUUUAUAUUUUUUUAAAAAUCAAGGGCAAGAUUGCAUAACCAUAUCUUAUAAACAAGAGUAAGACAAUUUUUUUACCUUUAUGUGUACCGUUUGGCUAGGUUUUUUUUUUGUCUAAAAGCUACUUUAAAACAAAGUUAAAAUAAAACUCUUUAAGAAAAAAGUUAAAGUUGUUUGGUUUCUUUAAUUUUUUUUUAGUUCUAAAGUUAUUUUUAAGUUAAAAAUUAUUUAGCAAAAUAUUGUACAAAAUUUUAAAUUUAUUAUUUUUUUGGUGGUGUUUGGGGUUCGAACUCGCGACCUUGCAUAUAUAUAAGUACCGUUUGGCCAUGCUUUUUUUCGGUCUAAAAGCAACUUUAAAACAAAGUUAAAAUAAAGCUCUUUAAGAAAAAAGUUAAAGCUGAUUGGUUUCUUUAUUUUUUUUUUAGUUCUAAAGUUAUUUUUAAGUUAAAAGUUGUUUGGCAAAAUUUUGAUUUUUUUUUUUUGUGGUGUCCAGGGUUCGAACCCGCGACCUUGCAUAUAUUUAUACAUUGUCAAUAUCAACUGAGUUAAGCUAGAGAAUAAUUUGUUUUUUCUUUUCCAAUUAUAUUGUAUAACAAAUUUUGUUAUAAGAAUAUCAUAUUUUUGGUGUCAUUUAAAAAAAAUAAGAAUUUAUAUUAUAUGAUAUUAUAUUUGUUACAUUGUUGGAGUCAUUGACAAAGAUAUGUUUAGUUUUUUUAAUAAGAAAAAAAUAUGCAUAGUUUGUUACAAUAUAAAUGUGUAAAAUAUAUAUAAGUAUAAUUUUUUUAAGCAUCUAUACUAGUACUUUUAAUUAAAAUCAAAAUUUUAUAAAAAUAAUAAUUGUUACAAUAUAAAUGUGAGGAUGAGAGCGAGAGUCUGUGAGGAUGAACGGACAGUCCGACUGCGGCCACAACGCAGGGAGGACGUCCGGUGUUCUUCUUCGCCGGCGGAGAGAUCCAAUUGGGGGGGAAGGGAGCCAAGCUGGGUGCCACUUAAAGGGGGGGUUGGGGGAGAUUGGCUUGUUGUGAGUCCUAGAAUGGGGAAAGCGCGGCGACAAGGAGAUCGAGGUCGGGAUCGGCAGCGGAAGGUCAAGCGGUUCCGUGAUUGGGACGAGGCAGGCAAGAGACAAUCUAGAACUAGGGAUUCACGCAGGUUCGGUUACGGCAGCGAUGCGGAUUUCUACCAAGACAGGCUUGCUGAGCGGUCUGAUGAGGAAUUGAGGAAGGACUGGUUGCGGUUUGAGAAUAGGAAUCGCGCUAGUGGUCACAGCUCUGGGGUUGCUGGUUAUGCGCGUCGGAUUCCGGCGCUGGACAGGCUUGGUGAGGGCGGUAGGAAGCAGGACACGCGCGACAUCAGCGGAGCCACCAAGGCCUUGACGAAUGCGGCUCUUUUUCGACGGUAUGUCACGUUUUAUUUUACUAAUUUUCCACCGUUCUUAUCGAAUUUUUAUUUACGAAAAGGGUUUGAGGUUUGUGGCAUGCUGGACGAGGUUGUGGUACCCCGUAGGUGCAAUGUUAACGGAGAACGGUACGGUUUUGUGAGAUACUCGAAUGUCCGGGAUGUUAGUAAGUUGUUGAAAGCCGUGAAUACUGUUUGCUUUGGUAAUUUCCAAAUUAAGGCAAAAGUUGCUAAUUUUGACAAGGCGGCAGCUAGAGUGGUUGAGAAUUUGGUGGUUGGCGCGGGUGCGAAGGAUACCGCGGGAGGAGGUGUUAAGGUCGGUAAGGGAGUUAAAUCAGUUGUUGAGGGUGAUGUGAUGGAAGCUGGAUCGAAAGCUGUUGAAGGCCAAUCGGAUGGACUAGAGGGACGGGUGCCACAAGCCAGAGUGGGUGCGUUGGAUAACGUUCAGGUUGGUGACGUGACGGUGAGCUUGGGUAAGGGGCAUAGUAAGGAGCAACAGGGCGGUAGCGGGAAAAGUAAGUUCGUUAAGUUUGAUGUUCGUCAUACAGGGGGGCGACCUUCAAUCCAAAAUUUGGUCCGGAUGUAUCGUUCAAGUGUGGAAGAUCUUCAGUGGGCCCGUUCAGGUGUGACUGCUACGGUGACUAAUGGUGAGAGUAUCAGGGGCGUUCAAGAUAGAAUUGCGGAUGCGGGUAUAUCAGAAAUUGACAUCAUUCCAUUAGGCGCUGACAAAGUUUUCAUUCGUAGUAUGUCCGAGGUUAGUGUUACAACUAUUUUGAACGAUGCUAAGGAUUUCUUUGCUUAUUUUUUCACCAAUAUUGUGAGAUGGGAUAAGAAUUUGGUGCCGUUCCAAAGGGGGGCCUGGUUGAGGUUGUAUGGUAUUCCGCUGCACGCUUGGAAUGAAAGCUUUUUCAAAUUAUGUAUUCUUGACGUGGGAAGGCUUUUACGUAUGGACACAUGCACUGUGGAAAAAGAAAGAUUUGAUUAUGCUAGGAUUCUGGUGGCUACAAAUUCUUUAGAGAUUAUAAAUUGUUCGGAGAAGCUUUUGAUAGAUGGUGUUUUGGUCACUGUGAAAGUGGUAGAGGAGUGGGGUUUUAAUAUUGGCGAUGAUGCUUGCCUUUACGAAGAGGAGGAGAAUGGGUCAAUUGAGGGUCAGGCUGACCCAGAAGAUGUGCAUAUUGAUCACGAACAUGAGGUUAACGCAGAUUUUUUGGUUGAUAAAAUAGUCCAAGAUUUUUUUGAUUCGGAGAGUAACGGAAGAAUUUUUGAAGAUAAGGUGGAGAAGGCGGUCUCAAAGACGGUUAAGCUUAAAGCGGUAGGUGGUCAAUCGAAAGUGGGUAGGUGUAGUGAAGCCUUGCUCGAGGGGGAUUUACAACCUUUACGGUUAGAGCCCUUUGUGGAUCAAUUGAUGGGUAGUGCGUCACCUGAGUGUAAGGUUGAUGGGCAUGGCAGUGCCGACGUUCCUGUGGAUAGAAGUGUUGAUGCUGAUGAGUGUCCAAGUGAUGGGGGGUCAGUUACUGUUAGGAAGCUUCGAACUCGUCGAAUGGUUUCAUGCCCUCCCAGAGCUGAUCGUUCAGUGGUAUCUGGUCCGUGGAGUCUGGAUUGGAUAAAUGAUCAACAUCUUAGUGACGUAGGGGUUGUGUCUUCUUCUCGGAAAUUUGACGCUAAGGGUAAGAGGCUCAAGGCUUGUCGUAAUAUUCAAGAGGAUGUUGUUGUUAAGCGAAAGAAGGUGAAGGGGUUAUUGCGUCAUUCAGUUCUUAGCUUGAAAAAAGUGGCACGGCUUCCUACUAAAGACCGGAAAGUGGUUAUGAAAAUUCUAAAGAAAAAUGAUCGGAAGUUUAAAGGAUCCAAUUCAAUCAGAAAGACGGCUAGGAUGAUUUCUAAAGACCUAUCCGAGAAUUCAUCAUCUUCUAGCUCUAUUAAUAAUAGUGACUGGAAGCAUUGGGUGGUACUUCAUGGGAGUGACAAGGUGGUGGCGGAGGAUGUGAAGACCCUAGGGGAAUCUAUUGGUGUGAAUCUUAGUGGGUACAACAAUAGAUUUGGGGUGUUAGCAAGAAAAGGGAUGGGGAAAAAGAAGAAGUUAGCUUUUGGUGAUGGUGGUUCAGGAGGGGCGGUUGAGGGUGUUGUGUAGGCGUGGUAGCGGUGGCUGGGAGGGUGUGGGAGAUGAAGUUGUUAUCUUGGAAUGUAAGGGGGUUGGGUGGUUACGAGAAGAGAAAGGAUGUUCGAGCUCUGGUGAGGGAUAAGCAGCCGUUGAUUUUAUGUCUGCAAGAAACGAAGUUGCAAAUGUGUGAUGUUAAUGUGUGUUCGUCGGUUUGGGAUAGGCAGUCGACGGAGUUCUCUUUUCGCCCGUCCCAAGGGGCGUCAGGGGGAUUGCUGACCGUUUGGGAUGCCUCGGAGGUUGAGGUGUGGUCGUCAGGCUGCUUUGAUCAUGUUUUGAGUAUUCAUGGCCGGUUCAUUUCUUCAGAUGAAGAAUUUCACUUAUUCAAUGUGUACGCUCCUUGUGAUGGAGGAGCUCGACAGAUAUUAUGGGUUGCUUUAACGACUCGUCUUCAGGCUCUUAGGGGUAAAAAGGUGUGCGUUUGCGGUGAUUUUAAUGCGGUCCGGAGUCGGGAAGAACGUAGGUCGGCGACGGUUUAUGGCGGUGUGUCGGAGUAUGGUCCUUUUAAUCAAUUCAUAGAGGAAAAUGGUUUGCUUGAUUUACCGUUGUGUGGGCGUAAUUUUACUUGGUUUAAAGGGGAUCGUCGUUCAAUGAGUCGACUUGACCGGUUUUUGGUUUCUGAAGAGUGGAGUUUGGUUUGGCCCAAUUGUAUUCAGGUUGCGCAUUUGAGAGGUUUAUCUGACCAUUGCCUGUUGAUUUUGUCUGUUGAUGAGGAAAAUUGGGGGCCUCGACCGUCGCGGUUCUUGAAAUGUUGGUCAGACACCCCGUGUUAUAAGCAGUUUGUUACUGAUAAGUGGAAAGCUUUACAGGUGGAAGGUUGGGGUGGAUAUGUUUUAAAAGAAAAAUUCAAAUUAAUCAAAUUGGCGCUGAAAGAGUGGCACAUAUCUCAUUCGCAGAACGUAGCAGUGAAAAUUGAUUCUCUUAAGGUCAGGUUGGCCGAGUUAGAUGGUAAAGGGGAGGUCGAGGAGUUAUCUGACGCAGAAUGUGUUGAGUUGCAUGGUGUGUCAGAAAAUAUUCAUUUGUUAUCCAGGCUUCACAAUAGUAUCUGUUGGCAGCAAUCGAGGAACCAGUGGCUGCGUGAAGGUGAUGCGAACUCUAAGUUUUUCCAUUCCAUUAUGUCCUCUCGUCACCGUCAUAAUUCUAUAAGUUCAAUUUUGGUUGAUGGUACUUUGGUUGAGGGCAUUGACCCUGUUAGGAAGGCGGUGUUUACCCAUUUUGCGACUCACUUUCAAUCGUAGAGUGUGGAGCGACCAAGUGCGUCGAAUCUCCAGUUCCGCAACUUAUCUUUGGUUGAGGGAGGGGGCCUGAUUAGACCUUUUUCGGUAGAUGAAGUUAAGGCUGUUGUGUGGGAUUGUGAUAGUUUUAAGAGCCCGGGUCCGGAUGGAGUAAAUUUUGGAUUCAUAAAGGAGUUUUGGGUUGAACUGAAAGAUGAUAUCAUGAGGUUUGUCACUGAGUUUCAUCGAAACGGGAAGUUGGUAAAAGGUAUUAAUACUACUUUUAUUGUUCUUAUCCCAAAAGUUGAUAAUCCGCAGAGGCUUAAUGAAUUUAGACCUAUCUCUUUGGUAGGAAGUAUGUACAAAAUUAUAGCUAAGUUGUUAGCUAACAGAUUAAGGUUGGUGAUUGGUAGUGUGAUUUCUGAAACUCAGUCUGCUUUUAUUAAGAAUAGACAGAUUCUUGAUGGUAUUCUUAUAGCCAAUGAGGUGGUGGAUGAAGCUAAAAAGUUUAAGAAAGAUCUUAUGUUGUUUAAGGUGGAUUUCGAAAAAGCGUACGACUCUGUUGAGUGGGAUUACUUGGAUUCGGUUAUGGAAAGAAUGUCGUUUCCUGUCUUAUGGAGGAAAUGGAUUAGAGAAUGUGUGGGUACUGCUACAGCUUCUGUUCUUGUUAAUGGUAGUCCUACUGAUGAAUUUCAACUGCAUAGUGGCUUGCGUUAGGGGGAUCCCUUGUCCCCUUUUUUGUUCCUGAUUGCGGCUGAGGGUCUUCACACGUUGAUGAAAGCGAUGGUUGACAAUCAGUUGUUUACGGGGUACUCGGUUGGGGUGGCAAACCCGGUUGUUGUUUCUCAUCUGCAAUUUGCGGACGACACUUUGCUGCUUGGCCAUAAAAGUUGGGCUAAUGUUCGGGCUCUUCGUGCGACUCUUGCCAUUUUUGAGUUGAUGUCCGGUUUGAAAGUGAAUUUCAAUAAAAGCUUGUUGAUGGGUAUUAAUAUCUCUGAUUCUUGGUUGAGUGAGGCUGCUUCGGUGUUGAGCUGUAAAGUAGGUAAGAUUCCUUUUUUGUAUCUAGGUUUGCCUAUUGGGGGUAAUCCGCGGAGACUUUCGUUUUGGGAUCCUGUCGUGAAUCGUAUUAAAUCUAGAUUGUCGGGGUGGAAUAGCCGGUUUCUCUCUUUUGGUGGUCGCUUGAUCCUUCUGAAAGCCGUGUUGACUUCUCUGCCUGUCUAUGCUCUUUCCUUCUUUAAAGCUCCAACAGGUAUAAUCUCUUCCAUUGAUUCUUUGUUUAAUAAUUUUUUUUUUUUUUUUUUUUUGGGGGGGGGGGGGGGGGGGAGUGAGGACCGUAGGAAAAUUACUUGGAUAGAUUGGAAUACUGUUUGUUCUAAAAAGGAGUUAGGAGGGUUGGGGGUUAGGAAGUUGAAGGAAUUUAAUGUAGCUUUGCUAGGGAAAUGGUGUUGGAGGUUGUUAGUAGAUAGAGAUGGCUUGUGGUAUCAGGUUUUAGUCGCCCGUUAUGGCGAGAUCGGUGGGAGAUUGGAGGUGGGGGGCCGGAGUUGUUCUUCUUGGUGGCGGGAGGUAGGGAGGAUCUGUGAGGGUGGGGGCGGUGUAGGGGGUGAUUGGUUCGGCAGUAGUGUGAUUAGGAAGGUGGGGGAUGGUGCUGAUACGUUGUUCUGGUCUCAUAGGUGGUGUGGUGAUCGUCCUUUUAGUGAGCGGUUUGGCAGGUUGUUUGACUUAGCUGAGAACAAAGCCAUUUCAGUGGCUUCUAUGUUCUCUCUUGGCGUGGUGCAGGGGGGGAGGGUGGAGUUGGAGGCGAAGAUUGUGGGCUUGGGAGGAAUUUUUAUUAGAGGAGCUUAGGGCUUUACUGCUUGAUGUUUCUUUGUUGCCUAAUGUUUCAGAUAGAUGGUUGUGGCUACCUGACCCUGUGGGGGGUUAUACUGUUCGAGGAGCUUAUGUUAUAUUAAUAGAGGGCGCUCAUCCUCUUUUGACCGAAGCAAUGGAUCUAGUUUGGCAUCGUCAGGUCCCCUUAAAGGUCUCGAUUUUUGCUUGGAGACUUCUCCGGGAUCGGUUACCUUCAAAAGCAAAUUUGGCAGCUCGUGGUGUUCUCAGUUCUGAGGCGACUCUUUGUGUUAUGGGCUGUGGUCAUGUUGAAACGGCCGAACAUUUAUUUUUAUUUUGCCCAAAUACUGUUUUGUUGUGGCAGCAGGUGCGCAAUUGGCUAGGUUCUAUGGGGGCGGAUCCGAAUAAUCUUCAUGAUCACUUAGUGCAGUUUACUUACUCGACAGGUGUUGGUAAAGCUAAACGUUCUUUUCUGCAGCUAAUUUGGAUUCUGUGUACUUGGAUUGUGUGGAUCGAACGUAAUAACCGCUUGUUUGGUAAUGUUGUAACGGAUGUCCCAAGGUUAUUGGAUAAGGUUAAAUUGUUAUCAUUACGGUGGCUGAAAGCAAAAAAAAAACGUGUUUGUUUAUGGUACUCAUAUGUGGUGGUCUAGUCCUUUGUUAUGUUUAGGCAUUGGUUAAUUCCUGUUUUUUGUUCUUUGUGUUGGACUCUGUAACAUUUUGUAUCUUGUAGCAGAAUUCUAGGCACAUCUUGUGCUUGGAAUAUGCUAUGUUUGUGUUAAUAUAAUUCCAUUUUGAUGUGUUCAAAAAAAUAAUUGUACGCAUUGCGCAACACUGAAAAAAAUAUACGCAUUAGUGUAACAAAAAAAAAAAGACAUACAGACAUAAAAUAUUACUCUAAACGCUAAUGUGUGUGUGUAUAUUUGUGAGGUUGAAGAAAGGGAAUAAAAAUAUUUGGUGUCAUUCAAUGACUGCAUAAAUAAAAAUAUUUGUGAGGUUGUGAUAAUUAAACGAUAUUAAAAUUAAAUAUAUAAGUGAUUAAUAGAUAAUAAAAUUCCUUCAAAAAUAGAUAAUAAAAUUAAAUUGAUCCUCCUUUAAAAAAAUUAUAUGGACCGGUUCAAAAAAAAAUUAAAUGGAAGAAAAAAACAAAUCAAAAUAUAAUAUUAAAAAAUAAAAUAUAAGGUUGCCUGUGUGAGUUGAAGAGAAGUGCUUGUGAAAUAAAUUACAGAGAAGUAGUUUUUUGAAGUAGCAUUCAACAACUUUUAAAGCUCAUUCCAUUCAAUUUUAUGAAUUCUAAAAAAAAUACAUUUUUUCGAAGGUACUUUAUUGAUAUUGUGUUUCGCCUAGCUUCUCUUUAAAAAUGUAGAGAAGUUGGAAAAAAAGUCGAGUCAAACGGUACCUUAUAAGCUUAUUUGAUUAAAAUAGAUUUGUUUCGUAAUUUUCACUUUCUCACAGGUUUAUAUCUUAUUUUCACUAAUUUAUGGUUUUUUUUUUUUUAAACACCACUGAAAUUCACGCACACAACAAAGUCUCAGGUUUAGACUCGGAUAGAGGUGUCCAACCUAACCAUUGACAGAUGAGUUAGGCUUUCCAGACAAUUUAUGACAGUUUUUUAUAAGCUAAUUCAAUUACCUUGUAGUUUAAAGUUUAUAAAGUAUCAUUAUUUAUCUCAACAAUUUUACCCUUCAAUCUUAAUUGAAAAAAAGUAAAUAUUAAUUAAAUAUAUCAUUUCAUAUUUAUAAGUUAGUUCAACCGCUAAUUAUUUAAAACAUUACAAAUCCAACUAGCUAGUUUACUUGCUAUCAACUAUAAGAAGGCCGAUAAGUUAUCAUCUAUAAUUUCAUGACUGUUGCUUUUCUGACAUCUAAUAUGUCUUGGAAACACAAGUAAAUGACUAAAAAAUUCAACAUAGUUAACUGCUGUCGAUUUUCUAGUUAUAAGCCAGCAGUAGUUAACUACUGUUAGAGAUAUUUUAAUAUUUUACUUGUGUUUUUAGGAAGUUUAUGAUGUUAAAAAAACAAUCGUCUAAUUUCAUAUGAUAUAAGGUUUAUCGGUUCAGUAUUUGCUAUUUUACCAAACAAAAUCAAUAUAUGAAAUUGGAAGGGAUGAUAGCUUUAUUAAGUUGGAAAGUUUAGGUGAGAUAGACUCGAGAGUUAUCCAAAAUCAAGGUAUACCUUGAGACUUAACAAAUUCAUUUUUAACUAGUAUAACUUGUCCCGUGUGUAAUAUUUAUUUUUACAAUUUGUCUCGUGUUUAAUAAUUACUUUGGCUUUUUAUCAAUGACAAAUCUUCUAGAUGUAUGAUAACUAUUUUAAAGGUUUCAUCCUCAAAAUAAAAAUAAAGUUAAAAGGUUUUAUUUUAUAAAGGGUAAAUAUCUCUUUUCGUCCCUGUAAUAUUAGUGAAUUUUGGUUUUAGUCCCUGUAAAAAAAGGAUUUAGAUUUGGUCCCUGUAAUUUCAGAUUUUUCCACUUUUGGUCCCUCAUUCCACCACGUAAGCAGAAUCUGCAUACAUGGCACGUAAAAAUGAGGGACGAAAAGAGGUAUUUACCCUUUUAUAAAGCAAACUAUCGUUAUUUAUUUAGGAAAAGAAAUUUUUUUGACUGUUUUCCUUAAGUUUGUUGUCGUUUUCUUCUAAAAAAAAAAUAUUUUGUUAAAAAUCGAGAUGUUACAAUUUUUUUUUGUUUUGUAACACAGACUUUAGGACUAUCGGAAUGUACUCCCUCCGUCUCUAAAUUAUAGUCGUAUAAAGUUUAUGCACGAUUAUUAAGGAAAUGAUUAAUUGUAUUGAUUUCAAUGGUAAAAUUAACAUCAUUUACUAAGAUACUCUUAUUAACAUGUAGUUAGUGAAAUAGUUAAGUUGGAUGAAAUUUAAUAAAUAAGGAUAUAAUGAUGGAAAAAAUAAAUGAAUGUUGCAUUAGUAUUUGUAAAGCGACAAUUAUUUUGAUAAAAAGAAAAAAUGCGAGAUUAUUAUUGUGAGACGGAGGGAGUAAUCUGUAGCAUAUAAUUUAUGACACAAUUCACUUCAAAAUUACAUAAAUAUACGAGCGAUCAGUUUAGAGUUUAGUAGUAAGAGUUCGAUCAUCUAUAUAACUUUUAGACAAUUGUAAAGCAACGAUUAAUGUCACUUAAUAAAUUUUAGAAAUUACAUAUAAAUAGAAGAACAUAUACAUGUUUGUAAACUCUGCUACUGAUGUGUGAACAGAAAAUAAUAAUUAUUUCAUCAAAAAAGAAAAUAAUAAUUAUGACAAAAACAUUAAUUUAUGUUAAGAUACAUGUUUGUGACAAACUUUAACAUGUUUGAGAGGAUUGAUGAUGAGGUUACUAUUGCUUGGUACAGCACAACCAACUUUCUUCAAUUCUAGAAAAGUUUGUGUAGUGUCAGGAUCAAAGCCACCUGCAAACUGAAUGUCUUGAUGGGUGAUGAGUUGGAUAAAAAAGUAAAUGUCAAAUUCAGAAAGUUCUGAGGAAUGUUAUUGUACCUGAUGUACUCUGAAUGCAAACUUAACUCCUUGUAAUAAGAGGUUAUUAUUAUCUUCAUGCAAAGCUUCAUGAGAUUUUAUUUCUUUAGUUAUUCGUUUCAUGAAUUCCUUUGCUAGCCUCAGUGAACAUAGCUUUAUCUGCAAGUUAUUAACAUGAUAAAGCCUUUCAAUAGGUUUUUAUGGUAAAUAAUAAGAUACCCUUUUGAAACAUGUAUAUCAUAAAAGGUAUAGAUGAUUCUGAUGUUAUUGUAGUGAUACUAUCUAUAUUAUGUGACAUGCAUCAAACAAAAUCAUUCAAUUGUGUCAUGAACUAUGAUUAAUUUCAUUUUAUGGAUUGUUGGUUCAAUUGUAUACAAUAAAGAAUACAAUAAUAUUGGAAAAUGUAAGACCUCUAGACAAUUGCUUUUUUAACAUCUGAAACUUCCUAAAAACACAUAAAAUACUAAAAUGUCCUCAGCAGUAGUUAACUACCGCUGACUUAUAACUAGAAAACUGACGGUAGUUAACUACCGCUGGGCUUUUUAGUCUUUUUCAUGUGUUUCUAGAAAAUAUUCAAUGUCAGAACAACAGCCAUCAGACCUCUAACCUCAUCUAAAAAUUUAUAGUAUGAGAGUCUAUUCAUUUGGGUUAUCCACCAAUUUAUCCAUGCACCUAGCCCAAUAGUACUAGGUGUGAUGGAGUGUGUUGAAAAAAACCAAGUCACGCAUUGAAAAUAGAUAAACCAUUUAUUUGUUUUCGUGUUUGUACAUCAAUAUCCAUAUGUUUUUUGUGAAGCUACUACUCUCAACAGCUUCGUAAAAAUCAUGUCAAAUGGUCAAUGGGACGUGAUAAUUUUGGUCCAACUGCCAAACCAAACAACCACAAAGUUUUUAAGAGUGUCACUUCUCACCUUAUUAAUCAUAGAGAUGAGUUGGACCCAAUAGAAAAAAAAAAAAAUCAUAUUUUGUGAUUUCACAUAAGCUUGAGUUUAAGCAAAAUUAACCAAUUCAAAAUAUUUUUCUUCAUAAUCUUUAGGACACUAGACACAUAUAAAUGCAAGCAUUUUUUUUAAUGUUUUAUAGUGAUCUAUAAUGCAUAAACAAGGUAUGAAUUUCUUACCUGACCAACAAGGCCAGUGUCCAUCAUCCACUCCCAAGGGAUAUGAAAAUUCCUAUAUUUCUUACUUGAACUCUCCCUUAUCCUCUCUUUACUACUUACACUUCCCUCCAACCUGCAAAAUUUUAAAAGCAAAACUUUCAAUUAAUUCUAAGUAUUGCUCAAAAACUUUAGUUAAACUCAACUCUACAAUUUUUGUACAUGCUCGCCUGUCUUGUAAUGCUUGUAUCCUUUUCAGGGCCAUAGAAAUUGGCUCUUUUGGAUUAUCCUCAUAUGAUGAAACUUCUGAUUCAAGAUUCUUUAGUUCUCUAUAGUUACAAGCAGCUUCUCUUAAUGCAUCUACUUUUUGUUCUGGCCAUUGUGGAAAAUGCUUUAAGACUGAUCUUUCAUCUACCAGUGUUGAUAAUUCUCCAUCAAGCCAUUUGAUGAAUGUUUCCACCUCAGAUAUAUCUGCAUAUGAAGCUGAUUCUACUUGUUUGAUUAAGAAACUGAUGAAUUCUUUUUGGCUUUGAACUUCUGAUUUUAUCUGUCAAAAAAAUGUAUCAAGUAUCAAUAAAAGAGUGUUCAUUGUUUUAUAGUUAAAGCCUUGCUUGGAUUGGUUUCUUUGAGCUUAUCUAUUGGAAUAAGUACUUGUGAGAUUAUUUCGGAGAGCUUAUGGAAACAUCUUAUUACAUGUCCAUAAGUUAAUGGAUUUAAAUUGUUUUAUAUGAUUAAUACUUAUGCUAUAAGCAUUAGUUUAAACUGUUUAUCCAAACAGGCCUAAAGAUUUAACAUUAGAAAAUUUUGAAGCUAAAUAUGAGAAGUUUGGAACUAAACUUACAGCUGAAAGAUGUUUUGACCGAUUUUCGAUUUCCUCAAUCAUGUUUCUGGUGAAUGCUACUGCAGGAAUUCCAUUGUGAUGAGUUUUGUUUUCAAUGUUGGCAUCUUUUCGUGUAAGCGAACGAUACAAUUCGAUUACUUCUGGCACACGACGAACUGUUUUCAAACCGAUAGACGAUUUUGAUGGUGUUGGAGGUGGUGGAGGUGCUGCUGUUGGCUGCAUUUUCAUUCCCUUCUCAUUUUUAUGUGAAGGUGAAAAAAGAGUAGAAGCAGGUUUUGGAGGAGGAGUUGGUGGCAAAACUAUUGAUGACUUUUCCUUUCUAGGUGAAGUUGAUGAGUCUUGAAAAUCUUGAUUUUCUGAACUCUUUUCACACAUGAUUGCUUGAAGUGCAGGUUUAAGUGUAUGGUGUGAAUCUGAAUUGUUAUCAUCUAUGGAUUUUUGUAUCUUUUUCCAUAGUAUGGUUUUUCUCUCCAUAUUGUGUGCUUUGAGUGAAAUUAUCUGUGAUUUUAAACGAGAUACUUCUUCUUUAAGUUCUUGGUUUUCUUUCUGUAGUAACUCAUUUCUAGCCAUGUGAAUUUCAAGUCUUUUUUUGAAAGAUGUUGUGAUCUCAGACUCAUUCUCUACCUGCAACAUUUUCUCUCCUUUUUUCACUCUAUAACAUGGUUAUCAAUUUGAUAUCUUGUACACUGAUUUUUGUUAUAUAUUUGGUCUUGUUUUUGAAGUAAGGUUGGUAUGUCUUGGAGUUAAAUAUCCAAGAAUGCCCUCUAUGGUACUAAUAAAGGUAAAUCAUCAUUUAGAUUCUUAAAUAUGUGAGAUGCUUUUAUAAUUGUCUCUGAAUGUAUAUUUUGUUGGUUAGUUUAGUACUCGAAUAUGUCUUUUGUUAUUUGAUCCAUUAAAAUACUGAUAAAAAAUAUGUUUAGGGAUGUUUUAGUAAUUUUGAUAUAUUCAAAAAUAAUAGUGAUAGGGUCUCACAUAUUUCUAAAAAUGAAUGUUUACACUAUUAAUAGUGACCUUAUGGGCCUAUUGGGAACAAUGGUAUUGAUAGAGUAAUUUGGACAUUUCACAUAAAUUUAAUGCUAUUUGACAUGAAGAUUAAUUAUGAUGCCUUUGUAAGAAAAUUUAUAAGUGAUUGAAGAUUACUUUGGUUUGCUGGCAGCAAUAGUAUGUGAAAGCUGCCUUUAGAGUGUCAUGUUAGGUACAACAUUAAAUAUGUUGGUCAAAUUUAAUGCUAUUGUUUCUAGAUUAAUCUAUGUGAGGUGAGAGAUUUCUUGCUCUCUAAUUUGUUAUUAUGUCAAAACUUUUUUAGGUUAGUGGUACAUCUAUAGUGUAGAAGUUGUUUAAGUGAGGUUUUAGUUAGUAUAUAUGCUUGUCUCAUUUCUACUUUGAAUCUUGUUCCCUUUUCUUCAAUUGAAUUUGAUUUAGAAUUCAUAAGUUAUAGUACAUGUGAUGUGGUCCAAAAAAACUAGUCGGUAUACUGAAUGGUUGAAAGUCCUAACUUACCUAGAUGGAACUCUUUUUCAAUGUGUUUGGUUUCAAUGUGGAAAGUAUUAACAAUGACUUUAUUUUCCCCUUAUGUCAAACAUCAUUGUAGUUUUGUGUAAGGAUGAAAAUCAAUUCUUAGACAAGUUGAGAUAUUGCACAUGUGUUAUUUUUUUUAGAUUGAUUCUGAUAAAGCAUAUGUUUGUUUUCGCAGUAGAAAAUUGAUUGAGGUGUGUUAUCUUUUAAACUAGGGUUUGUAGCUUCAACGUAUAAUUUUUUUAUCUCACUUUAAAUAUCAUAACCAAACACAAAUAAUUUUUUUUUCAUAUUAUGAAAAUCAAUUCUAACACAAAGAAACUUAUUUUUUGAGUAAAAAGAAUUAAAUAUAAACUAAUUUGUUGCUCCUUCAAACACAAUAUAGCUUCAUUGUGAUAGUUGUCUUUCAUUUCACACUGAUUACACUUCUUGUAGUUGAGUGGCAUUUGGCUUAUUCUUUGCUUGUGAAACAAUGAAAAGAGUGGUAGGAAAAAUGUGUCUCAUUCAGUGAUGUUUAUUGAAGAGUAAAUAUUUUCAUAAUGACUACUACGUCAUACCAAACCAGAUUCUUAUGAUAUUUACAUUUUUAUAUUUUUUUUGUUUUAUUUUUUAAUUUAAUAUGUUGUUUCAAAGCCUCUUCUAAACUCUUUUAUUUUUCUUUCAUCCUACUCCUUCUAUAGUUGAACAUUACCACCCCUACACACCGAAAGUGUGAAUUUGAUGUAGAUUGGUUUUCUGUGACAUGUUGAGGCCUACUAUACUUUAGGUGAAGAACGUGACUAAAUUUUUCAAGUUUAAAGUGUUGUUCAAACUUUCAUAACAAAUCAUUUUUUCAUCUCUUGAAUCUUGAUUAAAUCUUGGUAUCCGACCUAAUAGUUGAUUAACUCGAAAGGUCUAAUCUAAUUGUUCAUUUGUGGAGGCCAUUUAAACACACACAAAAUUGAGAGGUUCUUAUAAUAUUUUAGACAUUCAUUCAAAAUUUCUAAUGAUACACAUGAAUCGACUUAAAAGCAGAGACCAAAAGUAGCAAUGUAAAACUUUUGGAGAACCAAAACUCUAAAAAAAAAAUUAAAGGGACUAAAAAGAAAAGAUAGAAUAUUAGUAGGGACCAAAAAAUGUUUAGCCCAAAAAUAAAAUAAUGUUAAUUGAAAGACAUUUUAAGAAUAACAUUGUUAAAUAAAGUAAAACUAACAUAACAAUUUAUAUACCAACAAUUGGUAUUUAAAAAAAUAUUAAGUAAAAAUAAUUAGUUUUCAACCUUUUUCAGAUGUAAUUUUAUUUUAGCAAUUUCUUUUUCCACACUACUUUAUUAUCACGCGUCCUACUGAAUUCUGAAAAUACCUCCGUUCGGAUUAUAUAGUCUGAAUGAUUUUUUGAAGGUUUUCAUAUUAUAAAAUUUGAAACCUCUAAAAAUCCAGAAAAAAUACAGAAUUUUGCACUGAUUCAUCCAAAACGUGUAAAUGUACAGUUUGAAAAAUACUAUCUGAAAACUCUAAUAAUAUUUCAUAUUACAUAUUCAGAAUUGUGUCAAACUCCCAAAAGACCAUUUCAAAGAUAAAUUACAGUGUAUGAUAAUGAAAUUUAACCAACAGGUUAACAAAAUCGCAAUGAGAAGACACAAAGCAGAAUUGAAUCAAAGAAAUUGAGAUGGAGGAAAGACCCAAUCCAAGAAGAAGACAGCAAAGAAAAUUGAAUGUAUUUUCUAUAGAAAGUGAAUAGAGAGAAAGAAAAAAAAAAAAAAAAAAAAAAAAGCUAGAAUGCAAAAGAAAGGGGAAAAAGAGAAAAUUGGAUUUUCUCAAGAAAAUGCAGCGGAAAAUAUCUUUUAAGGUGGAUACCAGAUUAGCUCUUAUACCAUGUUAUAAAACAUGAUAUACAUAGAAGGAACAAGAGAAAACUCAAAAAAUCUUUCUAUUUAUGAUAAAUGUAAAUGUUACAAAUGAUAAGAGAGACAUCUCAAAAAAGAGAAUAGAUGGACUAGUGAGUAAAUGAAAUAAUAGCAUAGUGGAUAUUUUUCCUUAAAAAAAAGCAUAGUGGAUAUUUUCUUAUUAAUCAAAGUUUUCCUUAAUCUGAACUUUGUUUUAGGAGACCUUAAUUUGUACUUAUAAAACUAUUUUGAAAGACAUGUAUUUUGAAGAGAGGGAGUAGGUGAUAAUGUAAGCAUUGAAUGCAGUUUGAACAAGUCAAAGACAAAGUGUGUUUGGUGGGGAAUGUAAUGUUAUGAGGGAAUUCAAAUAUUUUGCGGUGAAUUUUAUGUUUGGAUAAUAAUUUGAAGAAUUUUCAAAAUGAUGGGAAUUUAUGAAGUAUUUUGUUCAAGUUCAAUUUAAAGAAUUUCAAAUGACACCUCAAUUUAGGUGAAUUUCAAAUGAUUGAAAUUUGACCUCAAUUUUUUCAAAAUUUUCAAUUUGACCUCAAUAAAUUUCCAAAAAAUUAUAAAUUGACCCCUUAAAUUUUUCAAAAAUUAUAAUUUGACCCCUCAAAAAUUUUUAAAUUUACAAAUUGACCCCUAAUUUUAAUUUUCAAAUUUGGCCCAAAAUUUAUAAAAUUUAUAGAAAUUUUUUAUUACUCCACCCAAACAAAAGUAUUGAAAAAUGAAAGAAAUUUAAUCGAAUCAUUUAAAUUGCCUAAAAUUUAAAUUCUUUAAAAUUGUAUAAAAAUACUUGUACAAAUAUAAUUUCUUUAGACGUUAUUGAGGUUCACAUUAUUCAUCUAUGUAGCAACCAAUUUUGAUGUCUUUGAGACAAUUACAUAACAUGAGUACCAUUGAAACUCUCUUUUAAACUCUCUCUAACACUCACUAUUUUAUUUAAUGAGAUCGAUAUGUGUUCUACACUUUAAAAAUAGGUCAUACCUAAAUGGCGAAAAAAACUCGUGAGUUUCACAAAAUAAAAGAGUGAAUGUUGAAAAGAUAGUGUUCCAAAAACUUCUCAUUAAAUAACACCUUACAAAAUCUAAAUCAAAGUUAUUAUAGAGGCUCAAUCAAAACUCAUCCCAACAAUUGUACAAUCCAGUAGUAUCUAAUAAAUGUGUGAUGUAAAACUAGAUUGUUUAUUGGUGUUCAAGUAUGAAAACAAAGAAAAUGAGACAAAGAAAGUCAAUAAUGGACCCACAAUGAUAAAUUUGUGAUUGAAAAUCUGUGUCCUACAAACAUCCCAAUCUCCUAAUCCUAAUGGAACCUUGCAAGUUGCAUCAAUUAUUGAAUUUUGUAUAUACCAAUUACAUUUUUUCUCACCGUUCUUCUUUUUACUACAACACUUCUCAUAUUUUCAACUCUUUCUUUUCUGAAAAAAAAAUGGCUGAAGCUUUACUUGGUGUUGUGUUUGAAAAUCUACUAUCUCUUGUUCAAAAUGAAUUUGCAACCAUUUCUGGAAUCAAGUCCAAGGCUCUAAAGCUAUCAACCACCUUAGAUUUGAUCAAGGCCGUUCUUGAAGAUGCUGAGAAGAAACAAAUAACAGACCGCUCUAUAAAGGUAUGGCUUCAACAACUCAAAGAUGCAAUCUACAUACUAGAUGAUAUUCUUGAUGAGUGUUCCAUUCAAUCCACUCGACAAAAGGGCAUAUCUUCUUUUACAUUAAAGAAUAUCAUGUUUCGCCAUAAAAUUGGCACUAGGUUUAAAGAAAUUACAAACAGAUUCGAUGAUAUUGCUGAAAGUAAAAACAAGUUUCUUCUACAAGAAUGUGUUGCUGUUAGGGAAAGGUCAAUCAAUGUGGCUGAAUGGCGUCAAACUAGCUCUAUUAUUGCUGAACCAAAAGUAUAUGGUCGAGAAGAUGAUAAAGAGAAGAUUGUCGAGUUUCUUCUCACCCAAGCAAAGGGCUCUGACCUCCUUUCCAUCUAUCCAAUUGUUGGCUUAGGUGGUAUUGGGAAAACAACUCUUGCUCAAUUAGUUUAUAAUGAUCACCGGGUGAGUGACAAUUUUGAUACAAAAAUUUGGGUUUGUGUUUCUGAGGCUUUCUCUGUUAACAAAAUUUUGUGUACUAUUAUAGAAUCUUUUUCAAGAGAAAAGUGUGAUGCCUUAGAUUUAGAUGUUAUACAACGACAAGUGCAAGAAUUGUUGGAAGGUAAAAGAUAUUUGCUUGUUUUGGAUGAUGUGUGGAACAGAAAUCAAGAACUGGAAUUUGGAUUAAGCCAAGAGAAAUGGAAUAAGUUGAAAUCCGUGUUGUCAACUGGAUCCAAAGGUUCAUCCAUUUUAGUCUCCACUCGUGAUAAGGAUGUUGCUGAGAUCAUGGGAACAUGCCAAGCUCAUCAUUUGUCUGGUCUAUCUGAAUAUGAAUGUUGGUUGUUGUUCAAACAAUAUGCAUUUCGACAUGAUAGAGAGCAGCAGACUGAGCUUGUCACAAUAGGAAAAGAGAUAGUAAAGAAGUGUGGGGGAUUGCCUCUUGCAGCACAAGCAUUGGGAGGCCUAAUGUGCUCAAGGAGUGGAGAAAAAGAAUGGCUUGAAAUUAAAGAUAGCAGGAUUUGGUCUUUACCGAAUGAGAAUUCUAUUUUGCCUGCUUUAAGGUUGAGCUACUUUCAUUUAAACCCAACCUUAAAACAAUGUUUCACUUUUUGUGCCAUGUUUCCCAAAGAUAUAGAAAUCAUGAAGGGAGAUUUAAUUCAUCUCUGGAUCGCCAACGGAUUUAUAUCAUCAAGGGAAAAUUUAGAGGUAGAAGAUGUUGGAAAUAUGAUUUGGAAUGAAUUGUGCCAAAAGUCAUUUUUCCAAGAAAUCAAGAUGGUCGAUGAUUCAGGAGGCAUUUCUUUCAAGUUGCAUGAUCUUGUCCAUGAUCUUGCUCAAUCAAUUAUAGGAUCGGAGUGUUUGAUUUUGGACAAUACAAACAUAACUGACCUGUCAAGAAGCACACACCAUAUUGGUUUAGUAUCUGCAACACCGUCAUUAUUUGACAAGGGUGCUUUCACAAAAGUUGAAUCGUUGCGAACAUUGUUUCAGAUAGGUUUUUACACCACAAGAUUUUAUGAUUACUUCCCAACCUCUAUACGGGUUUUACGCACAAACUCUUCCAAUUUAUCAUCGCUAAGUAAUUUAAUUCAUUUGAGGUACUUGGAGCUGUUCGAUUUCCAUGACAUAAAAACCCUACCUGACUCAAUUUAUAGCUUGCGUAAUUUGGAAAUCUUGAAACUGAAACAUUUUUCUAAACUUCGUUGUCUACCGGAACACUUGACUUGCUUACAAAAUCUCAGACAUCUUGUUAUUGAAAAUUGUGAUGCAUUGUCCCGUGUGUUCCCUAACAUUGGUAAAUUAUCUUCCCUAAGAACAUUAAGUAAACACAUUGUCCGUUUAGAGAUUGGAUACAGCUUGGCAGAAUUACAUGAUCUAAAGCUAGGGGGAAAACUAAGCAUUACUUGCCUAGAAAAUGUUGGAAGUUUGUCUGAAGCUCGAGAAGCCAAUCUGAUAGAUAAAAAAGAACUUCAGGAAAUAUGCUUCUCAUGGAACAACAGGCGUAAAACCAAGACACCUGCUACUAGCACCGAGGAAAUACUUGAAGUGCUUCAACCUCACUCAAAUCUCAAGAUCUUGAAAAUACAUGGCUAUGACGGAUUGCACCUCCCAUGUUGGAUCCAAAUUCAAAGUAGUUUAGCUGUUCUUAGACUUUCUUAUUGCAAAAACUGUGUGCGGCUUCCAUCACUUGCUAAAUUACCAUCUCUCAAAAAACUCCAAUUAUGGUAUAUGGAUAAUGUGCAGUAUGUGGAUGAUGAAGAAUCAAGCGAUGGUGUGGAGGUUAGGGGUUUCCCAUCUCUGGAGGAGCUGCUUUUAGGUAAUUUACCUAACUUGGAACGGUUGUUGAAAGUGGAAACAGGGGAGAUUUUUCCCCGCCUUUCUAAGUUGGCCAUCGUUGGUUGCCCUAAACUUGGGUUGCCACACCUUUCAUCGUUUAAAGAACUCAUUGUAGAUGGAUGUAACAAUGAGUUGCUGGAGUCAAUCUCUAGUUUCUACGGCCUAACUACCCUUGAGAUUAAUAGAGGUGAAGAUGUGACAUAUUUUCCAAAAGGGAUGUUGAAAAACCUGACCUGUCUUCGAACUUUGGAAAUAUCUGAUUUCCCAAAAGUGAAAGCAUUGCCAAGUGAAGCCUUCAACCUAGCUUUGGAGCAUCUUGGUAUCCAUCACUGUUGUGAGCUUGACUCAUUACCAGAACAACUUUUUGAAGGUCUACGAUCCCUUCGAACCAUGGAGAUUGCUUUCUGUGAAAGAUUGAGAUGCUUGCCAGAAGGUAUUCGCCACCUCACAUCACUUGAGGUUCUGACAGUUUAUGGUUGCCCAGCUGUAGCAGAGCGAUGUAAGGAAGAAAUAGGAGAGGACUGGGACAUGAUAGAACACAUUCCAAAAUUAUCUAUUAAUUAGAUUGAAGAAGAAGAAACUUUUGACCAACAUUGAUUCCAUUACAAUAUGCCAAAUAAUAUAGAAUCAUUUGUAUAUUAAGACCAUGUAUAUUCCAAUCACUGCAAUAUUCCAAAUAAUAUAGUUGAUGGCUACUUUGGGAGUGCGACAAGUUUUUAAAAUGACAAUUGGUUUUCUUUUUCAAACAUUAUCGUUAUUAAUUACCUUAUUUGCUAAUUCUGAACUAUAGUUUCUAUAAUGUCAGGUGCUGGUUAUGUUAGACAUUAGUAAGGGAACAUUAAGUUCACUAUAAAUACAAUUUUUAUACAACAAGAUCAGAUGAAAUUUUCAUGAAAGGGUUAACUUGAGAAUAACCGUACAAUCUAAUUACAUCAUAAAUAUAUACAUGAAAAUAGAGAAUAUUUACAUUUACAUAGAAGAAAAUAAAGGAAAUAACAUCUCAAUAAAUAUAAAUGAAGUAUUUUAAUGAUUGUGUCAUAUCUCAGUAGCUACAUUUCAACAAAAGUACAAGUAUAUAUAUUCUACUUUUUGAAACACUUUUUGAAUUACAUUCUUAGAUACAGAAUCAAAGACUCUUUAGAGAUCAAUGAUGAAAAACCUAGAACCUAAUGAUCUUGAUCAUUGGCUAGUAGAAGUCAUUGUUAAUGUUUAUGACCAACAUUUACAAACUAAAUCUAUUCUUUUCUAUGCAAAUAUCUCAGUAUAAGGUUAGAGUUAUACAUGGUAAACCAUACCGACUUCUAGCAAAGAAGUAUGAACUACUUCCAACAUAAUAUCAGGUUCUCUGCAAUUUUUGCUUAGAAAAGCAUAAACAACAUCUAUUCCAAAUUUCUUUAAAAUGGAAGAUGAUUUUUUUGCCUCUGCAUAGGAAUGCCCAACUAUAUAAGUAAUACCUGAUUCUUUGGCUUUUAAAAUCUGCAAUGACUCGACUUUAUAGGACUCGUCUUGAAGUUGUUGGCCGUCACAUGAAAAUGCUAAAGAAUUCUUUUCAGAAUGUGACCAAUUCAAUUUCAAAGUGUGUUGUGAAGCACCAAGAUCUUCCGCAUUUAAGUUUCUUCCAUCAUCUAUAGUCAAUUCAUUUGUUUGUUCUUGAACACAGUCUUCUGAUUCUAUAAACUGUAUUAUUGCAGAUACCAAUUUAUUAUCAAAAUUGUAAUUCUCUUGUUGUAUGUCUUUGUAACCGUAUCGGACAAUGCACCGAAACAUGUAGAACUCCUUCGGACCAAUCCUGCUGAUGACUAAUCUUUCACUUUCACUGACAUAAGGAACUUGAACUGAUUUAGCACAUACAAAAACUAACACCUGAUGGAAUGCUGGUAAAUUUGUAAUAAAAUGACCAAAAAUAGCCGGGAUACCGGAAGCAAGAUUAGUGAAAAUGAGACCGAUUCCUGGGACACGGACCAUGCCUAAACAAGGUCCUAAUGAUAACAUCUUGCUCAUCGAGACCUUGUUUUCAACAUCAAAUUUGUGUUUCUUCAUUGUUCCAUAAUUCCAUGUGAACAUUAUGGCCAUAAAAAUGAAAGAGAGCGAAAUUGGGAUCCAUCCUCCUUCAGGGAUUUUGCAGACAGAAGCUGAGAUGUAAAGAAGUUCAAUAGAUCCAAACAAUAGGAAACAUGUAAGUGCUUUUAUUAUCCCUUGUUUCCAAACAAUUAUAAUUAUUAGCGUCAUCAAACAUGUUGUCACAAACAUAACAGUGGUGAUAGCCAACCCUGGAAACCAAGAAAAAUAGUUUAAAUUUAGUUUUCAAUACUUCAAGUAUCAUAUAAUAAGUAAACUUAAGAGUAAACAGUCAUUUUCCCUAAAUGUAUGAAGCUUAAUCACAAUAGCAACGAUUGUAUCCGAAUUACAAAAUUAUCCCUAAAGCGUCUUUUGUCUGUAAUUUUAUGGACCAAAUUGACUACUUGAUGAUAGAUUCUAGAACUAUACUAAUUAAUGGAAGAUACAUUUGAUGAUGAAACGGACUAAUGAAAGACAAGUUUAUGUAGUUUUUUAUUUUAUUUUUAUAAUUUGAUACAUUAGAGACUAUUGUGACAUCGCCUCACAUAUUUUAGGAUAAAAAUGAUUGAUUAAUCUAAACACAAUGGAAAAGGAUAUCAUACCAUAUGCAUGACCCAUCAUGUUUGUAUCCCUAAGGCCAAUUGUGACAGCUAAACAAAGGCACAUUAAUAUCCAAUUGACUUCUGGAACAUAAAUCUGUCCAUAUAUUUUGCUAGAAGUAUGAACAAUCUUGACUCGAGGAAAACAAUUUAAUGCACAGCAUUGGCUUAUGAUGGAAAAAGUUGCAGAAAUCACUGCUUGACUUCCUACAACAGCAGCAAAAGUGGCCACUAUAAAAACUGGCCAAAAUACAGCUUCUGCAGAAAAAUAGUAGCACUGUUACCCUAGAGUUAUCAUAAAUAAUAUCGAUAUAUUUGUGGUUUAUUAAAGUGAAUUCUUGCCUGGUAUGGCUUUGUAGAAACUUCUCUCAAUGUCAUAAUGGUGCUUAGAGAGAAAUGCAGCCUCACCCAUAUAUGCCAAAAUCAGGCAGGGAUAUACUAAACAUGUGAAAGCUAUCUGAGAUUUACGUGUAACUGUUAAAUCAGAUUUCAUUUUUGUAUGCUAAACUAAUAUACUUGUGAUCAAUAUUGUUAAUUAUUGUAUACUUUUAAUUUACCUUUAUUGAGAGUGCAGAAAAAUGACCCAUGUCAGCAUACAUUGUCUCCACACCUGCGACAGUAUCACGUAGGAAAAUUAAUCUCAUAGCUCUUUAGCUGCAAGAGAAAUGAUAUUUUGUACAACCAAAUUUAGACAAUUUUUGUGACUUUUUUUAAGUGUUCAAAUAGGUGAUUAAUUACGUUUAGUAUAUGAUUAAUAGAUAUAUCAGGUGUCAAAACUUAUUAACCACCAACAUAACUUCAUCAACCACAAAUUUGGAAGUGGUUAGCCAUAAUUUUCAGUUAAGUACAUACAAAUUUAUGGUUAAUGCUGUUACAUUGAUAGUCAAUGAGUUUUCACAUAUAGUAUAUCCAUGAACCACCUACUGAACGCAAUUAACCACUUAUUUGAAGUGUGUUAACCACUUAAAAAGUUGUUGCGAAAAUUGUCUGAAUUUGGUUGUUCAAAUAACACAAGCUAGACAACUGUAAUAAAAUUGACUAACUUAUAUUACCUGUUAUCGAAAGCACAACUCCACUUAAUGACAACCAUCCUUCGAUGCCAGUGGUUUUGAGAAACCUAAACAUAUAGACUGGAGAAAGUGCACGAUAUACUUGUCGGUUCCAUUGGAAAAUAUUGUAUAUACCAAUACCACUGAUACACAAAAGCCAUGCUGCAACAACUGGGGCAAACAUGAAGGCAACUCUAUGUGUUCCAUGAUGCUGAAUGGAGAAAAGGCCAACUAAAAUGAUACAUGAGACUAUAACAACAUAAUCUGCGCAAUACAUAGUGUAGAGUUUCAAAAUUAUGCAUUGAAUAGACAUAAUGGUAAUGAUCGAAGUUCGGUUGGCUUACUGUCAUGGAGUUGGUUGAUCUUAACUUGAACUCCUGAAACUGCUGAAAAUACUGAAAUGAGACAUGAGAAGGAUGGUCAUAGAUCGAAAAGGAUAAACAGUACAAUUAUUUAUUCUCUGUAAACACCGAAAUACUAUAAUGAUCAACUCUUGAAUCAGUAUAUUCUCUGUAAACAGUACAGUUAUUUAUUCUGAAAUGUACUUUUGUCUAAUCACAUUAAUGAUGAAUAAUGAAUUCUAGCAAUUAGUAAUCAGCUAAAGCUAUAAUUUAAGGAAUGCAUGUGUGUAUCUGUGACAUUGCCAAUGUUGUAUAACAUAGUUCAUUUUGGUUCAAAUAUUAUGUUUAGUCCCUGCAAAAUCAAAUGUUGUCAGUUCAAAUAUUAUGUUUAAAAAAGCUGAUGUUGUGGACCGAGGUACACACCAUCAUUUCCAUGUAGAUGACAAUGCCACAUGUCAACACCACAUUGGAUGAUAGUGACAUAUAGCAUGGCCACACGAAGCUGAUAUGCCAUGUCUAACUCCUCGUUUUUACUGACGUGUUCUAUUAGUGUUUGAUGUGUGUCACUAUUAUCCAAUGUGGUGUUGAAACAUGACAUAGUCAUCCUACAUGGGAAGGAUGUCAUUUAGUCGUAUUUGCCACAUCAGAUAUUUUAAAUAGAAAGUUGACACUACGGACAAAAAACAAAUACAUGAUUCUGUAAGGAUGAAAAGAAAGAGAAAGAAAAAAAAAAGGUAUUUAUAGGGACUAAAACCAAAAUUUGCUCUAUUUAUGGGGACAGAACACAUAUUCAAACCAUUCUGUUUUUUAUAAGACCAAACUCCCUUUUACUUGUACAACAAGUAACCCAUAGAUUAACAGAAGGGAUGCUCCUGAUCAAAGUACCUGAUAUUGCAGGAGUAAUCACACCAUCACCAAUUGUCAUGCAAGUUCCCAACAAAACAAAGAUUAACAGUCCUUUCUGGAAUCUAGGAUGCUUUUCAAAGAACAGCUUCAAAAGAGAAGAUUGCCAUGUAUCGGCAGAAUCUUCUGUUGAAUAAGCAGAUAAAGUCUCAUCUGUUGGUUGCUGAUUAGGCAAAAUGCUUAGUCUUGCAUGUCUGCAGAGAAGUGAGUAUAAUGCAAAUGUGCCUCCUGCAGUAAAAUAAGGAACAUAAGAAAGAAAUUCUUAGAUGCUCAUGAACCAAAGAGAUUGAUCUUGAUUUCUACCAAUGGUUUCUUAUAUAACAAAAUUAUAACAAUGUGUUCCCUUUUUAUUUUUUGUUUUAAAAUAGUCCCUUAUUUUACAAAUGUUACAUUAAAUUUAUCCAUUUUAAAUUUUAAAACUAUCCAUUAUUGUCCCAUAAGUCCUAGCUCAACCGGUGAAAAUGCCGAAAUUGUUAGGCCGGACAUCAUGAUCGAGAUUCGAACCCCGGCACCUCCACUUUGUGUGUGUGAGUUUACGAUGGCUUUACCAUUUCUUCUAUCUACCAAAAAAAAAACUACUCAUUAUUUUGUAAAAGCUAUACCAAGGUGGUCCUCUCUGUAAAACAAAGAACAAUUUCAUUACCAAAAAUACCAAAAGAAAAUUGAAAUCUAAAAUAAAGAUAAGGAACCAAAAUUAUUUAGUCUAAAAUUAAUCUUCAAAUAUUUAUCUGUUAAUUAAGUAAUCAUAGUAGACAUCAUGACAGAGAAGGAAAAUUAUGGCUCAAAAUAAUUAUAUAAAGUCAAAAAGAACAAAUAACAGAAUAUACAAUGCUUCUGAGUUCUGUCAUCAUUUUAUUCAUUUGGUAAAGCCAAAAAAACAUCCAAAUAUCCUUUAUGGGAGUUUUGGCUGAAUAAUAAUGUGAUUAUAAAAAUAAUUGAGUUGACUUAAUCAACUUAAAAGCCAAAGGAACUGAAAAGAUACACACCAAAAGUACCAACAUCAAUGAUUGAAGAUUGUACCUUCUCCAUUAUCAUCAGCAGACAUGACAAUGAAAACAUAUUUGAAGAGAGCAAUAAUAGUAAAUGUCCAAAAGAUAAAUGAAAGCACUCCAAAAAUUUCUUCAUCAUCUUCUUUAAGGCUCAAUUUCCCUGAGAAUGAGGUCUUGUAUACAUAAAGAGGAGAAGUACUUAGGUCACCAUAAACUACUCCAAGACUUUGGUAUGCUAGAGUCAGCACAUUUAAACAAGAUGUCCUCUUUAAAUUCUGAUACAUGAAAUGAAACCAAGCAUAAGCUUNNNNNNNNNNNNNNNNNNNNNNNNNNNNNNNNNNNNNNNNNNNNNNNNNNNNNNNNNNNNNNNNNNNNNNNNNNNNNNNNNNNNNNNNNNNNNNNNNNNNNNNNNNNNNNNNNNNNNNNNNNNNNNNNNNNNNNNNNNNNNNNNNNNNNNNNNNNNNNNNNNNNNNNNNNNNNNNNNNNNNNNNNNNNNNNNNNNNNNNNNNNNNNNNNNNNNNNNNNNNNNNNNNNNNNNNNNNNNNNNNNNNNNNNNNNNNNNNNNNNNNNNNNNNNNNNNNNNNNNNNNNNNNNNNNNNNNNNNNNNNNNNNNNNNNNNNNNNNNNNNNNNNNNNNNNNNNNNNNNNNNNNNNNNNNNNNNNNNNNNNNNNNNNNNNNNNNNNNNNNNNNNNNNNNNNNNNNNNNNNNNNNNNNNNNNNNNNNNNNNNNNNNNNNNNNNNNNNNNNNNNNNNNNNNNNNNNNNNNNNNNNNNNNNNNNNNNNNNNNNNNNNNNNNNNNNNNNNNNNNNNNNNNNNNNNNNNNNNNNNNNNNNNNNNNNNNNNNNNNNNNNNNNNNNNNNNNNNNNNNNNNNNNNNNNNNNNNNNNNNNNNNNNNNNNNNNNNNNNNNNNNNNNNNNNNNNNNNNNNNNNNNNNNNNNNNNNNNNNNNNNNNNNNNNNNNNNNNNNNNNNNNNNNNNNNNNNNNNNNNNNNNNNNNNNNNNNNNNNNNNNNNNNNNNNNNNNNNNNNNNNNNNNNNNNNNNNNNNNNNNNNNNNNNNNNNNNNNNNNNNNNNNNNNNNNNNNNNNNNNNNNNNNNNNNNNNNNNNNNNNNNNNNNNNNNNNNNNNNNNNNNNNNNNNNNNNNNNNNNNNNNNNNNNNNNNNNNNNNNNNNNNNNNNNNNNNNNNNNNNNNNNNNNNNNNNNNNNNNNNNNNNNNNNNNNNNNNNNNNNNNNNNNNNNNNNNNNNNNNNNNNNNNNNNNNNNNNNNNNNNNNNNNNNNNNNNNNNNNNNNNNNNNNNNNNNNNNNNNNNNNNNNNNNNNNNNNNNNNNNNNNNNNNNNNNNNNNNNNNNNNNNNNNNNNNNNNNNNNNNNNNNNNNNNNNNNNNNNNNNNNNNNNNNNNNNNNNNNNNNNNNNNNNNNNNNNNNNNNNNNNNNNNNNNNNNNNNNNNNNNNNNNNNNNNNNNNNNNNNNNNNNNNNNNNNNNNNNNNNNNNNNNNNNNNNNNNNNNNNNNNNNNNNNNNNNNNNNNNNNNNNNNNNNNNNNNNNNNNNNNNNNNNNNNNNNNNNNNNNNNNNNNNNNNNNNNNNNNNNNNNNNNNNNNNNNNNNNNNNNNNNNNNNNNNNNNNNNNNNNNNNNNNNNNNNNNNNNNNNNNNNNNNNNNNNNNNNNNNNNNNNNNNNNNNNNNNNNNNNNNNNNNNNNNNNNNNNNNNNNNNNNNNNNNNNNNNNNNNNNNNNNNNNNNNNNNNNNNNNNNNNNNNNNNNNNNNNNNNNNNNNNNNNNNNNNNNNNNNNNNNNNNNNNNNNNNNNNNNNNNNNNNNNNNNNNNNNNNNNNNNNNNNNNNNNNNNNNNNNNNNNNNNNNNNNNNNNNNNNNNNNNNNNNNNNNNNNNNNNNNNNNNNNNNNNNNNNNNNNNNNNNNNNNNNNNNNNNNNNNNNNNNNNNNNNNNNNNNNNNNNNNNNNNNNNNNNNNNNNNNNNNNNNNNNNNNNNNNNNNNNNNNNNNNNNNNNNNNNNNNNNNNNNNNNNNNNNNNNNNNNNNNNNNNNNNNNNNNNNNNNNNNNNNNNNNNNNNNNNNNNNNNNNNNNNNNNNNNNNNNNNNNNNNNNNNNNNNNNNNNNNNNNNNNNNNNNNNNNNNNNNNNNNNNNNNNNNNNNNNNNNNNNNNNNNNNNNNNNNNNNNNNNNNNNNNNNNNNNNNNNNNNNNNNNNNNNNNNNNNNNNNNNNNNNNNNNNNNNNNNNNNNNNNNNNNNNNNNNNNNNNNNNNNNNNNNNNNNNNNNNNNNNNNNNNNNNNNNNNNNNNNNNNNNNNNNNNNNNNNNNNNNNNNNNNNNNNNNNNNNNNNNNNNNNNNNNNNNNNNNNNNNNNNNNNNNNNNNNNNNNNNNNNNNNNNNNNNNNNNNNNNNNNNNNNNNNNNNNNNNNNNNNNNNNNNNNNNNNNNNNNNNNNNNNNNNNNNNNNNNNNNNNNNNNNNNNNNNNNNNNNNNNNNNNNNNNNNNNNNNNNNNNNNNNNNNNNNNNNNNNNNNNNNNNNNNNNNNNNNNNNNNNNNNNNNNNNNNNNNNNNNNNNNNNNNNNNNNNNNNNNNNNNNNNNNNNNNNNNNNNNNNNNNNNNNNNNNNNNNNNNNNNNNNNNNNNNNNNNNNNNNNNNNNNNNNNNNNNNNNNNNNNNNNNNNNNNNNNNNNNNNNNNNNNNNNNNNNNNNNNNNNNNNNNNNNNNNNNNNNNNNNNNNNNNNNNNNNNNNNNNNNNNNNNNNNNNNNNNNNNNNNNNNNNNNNNNNNNNNNNNNNNNNNNNNNNNNNNNNNNNNNNNNNNNNNNNNNNNNNNNNNNNNNNNNNNNNNNNNNNNNNNNNNNNNNNNNNNNNNNNNNNNNNNNNNNNNNNNNNNNNNNNNNNNNNNNNNNNNNNNNNNNNNNNNNNNNNNNNNNNNNNNNNNNNNNNNNNNNNNNNNNNNNNNNNNNNNNNNNNNNNNNNNNNNNNNNNNNNNNNNNNNNNNNNNNNNNNNNNNNNNNNNNNNNNNNNNNNNNNNNNNNNNNNNNNNNNNNNNNNNNNNNNNNNNNNNNNNNNNNNNNNNNNNNNNNNNNNNNNNNNNNNNNNNNNNNNNNNNNNNNNNNNNNNNNNNNNNNNNNNNNNNNNNNNNNNNNNNNNNNNNNNNNNNNNNNNNNNNNNNNNNNNNNNNNNNNNNNNNNNNNNNNNNNNNNNNNNNNNNNNNNNNNNNNNNNNNNNNNNNNNNNNNNNNNNNNNNNNNNNNNNNNNNNNNNNNNNNNNNNNNNNNNNNNNNNNNNNNNNNNNNNNNNNNNNNNNNNNNNNNNNNNNNNNNNNNNNNNNNNNNNNNNNNNNNNNNNNNNNNNNNNNNNNNNNNNNNNNNNNNNNNNNNNNNNNNNNNNNNNNNNNNNNNNNNNNNNNNNNNNNNNNNNNNNNNNNNNNNNNNNNNNNNNNNNNNNNNNNNNNNNNNNNNNNNNNNNNNNNNNNNNNNNNNNNNNNNNNNNNNNNNNNNNNNNNNNNNNNNNNNNNNNNNNNNNNNNNNNNNNNNNNNNNNNNNNNNNNNNNNNNNNNNNNNNNNNNNNNNNNNNNNNNNNNNNNNNNNNNNNNNNNNNNNNNNNNNNNNNNNNNNNNNNNNNNNNNNNNNNNNNNNNNNNNNNNNNNNNNNNNNNNNNNNNNNNNNNNNNNNNNNNNNNNNNNNNNNNNNNNNNNNNNNNNNNNNNNNNNNNNNNNNNNNNNNNNNNNNNNNNNNNNNNNNNNNNNNNNNNNNNNNNNNNNNNNNNNNNNNNNNNNNNNNNNNNNNNNNNNNNNNNNNNNNNNNNNNNNNNNNNNNNNNNNNNNNNNNNNNNNNNNNNNNNNNNNNNNNNNNNNNNNNNNNNNNNNNNNNNNNNNNNNNNNNNNNNNNNNNNNNNNNNNNNNNNNNNNNNNNNNNNNNNNNNNNNNNNNNNNNNNNNNNNNNNNNNNNNNNNNNNNNNNNNNNNNNNNNNNNNNNNNNNNNNNNNNNNNNNNNNNNNNNNNNNNNNNNNNNNNNNNNNNNNNNNNNNNNNNNNNNNNNNNNNNNNNNNNNNNNNNNNNNNNNNNNNNNNNNNNNNNNNNNNNNNNNNNNNNNNNNNNNNNNNNNNNNNNNNNNNNNNNNNNNNNNNNNNNNNNNNNNNNNNNNNNNNNNNNNNNNNNNNNNNNNNNNNNNNNNNNNNNNNNNNNNNNNNNNNNNNNNNNNNNNNNNNNNNNNNNNNNNNNNNNNNNNNNNNNNNNNNNNNNNNNNNNNNNNNNNNNNNNNNNNNNNNNNNNNNNNNNNNNNNNNNNNNNNNNNNNNNNNNNNNNNNNNNNNNNNNNNNNNNNNNNNNNNNNNNNNNNNNNNNNNNNNNNNNNNNNNNNNNNNNNNNNNNNNNNNNNNNNNNNNNNNNNNNNNNNNNNNNNNNNNNNNNNNNNNNNNNNNNNNNNNNNNNNNNNNNNNNNNNNNNNNNNNNNNNNNNNNNNNNNNNNNNNNNNNNNNNNNNNNNNNNNNNNNNNNNNNNNNNNNNNNNNNNNNNNNNNNNNNNNNNNNNNNNNNNNNNNNNNNNNNNNNNNNNNNNNNNNNNNNNNNNNNNNNNNNNNNNNNNNNNNNNNNNNNNNNNNNNNNNNNNNNNNNNNNNNNNNNNNNNNNNNNNNNNNNNNNNNNNNNNNNNNNNNNNNNNNNNNNNNNNNNNNNNNNNNNNNNNNNNNNNNNNNNNNNNNNNNNNNNNNNNNNNNNNNNNNNNNNNNNNNNNNNNNNNNNNNNNNNNNNNNNNNNNNNNNNNNNNNNNNNNNNNNNNNNNNNNNNNNNNNNNNNNNNNNNNNNNNNNNNNNNNNNNNNNNNNNNNNNNNNNNNNNNNNNNNNNNNNNNNNNNNNNNNNNNNNNNNNNNNNNNNNNNNNNNNNNNNNNNNNNNNNNNNNNNNNNNNNNNNNNNNNNNNNNNNNNNNNNNNNNNNNNNNNNNNNNNNNNNNNNNNNNNNNNNNNNNNNNNNNNNNNNNNNNNNNNNNNNNNNNNNNNNNNNNNNNNNNNNNNNNNNNNNNNNNNNNNNNNNNNNNNNNNNNNNNNNNNNNNNNNNNNNNNNNNNNNNNNNNNNNNNNNNNNNNNNNNNNNNNNNNNNNNNNNNNNNNNNNNNNNNNNNNNNNNNNNNNNNNNNNNNNNNNNNNNNNNNNNNNNNNNNNNNNNNNNNNNNNNNNNNNNNNNNNNNNNNNNNNNNNNNNNNNNNNNNNNNNNNNNNNNNNNNNNNNNNNNNNNNNNNNNNNNNNNNNNNNNNNNNNNNNNNNNNNNNNNNNNNNNNNNNNNNNNNNNNNNNNNNNNNNNNNNNNNNNNNNNNNNNNNNNNNNNNNNNNNNNNNNAAGCUUUAAAAAAUUGUUCGGACUAAAGAUUGUAGUCAAUCAUCGAAAUGAAGCCAUGAACAUGAAGAGCCCUAAUGGCAGCAAGCCUAUGAAAGAGGGAUAUUUACUGAACUGAUAACAAAUAAGAAAAGAGGGAUAUUCCAUUAGACCCACGUUUAUUUGAAAUAUUGAAUCAUGAUAUGUAAAUGAAAAGCUAAAUAGCACAUAGAAAACAAAAAUAAAACCUAAAGGGGGUGUUUGUUUCAAGGUUAAGAAUGACAUUCCCGGGAAUACAUGGCUAGGGAAUGAUUAUACCCAUGUUUGUUAUGAGGUUGAGAAAAAAAUAUUCCUGGGUAUAAAGAUUCCUGGGAAUGGAGUAACUUCCCAUAACUUCCAUUAUUCCCAUGUAAAGAGAUGGGAAUGUGCAUUCCCAUGAUAUUAUGCAUAGAUUUAAAAAAAAAAAAUUGUAACUUCCAAUUUUUCCAGGAAUGUCAAGUUAUUUGCCAAACACUUUUUUUAACAAAUACCCAAUAAUCAAAUUUUCAUAUUUUCAUUCCCGGGUAUAUUAUUCCUGGGAAUAAUUUGUGUUUUCCAAAAACAAACGCUCGUAUGCACAAAAGUUCAACCAUACUCAACAGGCACACAUUGCAAAAAUUCAAUUAGUUUAGAAAUUAUGGUAGGCAAAAGCCAUAUGUAAUACAUGAAUUUCUGAUACUAAUCGAAUGGCAUUAUUGUGUACCAAAACAUUUGAUUUUGUCAAUGUAAGCUCCCAUUUAUUUAUCCAUCAACUAAGCCAACAGUCACUAUAUCCUUCCUCCACAUACUUCCUGCAAUUGAUGAGCUGCAAGGUUCUGAUUCAUUCAUUUGACGCACAUCCAUCUGAAAUAUUGAAUCACGAUAUAUAAAUGAAAAGUUAAAUAGAACAUGGCAAAAAGAAAUUACUCAACAGGCACACUCUGCGAAAAUUCAAUUAGUUUAUAAUCCAUGGUAGGAAAAAUCCAUAUGUAAUAUGUACAUAAUUUCAGAUACUAAUGAAAUAGAAUUAUCCAACAAAAGACAAAUGCUAGGAAAGACCCGAAAUGAAUUUAUAGAGUGGCACCCCUCCUUACAUGUUGGUUUUGUAGGGUUGAGUUAGACCCAGUGUACAAUAUAAUAUGGCAUUAGAGCCUAUGGAUUCAGACCACCUACCAUUUAUAUCCACGCACCAAGUCCAAUAGUGUUGGGCAUGAGGAGGUGUAUUGGGAAAAACACAAGCCCGACAUAGGAUAAAGAUAAGACAUGAAAAAUUUAUAAAUAGUGGCACCUCUCUCCUUACAAAUCGGUUUUAUAGGUUUGAGUUUGGUCCAAUAUAGAAAUCUACUACAUUGUAUGGUAGAAUGUUAGAAAACAACCCAAAGUGAAAGAAUAAAAGGAAAUAAAUACGGUUAUUUAUUAUUUGCAUAUACCUGUUGAUGAAGGAAUCGGUGUGCGACCUUGUAUUCCCUCUGGAGGAUGAUGUGCUGAACAGAACAAUCUGAACGCCCACGGUGAAGAAUAUUGUUGCAGCCCUGGUGAAGAACAAUGCUGUAGUGCAGAACAGAACAAUCUGAACGCUCCUGGUGAAAAAUAUUCGAUACGAAAUGCUCGAUGCUCUGAAAUAAAAAUCUGAACUUGCUUCGAAUUUGAACAGAAAUUCUUGAUGCCGGUGGAAUCUGGAGAGAGGCCAUGAAAGGUGGAAGAAAUUUUGGAAUUAGGAUUCUAUUUAAAUUUGCUUGUUUUGAGAGUAUUUGGGCAUCCAAUUGACACCUCUAGUCUACACAGUGAACCACCACAUUAUGCAAACGUGCACCUUAGGUAUAGACAAUAACAAAACAAUAUAGAAUGAAUUCUUAUAAGUUAGUUCAUGAAAACAAAAUAUUUCCAUUUUGAUAUCAGAAAUGGUCAACUCAGACGUAUGCACCCUUCACUCUUAGUGGUAAUGGACAGUCUUAUCAUGUAUUACAGAUUUCGAUUCCCCAAACAAAAAUGGAUAUCUAAUACAUGUUCUCUCACUGAACCGAUUAGAAGUUUUCUACUGGAAUAGGUAGCAACUGAACAUAGAUCCAUUUUCUAAAGAUCAUUGAAAAUAUUUGUCGGGUCGAUUGAAAAGUCAAGUAAAUGAUAAAAUCUGGAUUUUAUUUAUAAAAAGAAUCGAAAAAUCCAGAAAAAAAAAGUACCUGUUGGGCAAUAAUGUUCUUUCUCUCCUUUUCUUUAACUUUCUUCUCAUUUUCUGCUUCAACUUUGUCUUUUAUAAGCUCAUCUACCUUGCUCGUAUAUUCCCGAAUAGACUAGAGAAAAAUAAAAAAUGAUUAUUAACAAAAGAAAAAAAUGUUUGUCCUUAAUAAUAAUUGUAAUGAAAGAGACCCUUGUAAAAAACAUACCUGUAAGAGAUAAGGGAAGGAAAAAUCCAUCAUAUUGUUCUUCCAAGCUAGCUCUAAUGCAACAUCUGGCCGUAUUAGAUCAUAACAAGUAGAGAGGCACGAUGCAAAACACUCUUUCUUCCCCUGAAAAACAAAGACAGAAAGAAAUCUUGACCAAGUAAGCAGUAAUGAAGUGUAGAAAGAAUGAAUAUAAUUCAUAACGAUGAAGAGGUCACACCGCAGAAUGUGACAGGGCCUAAUCUGGCAAGGAUCUAAUAAAUGUACACCUGCUCACUAAAAUAAACAAGCAAAUCCUCUGAGAGUUUCUGGUCACCAGAUUGAUAGCAAGUUUCCAUGCAGUCCUUGUAAAGUUUGUCUUUCUUUAACAUACAAAUGGACUGUUUCCAUCUUCCAGCUUUCUUGUAAAUAUAAGCAGCAACACGUCUCAUCUCAAGGAGCUCGUGCUUCUCAAUCUGAUCAUGUGUAUUGUUGAAACCAAUCAAUAAUCAUUCAAGAUUUAGAAGUUUGCGAAAAGGAUGUAGAACUCAAUUUGGCCAAAUAAGUAAGAUAAGGAAAAUCCACCUUCUGUGCAAGACCUAUCUGAUUGAAGUUGUCAUACAGAUCUAUCGAUUUACGAAGUCUAUCGUAGUCCACCUCGUCAACAUAAAUUUCAUGCAAAGCUUCAUUAAUAGAAAACACAUUGCUGCUUUGAACUUCAACCAUGUACGGCUUUAUCAAUCGGAUAUGGCCUGCCUAAAAAUCAGAAAAUUCGAGCAACAAGUAUAAUUAUUGCAUUAAUCAUUUGCAACUAAUUAUUUACAUAACCUAAUAAGAUUAAAAUUACAGAUAUUAGGCAAUAGAGUACAAGAAAUAUAGACCUUCUGCGCUAUUUCUACAAUACGGGCAUGUUCCACAUGACGGGCAAGCACAUUAAGAAGAUCAUUUAUAAUAUCAGGAUGUUCUUGCAAGUAGAAAUGAACAGCCUUAUAAUAUAGUUCUACACGACCAACAUUUACUAUAAUAUGUUUGAAUUGCAUGUGGUCCCAUGCUUCUCGAGAGUGAUUCAUUACAGUGAUUGCAGCAUUAUUAAACUCUUCAAAUUGCACAUAUAGGUAUGUGAGUUCUUUCCAGAGUUGAUGUUCAUCACACGCCUGAAAAAGCUUGAGACUGUUGAGGUUGGUUGAGAACAACUUAAUGUGCUCCAUUAACAUCUCAGGACGAUAUCUUGCGUAAAGAACUCCCAACUCAGUAAAGAUACUCUCAUGAGCACACUCCAGUUCUAUCCCUUUCUCCAUUAGAGAGAUGAGUUCAUUGAAGCGUCUUCUGUUCUGAUAAUACUUGCAAACUUCUUCCAGAUCGUCCGCCUUCAUAAAAAUGAUGAGUGAUUAGCCAUAAAAACGGAAAAUAACAAACAAAUCAACAGUUUAUCUGCUACUUAUUGUGUAUACUAAUAACUAGAUGUUCUAUACUUCACCGGAACACAUCCCAUUAACUUGCAUGCAAUGAAAUUGAAAUAUGAGCGGAAAACCUGGAUACUGAAAAUUGGAGACAUAGGGACAGGGGUGGUAUUACUGUCAGAAAAAAUAAACGAAAGUUUAAGCUAGAAAUCGUGCCACCUGAACAAUAACAUUGAGACCACAAAUCUGAGCUAAGGAGGAUUCCCCAGCAUCAAUGCAGGAAAAACAAACAUCCUUCCAUGUUUUCAAACUGUUUGCUUUCUUAGCAGCAUCAACAGCAUCUUGGAAUUGUUGAAGCUUCACCAAUGUCACUGCUAACUUAGCCCAGUCAGGGAUAAAAGCAAAUAUAAUUUUUGCAGCCUCAUAAAGCGCCUCAGCAUACAAGCGGUCUCCAACAUUUGGCAAAUUAGAAACAUUUGGCAUCAAAAUAAACUCUUCAAUUUCUCCAAGCCGACCAAUCUUUGCAUACGCAUAAAUGAGCUCACUGUCCACCUUGGGCUCUUUGGUCUUCUGCCUAACCAUGAGAAGGUACUUUACUAGGUCAUGGUAUACAUUUGCAACUUCAGCAGCCUUUAUAACCUCUAAAAACUGAGUGGCAUCAUCUGCACGGAUGAACAACUCAAUUGCAUCACUUACUAAGCCUUUUCUUAGUUUCGCCUUAGCCACCUGGCUCCAUACAGAAUCUUCUUCAACGCAGAAUGCAAACUCCAUAGCUCGAUCAAUGGUCUUAAGGUUAUCUAGCAGAACAUUAACAGCCUUAACAUUCAGAUUAAAUUUCUUGAAAACGGCAAAAGCUUCUUCAUAUAAGCGUGCUUCCACUGCCGCCUUCCCGACAGCAGAGCCAUCAAAGUUGUCCAGCCUAUUUAUGUAACCCAUGACUCUUAAAGGAUCUGCUUUUAUUGCAGCAAGGAUCAGUAAGCUUUUUAGAGUGAAGUUUGCACUAAAAGCAGAAUUAUGUAGCACAAUCUUGUCGAGAAGGUCAAUCACUUCAUGGGUAAGAUUGGCAGUCAUAAAAGCUUUCACUGCAGCUGAAACUUGGUCAGGACUCUUGCAUUUAGGCAAAGCAGUAGACACCACUUGAUCAAUCAACUGUCUUCUAAACACGUUCCCAGGAUUUAGAACCUCUUUCCAGAGGCCACCAUCCAUCCGUUCCAUAACAUAUCUGACACAAACAAUAUCAUAAAUAAGACGAGUGUCCCAGACUAGCAUUUUGAAAUACAAUAGCACAAUAUUAAUGAAGAAUUGUAUACACACCUGGCUUGGAGUUUGAACAAGGAAUUUUUAUUGGUCACAUUAACAAGCUCAUAAUCACAUUUCCCCCUUGUGUAAGCAACAACGGCAAGUGUUGGGUCCCUUUGCUCACAAUAUUUACCAAUAACACGAGAAUCAUAAUAUAGGUUGGUUGUGAGAAAAUGUACUGGAUUGCUAUUGCUGUCAAUGAUGAUUCUCCCAAGAGCAUUAUGCACAUGUACAUCUCGGCUCCCCUCCCACACAAGAUCCUCCAAGAUCUGAGUAAGCAAACGAAGACGAUUCCUGCAUAUAGAAAGUAAAAUGAGAAAAUAAUAUGGUAAUGUGGAGAUGCAGGGCAGAGAGAAAAAUAGCAUACCUCUUUACAAAUUCUUCAACUAAAGGCUCAACUGGGAAAGGAGAACGAAUCGAAAGUACAAGACCUUUAAUGAAAUUUUCAGGGCAUCGAUCAUCUAACAACUGCCCUACAACUAGAGGAAUCUUUUGAGGAUUGACCUAUAGGUAAGAAAUAUAAUGUUAGAAAUUCACGUUUAAGAUUAGCAUAGAAAGAUUCAAAAUUAAAUGCAAUCACAAAAAAAAAGUUACCCUUUGAACAUAUUCUUCAACAUAAUGAAGCAUGUUUUGACUAUAGAGAUAAUGUAUGAGAUGAGGAACAAAACCAAAACGAUCACACACAUUAAUCAGUGGCCGUGCAUUUGGAAGGUUGGUCUUCAUUAGAAAGUUCUUUGUCUUCUCAGCAUCAUAAUAGCAUGAUUCCCGGGUUACACGCUCUACCUCCGUAAUAUGUCCCGUUUUAACAGCUACUUCAAUGUACUUGAAGUGAAUGUCAGGAUUCUUACUGUACAAUACAGAAUCAAAAGCCAAAAUUAUUAAAGUAAUUACUACCAAAAGCAAAAUAUAGUCUGUCUGGAAAAUCAAUGCCAUUUUCAUUCUUCAUUUAGAAAUACCUAGAUCUCAAAUGUGCACCCAAGAAAAGGUAUAAUCCUUCAUCAGAAUUGAAUUUCUCAAAGAGUUUGAUGCAUGCAUCAACACCCAGCUGUUUCGAAUAUUCCUUGGAAGUCUGCAGAUUAGGUACUAGUAAGAUUAUUUUAUACAGAAACUAUAAUAACAAGAAAAAAUAUCCAUGUUACAGUACCUGCACAAUUAUUUUAAGAUUUCCCCCAAGGUUGACAAGUAAAAGUUGUUCCAUACACUCCAGUGCCCAUUUUCGAGGAAGGGUUCCAAAAAACUUAACAAGAGCCUGAAAAUCACUUCAUAAUAAGAAGACAACAUAUAAAAGACUAAGUAGAUACAGUCACUCUAGCACCUGAAAUCCAAACCUGAUGUUCAAUGGCAUCAGUUUUCACAAUGAUGCGUUUGAUGUCAGGCAACUCAGUAUAAUGCUGCACAAGAGACAGACACGAAACUUCAAGAAAUUACUGACAACAAAUUACAGUCAGUCAUUGGUAUGAAAAGCCAAGAACCUGAAGAGCCCGGAUGAAAAGGCCGGCCUUUUCACAAAGUUUAGCAAUACGUGGACGAUCAUAAUGACUAAACACGCCUUUUGCCAAUAUAGAAUCAGCAACAUUUGGAAAGGUCUUAAGAUUGAUUUCCAGCAGCUAAAAAUGAUUAGAGCAAAUUUUCAUAAAAUCACAAAAAAAAUAUUGUAUGACUCCAUCAACUCGUAGAUAAAGAUUAAGGCAAAGAAAAUAAAGGAACCUUUGUUUGAAGAUGUCCAUGUUCAGGUAGGUCUGGCUUCAGCAGUUCCAACAAAAAGGUAGUUGCCUCACGGAUCAUAUUCCUCUAAAAAGUAACAGUAGAAACAUACAAACAAAAUUAAGGGUUGACGACUUGAUGUUUCCAGCACAUAAAUAAAAAACAAAAGGAAAUGAUUGGCUCUUUAUUUAACAAAUAGUUCUCGGUACUCAAAUUAAAGGAAAACAUACACGGGAUGGUUAAAAACCACUAUCAAUGCGAGUUUUCGGAAAGAGAAGGUCUGAUUCCAUUAGAUUUUUCAUUUUUCCAUUAAGUAGAAAAUAACUUUUCUGAAAUGCAAAAACGCAUUAUUCACUCUGCCACUUAAAACAUUACAUAAAGAUUUCAUAAAAGUCGAAGUAGAACAGGCUCAAGUAAUCAAGUAUUAUAGGUUCUAAAAAGGAAAAUGAAGAAUGAAAUGGAGACAGAAAUUGUGUACAUGAUACUUCCUUUUCUAAGUUAGGUCAAAUUACAAGUUACGCUUGAUAUGGGAGAACAAUGAAACCUACAUCAAUAAAACAAAAGAUAAAAUUAAAUAGACCUGAAGAAACAGAUCGGCUAUUUUGUUGUAGUCAACAGGGCAACCCCCCUCCAUUCGCAACAUCAUCAGAGCAAAAUCUAGAGCACCCUACAAUGGAACAUGUUCUGAGUAAAUGAAUAAACAAAAAGUAAACUCACAAGAUAACAGAUAUUCUAGAAAGAUAAACAUCAUAAGUAGCACAGAUGAGGUGAUAUCAUUUUAUGAUGUUUGGAUGUUUGGACUUCGGAUGCAUUCAACCAUCAUGCAUGAGGUGCUAUAAUUUUAUGGGAAAUGUUAACGAGUGCCCCCCGGGGCACUUGUUAAGCACUUUAAAUAGUAAGUUUUAAAUGAAAAGUUGUGUAUUGAAUGUAUUGGAAAUUGUAAUAAUUGACUUUUUAAAAGAAUAAUUACUAAAUUUGGGAUGCUUAAAGAGUGCCCUGGGGGCACUCGUUAACAAGACCUAAUUUUAUAAGUGCACCACAAUGAUCAGAACUGAAAUAAGUUUACCAAUAAAGUAUUUCCAUAAGGCAAAACUUGAUCAUUUCAAAUCGAACUACACUAACCUGGGCAUCUGUUUGCAAUAUUGUUUGCAGAAGGAAUAUGUAAUCAAGAGUGUAUCCAACCUGCAGUAAAUAAAAGGAGAAAAAUACAUCAUGCACUGCAAAAAUAAUAAUAAUUAACUAUGUAAUAAAACAAAAGUAUAACAUUCAUUUAACAGUCCAAUAUUACCACUAUUUUCAUGAUUUUGUAAAGUCUAAUAAAACAAAUGUUUCAUUACCUGCUUUGAGUAUGUCAAAAUCUUAUCAUAUUCCCUCCUCUCAGCAAAAGCUGCAAUAACCUUUGGUGUGGCACUUGCUUUAGUAUAUAUUUUCAAUGCCAGGUCUUUAUCCACUUUCUGCAUUAGAUGUGUGUCUUAUAAGAUUGAAUAGACAAACGAAAGGAAUAUAUAGCAAACUAAAUAUGGUUAUUGAAUCGAGAUUCAAAUAGUGAAUCAGAAGAACUAUUUUCUAAAUUGAGAAUUGGAUCUUAUCACAAAUCGUAAGAUACAUUAUCAAAUAGUUAAGAGUACUAGAAUCGAGAAUCGAGAUACAACUAGCACCUAGCAUCGAGAAUCGAGAUACAACUUGCAUGUAUCUUAGGAUAUUGAUAACCAUAAGUAUAUUCAACUGAUAAAGAAACUAAGAAUCAAUUAUAGAUUUGUAUGAGAACAGAACCUUCACAAGGUCACCAAGCUCUUCAGUGCAUUCAAGUUUAUCCUCUGCUAGCCAUUUUCCUAAAAGUUUCUGUUUGUUUCGACUUACGGCUAGCCGUGACAUUUUCAAUGACUCAAAAGCAUCCAGUUUUCCACUAGAAAACAGAUGGUCAAAGUAUUGUAAGCAUGAUGGUGCAUCUUCCAAAGGUACGUUCUGAAAAAUAAUUUACAGAAGAUAAUUAACAAAAGAAAUGAACAACUUAAUGAAAUCGUCAUGUUAUUACUCUUCCAUCCCAUUAACAAAAAAAUAAAUGUAACAUCAUGAAGCACGAACAAUCCUUGGAUUAGGCAUGUCCCAGUGUCGGACAUGUGUCGUGUCCGACACCGACACAUAUAAUUACACUGAAUUAAGUGAUUUUCUCAAAUUAUUAGCGGUGUUUGGGUUUCAGCGUAUGUGACGUGUCCGGUGUCCGUGUUUGUAUCCGUGCUUCACUAUUUUAUUCCAACUCUACUUUCAAAAUAAUACAAUAUACAUCACUCUUAUGUCAAUUAUACUUCACCAUACAUUUAUGGCGAUACUUAACACUCUCAAUAAUUAAUAACUCUAGUUACGACAUUCCAGCUUGAAGGUGUGUGACGAGUAUCUAGUAUCUAACCGUUGUGUUUGACUGCUAUCAAUGUCACUGUCGUAUUUAGUGUCUGCCUCAAUGCUUCGUAGAUUAAUAAUCAUCCUUAUGUAAAAUUGUUGCACACUUUUAUUUAUUUACAAAUUUUCUUAAUUUAUAUAAAAAUACCUAAAAAUGAAAAUUAAACAAUCCGAGUAAUAAGCACAGUUAAUAACCGGAAACAGCCGUUAAGACCUAGCUCAACUAACAAUGUCGAUAUUGUUAGGCUAAACAACUUUAUUAGGCUAAACCGGACAUUGCAAUUGCGUGUGAGUUUCAGGUGUUGGUGUUUUGACAAGAAAAAAAAUAGGAAACAGACACACACUCUCGCGCAGAUGAAUGAAAAUUGUUAACAAGAUUGCAAAAGCAGAGUGCAAAAACCAUUAAUAUAACAGAAAAUAGGGUUUGAUCGAUAUUUGGAAUGGGAAUGUGAGAAAUUACUAACCGUUGAGGAUUCUUUCAUGGAGUUAGGAGUGUUAUCACCCGCCAUGACGAUCGAAACAGAGUUUUAGAGAGAGAGAGUUGAAAUUUUGAAGAAGAAAGUUUGCGAGUAAGAGAUUGGAACACAGUGACAGUGAGAGCGAGAGUGAGCGAGUGGAAUGAAGAGAAUAGAGGAAAAACUGUUUUAUUAUAAGAGCUACGUGUGCUACAAGCAAGCAUAAGCAUUUAUAUUUUUUUAAAAAUCAAGGGCAAGAUUGCAUAACCAUAUCUUAUAAACAAGAGUAAGACAAUUUUUUUACCUUUAUGUGUACCGUUUGGCUAGGUUUUUUUUUUGUCUAAAAGCUACUUUAAAACAAAGUUAAAAUAAAACUCUUUAAGAAAAAAGUUAAAGUUGUUUGGUUUCUUUAAUUUUUUUUUAGUUCUAAAGUUAUUUUUAAGUUAAAAAUUAUUUAGCAAAAUAUUGUACAAAAUUUUAAAUUUAUUAUUUUUUUGGUGGUGUUUGGGGUUCGAACUCGCGACCUUGCAUAUAUAUAAGUACCGUUUGGCCAUGCUUUUUUUCGGUCUAAAAGCAACUUUAAAACAAAGUUAAAAUAAAGCUCUUUAAGAAAAAAGUUAAAGCUGAUUGGUUUCUUUAUUUUUUUUUUAGUUCUAAAGUUAUUUUUAAGUUAAAAGUUGUUUGGCAAAAUUUUGAUUUUUUUUUUUUGUGGUGUCCAGGGUUCGAACCCGCGACCUUGCAUAUAUUUAUACAUUGUCAAUAUCAACUGAGUUAAGCUAGAGAAUAAUUUGUUUUUUCUUUUCCAAUUAUAUUGUAUAACAAAUUUUGUUAUAAGAAUAUCAUAUUUUUGGUGUCAUUUAAAAAAAAUAAGAAUUUAUAUUAUAUGAUAUUAUAUUUGUUACAUUGUUGGAGUCAUUGACAAAGAUAUGUUUAGUUUUUUUAAUAAGAAAAAAAUAUGCAUAGUUUGUUACAAUAUAAAUGUGUAAAAUAUAUAUAAGUAUAAUUUUUUUAAGCAUCUAUACUAGUACUUUUAAUUAAAAUCAAAAUUUUAUAAAAAUAAUAAUUGUUACAAUAUAAAUGUGAGGAUGAGAGCGAGAGUCUGUGAGGAUGAACGGACAGUCCGACUGCGGCCACAACGCAGGGAGGACGUCCGGUGUUCUUCUUCGCCGGCGGAGAGAUCCAAUUGGGGGGGAAGGGAGCCAAGCUGGGUGCCACUUAAAGGGGGGGUUGGGGGAGAUUGGCUUGUUGUGAGUCCUAGAAUGGGGAAAGCGCGGCGACAAGGAGAUCGAGGUCGGGAUCGGCAGCGGAAGGUCAAGCGGUUCCGUGAUUGGGACGAGGCAGGCAAGAGACAAUCUAGAACUAGGGAUUCACGCAGGUUCGGUUACGGCAGCGAUGCGGAUUUCUACCAAGACAGGCUUGCUGAGCGGUCUGAUGAGGAAUUGAGGAAGGACUGGUUGCGGUUUGAGAAUAGGAAUCGCGCUAGUGGUCACAGCUCUGGGGUUGCUGGUUAUGCGCGUCGGAUUCCGGCGCUGGACAGGCUUGGUGAGGGCGGUAGGAAGCAGGACACGCGCGACAUCAGCGGAGCCACCAAGGCCUUGACGAAUGCGGCUCUUUUUCGACGGUAUGUCACGUUUUAUUUUACUAAUUUUCCACCGUUCUUAUCGAAUUUUUAUUUACGAAAAGGGUUUGAGGUUUGUGGCAUGCUGGACGAGGUUGUGGUACCCCGUAGGUGCAAUGUUAACGGAGAACGGUACGGUUUUGUGAGAUACUCGAAUGUCCGGGAUGUUAGUAAGUUGUUGAAAGCCGUGAAUACUGUUUGCUUUGGUAAUUUCCAAAUUAAGGCAAAAGUUGCUAAUUUUGACAAGGCGGCAGCUAGAGUGGUUGAGAAUUUGGUGGUUGGCGCGGGUGCGAAGGAUACCGCGGGAGGAGGUGUUAAGGUCGGUAAGGGAGUUAAAUCAGUUGUUGAGGGUGAUGUGAUGGAAGCUGGAUCGAAAGCUGUUGAAGGCCAAUCGGAUGGACUAGAGGGACGGGUGCCACAAGCCAGAGUGGGUGCGUUGGAUAACGUUCAGGUUGGUGACGUGACGGUGAGCUUGGGUAAGGGGCAUAGUAAGGAGCAACAGGGCGGUAGCGGGAAAAGUAAGUUCGUUAAGUUUGAUGUUCGUCAUACAGGGGGGCGACCUUCAAUCCAAAAUUUGGUCCGGAUGUAUCGUUCAAGUGUGGAAGAUCUUCAGUGGGCCCGUUCAGGUGUGACUGCUACGGUGACUAAUGGUGAGAGUAUCAGGGGCGUUCAAGAUAGAAUUGCGGAUGCGGGUAUAUCAGAAAUUGACAUCAUUCCAUUAGGCGCUGACAAAGUUUUCAUUCGUAGUAUGUCCGAGGUUAGUGUUACAACUAUUUUGAACGAUGCUAAGGAUUUCUUUGCUUAUUUUUUCACCAAUAUUGUGAGAUGGGAUAAGAAUUUGGUGCCGUUCCAAAGGGGGGCCUGGUUGAGGUUGUAUGGUAUUCCGCUGCACGCUUGGAAUGAAAGCUUUUUCAAAUUAUGUAUUCUUGACGUGGGAAGGCUUUUACGUAUGGACACAUGCACUGUGGAAAAAGAAAGAUUUGAUUAUGCUAGGAUUCUGGUGGCUACAAAUUCUUUAGAGAUUAUAAAUUGUUCGGAGAAGCUUUUGAUAGAUGGUGUUUUGGUCACUGUGAAAGUGGUAGAGGAGUGGGGUUUUAAUAUUGGCGAUGAUGCUUGCCUUUACGAAGAGGAGGAGAAUGGGUCAAUUGAGGGUCAGGCUGACCCAGAAGAUGUGCAUAUUGAUCACGAACAUGAGGUUAACGCAGAUUUUUUGGUUGAUAAAAUAGUCCAAGAUUUUUUUGAUUCGGAGAGUAACGGAAGAAUUUUUGAAGAUAAGGUGGAGAAGGCGGUCUCAAAGACGGUUAAGCUUAAAGCGGUAGGUGGUCAAUCGAAAGUGGGUAGGUGUAGUGAAGCCUUGCUCGAGGGGGAUUUACAACCUUUACGGUUAGAGCCCUUUGUGGAUCAAUUGAUGGGUAGUGCGUCACCUGAGUGUAAGGUUGAUGGGCAUGGCAGUGCCGACGUUCCUGUGGAUAGAAGUGUUGAUGCUGAUGAGUGUCCAAGUGAUGGGGGGUCAGUUACUGUUAGGAAGCUUCGAACUCGUCGAAUGGUUUCAUGCCCUCCCAGAGCUGAUCGUUCAGUGGUAUCUGGUCCGUGGAGUCUGGAUUGGAUAAAUGAUCAACAUCUUAGUGACGUAGGGGUUGUGUCUUCUUCUCGGAAAUUUGACGCUAAGGGUAAGAGGCUCAAGGCUUGUCGUAAUAUUCAAGAGGAUGUUGUUGUUAAGCGAAAGAAGGUGAAGGGGUUAUUGCGUCAUUCAGUUCUUAGCUUGAAAAAAGUGGCACGGCUUCCUACUAAAGACCGGAAAGUGGUUAUGAAAAUUCUAAAGAAAAAUGAUCGGAAGUUUAAAGGAUCCAAUUCAAUCAGAAAGACGGCUAGGAUGAUUUCUAAAGACCUAUCCGAGAAUUCAUCAUCUUCUAGCUCUAUUAAUAAUAGUGACUGGAAGCAUUGGGUGGUACUUCAUGGGAGUGACAAGGUGGUGGCGGAGGAUGUGAAGACCCUAGGGGAAUCUAUUGGUGUGAAUCUUAGUGGGUACAACAAUAGAUUUGGGGUGUUAGCAAGAAAAGGGAUGGGGAAAAAGAAGAAGUUAGCUUUUGGUGAUGGUGGUUCAGGAGGGGCGGUUGAGGGUGUUGUGUAGGCGUGGUAGCGGUGGCUGGGAGGGUGUGGGAGAUGAAGUUGUUAUCUUGGAAUGUAAGGGGGUUGGGUGGUUACGAGAAGAGAAAGGAUGUUCGAGCUCUGGUGAGGGAUAAGCAGCCGUUGAUUUUAUGUCUGCAAGAAACGAAGUUGCAAAUGUGUGAUGUUAAUGUGUGUUCGUCGGUUUGGGAUAGGCAGUCGACGGAGUUCUCUUUUCGCCCGUCCCAAGGGGCGUCAGGGGGAUUGCUGACCGUUUGGGAUGCCUCGGAGGUUGAGGUGUGGUCGUCAGGCUGCUUUGAUCAUGUUUUGAGUAUUCAUGGCCGGUUCAUUUCUUCAGAUGAAGAAUUUCACUUAUUCAAUGUGUACGCUCCUUGUGAUGGAGGAGCUCGACAGAUAUUAUGGGUUGCUUUAACGACUCGUCUUCAGGCUCUUAGGGGUAAAAAGGUGUGCGUUUGCGGUGAUUUUAAUGCGGUCCGGAGUCGGGAAGAACGUAGGUCGGCGACGGUUUAUGGCGGUGUGUCGGAGUAUGGUCCUUUUAAUCAAUUCAUAGAGGAAAAUGGUUUGCUUGAUUUACCGUUGUGUGGGCGUAAUUUUACUUGGUUUAAAGGGGAUCGUCGUUCAAUGAGUCGACUUGACCGGUUUUUGGUUUCUGAAGAGUGGAGUUUGGUUUGGCCCAAUUGUAUUCAGGUUGCGCAUUUGAGAGGUUUAUCUGACCAUUGCCUGUUGAUUUUGUCUGUUGAUGAGGAAAAUUGGGGGCCUCGACCGUCGCGGUUCUUGAAAUGUUGGUCAGACACCCCGUGUUAUAAGCAGUUUGUUACUGAUAAGUGGAAAGCUUUACAGGUGGAAGGUUGGGGUGGAUAUGUUUUAAAAGAAAAAUUCAAAUUAAUCAAAUUGGCGCUGAAAGAGUGGCACAUAUCUCAUUCGCAGAACGUAGCAGUGAAAAUUGAUUCUCUUAAGGUCAGGUUGGCCGAGUUAGAUGGUAAAGGGGAGGUCGAGGAGUUAUCUGACGCAGAAUGUGUUGAGUUGCAUGGUGUGUCAGAAAAUAUUCAUUUGUUAUCCAGGCUUCACAAUAGUAUCUGUUGGCAGCAAUCGAGGAACCAGUGGCUGCGUGAAGGUGAUGCGAACUCUAAGUUUUUCCAUUCCAUUAUGUCCUCUCGUCACCGUCAUAAUUCUAUAAGUUCAAUUUUGGUUGAUGGUACUUUGGUUGAGGGCAUUGACCCUGUUAGGAAGGCGGUGUUUACCCAUUUUGCGACUCACUUUCAAUCGUAGAGUGUGGAGCGACCAAGUGCGUCGAAUCUCCAGUUCCGCAACUUAUCUUUGGUUGAGGGAGGGGGCCUGAUUAGACCUUUUUCGGUAGAUGAAGUUAAGGCUGUUGUGUGGGAUUGUGAUAGUUUUAAGAGCCCGGGUCCGGAUGGAGUAAAUUUUGGAUUCAUAAAGGAGUUUUGGGUUGAACUGAAAGAUGAUAUCAUGAGGUUUGUCACUGAGUUUCAUCGAAACGGGAAGUUGGUAAAAGGUAUUAAUACUACUUUUAUUGUUCUUAUCCCAAAAGUUGAUAAUCCGCAGAGGCUUAAUGAAUUUAGACCUAUCUCUUUGGUAGGAAGUAUGUACAAAAUUAUAGCUAAGUUGUUAGCUAACAGAUUAAGGUUGGUGAUUGGUAGUGUGAUUUCUGAAACUCAGUCUGCUUUUAUUAAGAAUAGACAGAUUCUUGAUGGUAUUCUUAUAGCCAAUGAGGUGGUGGAUGAAGCUAAAAAGUUUAAGAAAGAUCUUAUGUUGUUUAAGGUGGAUUUCGAAAAAGCGUACGACUCUGUUGAGUGGGAUUACUUGGAUUCGGUUAUGGAAAGAAUGUCGUUUCCUGUCUUAUGGAGGAAAUGGAUUAGAGAAUGUGUGGGUACUGCUACAGCUUCUGUUCUUGUUAAUGGUAGUCCUACUGAUGAAUUUCAACUGCAUAGUGGCUUGCGUUAGGGGGAUCCCUUGUCCCCUUUUUUGUUCCUGAUUGCGGCUGAGGGUCUUCACACGUUGAUGAAAGCGAUGGUUGACAAUCAGUUGUUUACGGGGUACUCGGUUGGGGUGGCAAACCCGGUUGUUGUUUCUCAUCUGCAAUUUGCGGACGACACUUUGCUGCUUGGCCAUAAAAGUUGGGCUAAUGUUCGGGCUCUUCGUGCGACUCUUGCCAUUUUUGAGUUGAUGUCCGGUUUGAAAGUGAAUUUCAAUAAAAGCUUGUUGAUGGGUAUUAAUAUCUCUGAUUCUUGGUUGAGUGAGGCUGCUUCGGUGUUGAGCUGUAAAGUAGGUAAGAUUCCUUUUUUGUAUCUAGGUUUGCCUAUUGGGGGUAAUCCGCGGAGACUUUCGUUUUGGGAUCCUGUCGUGAAUCGUAUUAAAUCUAGAUUGUCGGGGUGGAAUAGCCGGUUUCUCUCUUUUGGUGGUCGCUUGAUCCUUCUGAAAGCCGUGUUGACUUCUCUGCCUGUCUAUGCUCUUUCCUUCUUUAAAGCUCCAACAGGUAUAAUCUCUUCCAUUGAUUCUUUGUUUAAUAAUUUUUUUUUUUUGGGGGGGGGGGGGGGGGGGGGGGGGAGUGAGGACCGUAGGAAAAUUACUUGGAUAGAUUGGAAUACUGUUUGUUCUAAAAAGGAGUUAGGAGGGUUGGGGGUUAGGAAGUUGAAGGAAUUUAAUGUAGCUUUGCUAGGGAAAUGGUGUUGGAGGUUGUUAGUAGAUAGAGAUGGCUUGUGGUAUCAGGUUUUAGUCGCCCGUUAUGGCGAGAUCGGUGGGAGAUUGGAGGUGGGGGGCCGGAGUUGUUCUUCUUGGUGGCGGGAGGUAGGGAGGAUCUGUGAGGGUGGGGGCGGUGUAGGGGGUGAUUGGUUCGGCAGUAGUGUGAUUAGGAAGGUGGGGGAUGGUGCUGAUACGUUGUUCUGGUCUCAUAGGUGGUGUGGUGAUCGUCCUUUUAGUGAGCGGUUUGGCAGGUUGUUUGACUUAGCUGAGAACAAAGCCAUUUCAGUGGCUUCUAUGUUCUCUCUUGGCGUGGUGCAGGGGGGGAGGGUGGAGUUGGAGGCGAAGAUUGUGGGCUUGGGAGGAAUUUUUAUUAGAGGAGCUUAGGGCUUUACUGCUUGAUGUUUCUUUGUUGCCUAAUGUUUCAGAUAGAUGGUUGUGGCUACCUGACCCUGUGGGGGGUUAUACUGUUCGAGGAGCUUAUGUUAUAUUAAUAGAGGGCGCUCAUCCUCUUUUGACCGAAGCAAUGGAUCUAGUUUGGCAUCGUCAGGUCCCCUUAAAGGUCUCGAUUUUUGCUUGGAGACUUCUCCGGGAUCGGUUACCUUCAAAAGCAAAUUUGGCAGCUCGUGGUGUUCUCAGUUCUGAGGCGACUCUUUGUGUUAUGGGCUGUGGUCAUGUUGAAACGGCCGAACAUUUAUUUUUAUUUUGCCCAAAUACUGUUUUGUUGUGGCAGCAGGUGCGCAAUUGGCUAGGUUCUAUGGGGGCGGAUCCGAAUAAUCUUCAUGAUCACUUAGUGCAGUUUACUUACUCGACAGGUGUUGGUAAAGCUAAACGUUCUUUUCUGCAGCUAAUUUGGAUUCUGUGUACUUGGAUUGUGUGGAUCGAACGUAAUAACCGCUUGUUUGGUAAUGUUGUAACGGAUGUCCCAAGGUUAUUGGAUAAGGUUAAAUUGUUAUCAUUACGGUGGCUGAAAGCAAAAAAAAAACGUGUUUGUUUAUGGUACUCAUAUGUGGUGGUCUAGUCCUUUGUUAUGUUUAGGCAUUGGUUAAUUCCUGUUUUUUGUUCUUUGUGUUGGACUCUGUAACAUUUUGUAUCUUGUAGCAGAAUUCUAGGCACAUCUUGUGCUUGGAAUAUGCUAUGUUUGUGUUAAUAUAAUUCCAUUUUGAUGUGUUCAAAAAAAUAAUUGUACGCAUUGCGCAACACUGAAAAAAAUAUACGCAUUAGUGUAACAAAAAAAAAAAGACAUACAGACAUAAAAUAUUACUCUAAACGCUAAUGUGUGUGUGUAUAUUUGUGAGGUUGAAGAAAGGGAAUAAAAAUAUUUGGUGUCAUUCAAUGACUGCAUAAAUAAAAAUAUUUGUGAGGUUGUGAUAAUUAAACGAUAUUAAAAUUAAAUAUAUAAGUGAUUAAUAGAUAAUAAAAUUCCUUCAAAAAUAGAUAAUAAAAUUAAAUUGAUCCUCCUUUAAAAAAAUUAUAUGGACCGGUUCAAAAAAAAAUUAAAUGGAAGAAAAAAACAAAUCAAAAUAUAAUAUUAAAAAAUAAAAUAUAAGGUUGCCUGUGUGAGUUGAAGAGAAGUGCUUGUGAAAUAAAUUACAGAGAAGUAGUUUUUUGAAGUAGCAUUCAACAACUUUUAAAGCUCAUUCCAUUCAAUUUUAUGAAUUCUAAAAAAAAUACAUUUUUUCGAAGGUACUUUAUUGAUAUUGUGUUUCGCCUAGCUUCUCUUUAAAAAUGUAGAGAAGUUGGAAAAAAAGUCGAGUCAAACGGUACCUUAUAAGCUUAUUUGAUUAAAAUAGAUUUGUUUCGUAAUUUUCACUUUCUCACAGGUUUAUAUCUUAUUUUCACUAAUUUAUGGUUUUUUUUUUUUUAAACACCACUGAAAUUCACGCACACAACAAAGUCUCAGGUUUAGACUCGGAUAGAGGUGUCCAACCUAACCAUUGACAGAUGAGUUAGGCUUUCCAGACAAUUUAUGACAGUUUUUUAUAAGCUAAUUCAAUUACCUUGUAGUUUAAAGUUUAUAAAGUAUCAUUAUUUAUCUCAACAAUUUUACCCUUCAAUCUUAAUUGAAAAAAAGUAAAUAUUAAUUAAAUAUAUCAUUUCAUAUUUAUAAGUUAGUUCAACCGCUAAUUAUUUAAAACAUUACAAAUCCAACUAGCUAGUUUACUUGCUAUCAACUAUAAGAAGGCCGAUAAGUUAUCAUCUAUAAUUUCAUGACUGUUGCUUUUCUGACAUCUAAUAUGUCUUGGAAACACAAGUAAAUGACUAAAAAAUUCAACAUAGUUAACUGCUGUCGAUUUUCUAGUUAUAAGCCAGCAGUAGUUAACUACUGUUAGAGAUAUUUUAAUAUUUUACUUGUGUUUUUAGGAAGUUUAUGAUGUUAAAAAAACAAUCGUCUAAUUUCAUAUGAUAUAAGGUUUAUCGGUUCAGUAUUUGCUAUUUUACCAAACAAAAUCAAUAUAUGAAAUUGGAAGGGAUGAUAGCUUUAUUAAGUUGGAAAGUUUAGGUGAGAUAGACUCGAGAGUUAUCCAAAAUCAAGGUAUACCUUGAGACUUAACAAAUUCAUUUUUAACUAGUAUAACUUGUCCCGUGUGUAAUAUUUAUUUUUACAAUUUGUCUCGUGUUUAAUAAUUACUUUGGCUUUUUAUCAAUGACAAAUCUUCUAGAUGUAUGAUAACUAUUUUAAAGGUUUCAUCCUCAAAAUAAAAAUAAAGUUAAAAGGUUUUAUUUUAUAAAGGGUAAAUAUCUCUUUUCGUCCCUGUAAUAUUAGUGAAUUUUGGUUUUAGUCCCUGUAAAAAAAGGAUUUAGAUUUGGUCCCUGUAAUUUCAGAUUUUUCCACUUUUGGUCCCUCAUUCCACCACGUAAGCAGAAUCUGCAUACAUGGCACGUAAAAAUGAGGGACGAAAAGAGGUAUUUACCCUUUUAUAAAGCAAACUAUCGUUAUUUAUUUAGGAAAAGAAAUUUUUUUGACUGUUUUCCUUAAGUUUGUUGUCGUUUUCUUCUAAAAAAAAAAUAUUUUGUUAAAAAUCGAGAUGUUACAAUUUUUUUUUGUUUUGUAACACAGACUUUAGGACUAUCGGAAUGUACUCCCUCCGUCUCUAAAUUAUAGUCGUAUAAAGUUUAUGCACGAUUAUUAAGGAAAUGAUUAAUUGUAUUGAUUUCAAUGGUAAAAUUAACAUCAUUUACUAAGAUACUCUUAUUAACAUGUAGUUAGUGAAAUAGUUAAGUUGGAUGAAAUUUAAUAAAUAAGGAUAUAAUGAUGGAAAAAAUAAAUGAAUGUUGCAUUAGUAUUUGUAAAGCGACAAUUAUUUUGAUAAAAAGAAAAAAUGCGAGAUUAUUAUUGUGAGACGGAGGGAGUAAUCUGUAGCAUAUAAUUUAUGACACAAUUCACUUCAAAAUUACAUAAAUAUACGAGCGAUCAGUUUAGAGUUUAGUAGUAAGAGUUCGAUCAUCUAUAUAACUUUUAGACAAUUGUAAAGCAACGAUUAAUGUCACUUAAUAAAUUUUAGAAAUUACAUAUAAAUAGAAGAACAUAUACAUGUUUGUAAACUCUGCUACUGAUGUGUGAACAGAAAAUAAUAAUUAUUUCAUCAAAAAAGAAAAUAAUAAUUAUGACAAAAACAUUAAUUUAUGUUAAGAUACAUGUUUGUGACAAACUUUAACAUGUUUGAGAGGAUUGAUGAUGAGGUUACUAUUGCUUGGUACAGCACAACCAACUUUCUUCAAUUCUAGAAAAGUUUGUGUAGUGUCAGGAUCAAAGCCACCUGCAAACUGAAUGUCUUGAUGGGUGAUGAGUUGGAUAAAAAAGUAAAUGUCAAAUUCAGAAAGUUCUGAGGAAUGUUAUUGUACCUGAUGUACUCUGAAUGCAAACUUAACUCCUUGUAAUAAGAGGUUAUUAUUAUCUUCAUGCAAAGCUUCAUGAGAUUUUAUUUCUUUAGUUAUUCGUUUCAUGAAUUCCUUUGCUAGCCUCAGUGAACAUAGCUUUAUCUGCAAGUUAUUAACAUGAUAAAGCCUUUCAAUAGGUUUUUAUGGUAAAUAAUAAGAUACCCUUUUGAAACAUGUAUAUCAUAAAAGGUAUAGAUGAUUCUGAUGUUAUUGUAGUGAUACUAUCUAUAUUAUGUGACAUGCAUCAAACAAAAUCAUUCAAUUGUGUCAUGAACUAUGAUUAAUUUCAUUUUAUGGAUUGUUGGUUCAAUUGUAUACAAUAAAGAAUACAAUAAUAUUGGAAAAUGUAAGACCUCUAGACAAUUGCUUUUUUAACAUCUGAAACUUCCUAAAAACACAUAAAAUACUAAAAUGUCCUCAGCAGUAGUUAACUACCGCUGACUUAUAACUAGAAAACUGACGGUAGUUAACUACCGCUGGGCUUUUUAGUCUUUUUCAUGUGUUUCUAGAAAAUAUUCAAUGUCAGAACAACAGCCAUCAGACCUCUAACCUCAUCUAAAAAUUUAUAGUAUGAGAGUCUAUUCAUUUGGGUUAUCCACCAAUUUAUCCAUGCACCUAGCCCAAUAGUACUAGGUGUGAUGGAGUGUGUUGAAAAAAACCAAGUCACGCAUUGAAAAUAGAUAAACCAUUUAUUUGUUUUCGUGUUUGUACAUCAAUAUCCAUAUGUUUUUUGUGAAGCUACUACUCUCAACAGCUUCGUAAAAAUCAUGUCAAAUGGUCAAUGGGACGUGAUAAUUUUGGUCCAACUGCCAAACCAAACAACCACAAAGUUUUUAAGAGUGUCACUUCUCACCUUAUUAAUCAUAGAGAUGAGUUGGACCCAAUAGAAAAAAAAAAAAAUCAUAUUUUGUGAUUUCACAUAAGCUUGAGUUUAAGCAAAAUUAACCAAUUCAAAAUAUUUUUCUUCAUAAUCUUUAGGACACUAGACACAUAUAAAUGCAAGCAUUUUUUUUAAUGUUUUAUAGUGAUCUAUAAUGCAUAAACAAGGUAUGAAUUUCUUACCUGACCAACAAGGCCAGUGUCCAUCAUCCACUCCCAAGGGAUAUGAAAAUUCCUAUAUUUCUUACUUGAACUCUCCCUUAUCCUCUCUUUACUACUUACACUUCCCUCCAACCUGCAAAAUUUUAAAAGCAAAACUUUCAAUUAAUUCUAAGUAUUGCUCAAAAACUUUAGUUAAACUCAACUCUACAAUUUUUGUACAUGCUCGCCUGUCUUGUAAUGCUUGUAUCCUUUUCAGGGCCAUAGAAAUUGGCUCUUUUGGAUUAUCCUCAUAUGAUGAAACUUCUGAUUCAAGAUUCUUUAGUUCUCUAUAGUUACAAGCAGCUUCUCUUAAUGCAUCUACUUUUUGUUCUGGCCAUUGUGGAAAAUGCUUUAAGACUGAUCUUUCAUCUACCAGUGUUGAUAAUUCUCCAUCAAGCCAUUUGAUGAAUGUUUCCACCUCAGAUAUAUCUGCAUAUGAAGCUGAUUCUACUUGUUUGAUUAAGAAACUGAUGAAUUCUUUUUGGCUUUGAACUUCUGAUUUUAUCUGUCAAAAAAAUGUAUCAAGUAUCAAUAAAAGAGUGUUCAUUGUUUUAUAGUUAAAGCCUUGCUUGGAUUGGUUUCUUUGAGCUUAUCUAUUGGAAUAAGUACUUGUGAGAUUAUUUCGGAGAGCUUAUGGAAACAUCUUAUUACAUGUCCAUAAGUUAAUGGAUUUAAAUUGUUUUAUAUGAUUAAUACUUAUGCUAUAAGCAUUAGUUUAAACUGUUUAUCCAAACAGGCCUAAAGAUUUAACAUUAGAAAAUUUUGAAGCUAAAUAUGAGAAGUUUGGAACUAAACUUACAGCUGAAAGAUGUUUUGACCGAUUUUCGAUUUCCUCAAUCAUGUUUCUGGUGAAUGCUACUGCAGGAAUUCCAUUGUGAUGAGUUUUGUUUUCAAUGUUGGCAUCUUUUCGUGUAAGCGAACGAUACAAUUCGAUUACUUCUGGCACACGACGAACUGUUUUCAAACCGAUAGACGAUUUUGAUGGUGUUGGAGGUGGUGGAGGUGCUGCUGUUGGCUGCAUUUUCAUUCCCUUCUCAUUUUUAUGUGAAGGUGAAAAAAGAGUAGAAGCAGGUUUUGGAGGAGGAGUUGGUGGCAAAACUAUUGAUGACUUUUCCUUUCUAGGUGAAGUUGAUGAGUCUUGAAAAUCUUGAUUUUCUGAACUCUUUUCACACAUGAUUGCUUGAAGUGCAGGUUUAAGUGUAUGGUGUGAAUCUGAAUUGUUAUCAUCUAUGGAUUUUUGUAUCUUUUUCCAUAGUAUGGUUUUUCUCUCCAUAUUGUGUGCUUUGAGUGAAAUUAUCUGUGAUUUUAAACGAGAUACUUCUUCUUUAAGUUCUUGGUUUUCUUUCUGUAGUAACUCAUUUCUAGCCAUGUGAAUUUCAAGUCUUUUUUUGAAAGAUGUUGUGAUCUCAGACUCAUUCUCUACCUGCAACAUUUUCUCUCCUUUUUUCACUCUAUAACAUGGUUAUCAAUUUGAUAUCUUGUACACUGAUUUUUGUUAUAUAUUUGGUCUUGUUUUUGAAGUAAGGUUGGUAUGUCUUGGAGUUAAAUAUCCAAGAAUGCCCUCUAUGGUACUAAUAAAGGUAAAUCAUCAUUUAGAUUCUUAAAUAUGUGAGAUGCUUUUAUAAUUGUCUCUGAAUGUAUAUUUUGUUGGUUAGUUUAGUACUCGAAUAUGUCUUUUGUUAUUUGAUCCAUUAAAAUACUGAUAAAAAAUAUGUUUAGGGAUGUUUUAGUAAUUUUGAUAUAUUCAAAAAUAAUAGUGAUAGGGUCUCACAUAUUUCUAAAAAUGAAUGUUUACACUAUUAAUAGUGACCUUAUGGGCCUAUUGGGAACAAUGGUAUUGAUAGAGUAAUUUGGACAUUUCACAUAAAUUUAAUGCUAUUUGACAUGAAGAUUAAUUAUGAUGCCUUUGUAAGAAAAUUUAUAAGUGAUUGAAGAUUACUUUGGUUUGCUGGCAGCAAUAGUAUGUGAAAGCUGCCUUUAGAGUGUCAUGUUAGGUACAACAUUAAAUAUGUUGGUCAAAUUUAAUGCUAUUGUUUCUAGAUUAAUCUAUGUGAGGUGAGAGAUUUCUUGCUCUCUAAUUUGUUAUUAUGUCAAAACUUUUUUAGGUUAGUGGUACAUCUAUAGUGUAGAAGUUGUUUAAGUGAGGUUUUAGUUAGUAUAUAUGCUUGUCUCAUUUCUACUUUGAAUCUUGUUCCCUUUUCUUCAAUUGAAUUUGAUUUAGAAUUCAUAAGUUAUAGUACAUGUGAUGUGGUCCAAAAAAACUAGUCGGUAUACUGAAUGGUUGAAAGUCCUAACUUACCUAGAUGGAACUCUUUUUCAAUGUGUUUGGUUUCAAUGUGGAAAGUAUUAACAAUGACUUUAUUUUCCCCUUAUGUCAAACAUCAUUGUAGUUUUGUGUAAGGAUGAAAAUCAAUUCUUAGACAAGUUGAGAUAUUGCACAUGUGUUAUUUUUUUUAGAUUGAUUCUGAUAAAGCAUAUGUUUGUUUUCGCAGUAGAAAAUUGAUUGAGGUGUGUUAUCUUUUAAACUAGGGUUUGUAGCUUCAACGUAUAAUUUUUUUAUCUCACUUUAAAUAUCAUAACCAAACACAAAUAAUUUUUUUUUCAUAUUAUGAAAAUCAAUUCUAACACAAAGAAACUUAUUUUUUGAGUAAAAAGAAUUAAAUAUAAACUAAUUUGUUGCUCCUUCAAACACAAUAUAGCUUCAUUGUGAUAGUUGUCUUUCAUUUCACACUGAUUACACUUCUUGUAGUUGAGUGGCAUUUGGCUUAUUCUUUGCUUGUGAAACAAUGAAAAGAGUGGUAGGAAAAAUGUGUCUCAUUCAGUGAUGUUUAUUGAAGAGUAAAUAUUUUCAUAAUGACUACUACGUCAUACCAAACCAGAUUCUUAUGAUAUUUACAUUUUUAUAUUUUUUUUGUUUUAUUUUUUAAUUUAAUAUGUUGUUUCAAAGCCUCUUCUAAACUCUUUUAUUUUUCUUUCAUCCUACUCCUUCUAUAGUUGAACAUUACCACCCCUACACACCGAAAGUGUGAAUUUGAUGUAGAUUGGUUUUCUGUGACAUGUUGAGGCCUACUAUACUUUAGGUGAAGAACGUGACUAAAUUUUUCAAGUUUAAAGUGUUGUUCAAACUUUCAUAACAAAUCAUUUUUUCAUCUCUUGAAUCUUGAUUAAAUCUUGGUAUCCGACCUAAUAGUUGAUUAACUCGAAAGGUCUAAUCUAAUUGUUCAUUUGUGGAGGCCAUUUAAACACACACAAAAUUGAGAGGUUCUUAUAAUAUUUUAGACAUUCAUUCAAAAUUUCUAAUGAUACACAUGAAUCGACUUAAAAGCAGAGACCAAAAGUAGCAAUGUAAAACUUUUGGAGAACCAAAACUCUAAAAAAAAAAUUAAAGGGACUAAAAAGAAAAGAUAGAAUAUUAGUAGGGACCAAAAAAUGUUUAGCCCAAAAAUAAAAUAAUGUUAAUUGAAAGACAUUUUAAGAAUAACAUUGUUAAAUAAAGUAAAACUAACAUAACAAUUUAUAUACCAACAAUUGGUAUUUAAAAAAAUAUUAAGUAAAAAUAAUUAGUUUUCAACCUUUUUCAGAUGUAAUUUUAUUUUAGCAAUUUCUUUUUCCACACUACUUUAUUAUCACGCGUCCUACUGAAUUCUGAAAAUACCUCCGUUCGGAUUAUAUAGUCUGAAUGAUUUUUUGAAGGUUUUCAUAUUAUAAAAUUUGAAACCUCUAAAAAUCCAGAAAAAAUACAGAAUUUUGCACUGAUUCAUCCAAAACGUGUAAAUGUACAGUUUGAAAAAUACUAUCUGAAAACUCUAAUAAUAUUUCAUAUUACAUAUUCAGAAUUGUGUCAAACUCCCAAAAGACCAUUUCAAAGAUAAAUUACAGUGUAUGAUAAUGAAAUUUAACCAACAGGUUAACAAAAUCGCAAUGAGAAGACACAAAGCAGAAUUGAAUCAAAGAAAUUGAGAUGGAGGAAAGACCCAAUCCAAGAAGAAGACAGCAAAGAAAAUUGAAUGUAUUUUCUAUAGAAAGUGAAUAGAGAGAAAGAAAAAAAAAAAAAAAAAAAAAAAAGCUAGAAUGCAAAAGAAAGGGGAAAAAGAGAAAAUUGGAUUUUCUCAAGAAAAUGCAGCGGAAAAUAUCUUUUAAGGUGGAUACCAGAUUAGCUCUUAUACCAUGUUAUAAAACAUGAUAUACAUAGAAGGAACAAGAGAAAACUCAAAAAAUCUUUCUAUUUAUGAUAAAUGUAAAUGUUACAAAUGAUAAGAGAGACAUCUCAAAAAAGAGAAUAGAUGGACUAGUGAGUAAAUGAAAUAAUAGCAUAGUGGAUAUUUUUCCUUAAAAAAAAGCAUAGUGGAUAUUUUCUUAUUAAUCAAAGUUUUCCUUAAUCUGAACUUUGUUUUAGGAGACCUUAAUUUGUACUUAUAAAACUAUUUUGAAAGACAUGUAUUUUGAAGAGAGGGAGUAGGUGAUAAUGUAAGCAUUGAAUGCAGUUUGAACAAGUCAAAGACAAAGUGUGUUUGGUGGGGAAUGUAAUGUUAUGAGGGAAUUCAAAUAUUUUGCGGUGAAUUUUAUGUUUGGAUAAUAAUUUGAAGAAUUUUCAAAAUGAUGGGAAUUUAUGAAGUAUUUUGUUCAAGUUCAAUUUAAAGAAUUUCAAAUGACACCUCAAUUUAGGUGAAUUUCAAAUGAUUGAAAUUUGACCUCAAUUUUUUCAAAAUUUUCAAUUUGACCUCAAUAAAUUUCCAAAAAAUUAUAAAUUGACCCCUUAAAUUUUUCAAAAAUUAUAAUUUGACCCCUCAAAAAUUUUUAAAUUUACAAAUUGACCCCUAAUUUUAAUUUUCAAAUUUGGCCCAAAAUUUAUAAAAUUUAUAGAAAUUUUUUAUUACUCCACCCAAACAAAAGUAUUGAAAAAUGAAAGAAAUUUAAUCGAAUCAUUUAAAUUGCCUAAAAUUUAAAUUCUUUAAAAUUGUAUAAAAAUACUUGUACAAAUAUAAUUUCUUUAGACGUUAUUGAGGUUCACAUUAUUCAUCUAUGUAGCAACCAAUUUUGAUGUCUUUGAGACAAUUACAUAACAUGAGUACCAUUGAAACUCUCUUUUAAACUCUCUCUAACACUCACUAUUUUAUUUAAUGAGAUCGAUAUGUGUUCUACACUUUAAAAAUAGGUCAUACCUAAAUGGCGAAAAAAACUCGUGAGUUUCACAAAAUAAAAGAGUGAAUGUUGAAAAGAUAGUGUUCCAAAAACUUCUCAUUAAAUAACACCUUACAAAAUCUAAAUCAAAGUUAUUAUAGAGGCUCAAUCAAAACUCAUCCCAACAAUUGUACAAUCCAGUAGUAUCUAAUAAAUGUGUGAUGUAAAACUAGAUUGUUUAUUGGUGUUCAAGUAUGAAAACAAAGAAAAUGAGACAAAGAAAGUCAAUAAUGGACCCACAAUGAUAAAUUUGUGAUUGAAAAUCUGUGUCCUACAAACAUCCCAAUCUCCUAAUCCUAAUGGAACCUUGCAAGUUGCAUCAAUUAUUGAAUUUUGUAUAUACCAAUUACAUUUUUUCUCACCGUUCUUCUUUUUACUACAACACUUCUCAUAUUUUCAACUCUUUCUUUUCUGAAAAAAAAAUGGCUGAAGCUUUACUUGGUGUUGUGUUUGAAAAUCUACUAUCUCUUGUUCAAAAUGAAUUUGCAACCAUUUCUGGAAUCAAGUCCAAGGCUCUAAAGCUAUCAACCACCUUAGAUUUGAUCAAGGCCGUUCUUGAAGAUGCUGAGAAGAAACAAAUAACAGACCGCUCUAUAAAGGUAUGGCUUCAACAACUCAAAGAUGCAAUCUACAUACUAGAUGAUAUUCUUGAUGAGUGUUCCAUUCAAUCCACUCGACAAAAGGGCAUAUCUUCUUUUACAUUAAAGAAUAUCAUGUUUCGCCAUAAAAUUGGCACUAGGUUUAAAGAAAUUACAAACAGAUUCGAUGAUAUUGCUGAAAGUAAAAACAAGUUUCUUCUACAAGAAUGUGUUGCUGUUAGGGAAAGGUCAAUCAAUGUGGCUGAAUGGCGUCAAACUAGCUCUAUUAUUGCUGAACCAAAAGUAUAUGGUCGAGAAGAUGAUAAAGAGAAGAUUGUCGAGUUUCUUCUCACCCAAGCAAAGGGCUCUGACCUCCUUUCCAUCUAUCCAAUUGUUGGCUUAGGUGGUAUUGGGAAAACAACUCUUGCUCAAUUAGUUUAUAAUGAUCACCGGGUGAGUGACAAUUUUGAUACAAAAAUUUGGGUUUGUGUUUCUGAGGCUUUCUCUGUUAACAAAAUUUUGUGUACUAUUAUAGAAUCUUUUUCAAGAGAAAAGUGUGAUGCCUUAGAUUUAGAUGUUAUACAACGACAAGUGCAAGAAUUGUUGGAAGGUAAAAGAUAUUUGCUUGUUUUGGAUGAUGUGUGGAACAGAAAUCAAGAACUGGAAUUUGGAUUAAGCCAAGAGAAAUGGAAUAAGUUGAAAUCCGUGUUGUCAACUGGAUCCAAAGGUUCAUCCAUUUUAGUCUCCACUCGUGAUAAGGAUGUUGCUGAGAUCAUGGGAACAUGCCAAGCUCAUCAUUUGUCUGGUCUAUCUGAAUAUGAAUGUUGGUUGUUGUUCAAACAAUAUGCAUUUCGACAUGAUAGAGAGCAGCAGACUGAGCUUGUCACAAUAGGAAAAGAGAUAGUAAAGAAGUGUGGGGGAUUGCCUCUUGCAGCACAAGCAUUGGGAGGCCUAAUGUGCUCAAGGAGUGGAGAAAAAGAAUGGCUUGAAAUUAAAGAUAGCAGGAUUUGGUCUUUACCGAAUGAGAAUUCUAUUUUGCCUGCUUUAAGGUUGAGCUACUUUCAUUUAAACCCAACCUUAAAACAAUGUUUCACUUUUUGUGCCAUGUUUCCCAAAGAUAUAGAAAUCAUGAAGGGAGAUUUAAUUCAUCUCUGGAUCGCCAACGGAUUUAUAUCAUCAAGGGAAAAUUUAGAGGUAGAAGAUGUUGGAAAUAUGAUUUGGAAUGAAUUGUGCCAAAAGUCAUUUUUCCAAGAAAUCAAGAUGGUCGAUGAUUCAGGAGGCAUUUCUUUCAAGUUGCAUGAUCUUGUCCAUGAUCUUGCUCAAUCAAUUAUAGGAUCGGAGUGUUUGAUUUUGGACAAUACAAACAUAACUGACCUGUCAAGAAGCACACACCAUAUUGGUUUAGUAUCUGCAACACCGUCAUUAUUUGACAAGGGUGCUUUCACAAAAGUUGAAUCGUUGCGAACAUUGUUUCAGAUAGGUUUUUACACCACAAGAUUUUAUGAUUACUUCCCAACCUCUAUACGGGUUUUACGCACAAACUCUUCCAAUUUAUCAUCGCUAAGUAAUUUAAUUCAUUUGAGGUACUUGGAGCUGUUCGAUUUCCAUGACAUAAAAACCCUACCUGACUCAAUUUAUAGCUUGCGUAAUUUGGAAAUCUUGAAACUGAAACAUUUUUCUAAACUUCGUUGUCUACCGGAACACUUGACUUGCUUACAAAAUCUCAGACAUCUUGUUAUUGAAAAUUGUGAUGCAUUGUCCCGUGUGUUCCCUAACAUUGGUAAAUUAUCUUCCCUAAGAACAUUAAGUAAACACAUUGUCCGUUUAGAGAUUGGAUACAGCUUGGCAGAAUUACAUGAUCUAAAGCUAGGGGGAAAACUAAGCAUUACUUGCCUAGAAAAUGUUGGAAGUUUGUCUGAAGCUCGAGAAGCCAAUCUGAUAGAUAAAAAAGAACUUCAGGAAAUAUGCUUCUCAUGGAACAACAGGCGUAAAACCAAGACACCUGCUACUAGCACCGAGGAAAUACUUGAAGUGCUUCAACCUCACUCAAAUCUCAAGAUCUUGAAAAUACAUGGCUAUGACGGAUUGCACCUCCCAUGUUGGAUCCAAAUUCAAAGUAGUUUAGCUGUUCUUAGACUUUCUUAUUGCAAAAACUGUGUGCGGCUUCCAUCACUUGCUAAAUUACCAUCUCUCAAAAAACUCCAAUUAUGGUAUAUGGAUAAUGUGCAGUAUGUGGAUGAUGAAGAAUCAAGCGAUGGUGUGGAGGUUAGGGGUUUCCCAUCUCUGGAGGAGCUGCUUUUAGGUAAUUUACCUAACUUGGAACGGUUGUUGAAAGUGGAAACAGGGGAGAUUUUUCCCCGCCUUUCUAAGUUGGCCAUCGUUGGUUGCCCUAAACUUGGGUUGCCACACCUUUCAUCGUUUAAAGAACUCAUUGUAGAUGGAUGUAACAAUGAGUUGCUGGAGUCAAUCUCUAGUUUCUACGGCCUAACUACCCUUGAGAUUAAUAGAGGUGAAGAUGUGACAUAUUUUCCAAAAGGGAUGUUGAAAAACCUGACCUGUCUUCGAACUUUGGAAAUAUCUGAUUUCCCAAAAGUGAAAGCAUUGCCAAGUGAAGCCUUCAACCUAGCUUUGGAGCAUCUUGGUAUCCAUCACUGUUGUGAGCUUGACUCAUUACCAGAACAACUUUUUGAAGGUCUACGAUCCCUUCGAACCAUGGAGAUUGCUUUCUGUGAAAGAUUGAGAUGCUUGCCAGAAGGUAUUCGCCACCUCACAUCACUUGAGGUUCUGACAGUUUAUGGUUGCCCAGCUGUAGCAGAGCGAUGUAAGGAAGAAAUAGGAGAGGACUGGGACAUGAUAGAACACAUUCCAAAAUUAUCUAUUAAUUAGAUUGAAGAAGAAGAAACUUUUGACCAACAUUGAUUCCAUUACAAUAUGCCAAAUAAUAUAGAAUCAUUUGUAUAUUAAGACCAUGUAUAUUCCAAUCACUGCAAUAUUCCAAAUAAUAUAGUUGAUGGCUACUUUGGGAGUGCGACAAGUUUUUAAAAUGACAAUUGGUUUUCUUUUUCAAACAUUAUCGUUAUUAAUUACCUUAUUUGCUAAUUCUGAACUAUAGUUUCUAUAAUGUCAGGUGCUGGUUAUGUUAGACAUUAGUAAGGGAACAUUAAGUUCACUAUAAAUACAAUUUUUAUACAACAAGAUCAGAUGAAAUUUUCAUGAAAGGGUUAACUUGAGAAUAACCGUACAAUCUAAUUACAUCAUAAAUAUAUACAUGAAAAUAGAGAAUAUUUACAUUUACAUAGAAGAAAAUAAAGGAAAUAACAUCUCAAUAAAUAUAAAUGAAGUAUUUUAAUGAUUGUGUCAUAUCUCAGUAGCUACAUUUCAACAAAAGUACAAGUAUAUAUAUUCUACUUUUUGAAACACUUUUUGAAUUACAUUCUUAGAUACAGAAUCAAAGACUCUUUAGAGAUCAAUGAUGAAAAACCUAGAACCUAAUGAUCUUGAUCAUUGGCUAGUAGAAGUCAUUGUUAAUGUUUAUGACCAACAUUUACAAACUAAAUCUAUUCUUUUCUAUGCAAAUAUCUCAGUAUAAGGUUAGAGUUAUACAUGGUAAACCAUACCGACUUCUAGCAAAGAAGUAUGAACUACUUCCAACAUAAUAUCAGGUUCUCUGCAAUUUUUGCUUAGAAAAGCAUAAACAACAUCUAUUCCAAAUUUCUUUAAAAUGGAAGAUGAUUUUUUUGCCUCUGCAUAGGAAUGCCCAACUAUAUAAGUAAUACCUGAUUCUUUGGCUUUUAAAAUCUGCAAUGACUCGACUUUAUAGGACUCGUCUUGAAGUUGUUGGCCGUCACAUGAAAAUGCUAAAGAAUUCUUUUCAGAAUGUGACCAAUUCAAUUUCAAAGUGUGUUGUGAAGCACCAAGAUCUUCCGCAUUUAAGUUUCUUCCAUCAUCUAUAGUCAAUUCAUUUGUUUGUUCUUGAACACAGUCUUCUGAUUCUAUAAACUGUAUUAUUGCAGAUACCAAUUUAUUAUCAAAAUUGUAAUUCUCUUGUUGUAUGUCUUUGUAACCGUAUCGGACAAUGCACCGAAACAUGUAGAACUCCUUCGGACCAAUCCUGCUGAUGACUAAUCUUUCACUUUCACUGACAUAAGGAACUUGAACUGAUUUAGCACAUACAAAAACUAACACCUGAUGGAAUGCUGGUAAAUUUGUAAUAAAAUGACCAAAAAUAGCCGGGAUACCGGAAGCAAGAUUAGUGAAAAUGAGACCGAUUCCUGGGACACGGACCAUGCCUAAACAAGGUCCUAAUGAUAACAUCUUGCUCAUCGAGACCUUGUUUUCAACAUCAAAUUUGUGUUUCUUCAUUGUUCCAUAAUUCCAUGUGAACAUUAUGGCCAUAAAAAUGAAAGAGAGCGAAAUUGGGAUCCAUCCUCCUUCAGGGAUUUUGCAGACAGAAGCUGAGAUGUAAAGAAGUUCAAUAGAUCCAAACAAUAGGAAACAUGUAAGUGCUUUUAUUAUCCCUUGUUUCCAAACAAUUAUAAUUAUUAGCGUCAUCAAACAUGUUGUCACAAACAUAACAGUGGUGAUAGCCAACCCUGGAAACCAAGAAAAAUAGUUUAAAUUUAGUUUUCAAUACUUCAAGUAUCAUAUAAUAAGUAAACUUAAGAGUAAACAGUCAUUUUCCCUAAAUGUAUGAAGCUUAAUCACAAUAGCAACGAUUGUAUCCGAAUUACAAAAUUAUCCCUAAAGCGUCUUUUGUCUGUAAUUUUAUGGACCAAAUUGACUACUUGAUGAUAGAUUCUAGAACUAUACUAAUUAAUGGAAGAUACAUUUGAUGAUGAAACGGACUAAUGAAAGACAAGUUUAUGUAGUUUUUUAUUUUAUUUUUAUAAUUUGAUACAUUAGAGACUAUUGUGACAUCGCCUCACAUAUUUUAGGAUAAAAAUGAUUGAUUAAUCUAAACACAAUGGAAAAGGAUAUCAUACCAUAUGCAUGACCCAUCAUGUUUGUAUCCCUAAGGCCAAUUGUGACAGCUAAACAAAGGCACAUUAAUAUCCAAUUGACUUCUGGAACAUAAAUCUGUCCAUAUAUUUUGCUAGAAGUAUGAACAAUCUUGACUCGAGGAAAACAAUUUAAUGCACAGCAUUGGCUUAUGAUGGAAAAAGUUGCAGAAAUCACUGCUUGACUUCCUACAACAGCAGCAAAAGUGGCCACUAUAAAAACUGGCCAAAAUACAGCUUCUGCAGAAAAAUAGUAGCACUGUUACCCUAGAGUUAUCAUAAAUAAUAUCGAUAUAUUUGUGGUUUAUUAAAGUGAAUUCUUGCCUGGUAUGGCUUUGUAGAAACUUCUCUCAAUGUCAUAAUGGUGCUUAGAGAGAAAUGCAGCCUCACCCAUAUAUGCCAAAAUCAGGCAGGGAUAUACUAAACAUGUGAAAGCUAUCUGAGAUUUACGUGUAACUGUUAAAUCAGAUUUCAUUUUUGUAUGCUAAACUAAUAUACUUGUGAUCAAUAUUGUUAAUUAUUGUAUACUUUUAAUUUACCUUUAUUGAGAGUGCAGAAAAAUGACCCAUGUCAGCAUACAUUGUCUCCACACCUGCGACAGUAUCACGUAGGAAAAUUAAUCUCAUAGCUCUUUAGCUGCAAGAGAAAUGAUAUUUUGUACAACCAAAUUUAGACAAUUUUUGUGACUUUUUUUAAGUGUUCAAAUAGGUGAUUAAUUACGUUUAGUAUAUGAUUAAUAGAUAUAUCAGGUGUCAAAACUUAUUAACCACCAACAUAACUUCAUCAACCACAAAUUUGGAAGUGGUUAGCCAUAAUUUUCAGUUAAGUACAUACAAAUUUAUGGUUAAUGCUGUUACAUUGAUAGUCAAUGAGUUUUCACAUAUAGUAUAUCCAUGAACCACCUACUGAACGCAAUUAACCACUUAUUUGAAGUGUGUUAACCACUUAAAAAGUUGUUGCGAAAAUUGUCUGAAUUUGGUUGUUCAAAUAACACAAGCUAGACAACUGUAAUAAAAUUGACUAACUUAUAUUACCUGUUAUCGAAAGCACAACUCCACUUAAUGACAACCAUCCUUCGAUGCCAGUGGUUUUGAGAAACCUAAACAUAUAGACUGGAGAAAGUGCACGAUAUACUUGUCGGUUCCAUUGGAAAAUAUUGUAUAUACCAAUACCACUGAUACACAAAAGCCAUGCUGCAACAACUGGGGCAAACAUGAAGGCAACUCUAUGUGUUCCAUGAUGCUGAAUGGAGAAAAGGCCAACUAAAAUGAUACAUGAGACUAUAACAACAUAAUCUGCGCAAUACAUAGUGUAGAGUUUCAAAAUUAUGCAUUGAAUAGACAUAAUGGUAAUGAUCGAAGUUCGGUUGGCUUACUGUCAUGGAGUUGGUUGAUCUUAACUUGAACUCCUGAAACUGCUGAAAAUACUGAAAUGAGACAUGAGAAGGAUGGUCAUAGAUCGAAAAGGAUAAACAGUACAAUUAUUUAUUCUCUGUAAACACCGAAAUACUAUAAUGAUCAACUCUUGAAUCAGUAUAUUCUCUGUAAACAGUACAGUUAUUUAUUCUGAAAUGUACUUUUGUCUAAUCACAUUAAUGAUGAAUAAUGAAUUCUAGCAAUUAGUAAUCAGCUAAAGCUAUAAUUUAAGGAAUGCAUGUGUGUAUCUGUGACAUUGCCAAUGUUGUAUAACAUAGUUCAUUUUGGUUCAAAUAUUAUGUUUAGUCCCUGCAAAAUCAAAUGUUGUCAGUUCAAAUAUUAUGUUUAAAAAAGCUGAUGUUGUGGACCGAGGUACACACCAUCAUUUCCAUGUAGAUGACAAUGCCACAUGUCAACACCACAUUGGAUGAUAGUGACAUAUAGCAUGGCCACACGAAGCUGAUAUGCCAUGUCUAACUCCUCGUUUUUACUGACGUGUUCUAUUAGUGUUUGAUGUGUGUCACUAUUAUCCAAUGUGGUGUUGAAACAUGACAUAGUCAUCCUACAUGGGAAGGAUGUCAUUUAGUCGUAUUUGCCACAUCAGAUAUUUUAAAUAGAAAGUUGACACUACGGACAAAAAACAAAUACAUGAUUCUGUAAGGAUGAAAAGAAAGAGAAAGAAAAAAAAAAGGUAUUUAUAGGGACUAAAACCAAAAUUUGCUCUAUUUAUGGGGACAGAACACAUAUUCAAACCAUUCUGUUUUUUAUAAGACCAAACUCCCUUUUACUUGUACAACAAGUAACCCAUAGAUUAACAGAAGGGAUGCUCCUGAUCAAAGUACCUGAUAUUGCAGGAGUAAUCACACCAUCACCAAUUGUCAUGCAAGUUCCCAACAAAACAAAGAUUAACAGUCCUUUCUGGAAUCUAGGAUGCUUUUCAAAGAACAGCUUCAAAAGAGAAGAUUGCCAUGUAUCGGCAGAAUCUUCUGUUGAAUAAGCAGAUAAAGUCUCAUCUGUUGGUUGCUGAUUAGGCAAAAUGCUUAGUCUUGCAUGUCUGCAGAGAAGUGAGUAUAAUGCAAAUGUGCCUCCUGCAGUAAAAUAAGGAACAUAAGAAAGAAAUUCUUAGAUGCUCAUGAACCAAAGAGAUUGAUCUUGAUUUCUACCAAUGGUUUCUUAUAUAACAAAAUUAUAACAAUGUGUUCCCUUUUUAUUUUUUGUUUUAAAAUAGUCCCUUAUUUUACAAAUGUUACAUUAAAUUUAUCCAUUUUAAAUUUUAAAACUAUCCAUUAUUGUCCCAUAAGUCCUAGCUCAACCGGUGAAAAUGCCGAAAUUGUUAGGCCGGACAUCAUGAUCGAGAUUCGAACCCCGGCACCUCCACUUUGUGUGUGUGAGUUUACGAUGGCUUUACCAUUUCUUCUAUCUACCAAAAAAAAAACUACUCAUUAUUUUGUAAAAGCUAUACCAAGGUGGUCCUCUCUGUAAAACAAAGAACAAUUUCAUUACCAAAAAUACCAAAAGAAAAUUGAAAUCUAAAAUAAAGAUAAGGAACCAAAAUUAUUUAGUCUAAAAUUAAUCUUCAAAUAUUUAUCUGUUAAUUAAGUAAUCAUAGUAGACAUCAUGACAGAGAAGGAAAAUUAUGGCUCAAAAUAAUUAUAUAAAGUCAAAAAGAACAAAUAACAGAAUAUACAAUGCUUCUGAGUUCUGUCAUCAUUUUAUUCAUUUGGUAAAGCCAAAAAAACAUCCAAAUAUCCUUUAUGGGAGUUUUGGCUGAAUAAUAAUGUGAUUAUAAAAAUAAUUGAGUUGACUUAAUCAACUUAAAAGCCAAAGGAACUGAAAAGAUACACACCAAAAGUACCAACAUCAAUGAUUGAAGAUUGUACCUUCUCCAUUAUCAUCAGCAGACAUGACAAUGAAAACAUAUUUGAAGAGAGCAAUAAUAGUAAAUGUCCAAAAGAUAAAUGAAAGCACUCCAAAAAUUUCUUCAUCAUCUUCUUUAAGGCUCAAUUUCCCUGAGAAUGAGGUCUUGUAUACAUAAAGAGGAGAAGUACUUAGGUCACCAUAAACUACUCCAAGACUUUGGUAUGCUAGAGUCAGCACAUUUAAACAAGAUGUCCUCUUUAAAUUCUGAUACAUGAAAUGAAACCAAGCAUAAGCUUUUAUAUGACAAAUUUCAUAUAUGAAAUGCAAAAAAAUGAGUACCUGGUGAGAUAUUCCUUGUUCUACAAUUUGCUCAGAAGGAUUCAUUGUUGAAACAUAUAUAGAAAAUGAGGUAAGUUAUGAAGAGAAUGAUGAGAUAGAGAAAUAUAUAGAAAAUGAGUAAUGGAAGAAGUGAAGUAGUAACAAGGCAAGUGGUGUGUGUGUCCAAAGAAGUUAUAAAAUGCAUUCAAUGCUCUUUUAACUUUCUUUUGUUGGACUUCAUUAACCAACCUAACACCUUCCCCUUACUAGUGGUAAACAACUUUUUCUUAACUAUUUCUUUCUGUUCAAAUAGUAUUUUUUCAAAACUAAUGUACAGUGUUGAAUUGAAUUUGGAUAAAGUAGAUGUUACUGAUUUCAAUUAUAAGUAACUUAUUGUCAUAUGAGUAGAGAUAUAAACGAUGAUUUAUAUAUUUUCAGAUUUUAAGUUUUUAAAAAAUAAAACUGUUUUUCCCUUUAUGUCCUUUGUGCAUAAGAUUGAUUUUUCUAUUUUUGUUUCAAUUUUCGAGUUUUACAUGGAAAGUAGUCGGAAUUAGGUCAAAAACUAAAUAAAGUCGGACUAAAAAUUAUUCCCGCUAACAAUUGAACUCGAAUUCUCUUAAUUCAUCCUUAACUAAAACUCAUUUAAUACUUGAACCAAAUUCCCAGGACUUUAAACAAUGGAUUGGAAGUCAACAAUGGGCCAUGUUGUUUGGUACUCAUUUAUAUUGUGUGAUUUGGUAAAUACCUCUUUCCUUAUUCAUGUGUCAAGUAAUUAGUCUCUAAAAGCAAACCGUUCCUUAAAAUGGUCACUGAAACAGGAUUGGAAAAAAGUUUUCAUAAAAAAUUGCAAACAUAAAAAGAAAAUCCGAGCAUAAAGGGCUAGGAUUCUAACCCUGAAAAUGAUGUGAAUUUGUCUCCUUGUCGUCUAACAAUACAAAUUUCAAACCCCCACGGUACAUUUGUAAAAUAGUUGUAAAAUAAUUAUUAAUGUCACUUUAAUUAAUAAAAAUAUACAUUUCUCAAUUUUUUUAAAUGUCUUAAAUUGAAAUAUUAUGUUAAAAUUUAAUACGAUGCACUAAAAAAUUUCAUAAAAAUGAAAAUAUUAAAUAAUAUCGAACAUUUUUUUUCCUCAAACAUGAUUGAUCACCAUCUUAUUAUAUUACAAAAGUGGGACAUAUUGGUAGCUAAAUAUAAACAUUGCACUAUAUGAAUGUCUGGUUUUCAUUGACCUUUAUUACAUCCAAUUGAGGAAAGAACCAAAUUUUCCACCAAACAAAGGUAUGUGAUUGAAGCCUUUUUUCUUUCUUUAAUUUCAUAAUCCUAUGCAAAGUUCCUUCCACAAUGGAAAUUCACUUAGGGCACCAUGUUUUAUUUAAAGAACAAAGUAUGGUGAACCUGAAUUAGGCACCCAUAGUAUGGUGUUAAUUAAUAAAUUACCAAACAAUAAAGAUACUAUGAAGACUUCAUAGUAUUACAUUACUUUGUCUUGCAAAUUGUAUACUUCUUUUUAGGUAGUUGAUGUUCCCAUCUUUGUGUGGGUUAAUUAUAAUAUUGACGGUUCAACAAUAAUAAAAAUAAUUAAAUAUGUAAUCCACUAUACAACCAAACUGCGGGUGAGUUAAAAAUAGUUUUUAGAAGAUCAAAUAUCACUUAUGUUAAUCUUUCUCUCACUCACGUGCAAUUCACAUGCUACUUAAUCUAAUCCCAAUCCAUGAUACACUUUAUUAUAUAUUUACUUCAGAUGUGUUAUGAAGUCGUAAUAGGAUAAUGUUUGUAUUCGAUUAAUACUUUUACACUAUGUUUAUUUUUAAGAAAAGAUCAUGAGGAGGAGAGAAAGUUGAGGGAAAGAAGCGGUUUUUAUUAUUUGGAAAACUCUGAAAAGGUUAAGGAAAGAAAGAAUUAGCUUAUUAAAAAGUUUUCCUCACAAAAAUGGAUAGAAAGGUUGAAAAACAUCCUCAUAGCUCAGUUGGUAGGGAUAUUGCAUAUUAUAUGCAGGGGUCGGGAUUUCAACCUCAGACACUUCACUUCUCCACGAUUAAAUUGUGUAAGCUCUAGCCGCUAGGUUACUUGACAAAAAAAAAAAAAAAAAGUUGAGAAACACUCAUAUUUAUUUUUUAUUUUUCAAUUUACCAUCUUAUUUUUUAUUGUCUCACAAUUGCAUUGCUCCAAUGCUCACUACUACACUUUCUUUUUCCAUGGAUAUUGUAUGUAGACAGAAAAGUAUGCUUAUAUUGUUAUAAUAUUUAUUUAUUUGUGUGUGUAUAUAUAUGAAUAACUUUUCAGGUAUUUAUGUCAAUUAUUAAAUAUAGAUUUUUCUUUCCUCUAACACUUUCUCUUCUUAUACUAAACAACUAAAAUAAUUCCUUACUUUCUACUCUUUUUCUUUCUUCAUGUAAUCUUUCCUUUCACUUUCAUUCUCCAACCAAAUAAAGCCUUAGUUUUUUAGUUUUAAAUUGAUUUUUUAUCUGUAAAAAUGUGCACCACGUUAAAUUGGUUUUUAGUUUUAAGUCAUAAAAUAUAUGCAUCAUUGCGUUAUUUCCAUCAAAUCAAGUUAAAAAACUGCAUACGUUGUGCUUAUUGUUGAGUUGGUGUAUUCAAAUGUGAGUAGUCAAUACAUGUGUUCAAAUACAAGGAGGCUCAUUAAUCUCUAAUCCUCGUCGAAGGCGCACCACAUCAUACCUCAUGCACGCCUCACCGCACAGGUGUGUUGGAUCAAUCUCUAACGACUUCAUAACAUGCCAGGUUUAUAAGAGACAACUACAACAUCCCCAAUUAUAUAAGUGUGGCUUCACGCCACACCGAAGCUGCAUUCAUAUUUUUACCAUAUUUCUACUCAUUUUUUCUUUCUUAGUCACAUAGUGACUUAGCGUCGGAGUAUUAACAUGUUUUAUAAGUUCCGUUCACUUCAUCAAAGAAUCCCCUGCAUCAUAUCGAAGAACAUCUUUUAUCUCAUCGAAAAUUGUCUUGUACAAGCACAAACACCAAUUACUUGCACAAUCUUUUCGUUGUGGAAAAAAUUAUAGUUCUUGUGAAUAAUUUUGAAACCUAGUGAUUCAUAAGGUUAUCCACUCUCAAUCAAGUCUCAACAACCAAAUUAUUGAUUUUCUCCUUUUAAAUGUAAGUCUAACCGUACAUCAAUUAUGGCUCGUACAUUGCAUGUUUGAAGAGUAAGAGAUGAGAUUUUUUUUUUUUUAUUUGGAAUGUGAGAGUUUCAACUUUCAAUUAUGAAAUUCCAUAAUUUAAAAUUUUGAGAAAAAAAAAUCAAAAAAUAGAAUAAGAGUAUCUAAGUGAUUUGACACAAUUGAUUGUGUUUUACCUAAGAUGGAAGUAUUCAGAGUGAUAAUUGAAACAAUUCUUAACCCUUUUUACGUACUCUCUAACCGAAAUUCAAAUUAAUCAAGUCUUAGCUUUUCAAUAGAAAUUGAAGGAUUACAACAAAAAAAUGAAAAUUAGAAAAGAUAAUUUUAAGAAAAAAACUUAUAACCCUUCGAAAAAUAAAAACUAUAAACUCAUAAGUGUUUGAUUUCUUGCUCAUGCAAACAUAACCAUAUAGGAUAAACAAAUAGAAAUGGUAAAUAUCUAAUGGUAACAUUUUUCUUUCCGGCAACUACACUGAGAGCAUCAAUAUCAAGACUUUAGCACAUAAGAAGCAUCCAACUCAAAAGAUUCGUCUAAUCAUCCAUAAUGCGAGAGUCUUUUAACUUAAGUAUCACAUUAAAUAUUUUUAUUUACUCAAUAUAAAACUCCUAUUAUAUUUAUGUUCGGAAAUAAUUUGAUGCAAACGGUAUUAAAUUGAAUGAAAAAGAACGAUGAUCGACGCCGACGAACCACUCACCAAUGGAACCGGCUAUGCCCCUGACUUUUCUCAAGAAACGAAUUAAAUGAAGGAACAAGUAAAAUUUGAACUCAAUGAAAUAGAAUUUUAAUUCAAUAAAAUAACAUUUUAAUUCUCCAUAGAAUCCUAAGGAAAAAUGAUGCACAUGUAUAAAUUUUGUGUAAAAAUAAAAUUAUUAAUUCUUCAUUUAAUGACAAAUUUACAGUAACUUUUCUUUGAAGGAAAAUUUACAGUAACUUAAAAUGUAGGAUAUAAUAUAAUGCAUAGCCAACUUCAAUAAAUGUAUCUCUCAAAAAAAAAAAACUUCAAUAAAUGUAUCAUCAUCCAUAGUUAAAUACAUAUUUGUUCCUUUUUUUUGAAUGAAUUGUUCCUAUGAGUAUGACCAAGAUUAAAAUGGACCAUCCUUUUUCUAGACCAUCCUUUUUCUAGAGAUGAUAUGAGGUCCUCCUUUUUUUUUAACCAAAACAAAGUUAACUAUUAUCAUUAAUCAAUCAAUGUUCAAUAUAAGAAGGAUAAGAAUAAAAAAUACGGUGACUAACCCAAAAACAGACCGCCUUAGCUAAAAUAUGAACAACCAUGUUCGCUUGUCUUCUAACAAAUUUCACCUCAAAAUUAAAAUAUAAAGAUAACUGAUAAAUAAUACUAAAAACAAUAGCAUCAUACGAGGUCCUCCUAAGUUGGCAAAAAUUGUGAAAUGAAAAGGGAUAUAGGUAGAAACAAUUGUUGGGUCAACAAAUGUUAGAGACAACUGUAUGGAAGGUAUGCUUUCUACAUCACACAUUAAUGAUUGGUCCCUCCUUCAAUUCCUUUCAUUCAAUCAGCUCUAUAUACCUUCAAAAAUCAAAAGAUGGUGCACGAGUGAAGUUGACUAGACCUUUCAACUUUAUCCAAAAGAAGAGACAAUAGUCAUGCUUUUGAUGCAGCCUUCUGCCCAUAAAACCAUACCAUAUUUCCUACUCACUAUAUAGAUUCAAGUUGAAGUAUUUUUUCAAUAAUCAAAUCUCUAACCGUUAGAAAGAUAAUUCUCAUAAUAUUUGGAUGGAUAUUUUUCAUAAAAGUUGGAUAUGCACGUGUUAAAGGAACUAAAAAUAGUAAUUUAUAUUAAAAAAGAACAAUUAUUUAUUAAAAAGUUUCAGAGUAUUUAAUAUAAAAUGCACAAGUUCCGAUACAAUCUUACUAUUUUAAACUUUUUAACAUGUGCAAAUAGAAAAACCCAUUUUAAAAGAGCAAUGAUAUUUGUACAUCCAUUCCAUGACAAUUUUAGUGACAACUUUGUUUUUCUCUCUUCUUAUUGGUCAAAAACAAUGGAGAGAGAAAAAGGAAGAGAGAUGAUAAGACCAUCAUGUGAGUAUGAGAGAGAAAGUUGUACAAAAGUUGUCACAAAUUGGUUGUACAAAUAUCAUUUCUCAUUUUAAAAUAACUAUGACACAUGGAAAGAGUUGUCGUUAGUAAAAAAUCCAACAAUAUUUAUUAGGGUUAAUUAAGUUUUUGGUCCCUAUAAAUAUUUGAAGUUUCGUUUUUAGUCCCUAUAAAAAUAAAUCACAUUUUUUAGUCCCUACAAAAUUUUAUGUUAUAGCAUGGGAGAAAAUAAUUAUAAAACAUGGGAGAAGUUGUCCAUGGUUAAAAUUUUAAAAUAUUUAUUAUAAACGGGAAAAGUUGUCGCUGAUAGAAAUUUCAAAAUAGCUAUUAUAUAGAUAGGAUAAAAUGUCAUUGAUACAAAUUUUAAAAUAAAUGUCAUACACCAAAGAAGUGUUCAUUAUAAAAAUAUUAUUAUACAUAAGACAAGUUAUCGCUGAGUUAUCUUGAAAUAAUUAUUAUGCAUCGGAUAAGAUAUGGCUGAUACUAAUAUUCAUUGAAUUAACAUUUAUUUUUCACAACUUUUAUAUAUAUAUUGCAUGAGAAUGAGUAACUUAUGUGAGAAUGGUGAGAAUAAAUUGCAGUCAUCGGAUUAGAAGCAAUGGAUUAGAUUAAAACAUCACUUAAGUGACUCAUGUGCCAAGCAUGCGACCAUUCUCUUCCUCUUUUCCAUCAUUCACGCGUCCCUUAUUUUUCUUCUCCCUCUCUCCUGGGUUUGCGGUUCCAAAUUCCUUGACAUCUUUUGAUUAUUUCAUUUUUUUUUAACCUUGAAUUGUUAAAAAGAUGAACCUUAAAAAGAUUAAGGGAACAAGAACACAUGAAGGAACUCUUACUCUCCCAAAUUGAUAUUAUUAUUUUAAUUGAUAAAAUUUCACGAUUAUUUUUUCUAAUUAACCAAUUCACCUUCAUUCAUAUAUAAUAUGAUUUGUAACUCCAGUAUUACAGAUUUUAGAAGGGUUUUCUAUUGAAUUUGAGUCUGAAUCCAGAAACUUCAAUAACAUAUACGAUGCUCUCCUUGUGCCUGAACUGGUGGGGACGCUGCAAACGUGGUGGACAGUGAAGGCUGCGGGUUUCGUGUUAAUGAGGAUUGGCGUUGCCGGAAAAGAUGGUUGAAGUUGAAGAUGAAGGGAAGAAGAAAUUGUUGCAGCGUAUAAAGGAAGAAGAAGGGUUAACCAAAAAGUUGGAACGCAUGAGUGAAACUAAUGAGAAUGGCACAUGCUUGGCACAUGGGUCACUUAAGUGGUGUUUUAAUUUAAUCUAUUGCUUUUAAUCCGAUGGCUGCAAUUUAUUCUCAUCAUUCUCACAUAAGUUACACAUUUUCAUGUGAUAUGUCCCCUAUAAUAUAUAUAUAUAUAUAUAUUAUAGAUUGUUUGAGAAAGUUACACAUUCUUGAAGGAUUGUUUGAGAAAGUUACUGCUGAUGAUGUUGUUAAGAUCAAUCUUGGUUAUUGUUCUGUGGGAAACCGAAUUGGAAAAGAGUCUUAUGGAGAAACUUGAUAGGAAGAACAAAAGGAGAUGGAAGAGUGAGAGUCAUAGACUCAUAUAUAGUUAUUAACGUGGGAGAGAGAAUGAAAGAGAGUCACGUGCUAUGUAUUAAAUUAAAAUCUAAUCAAAACCGUAUAUUUAAUCUAAAGGCUGAUGUUUCAUCCUCUCACCCUCUCAUUUAAAAACUCCUCUCAACACCCUAUAUAUAUAUAUAUAAACUGAAAUAAAUCAUCUCCACCAAAGGUUGCUGCACGGGUAUCUUACUAGUUUUAAGGAUAAAACCUUUAACGUAACGACUAGAAAAGUUGCGGAAAAAUUCAACCAUAAAUAAACAACUGAAUUUUGAUAUACAAAGUGGAAUUUCUCAAAACAAUAGUGCUAUAAAUCGUGACAACCAUUCUUGCGAAUAUAUCACGAGCAACCAUUUCAUAUAAUUUUUUUUAAAGUCUUAGUUUUCUUUUUUAACCUUCUCUGCAGUAUAAGAUGGACUUGAAUCGGUACAUCAAAAUGUUGUUGUUUCAAAUACAGACGCCAUGAUUUAUGAAAUUAUAGAAAUUCUAACUCCAAACUGAAAUUUUGAAAAUUUGGAUGAUAAUUUGUCUAUAGAAGAAACAAAAAAAAAGGAUCAAAUGACAUAUAGAGGAAACAAUGUUAGCAUUUCAUGUAUUUUGUAAAUUUUGAUGUUUAAUUCAAUCUGCCCUGAAUUGGUUCAUCUUUUUUUUUUUUUUUUUGAAGGAUGGUUCAUCUUUAUUAUUUGAUAUUUGAGUAUGUCAUAUAUUUUGUAAAUUAUAGGAAGAAGAAGUAGAAAUCAUAGAUGAAAUGUAACGAUGCGACAAAGUUAGCUUAAAUGCAAUGACUAUAUUCCGGUAUAAAUGAUCCUAAAAUUUAUACCACUAAAGUAGUCUCACAUGACUAACACCCACAAAUAAAUCCUUUGGAUCCGUGGUUUCAACAUUGUGGAUCACCACUUGUGAUUCCAACAUUAUGAAAGUCACCUCGAUAUGCAUUCGUGAACAUAUAUUUUCAACCAAAACAUACAUGUAAAUCCAAAGAAUUUAACAUGAUAUCCAACAAUCAAUAAUUUUAUAACCGAGAAUAAGUAAGACAGAUAAUUUCACAACGCACAUGUCAAUUGACAAUACAUCCAUCUUGUACAUCCAUCCUUUGGUCUGCAGCGUUGAGCCUCUCCUUGGCUAAUUUUGCAGGUAGUAUGUGAGUUUCCCUCGUUGACGAGAUCGUGGUGGCCCACAUUCAGCUUUGAGUCUCCUUCACAACAUGAUUUGUUGACACGAUCUUUGAUGCGCAGCUCCACUGGAUACUUGUUUCUUCUCUUGUCCUUCUUUGUGGUUAAAUGGCACUACAAACACGAAACAAGGGUAUUAAUCAUCAUUGUCCAUUUCCACUUAGUCUUGACUCAAUCUGCGAUCCUUGCGACCACAUACUCGGUUAGUGGGCUCGAGAAAGAAUUAGCUUCCUUUGCACGGUUUUUCCAGAAUUCUCCUAACCUUUAGUCGGUUGGCGUUUCCAUCAACUAAAGUUUUUGGGUGAUAAAAUCUUAACCUCAAGUUACCACAUCAAAUUAUCAAAAAAAUUGGGUGAUGAAAUCUUUGACUCGAGUUACCACAUUAAAUUAUCAAAGUUUUUGGGUGAUAAAAUCUCUUACACAAUUGACAAAAUUUAAGGGACAUUUUGGCCACUCCACAUUUUUAAAGAAGAUGGAAUUUUUCUUUCGCAACAAUUACUCACACACACACACUAAAGAUUCAUCAUUAAGAAGUAUGAAAUGCAGCAAAAUAUCCCCUAGCCCUAUAAUUCAGCCAAAUCAAAAAGAAAAGAGGAAUAAAAAUGUUACCACUUCUUGAGCUCAAAACCAUCACAAGUCCAAGAGCUAACUUACUCUAUCAAAUGAUCUUAGACACACAAAAACCAAAUAAUGUUCUCAUUUGAAUCUACGAUUCUUAAAGGGUGACGUGUUUGAAUUUUGCAUAAAAGUUAAUAAUAUUAAAAUAAUCUCUAAAAAAAAUAGAAUUUUUAACAAAAUAUGAUUUUUUUUUAUAUUUUUAGCGGUUAAAAAUUCAUAUUUAUCCGUAUUUUGUUAAAAAAGAAGAAGAUAUUUUUACAAUAUUCUACACAUUUUUGUUUAAUUUCGUUAAAAAUACAAAAACUACAUAUUAGUUGACUUAAAAAUAGAGAUAAAAAAUGGUGAUUGAAAAUUGUAUAUGGAUUAACAGCUGAAGAAAUUUUUUAGAGGGAUUAAAGCAAAAAAUUGAUAUAUUUAUAUGAAAAAAAUAUAUAUUUAACCUUAUUUAAAAUGUAGUGUGUUUUAAUCAUUUUCAGGUUUCAUUUUUCUUCAACCAAUUCAAAAUAAGGGAAUUCUAAUUUGACUUUAGCACUAGUGUGAUUUGGCUUGUAGAUUAACUUCUACUAUAUGGUAAAAAGAGUUUACUAUAUGACUUUCCAUCAAUCCAAGCAUGCAUCAUCAUCAAUCAUGAACUUUUCUUCCUCUCUUAAGCUAAAUCAAAUGAACUUUUCUUCCUCUCUUGAGCUAAUAUUGAUGAAUUUGGCAUCCAACAAAUAUUGUACCUAUAGACUUUCUAUAGCCUAGAGGUUAUAUAGUCCUGGGUAACACCAAGAGCUAAUACACCUUGUCAUGUUGUUUACUUACAUGACACCAAAUUACAUACAUGAAUAUCAACAAAAUUUAAUGAUUAAUUACAAAACAUUAGUAUUUAAGUGGUUAAGUAUUACUGUAUUUUUUAAAUCAUUCGAAAUUCUAAAAUGUGAAUAAAAAAAUAUUAUAAUAAUCACUUUAUCAAAUUCAAUAUGAAUAAAAUGAUCAUUUAUGUGAAAUUGUUCUGAGAAGUUAAAAUUUCAAGUUGUUUAUAGAGAUGCACAAAGGAAAAUUUAUAUUGUCACUAGAUCACUUGUUUUAUUAUAUAUGAGUGUAUUCAAACGUCAACAUUUGAUGUAUUUUUUUCAUUACUCCAAAGAGUGCUCGUAAAUAAAUGACUUUGAAUAUCAAUUAUUAAGUUAUUUCUUUUAACGUUCAUUAUUUUUUAAUAAAAUAUAAGUUUGUUUUUUAAUAAAAGAUUUUUUUUUUUGAAACUCACUUAAAACUGAAAUCUAUUAAAACAGGGUUCCAUAAUAUAUAUGAAUCACUUCAAAAACAAUUUUGGUUUACAUUCAAUGUCAAAUUAUUUAGUAAAUCAAUAGGAAUUAUACAAUUAAUAUGAAUGAUAAUGUAGAAUAAUGAUAAGUGCUAGAAAGUAGUGAUUCAAUGUAUAUUUAAAGCACUUUUGUAAUUUGUUUCACAAGUUAUUUAGGGAAAAGCCGAGAGAAAAGUGAAUAAUUGCCCUAUUACGUUUUAUGUAUCUUACUUUAUUCAUUUGUGCAGGAAUUGAAUGUCAAGACACCAAGCAAAGAAGAAAAUCAAAGAAAAUGUACAUAGGUCAACUCACCAUGGCGAGUCAAGGGCGAGCCCAAGGCAAGCAGAGGCAGAGAGUUCCAGAGACCACUCGCCCCCAACUUGCAACGGCGAGUGGAAGGCGAGAAACCUCGCAAUGGCGAGCCCAGGGCGAGGAGGAACAGAGAGCAAAGGUUCAAAGUUCGCCAUGGCGAAUAAUAUACUCGCGAGGCGAGUUAAGGCGGCCAAAACUCCUCAGAGCUGACGUGGCAGAAACCCACUGGUGAAGAAACAUCAACUCGCCAUGGCGAGCAUAGACUCGCGAGGCGAGUUGAAUCAAAACAGGAAAAGUAUAAAAACCCAUUCAGUCAUUUCAGUUAUGAGAUUAUUACUUCCUUAGAGAGAGAAUAGGGUGAAAAUUCACCGUUUUCAUAGAGCAAGAGUGAGUGAGUGUGGAUUCAUCAAGAUUUGUUGAGAAAUCAAUCUCUUAUCAUUGAUCUUCAUAUUUCCUACCACUUUUGUAAUGUUCUCAAGACAAUGAUGAAUUAAAUCUCCUUAGUUUGGAUUAGAGGUACUUUAUUAAGUUGAUAAUGUAAUCUUUUGAUCUUGCAAAUAUAUGAUUCUAGCAAUUUACAUGAUAUUGAUGAUAUUCUUGUAUUUCAUUCCUUAUCUUUGAUUUAGAUGCUAUUUAGAAAUACUUUUGAAUCUGGGUUUAGAAUAUUUAUCUAUCAAAACAAUGAUUCUAGACAUAGGAUUGAUGUUUUGAUAAUCACACAAAGUAUCGAAACUUAAAGCUUUCAUAUCAUUUAAUAGAUUGAGAAAUCAUCGAUUAAACGAUACGAUCAAAUAUUGGAUUGUUUAAUAGUUUGGGAAAUCAACGAUUAAAAAACACAAUUGAACUUACAAGAUCAUUUGGACACGAAUGAUGUCGUCGACCGAUACGUGAUAAUAUCGAUAAAACGCUAGAAUCCAUAUAUGUGAUUAUUAGGUUAUGUUUGACGCUUAAUCAACGAACUCUAAUUCCAACGCUUUUACACCUUAUUAAUCUUCGUUUUUAUCUUCGUAUUUUAGUUAUCAUAGUUUUAAACAAACAACCAAAUUACUCUUGAACUUAAAAUGAUAAUCGAUGUUGAACGGUUUGCGAUAUCGCACUAAUCCCUGAAAAGACGAUACAUAAAUACUUACUUUUGAUUGGUAGAAAAAUACUACAUCAAAUAAAUCAUUCAGUUACAAAGCAUUCUUUUUAAUUAGAUGAUUUCAAUAAAAUAAAAUAAAAUAGAUCAUACAAUAUGUUCUAGUUGUGCAUAAACAAGUUCUCAUUUCAAUGAUGCUUUAUUCAAACAAAUAACUUUACCAAUAAAAAUUUCCGUUUACUAUCAUGAAAGGUUAAAAUAGUUGUGAAAAUUUAGUUAAAAAGAUUUGUUCUUAUGAGUAGCAAUUUUUUUAUGUUACCUCCUUGCUAUGUAUGUUAAUGGGAUAAACGUAGCACACGGUUAUACUUAAGAGAUAUUUUAUAACGAUUAUUAUUUUAUGAAAUGUUUUUACAGUUUUGUAAAAGUGCUAGAAACUAUUUAAUUAUUUAAAGGGGGUAAUGAACUUUAUACACUAUAAAAAGAUCAUAUAAUUAUACUUUUUACAUGCAAAAUGCAAAAAAUAUGACUGAAAUUCUUAAGUUUGUUUAUGUUAUGUUUCUAUUUAUUUCCAUGUUUAUUGUCACAACAGAAGUUGGUGGUAAGUCAUUUUUUCAUCCUUUUCAAUUUUCCUUCUUUAGUUUGUAUUUUGUACCCAACCUUUUUAUCAUGUUUUAGUAAUAUUGUUAUAUUAUCUUUUUCUUUACGACAGGUGAAUGUAUAAAUGAUAUUGAUUGUCCACAAACUGGGAACUUGUUUUAUGUUUUUAUUUGCAAAAAUCGCAUAUGUGAAUUGAUUAACAAAUACCCUCAAAAUCUAUGAGUACUAGUUCCAAGAGAGUAAAAAAACUUCUUACAAAGGAGAUAUGUAACCAUAUGAUAGAAUAUUCUAUGAGAUAUCAUUUGUUAUUGUACUAGCAUCUACUAAUUUUAUAUUUCUUAUCCUAUUAACAUGAACUUUGUAUUUUUGAUUUUGUACUCUAAGAUAAUGGUAAGACAAAAAGGAGAAUUAUAUAGAUUGUCUUCUCCUCUCUUAAUUUUGGAGGUAUUAUCAUGACAUCCGGUUCAAUCAUAUUACAUCUUAUUUUUUAGUCCACCACCUAUAAGAAUAAUUGUAAUAGUUAUAUUGAAAGAUAACUCUAUCUUACUUCAAAACCUAUACUUUUGUUUUAAUGUUAUAAUGUUAUUACACUUGUCACUUUCAAACACUUAUUUAUAUUUGUUUUACUUUUUUAUGAGAUCUAAUAGUCUUGGAUACCUUUUUUAUUUUAGAAGAUGUGGAAAACUAGAAUGUCACUGCAAAACAAUAAUUAGCUACUAAAAUAACAGUAAAGAAGUUAAUUAAUUGUAUAUUUUGUUGUGUCAACAACAGUUUUUUAAAUUGUUGUAUAACUAUAUGAACUAAGCUUAAUAGUGCAUGUGUUAUAUAUUGACGUAAAUUUAAAAUAUUUUUGUCAUAAUAUUGUUGUUGUUGAUUUUUAUAUUAAUGAAUACCUAUCAAUAAUUACCAAUAAACAUAUUUAAUGUGUGUUCUUUUUUUUACCAAAUUUAUGUGGGUUCUUGACAAGUUGAAAUCUAAGGAGGGUGUAUUGAAUUAGAAUUUAAAAGACAAUUUUUGUAUGAAAAAGUCUUGUGGAUUUUAAAAGACUAUACAUAAUUUUAGUGAUUUUUAAGACUUUAAAAGACUAUUAAAAUUUGUAAUUUGGAUUUCAAAGAAUUUAUACGAUAAGAUUUCAUGGGAUUUGAAAUGACUUUAUAGGUUUAUAAGAUUUCAAUGUGCUUUUAAAGAAUCAUUAAAGAAAAAUGAUAAUAACACUCUUUAUGAUGAUAAUUUCAAUACACACCUUUUCAUUUUUUUUUUUUUUUUAAGGAAACACUUUUUCAUUUGUUAAAAUUCAAAUUAUUCCAUUAAAAAAUAUAUUGUUUUUGGUGUAUUAUUUUGUGUAAAUUAUUGUUCUUGCAUAUCCAUGUUUGUCUUUUAGAAUUUUGAUUCACGUCUGUGAAGUGGGGUUCAAAUGAAGAAAUUAUUGAUACCCCAGAUUUAUGGAUUAAGAUUUAUAUAUAAAAAAAAAUAACAAUGUUUUAUAAAAAAUCUAAGGUCCGAACUCAGUUCUUGUUACUCCUCUCUUGGAUGGAUCCAACUAUCUCGCAUGGAGUCAUUCAAUGAUUCGUGCUUUUGGCGUGAAAAACAAAUUGAAAUUUAUUGAUGGUUCGAUGGAGAUUCCUGAUGAAAAUGAUCUGAAUCGUAGUGCGUGGGAACGAUACAAUCAUCUAAUUCAGUCCUGGAUCAUCAAUUCAGUUUCAUCUCAAAUUGCUCAAACACUGGUUUUUCAUGAAUCCGCCAUUGAUGCUUGGUUAGAUCUCAAAAAGUGUUUUUCUAAAGUUGAUAGAAUACGCAUUGCUACACUUCGAUCCACAAUCAACAACUUGAAACAAGGUUCAAAAUAUGUUUUAGAUUACUUUAUUGAGAUGCAUACUCUAUGGGAGGAGUUGAAUUCUCAUAGACCUAUGCCUCACUGCGCUUGUCCCCACCCUUGCCGUUGCGCCUCCGUGAGAGAAGCUCGCAAUUUUAGACUUGAGAAUCAGGUCAUUCAAUUUCUUACUAGAUUGAAUGAUCAAUUCACAGUUAUUAAAACUCAAGUUUUCAUGAUGGAUCCUCUUCCAUCAAUCAACAAAGUUUAUUCCUUAGUGAUUCAGGAAAAAAGCAAUAAUCACUAUGUAGAUUCUUCCGUUGAUGAUCAUGUUUCUUUGGUGAAUGCUUCUGAUUCACGCAAUAAGCCUCAAGAGAGAGGAACAAGAUAUUCUACUGGACCUAAACCUCCAAGACAUUGUAGUUUUUGUGGAAGAAAUAAUCACACAGUUGAUUAUUGUUAUGCUAAGCAUGGCCACCCUAAUUUUCAGAAGCAAGCUCCCUCUAUCAAUACUUCAAGCAGUAAUGAAACAUAUGAAGCUACACCAGGAAGUUGCAAUGAUGCAUCUUUACCUAGUUCUAGUAUUUCACAAGAGAAGUAUGACCAGCUUGUUAUCUUGCUUCAACAAGUGAAUCUGCUUCCUUCAUCAUCAACACCUCCUGCUAGUGCCAAUCACAUCAAUUCACCUUCUAUGUGAGGUAUAUCAUCCAUUUUCUCUUGUUCCAUUUCAUCUAAAUCUGAUAUUUGGAUUUUAGACUCAUGAGCUAAUGAGCACACUGUUUCCUCCACACAUUGGUUAACUUCUUAUCAUAAAUCAACCCUAAACCUGUGAAUUUACCUAAUGGUACUUCUGUUCUUGUUCAAUAUAUGUCGACACCAUUCAAUUUUCACCUUGGAAAUGUCCUAUAUUCUCCAUUAUUCAACUUGAACUUGAUUUCUAUUUCCAAGCUUUUUCAGUCUUUACAUUGUCAUGUCAUUUUUCAUGAUAAUAAAUAUUUCUUAAAGGAUCUUCACUCCUAGAAGAAGAUUGGUUUGGGUGAUCAGAUUGAAGGUCUUUAUAGAUUAGCUUUAGAUUCCUUUAAUCUUCCUCUAUGCAAUAAUUUUUCUGUCAAUCAUAUUUCCACCAAUACAAAUUUAACCAUCCCUUCUUCUACAUUAUUGCAUUUCAGGUUAGGACAUGUAUCUCAUAUGAGAUUAUCUCAUAUGUCUCAACUAUAUCCUAGUCUUACUUUUGAUCAUAAUACUACUUGUGACAUAUUAACAAAUAACUAAAUAUGGUCUUUCAAUAAAAUAAAAAAUAACCUAAUAGUCAAUAGAUCUCGCAUGGAAAAGAGACAGGGGCCUAUCUAACACCCAUCCCUUAGAAGUCAAAACUAGCAAUGUCCAUGAUAUGCUUUAAUGACGUGAACAAGUUAAACAUAGGAGUAAUUUUGUUGUUUUUCUUUACAUACCUUAAAACUUCUAAAAUGUUGAUAAAUAUAGUUAAACAAGAGUGCUAUUUGGUACGAUAGAUUCAACGACGAAACGCAGCAAAUGGAUACGUGCAAAGAUUGGAACAAGUAUUACUCCACAUUUGGGGCAAAACAUGUUGUUUAGUGCGGUGAUUAAGCUUGUUAACACCUUUCGUUAGUUCUCGUUGAUGCAUUGCUCGUAACAAUGAGCAUUACACAUAGUUAAAUUAUCUAUUAAUGAGAUCAUGUUCUUGAUAGAAAAAGUUAAAUUUUCGUUCUUACAAAAUAUGAACUAACUCGUGAAGACAACAUGUUAUUGAUUUUUGUUUUAAUCGAUUUUUUAUUUUUUAUUUUUAAAUAAAGGAGUCGAUUUUUAUAUUAAAAAUCAAAUUGAGUUGUGUUUUAGGUCAAAUCUUAUCCAACAAGAUUUUUUUUUUGGUAUAAUUAUUUCUUCAUAAAAUUAAAGUAGAUUAUUAUUAUAUUAAAAAAUGUGUAAAAUUAAUAAAUAAAAAAAAUUGUCUAUCCUUUUGUUUAUCUUUCUCCCCAUCACACACAUACAUAUCUUAAGAAACAAACAAAAAAAGUGAAAAUCUCAUACAAUGACACAUUAGUCGUUAAUCAACACUCUUCUCACACUUCUCAUUUUCUUCACAUUGCUUCUAGCGACGGUAACUAACCGUGGCUAAAACAAAAUGGCAACAAUUAGCGACGAAGAACGCGACGGUAACGGAAUUAAUCAAACACCGUUACGAAUCCCUGAAUUGCUCUAUGUUUCUGUGAAGAUGGAGAAUCCAAUCCGCGCUCUCGCUGGAAAUCUUUUUCCUCAUGUUUUUUGUUCUUCUGCAUUGCUUGGGGAUUGUUUGGAUUCUUCGAAAGCUGUAAUUUUGAUUCGUACCCUUUUUACUGUUUUAUUUGUAGUUUAAUGGGCGAUUCUGUUUUUUUUCUUAUUGUUGUUGUUUUUGGUUUAGAUUUUGAUGGAACGUGAAUCUGCGUCAAUGUGGGAGUUGAGCUUUGUUGUUCCACAAAAUCACGGUAAUAAUGUUUUUAAGUUAAUAUUUGGAUAAACAACUUAAUUAAUUGCUUAUAGCAUAAGUUGUUAUUAUAUGAGUAUCAAAGCCCGUUUGCAUUGACUUGAGCUUAUCCACCGGCAUUAGCACUUGUGAGACAAUUUAGGAGAACUUAUGACAUGUUCUUAAGCUGUUUUCAGCUUAUGAAAAAAAAUAUAGAUUAUACCAAAACAAUUUAACUUUAUUUUAUCUUUUGUUAUAAUUUAUUAAAGUAGCUUGUACAUGAUGAUAAACACUUAUACUAUAAUUUGCAAAUUAAGUUGUUUAUCCAAACAGGGACUUUAUGUAUUCUAUAACAAAAUAUAAAAUAAAUUCAAUCUGUUUUCAUAUAAGCUAUUCUAGAGAACUUGUGGAGAUAAGUUGAAGAGAGUUCACGGACAUGUCUUAACCGGUUUCCAUGAACUCUCCCAACGAGUCUGACAAGUGCUUAUGUUAGUAGAUAAGCACAAAUAACCAAAUCCAAUCAGGCCCUAUGAAACGAGAGAAACUCUUCUCAUAAAUUCUUUAAGUAAGCACUAAGUGGUCAUUUGGUUUUAAAUGUGUAAGGUCAUGUCACUAGUAUCCAUAUAGUCCCUGAAUGUGUUGAAAUUACGAAAAUAUCUCUGAAUGUGUCUUCUGUGAGUAAUUUCAUUGACCAAACUGACCAACGAAAGACAUGUUAGAGCCCCAAAUGACAAACAACAUCUACAUUUAUGGAUGUUUUUGCAAUAUUGAUAUAUUCAACGACUGUAGCGAUUGUGUCUAUCCUUCCGAGCAUGUGAAAAUAAGAUGACAUUAUUUUUGUACUCUUUCAACCUUUUUCUUAUGUUGUAAAAUAAAUUCAAAUAAGCUCUUCCAAGCAUUAUUUCGCCGGUGCAUAAACAGAAAAUAAUUGACUUUUCUAAUAACGCAGAUAAUAACUGUAUUGGCAUCAUCAUAAGAAGAAGCUUUAAUGUCAGGACUUCAUUUUGUAACCUGACGUGUUGACUUUGUUUGAGAAUUUCAGAAGCUUUGGAUUUCAAAUUCCUCCUAAAGCCAAAAGACGACAAUUCACCUUGUUUUCUUGAGGAGGGUCCGAAUCGUGUACUUGUAGCGGGAGCAUUGCAAGAUGGUGCUAGGCUUGCUUCAUUUAAGCUUGAUAAUGAUCAUGCUGUUGAGUAUAAAGUAUUUGUUCAAGCAAGCAAAGUUUCUUCCUUUGAUCUGGCAGCUAGUUGGAGGGCUUAUAAGGAGAAUUUUCAUCCUUCGGCUGUACGCGGGAUACCUGACGUCAGCAUAAAUUCAGAAGUUCAGACAGAAAGCGAGGUAAGACUCCAACUGCCAGUUUGCUUCAUCUUGUUUACUUUUUCCCCUUGGUUCAAGGUUCACCACAUUGUUUUUCUUCUGGUAGCUGUAGAACAAAGACUUACUCUGGCUGCAAGUCUUUAGAUGAUUGUGCUAAAAAGCCUCAUGUGAAUGUGCAGGAUGUCUUAUACUUUGUUUUUGCUGUAAAAUAAGUGUACUGUUAAACGUGGUUUAGUUAAGUAUUAGAUAUGCUAAUUUGUCUCAUACUAUGUUAUUUUGUGGUUAUAAUGGUAAAUAGUUGCAUUAUAUAGUUAGUAGACAGCUGCAUCGAAUUGAAAGAUGUUUCGUUUUCAUUCUUUAAAAUAAAAUAACAUGAAUCAGCCUAACAGGUGACUUGCAUUUCAUAUCCUGUUUUUUUUUUUCCUUUACUUUUUCAUGUUUUCUACAGUUUUAAUUAUGUGUUGUAAUCAAUAUUCUUAUAUUAGUGCAGUCAUCACUGUGAUAGUCCAAUUACUUUUUUGUUGAUGCGCAACUCUAAUUAUUUUCCCAUGAAAUUGUAUCGGCGCACUAGUCAUGCCUCAGGACUCUUCUUUAUUAACCGCCAAUUUUAAUUUUAAUCUCUUCGUGGAACUGUAGUUUGUCAUUAAAUGUUUUUCUAAUCUGAUAGUGCAAAAUGGUUAUUAUUAAGGUUCAAGUGAUUAAUCUAGCACAUAAAAAGUUUAUAGUUGAAUUACAUGUCUUUCUCAUACAUUGCCAUUUCAUCCACCACAACUUGUAGUCCAAUCAUGCAUCUUAACUGGUGGCCUUGAUAUGUUCUACUUUUCUUUUUCUUUCUAAUUCCAACUUAUGAAGUUAUGAUAAAUAUGUUUUUUUGUGAACCAUUUCUAUGGACCUCAUGGCUCACACUUUAUUUUUCUAUUUUUUUUUUUAGAAUGUCUCUUCUGCGAGUUUGGAACUUGAUCUUGAGCAUUAUGUUGUCCCAGCUCCCUCAAGUUCUCCAAAUUCAUCUGCUGUAUAUGCAGCUGACAUGACAGAGAAUCCCAGAUCACGGAAUAGUGGGUAUGGCAGCAAUUCAUAUUCCGCCGGAGAUGACAGUGGUUAUGUUGAUCAACCUGAAACUGUAAAUAUUUAACUUUCAAAUUCAUAUUUAAAAUUUAUGAUUGACUUUUAGAUUUUAUAUUGGGCCUAACAGACUCAUCCUUACAUGACCAGUUUGUAUAAUGCGGGUCACCCAUGCUUUAUACACACUACACAUGCCAUAUCUCUGAGCAAUGUGGGACUAAAUCCACCCUUUUAAGCCCAACACAUUGAAGGUGUUGAAGGUUGCAAUUGCAACUAAGGCAACUCAAAUGCCGCAUGUUGGAAAUUCUGCCUUUAUUGCGAUCCACCCCUAGUCGCCCAAUUGCGACAUUUGAGUUUCCUCAUGUUGCCUUGCCUUGUAUUGGCUUUGAGGGGGUGGAUUUAGUCCCACAUCGGUUAGAUAGAACUCUUGAUAAGAGUUUAUAAAGAGGAGGCACUCCCUUACAAGCCUGUUUUGUAAGGAUGAGUUAGGCCCCAAAUUUCUACAUGGUAUUUGUAAGGAUGAGUUAGGCCCCAAAUUUCUACACCGCAAUUAGCCGGCAAGGGGCGGACCGCAAUUAAGGCGGAAUUUCCAACAUUGACGUUAAAUUUUAAAAGAGAAUAUUUUGUCAAACAACUGUAAGAUCGACGAUGUUGUACGGAACAGGGUGUUGGGUGGUAAAACACCAACACGAGAAUAAAAUAAGCAUAGUGGAGACAAGGAUGUUGCGUGGGAUGUGUGGUAAGAUCAAAUGAGAUAUGAUUAGAAAUGACAAUAUUAGAGAGUUAGAGUAACAUGUAUAAUAGAAAAGAUGGUGGAAAAUAGGUUUAAGUGGUUUGGGCAUAUUCGGAGAAGACUUGUAGAUUCUGUAGUAAGGAGAGUAGAUAAUGGAGGAUAGUCAGGUCACGAGAGACAUAGGAAGACCUAGAAAAACUAUAAGAGAAAUUGUUAAGAAAGAUCUAGAGAUGAAUGAGUUGGAUCGAAAUAUGGUUUAUAAUAGAACAUUAUGACGUGAUAUGAUCCAUGUAGCCGACUCCACUUAGUGGGAUAACGUCUGGUUGUUUAACUUUCUCAGAGAUUUUUAAUAAAUACUCAUGCACAGUCAUGUAAACCGUAAAGUACUGACCCUUAUUUUAAUAUUAAAACUAAUCUCCGAAUUCUAAUUAAAAAGGAAAGUAAAUGAUGAAUAUCUAUCUUAGAAUUUGUGGUUGGGCCUUACACAACCCAACAAAACCGGCUUAUAAACACUUGCUCAGGCAAUAUCACUUCCAAUGUGGGACUCUUAACACACACCCCUCACGCCUAGAACUAGACAUCUGGAGCGUGACCCGAGUGGUCCGAUAGCGGAAACUUGAUAGCGGUGGUCCAACAGAUCUUGGAUAGGCUAUGAUACCAACUUAAAUGUUUUUAAAAUGAAUGGCUUGUACAUAUCUUGCAAUGAGAUAUUCAAAUUCUAACUUAUAUACAAGAAAGAAUCUCUCAAGAAAAAGAAAACAAUGAAAUUAAAUCAAUCAUAGUAAAUAGAGAAUAAUCAACAUUCUAAAAUACUGUAAAGUGGAAUAAUGAUAUAGUGAAAUAUUUUUUAGAUUUUUCAACACUCACUGUCAAGCUAAAACUUACCAAGAUUUUAGUUAGUUACAACUUUACAAGUAUGUGUAGCAAAUAGUUGUGUAUUUGAUGUUUUUAAAAUGCAAAAUACCAGUACUUGAGGUUAAGAGGAAAAAAAGAAAGUAAGCUAGUAGGUUAUAUUAAUUAUUGAUUGUGCAAUGUAUCAUAUCUAAUUGGCUAUGUUGAUGUUCCAACUAGGAGAUGGAGGUCAAUACCCUGGUCCCAUCUAGGGUGUAUGAAUGUCGCAAACUUGUUAAAUCUCUGUCAGUGGGAACAAUGUCAACACUGCGAAAGGAAGAUGGUCAGAGGGGACCUUUUGUUGAUAGGGGUGUUGGAUUUCCAAGAAUUGUAAAAUCUUCUAGUUUAAAGUCAUUUACUGUUGAUCUUAGUUUGGACACUGAUACCGAGGUUUGUAUAAUUGAUUUUCACUUUUGUUUUAUUAUUCAACUUUAAUUUUUGGUGGACUGAUUUAUAUUGCUUUUAACCGUUAAUUGUGGUUGUUUACAACAUUUGCUUCUGCCCCUCCUUUUUUCGGAUAGAAUUCAUUUCCAGCAGCAGCUGGAGCUGUUGCAGCUGGUGCCGUUGCUGAUCAGAUGCUGGGUCCCAAGGAGGAUAAACAUUUGGCGAUUGUCAUGGUAUUAUUCUUGCUUGUGAAAUAACUAGUUAUGAAGUUGUUUUAGCAACUUUUCUGAUAAUAUUUAUUUUUGGCUGUAAAUUGAGACUCAAAAAUAAAGGAACAUACCGUGAAAUGUUUGAAUUUGGAAGUACAUGGUGAAAAUGUCACAUUCCCUUUUGUAUUUAAUCUAAUUUAGUGAAUUAAAGUAUUUCGAAUUGAAUAAUUCAAACUACUUUUACUUAGGUGAGUCUGCCAGCUCGAGGUAAAACUUUCACUGCAGCUAAACUUACAAGAUAUCUUCGCUGGUUGGGUCAUAAUACAAAACACUUCAACGUUGGUAAGGUUGUUCACAUUCUUGACUUGAUUCUUCUUUGUAAUGAAGGUUAUGUCUGGAUAUCUAAUGGAGCGUAGUGGAAUGAAAUGAGAUUAAAUGAAGAGUGGAAUAGAACAUAAUGAAAUAGACUUACCAUUCCUUUCUUUGCAUAUUUUAAUCAUGCAAUGGAGAAACGGGCUUGUUUCAUUCUAUUCCACCCAAAAUGGAGGGGAAAAGUGGGAUAUUGGAUGGAAUGGAACCCAUUUCAUUCCAUCUUAUUUUAAAUAAUUCCAAACAACGGAACCUUCAAUGAUUUCAUUCCAUUUACUUCCAUUAAUCCCAAUCUAGCCCAAUAGUCUUGCACCUAGUGGAAGAUUGGAAAUAUAUCAAGUAUGAAGUUAACAUUCUCACAUUUUGAUGUCACAGUAUCGUCGCCUUAAGCACGGAGCUAGUCAGGUAAACUUAAUGGAAAUGAAUCAAUAGGAUAGUUUAUUUCUUAUUUAUUUAUUUAUUUAUUUAUUUAUUAUGUGCUUCUAUAUAUAGAUUCCAUUCCUAUCCGUCAGAUUUGCACCAUUUAUAAAUAUGUGACAUGGGGCUUUGAUUUGUUAACAUGUUUCAUCACCCAACACAAGAGUACUAACCUUCUGCAGCACCUAGAUUUGACAUAUUUUACAACCAAAUGGAAUAUGGUGUAGUUCUGUGACUAAAAUGGGUUCGUAGCACACACUCUUUUAACAAAAUUAAGCUGAAGGUUGGUAGAUUAAAAUUACGGAUUAAAGGAGAAUGAUAAGAAGAAAUAUGACGUUAGUGAAGUAUGAUUUGAUACAAAUUUGACGAUACUAGUUUGAUAGUGACUUGAUACCAAGGACUUAAAACUAAUCCUUAUUUGUAGUAUACGAGACUCCUAAUCCUAAAUAAAUAGGAAACUCAGAAAACAAUCAUGGUAAUAGUGAUAUAACAUGGAAUCUAAUUCUAGGAGAUAAUUUAAGACACUCUAAGAUUAUAAAUGGAACCAAGAAGAUAAAUAUAAUAUCAAAAACAUUAUGAGAUGUUUCAUGUAUGUUCUAAUAAUCUAUUAUACAACGAGUUUUUACAACAAUCAUGAUUCAUAGAAUCAUGGAUGAGCUGCUUGACCUACAAAUUUAAGCAAUCAAGUGUUGCGACCACAAGUUUUAACCUGAAAAAUUUAGAAUGAAUGAUUUGCAUUACACAACGGUGCAGAACAAAAUAUAUAUACUAGAGUAGAGAGUAUCACUUUAAAUAAGGAAAAGUAGAGUUGAGAACAAGGUUUUCUGGUGCUGAAUAACUUAAGAGAUUAGCUCUCAACCUUUUGUAUUUAUAAUAAGAAUAUAUACAAAGUAAAUCCCAUGAUCAUAGGGAGUAAAUCUGUCCUAAUUAUAUAAGAGAUAUUUACAAGGAAAUAAAGAUAAUAUAAAUAAGGAGAUAAUAUAUCAGUCAAUGAUACUAUUAUUACGCAUAUCUCAACACUCCCCUUCAAGCUGGAGCAUACAAAUCAUAUGCAUCAAGCUUGUCACAUAUGCAAGUGAUCCUUGGUCCUCGAAGAGACUUUGUGAAGAUAUCGGCUAGUUGAUCAUUACUAUUAGAACCAACAAAAGAAGUAGCAAUUUCACCAGACAUAAUUUUCUCACGAAUAAAAUGACAAUCGAUCUCAAUAUGCUUAGUUCGCUCAUGAAAGACUGGAUUAGAGGCAAUGUGUAGGGCUGCUUGAUUGUCACAAAUGAUACUCAUAGUGCCUAUUUUACUGAAGUGAAGCUCUUGGAGAAGAUGCUUGAGCCAUAUGAGCUCACAUGUAGUAAGUGCCAUAGCUCUAUAUUCUGCCUCUGCACUUGAUCUAGCAACGACAUUUUGCUUCUUACUUUUCCAUGAAAUCAAAUUGCCUCCAAUGAGAACAUAAUAUCCAGAUGUGGACCUUCUGUCAGACGGACUUCCAGCCCAAUCUGCUUCUGUAUACGCAACAAUAUCUGAAUGACCUCUGUCUGCAUAAACAAGAUCUUUUCCAGGGGCUCUCUUGAUAUAUCUUAGAAUUCUAACCACAACAAUCCAAUGAAUAUCACAAGGGGAAUUCAAGAAUUGACUAACAACACUGACUGCAUAUGAAAUAUCAGGUCUUGUCAUGGUCAAAUAAUUCAGCUUCCCAACUAACCUCCGGUACCUUCCUGGAUCUGAAAAGGUCUCCCCUUGUCAUGGGCGUGAGAGAGGUGUAUUGGGAAAAUCCAAGUCUCACAUCGGAUAGAUAAGACUCUUGAGAAAAGUAUAUAAAGAGGAGCAAUCCUCACCUUACAAGCCGGUUUUUUGAGGAUGAGUUAGGCCCUAAAAUUUUAACAAGUAGUAAAUUAAGGAUUACCACUCAAGAGAGUAUCACACUACAUCAAUUGAUCACUAUGGGGACUCACUGUAUUAAAUAUUUGUUUUAUUCUUGGAAUCAUGAUUUUAAAGUUGGCUGUCGUGCUUUGUUGGAAAGUUUUUAAUUUAUGUCAUUCUUUUAUGUAGUCUGCUGAUUUCUUUCGAGCUGACAAUCCUGAAGGCAUAGAGGCACGUAAUGAGGUAACUUCUGGCCAGUAAAUUAAUUCAAACAAGUAAUAUAUGAGAGUAAAGUUUAUUGAUUUCUGACAUAACUUGGUUAUAACUAAAAUUAUCAAGAUGUUGCUUCUAAAUUUUUUUCAAUUUUAUUAAAAGAAAUAAACUACUUAUCUUUAAAGGCCUUUAACAAAAUUCCUUUUUUUUUUGGUUUGCUUUAGUUGUCAAUUGUUCACUUGCGUUUAAAUCAAUUAAUGACUAAAGAUCUGAAUAUAUUGAAAACAAAUCAUUUCGGGAGCUGAUUCUAAAGUGUUGCAUUAAAGAAAAUCAACACCAAUUGAUGUUAUAAUACAAAAUGAGUUUACUUAUAUCAUUUAUUGAAUGGCAACACCAUUUACGACCCAUUUUUGUAGAAUAAAAAUCAGAAAAUAAACGCAUAUUGACAAAUACCAGAAUUUACGACUACUUGCUCUUAUUCAAAUGCUCUAUUUCUAACAUUGGUUUAUCUUGAAUGAUCUUGUUGGUGUUGACAUCCAGCAAUUGUAGAAGACCCAAUCAAAAUAUUCAUUUUGAUUACCUUUUUAAGACUGAUAUAAUGUUACUUUUAGUUUUUGGUAUUCAUUUUGUUAUGAAUGAUUCUGAUAACGUUAACACCAUGUUGACCUUUCUCUGUGUACAUGAUUUUAAUAUCAUCCAAAUCCUGUACACCCAGGUAGCAAAAUUGGCAUUUGAAGAUAUGAUAACUUGGAUGCAAGAAGGUGGUCAGGUAAAUUCAUUCUUGCUGGGAACCUUUUUUCUUUUUUGUUUUCCUUUAAGUUCUCUGCAUAAAUUUUUAAGUUCAAUUUAGGUUGGGAUAUUUGAUGCCACAAACAGUAGCAAGCAGCGAAGAAACAUGCUGAUGAAAUUGGCUGAAGGAAGAUGCAAGGUAUUUUAAUCACAGAUAGCUACUGUUAUUUAGGUAAUAUAAAAAUGGCGUAUGUAGUUUUAAGGUAUUUUUACACUCUUCUGAUGCACCUUUGUAUUUUUAUUGCAGAUUAUCUUUCUGGAGACAAUAUGCAAUGAUGUAGACAUGAUUGAAAGGAAUAUUCGUUUUAAAAUUCAGCAAAGUCCUGACUAUGCAGAAGUGUAUGUUUGCUUUAAAACCUGUGACAUCUUGUCUCAAUCACUUUGUAGAAACGUGCACAAUUAGCUUUUCUUUUGCAGGCCAGAUUUUGAGGCUGGGCUACGAGACUUCAAAACUCGUGUAGCCAAUUAUGAGAAGGCAAUUCUUUCAUAUAUACUUUUAAUAACUUUUCUCGGUGAGCUUUUGCUUUAAAUAAUGCUGAUUUCAUCAUAUUACUAGGUUUAUGAGACGGUAGAAGAGGGAUCUUACAUAAAAAUGAUUGACAUGGCCAGUGGACGUGGUGGGCAAAUACAAGUAAGUUUUACCUGCAAUUAUGUGAUUUGUGUGUGUUGUAAAUUGCCGUCUACUUGGCUCAUUGUUUUGUUAGCCAGUAACAAUAUCACAAGUUAUAUAUGCAUGUCUGUUGACCAUACUCUAGUUGUUUUUUAGAUGAGUAAAAGUUUAUUUUUGUAGAUACACUUGAAAGUUUGAUUAAUAUGAAUAUUAUUGAUUGAUUGGUAAGUUACAAAUUACAGGCUCUAAUAAUAUUAUAUAGACAAUUAAACAUGAGUCUUAAUAAAUGAUAGCCAAGAAAAAGGAAAUAAAGUUUAUCUUGAUAAUUAUACAUUGUUAUGGACCUUAUGGUGAUAUGUACAACACAAAAGGUUGCCUCCAAAAAUUAUACAAUGACCAAAAGUGGAUCUUCUACCAAUAGGAGAGCCUGCCUUAUCUGCAUUUGAAUAUCAUACAACUUAAGUUGGGCCCUUGUUUUCAUAGAUCAGACCUUUUCAUCGGGCUUCUUUAAUACACUUCAAGAUGUGAGUUACGCCGAGAUGUGAAUUAUAGCAUCCCAAUGUCCUUUACAAGGUAAGUUAAGAAAUCAACUUUCCAUAUUAACAACAAAGGAGAUCUUUGGAAGAGCAAAUUGGGAUAAUUUUGCUUGGUCACUAGUCUUCUGUAUCUCUUUGGGUUUGAUAGUCUUCACCAUGGAGGAAUACAUUCUUCAUAUCAACUUGGAGAGACUUGACACCAUUCUUUUGUAACAUUUCAAGACUUGGAUGACCUAGUUGAGCAUGUACUAGAUGAGGGUAAUCUUUGGUGGUGCAUAUUCGGGAGUGGUUAGGGAGAUGAUAGAGGCCAAGUAUUAGGGUGGUGGACAUCCGGGAAUGGUCAUUGGUUAAAAUAGGUGACAGCUGACAACGGAAAAUUGGCAAUAGCAGUCGCUAUGGGUGAUUCUAAGUGGCAGCGCUAAAAAAUAUGCAUUGUAGGUGUUGGCAGUUGCUAGGUAGGCAGCACAGGGUGGCUACGAUUUUGACGUAGAAGUAAAGUCUCCUAAAUCGAGACUGUUGAUAUCAACUUGAAAGGGUCUCUUAGUAAUCUGAAUAUUAUUGAUUAAUAAAUUACAAAUGACAUGCUCUAAAAUAUAUACUAUUGAACAUAUUUCCUAAUGAUAGUCGGAAAAUCUAUCUUAAUAAUUAAAGAACAUUAUAGUCAUGUAUGUUCAGAAGAAUAAAAGGAAAUAAUUAUUUAUUUUAUCCUAAAAUAGCCCCGCUUAUAACUAUUCUAAUAAUUAGUUUAGAUGUAAAACCCUGGUUUAGCCGUUUAGGUGGAAAUUCAAAUGACAUAGUUUCACUUGCUCUUCUAAUUUUAAAUAACUUAUGACAGCAUAAAUUUGAGUUUGCUUUGUGCCUACCUUAAUAAUUAUUUCAUUUUCAUGGUUCACUGGAAGCAUAGAAUUGAAAGCGUGUUUUAUAAUUUUGUUCUGCACACGCAAAAUUUAUGAUGAAACUUGUACAAAUAUUCUGAAAUUUUUGUGUCUCCAUGAUUUUCUCUAGCCAUAAGAAAUAAGGUCUAUAGUAUGACAUUGAUUUAUUAAUUAUUCACGAUUUAUCUCUUUUGGUUUAGGUGAACAAUAUCAGUGGCUACCUACCUGGCAGAAUUGUCUUUUUCUUGGUAAGCUUCUUCAAAGAUUGUAGUUAAUUACAUUCAAAGUCUUGCAUUAUUAAAACUCAGGCAGGAAAAUAAUUGAUUUAACAUUAUUAAAACUCAAGAAGUGAAAGGGAAAAUUAGAGAGAAUCACUGAUUCUAUUUCAGCUAAAUGAUUUCAUUCAUCUGAUUUUGAUUGAGAUACGUCACUGGUAUGUAUAGAGGUUAGAGUGGGCUUACUGACCCAGAUACAACUAUGAAAACCAAACUGUGAUUGAUUCAACCCACAGCUAUGAACGAAGCUGUCAAAUGACUAACCAAAGCCACCUGCUACCGACACUAGUCAUAAUCGAAUGUUAAUUACAAUAUAACAACAUAGUGGGCUACUAUUGAGAAAUUUCAUGAACCAACCUUAACCUUAAUCAAGAGUCCUUUGGGCUUAAAAUGUUAUAGGUUCAUCUUCCUUAUGCUAAAAUCAAACUAUUAGGUAAUGGUACAUGAAUCAAAGUCUUUACCAUUUGUGUUAGAGGCAUUGAAACCAUUUCAUAAACCAACUACCCAAAAUUUUUGAAACUAUUAGGUAAUGGCACAUGAAUCAUUUUAUAUCACUAAUUAGAAAAUUAGUGAAACUUUUCUGUCACUAUAACCUUUUCAAAUUGAGAUAUUCGCUAAUUUGGAAUAGGUUUUAGCUUAUUGCAGUUUCUCAAAUGAGAUGAAUAUCUAGCUCCUAACUUACCAAAAGGCCCUUAUAAGUUUAUAAGUUCUUAUGGACAAGCAAGAUGGGAAAGCUUCUUAAAAAGUUGAGGGUAGUUUCUUUCGUAACAAAUAGCAAUCCUCUUUUGCCUAACUUCCCAAGAUAGUGUUUUUUAGAAGUCUAUUAUACACACUCUCCAAAUGCUACUCCAUGUUAUUUGAAGUUUCUCAAGAGUAUCUGGUUAUUUUCUUCAUGUCUUGCAGAUGAAUACGCAUCUUACACCACGCCCAAUAUUACUCACUCGGCAUGGAGAAAGUCAGGAUAAUGUGAGAGGCAGAAUUGGAGGAGAUCCUGCAUUAAGGUAUAUUCUCAUAUUUUCUUGGUGUAUAAUUGCCGAGGACACAUGCCGACAAAGGUACUUGUAUGAAUGAAAACGAAAUUCCUGUUUUUUGCCUUAAAGAACUGGUAUCAAAAUAAAUUGUGGUACGGGUAUCGUAAGACUUCAUAUGUUACUGGCUUCUGAUUGUACUAGUUGUAUUUCAUUCGUACUUGACCUAGAAUAAUGGUUUAAGUAGGAGUUUUAGGUCCUUUUUUUAUAACAUUUAAUUAUUUGAAGCAUAUUAAUGGUGAUGAAAAACUGAACGAUAGUAUCACUGGUUGAUUAGGAACAAUAACGGAUACUAAAGGUAGUUGUGAUAAGUCACGAAUGAGAUGAUUAAAAAGAAGUGCUAUGAAGGCACUGUGACUAUAUGAAGUGGAAAAUCUGAAUCGUAUUUCUCUUAUUGUUAGAUAUUACUUUCUUUUCUUCCACCUUGCUCGUGAUUUCUCUUUUUACUACUUUACUUGGGUGUACCCUCGUAGCUGAGAAGCAAAAUAAGGCUAGCAGCUCAUUGUUGUAGCCUUAUUGGUUUAAAGGGCCGUGUUUUGUAAAGAGAAGUGGCAAAGUAGAAGUAGGGCUUAAUUGGUUUGAAGGGAUGUGUUUUUUAAAGUGAAGUGGCAAAGUAGUUAUGGUUUCUCUAUCUUUGACUUAUUUUUUAAUGUGAUACCUGAUUUCUUUAACAGUUGCUGUAAAUUUUAAGCUGACUAACUUAACCAAAUUGUUUCAACAGUGAGGCUGGAGAACUUUAUAAACAGAAGCUUGCCAAAUUUGUUGGAAAACGUCUCAAAUCAGAACGAGCUGCUUCUGUAAGCUUUUCCAAUAGUAUGGAUUAAAUUCUGGCAUUCAUUUUUUCUUCAAAUAAAUCAUAUGAUUACAAGAAAUUAAUGCUAGUAUGCCAUGUGCCUUCUAGCAAUACUCCUUUGUUUGCUAUAGCAACAUAUAUCAUUUAUCUUGAGUUGUAUUCUAGUAUCAAUGACAAUGAUGAAGAUUAUUUUUCACUUAAUCAUGCAGCAAACGGUUAUAGUGUUAGUGAUUGGCAAUGUAUUGUCAGUAACUUAUUCCUUAAUCGGAUUAAGUAUAGGGAAAGGAGGCGCAGACCUUCAAAGAUCUACAGCACUAGUUAGAAAAGAUUCCUUGGACAAGAAAUGAUACAUGAACUAGAAUUACAAAUUUUCAUUAUAAUAUUGCCUUUUCAUCAUUUUGCACAUCUGACACUACCAAAUACAAAGCAUUCUUUUCACAUAUAGGAUUUUGUAGAAGUUAUAUAAAACAAUGAUGAAUGGGUUAUUUCCAUGUCAGUUAAGCGCAUGCAUGAACGUACUGAAAUGAUGAAUAGUUUGUGAUAUUUGUCACCUCUGUCUAGAUAUGGACCAGUACACUACAGCGAACAAUUCUGACAGCAGGCCCCAUUGUUGGAUUUCCUAAGGUUAGUGUCAUCCUUAAGUCAGAAAAUAUGGAUUGACAUAAUUGCACAUUGAUUGUGUUCCUGCAUCGACUUUCUAUACAUUUUAGAUACAAUGGCGUGCACUUGAUGAGAUAGAUGCCGGGGUGUGUGAUGGAAUGACAUACCAAGAAAUCAAGAAGAACAUGCCAGAGGAGUAUGAGUAUGUCUCAAACUUGUAAUCUCACUUAUUUGAAAGCUGAAUGAACUAGUAUUAUUAGAUAAAAAAUCAAGUGUUUAAAAGUAGCAUAAUGCCAAUUAAAAUGUUUAAGUGUAUUUAGUUAUUUUAUUUAUAUUUUGGUUAUUUCCAUUGCAGAUCCCGCAAAAAGGACAAACUUAGGUAUCGUUAUCCUCGUGGGGAGUCUUAUUUGGACGUUAUUCAAAGGUUGAUACAUUGCAUCUUUAACACUAUUUAGAUCCUAGCUACUACUUGUUUGACAUAAAUAACUUAAGUUUUCAUGAUAUUUCAGGUUAGAGCCUGUAAUUAUUGAGCUUGAGCGGCAACGAGCACCUGUUGUUGUGGUAUCUCACCAGGUAUUGCAUAUAUGAUGUUAAAAAGUAAACUUGCAUUUAUGUAUCUUUCACUGGUUUUAAUUCUUGACAUUUUUGCCAAUACUUCUUCAUUGCAGGCAGUUUUGAGGGCAUUGUAUGCUUAUUUUACGGACAGGCCUUUGAAAGAAAUUCCACAUAUGGAGGUAAUAUAUGAGUUAAUAUUUAUCUGAAUGCAAUGUUCUUACUGUCAUAUAUGGAGUUGAUGCAAAAACCUGAUUGUGUUUUUGGCAAAUAUUUUAACUUUGAUAUGAAAAUGUUAGUAUAUUGGUUGUUAUGUUCGUAUUUUCUCCUUCACUGAGAGUUGAACCCUGAUUCUUUUACGCUUUCAACUCAUUUAACCUUUGGCAAUUAUUUAAGCACAUCUUUUGGUUAUUUUCAUUAAAAAAUAUUUAUGUGGUUCACCCACCAAAAUUUCAGAAACAUUUUAAUGGAUCAAGAAUUUGAACAAGAUAUCUAAUGUGAGGUUUGCUCAUUUGCAGGUGCCACUUCAUACUAUAAUAGAGAUAGAGUUGGGAGUUACAGGUGUCCAAGAGAAAAGAUACAAACUAAUGGACUGAUGUGAGUAUAGAAGAAGAGAAGAAAAGGGAUGUUAACAAAAGAUUUGAAGUAAACUUUUUUUUUUUUUUUUGUAAUGAGGAAAAAAUGAUGAAUUAUCAUGUAAAUUGUGAUCCUCUUAAAAGUUAUUUAUUCAUAUUGAUGAGCAUAUCUUAGUUCCUUAUUUGAAGAAUUUUAAAGUUCAAAACAAAAGUAGCACAAGUUUUUACUCAGCAAACUCAAAGUUCCCAUCCUUUUCAGUUCACUCCCUUUUUUGCAAAUCCAUUAAAUGCUGAUAGAAUUAGUUAAAAACAACUUAAAGAAGUAGGUAUGGACCAACAUGAACAAUUUUUGGUCCUCUCCUGAGAGACUACGAGUAGCAGGUUUGCAGGUCUCAGCAUUUGUAGGCCAACUCAGACCAAUGAAAAACAACCACAAAUAAUUUUCCAAUUUUUAUGUCUAUAUUACCAACAUUUCUCAUAGAAAACUUUCAAAUGGCGUUAAUUUAUAGAGGUCAUUAAUGAAUUUUAUGAAAAUUCACCUUAAUGAAUUAUAUAAACACCUAUUGGAAGGGACCAAGACAUUCUGCAUUUUGCCGCAUUCAUGUAGUCACGAUAUCCAUGAUUUGAUAUCGGACGUUUUUUAAGAUCAGUAUAUUUUCUCAAAAGAAUCUGACGAUCUCGAUUUAACGAUCACACAUAUUGUGGCCGCAUGAAGAUGGCCACUGCCAACAGCAUGCAAUCCAAUUUUCUAUUGGAUGAUGUUUUCCAAGAAGCUUUGAAGAAGUAGAUACCAUCAGCAUGCUGCAUGCCUACUCUAUAAAAAGUAAAAACUAGAAAAAGGAAAGAAAGAAAUAAAAAGUAGUGAUAGAUGCAUCACCGGAAACAUGUAUGAAAAUAUGGCAUUGGCAUGGAAUCUAUGCAAAGAUCUCUUACUGCAGUCAGCCGUGGACUGAGGGUGACUAUAGUACUACUACUACUAGGGUGGUCAAAAUAAAUGGAAAGACGAAAAAGUCCUUCAUUUAUAGUAUAGGUUUCCAUUCACAUGGGACCCCUGAAUUCUCACAUUCAUCCAUCUUGAUAUCUUUAAAACAUGAAUUAGGAGGGUCCCAUUUUCUGCCUCACUAGCUAAACAAAUACAACAGCCACUCUAACAUUGACAACUGAAAUAUUGUUGGCGUAGAACUGAAAUAUUGUUGGUAUAUGCAUAAGUUUGUUUAUUGAUCAACCAAUAGAAAUAAAUUUGUUCAUAAUAUAAUAGCUAUUUCAUUUAUGCACCAUAAAAAUAACUAUACAAGACUUAAUUAUAGAACCCUUCUUUACCAUCAUUCAAUCUUUAUACGCAGACGAUUUGUUAAUGAUUAUAUGAAAUUCACACACACAACUAUGAAAUCUCAUAUUCGUAUUUAAGUGAAAAUUUCAGUUUAGUAAUAUGAUAUGCAUAUGUAUUGCAAAUUUUUAAUUGUUUUUCUAAAUAUAUUCAACAAACUAAUGUUAGGAGUGGAGAAACUAGUAUUUGACUUACUCACUCUAACACUCUCUUAAACCUUCUCAAAAUUGUACAAUAUCUCAUUUAUUAGUCAUAAGUCAUAAGACCUUUUGCUACACCAAAAUAAACUAAUUAAAACUAAAUAUAAAUAAAUUCACACUCAAACCCUCCACAUGAAUCUAAUAAAACUCACCUACCUACCACCUUCCACUGCCAUUGCCUUCACGGGUGUUCAUUUCUCCCCCCUCCUUUUUCUCUUCAACCUCCCCUCAUCCCAUCCUCACAUUCAUCACUCCCUUGGAUACAAGGACUCUUCUCCUUUCACAAAACCAUACUACACUUCAUAAUUUCUCAAUUCCCUUCAAACAUAUCCACAUACACAACAACAAACCAUAACAAAACAAGAAUCUUCUACAUUGUACACACAAAUAUGGUAUUAUUAAGGUUCUCUUUGAACAUAUAAAAAAAUCUUCUUCACAAACCACUUCAAGUUCAAUCUUUUCCUAAAAAACCAUUCCAAAUCUAUUUCACCUAUUAGACCAAAUUUCACUUCUCAACUCACGCUGAAAGUACCGAGUGUAACUUAAGUCAGAGAUGCUAAACCAACCCAACUCAGAAAACUCAUCCACCAAUCCAUUGAAUCAACUAGCACAAAACAUGUCCUCCGACAACUACAUCAUGCUUGCAGCAAUCAUUUCUCUCCUCCUAGUAAUCAUCUUUGUCCUCCUUCUUCACCUCUACGCCAAAUGGUUCCUAGCUCAAUCCAAUCCUCGCAGUCCGGUGAACCUCUCCGACAUUCCAAUAUCUCCCAACUUCCACCACCAUUUCAACAUCCAAUCCCCACCAUUUAAAGGACUCAACUCAACAACACUUUCAACCAUUCCCACGUUUGUGUCUGAAGAAAAAACACAAGAACUAGAAUGUGUGAUUUGUUUGAGUUACAUUGAAGAAGGAGAGAUUGGAAGAAAGUUACCAAAAUGUGGACAUGCUUUUCAUGUUGAAUGUAUUGAUAUGUGGCUGAAUUCACAUUGUAACUGUCCCAUUUGUAGAGGUUUGAUUGUUGAGGAAGAUUCUCAUGGUGGUAAUGUUGUUGAGAUUGUGAUUGAUACUCCAAGUUAUAGUGAGAGUGGUUCUGUUUCUGUUUCAGAAACUAGUUCUUUAUCUUUGUUUGGAUUUUCUUUCAAGAGAAUUCUUAGCAAAGUUUUUCUUUCUUCACAUGUAAAUGAAUUAGAUAAUGGUUCACAAUGAUAUUAUUUAUUUUUUGUUCUAUUGUUUAUAACUAUAUAUUAUAUAUACAACCAUGAGAAGUUAAUCGCUAUGAUUAGACAAUUUUUGUUUGUUUCAGCUUGUUUAUGUAUAUCCUAUUAUUGUUAAAUUGUUUGGUUUCUUUUGGAUAUGUAAUUUUCAUUUUUAAUUUCUUAAUUGGUUUAAGACUUGAGAGAAUUAAAUUAAAUCAUACACACUCAAGAACUAAUAUAUCAACCUAAUCACUUCUACAACAAAGCGAUUGUGAACGAGACUACAUCAACCAUAUUUAACCGCGAUUUUUUUCUUUUCAAUAUUAGAGAUUGUGUGCGUGUUUGAAUUAAUUGUAAUUUUGACGAAAUCACGAUGAUGCUGUAAUUUUUUAGAAGAUUCAAAGUAAAACUUUUAUCAAAAUCGUAGUAAUAAAAUGGGAUUUUACUAAACUCACACUAUAAGUCUCUUUACUAAUUUUAAUGACAUUUCACAUGCAAGCAAUGUCAUGCAAAUAUCUUCUACAUCUAAUUAAUAAUAUAGAAUAUAAACAAAUUAUGUGAAUAAAUAAACAAGACAACAAAAACACUUGACUAAUAUUGUUAUGUUUCUAUGUGAAGGAAAGAAGUGUGGCAAGACCAAGAGAGUGUCUUCCUCAAAGUCAAACGGAAAGAAAAGACAAGAGGAAGUACUUAUUUGGCAACAAGUGUCUGCCAUCAUCUGUCAUGACUUAUGACACUUUUUUGCAGCAAUUCAUUGUUCUGAAAGUCUAGGCUUUCUUUUGUUUCUAUUGUGAUUAAAUAGUCAAGCAAGGAAGGACAAAAUGAUGGGCCAUGAGGAAAGAUAGAAAUGCUAGAAAACACAGUCUUAUUAUUGAAUGAAAUUGGUGUGAGUCUCAUUGGUUUAUCUAAGAUUUAUUUCUAAAGUACGAGACUCAGGUGAAUUUUAUACAAUAAAAGAGUGGUUGUCAGACAAAGUGUUAGAAAAAGAGUGUUUUAAGAUGGAUCAAAAUAUAGGAUAUAUAAUAUAUUAAUGGAUCGACUCAUUUCACAUUUCACACUAUAGUUUCGGGCGUUAACUAUUAGUUAAGUAUAUGAAAUUGUAAACCAUUAUUAAUUUAAUAGAUGGAUUACACUUAAAUUUACAAAAUUUCAAUCACAUAAUUAGAUGAAAAAAAAUUGUCCCCGAAAAUUUAGUUAUGUUGGUAAGGACAAUAAAUAUAUGCAAGAUCUGGGAUUCAAACCUCGCACACCAUUAAAAGAUGAGAGAAAAAAUUGGUUAAGAAAAUUAAAAGAGAGAGACAAAGGCAAUAAAGAUAGAUAAUUCUUUUCGAAUGAAACACGUAUUUUAACACAUAAAAGACAACACCACAAUAUGUCGAAGAAGUGUCAUGUCCGAUAUACAUGUUCCAUGCCCUGACACGAUGCGGAUUGAGAUCAUCUCCAAUAUGCAUCCCUCUUCGACAAAGAAAAUGAGUGUGGAAGGUGAGAGAAAAAGGGGAAAACGAUAAAAAGAUUAAGAAAUAAAAAUAUUAGAGAGAUAGAUAGAGAAAAAGGCUUAAUAACAGUUUUCGCCCCUUAAGAAAAAAAAUUACAAAACUGCCCCCUAAGUUUUGCAACUGUAGCAGUUUUGGCCCCCCAAGGAAAAAAAAAGGGUUAAAUAUGUUUUUGGUCCCUAUAAAUAUACCAACUUUUUCGUUUUAAUCCCCCUAAAAUUUUCCUUCAACUUUUAGUCCCUAAAAAAAUUUUCAUCUUCACUUUUGGUCACUCUUUUAAAGUAAACUCAUAUGUAGAAUUCAUAUUUUUGAAUAAAAAUUUGCAGAAAAAUUCUUAAUAUUAUAAGAAUCUUACCCCAAAAAGUUUAGAAUUUUUUAACAAAACAUAAAUUUAAUAUGAAUUUUUAUAUUUUUUAUGGUUAAAAAAUUCUAAUUUCUUUUUGUAAUUUUUUUUACAAUAUUCUACACAUUUGUGUACAAUUUCAUUGAAAUAUACUAAAAUUAACUUUAAAUUAGGGAUCAAAAGCAGUGACUGAAAAUUUUAUAGAGACUAAAAGUUGAAGGAAAAUUUUAGAGGGACUAAAACAAAAAGUUGGUAUAUUUAUAGGGAGCAAAAACAUAUUUAACCAAAAAAAAAAAAAAAUAACACUGGGCACCUCACUUAGGGUGCCACGUCAGCGUAGACAGAGUCAAAAUUGGCCUACAGGUGCAAAACUGCCACAGGUGCAAAACUUAGGGGGCGGUUUUGUAGUAAUUUUUUCUUAGGGGCUAAAAUCGCAACUUUGAGAAAAUUAGGUGGCUGAAACUGCUAUUAAGGCAAAGAAAAAUAUAGGAGAGAAAUAGGGAAAAUAAGGAAAAAUAUAGGAGAGAAAUGGAAUAGAUGAAGUACAUGAUUUUUAAUUUUAAAGAAUAAAUUCACAACUCUAUAAUUUUAUGAAUUAAAUUUGUGAUUCAAUUUAUUUUUAAAACAAAAGUUUAUGUCCUCUGGGAGUGGGACCUGGUCAAUGUUUUAUGAAGAAGCUCUUCUGCAUGAGCCCAGCUAUGUAAAUACGGUCAAUGAAACUGCUACAAGUGAGGCCAUUUAUAGUGACCUUUGCUUUGUAAUAUUUAUUAUUUAGUACACAACUUGGCCCUAUAUAGUCUAACUUAGCUAAAUAUCAUGCAUGCAGCUUUUGUUUUUUGACUCAUCUAAUGAUGCAGCUGAAACUAUAAAACAUUGAUGAUCUAGAACCAGAAUGCUACACUACAUAGCUUCACACAUGGAAAUAUUCUUGGCCGAAAAUACAGUUUUGUGCAUGGAACUAAUAUCCAAAAUAGUUGGAUAUUAAUAAGUGAGCACUAAAACAAAUAUUCUUGUUUGUGUUGUUGGAUAUCAUCUCACUUUUAUUUUUUUGUUGGAUAUUUGUAUUGACUGCAUUGUGUUGUUGGAAUCAAUGUUCCAACGUAUCUCUGUAAGAUGUUGGAUACGAUGUUCCAACAUCCUGGCACGGUUCAGUGUGCCUGAGUUCAUGCUUAUUUGUACGGGCGCCCUUUAUUGUUUAAGGAAACAAUAUUUCCUUAUCUUAUUGAUCAAGCAACGCGCAUAUCUUUACAGAAUCAGUUGUGGAAUAUUCCUAAAGUUGUGUUUAUAUUUUAGGAAAUAUUUGAAGUUGUUUUGUGACGAUCCUAAAGAUGUUCCGACAUUAUAGGACUUUCCAUAUUUGUUUCUAAUUCUUGUUUUGCAGAUCAGUUGGACGAUCUGUUUUGUUCUGAAGCCCAACAAGUUUAUUUGACUUGAGUUGCUUCAGUAUAUAAGGGAGACUUCAAGACCUAAUGAACUAUUCAAGCCGUAAUUCUAAAAAGUUUAGAUUUUUAGGGUUUUGAGUAUACAUGUGUUCUACUCUUGUAUCAUGUUGAUGCAAGUUUAGUACCUUUAUUGUGAGCCUUUCUUGUGUCGUUUGUGAUACAUGUUAAGGACUGUGUGUUAAGUUGUAUUCACUUGUGUACUACACCAAAGCUUGUAAGCAAGGUGUUAGUUGUAUGUUUGAAGGUAACUUCACCGUUAGUUUGUGUUUUAGGUCUGAUAGGUCACAUGGGUUGUGAUUGACCAUAGGAUAGUGAGAUGAGAUCUCAGAUCUAGGAGUUCCUAGAUUGAAAUCAAUAUGGGUAGGUCCUAGGUCUUUAGUGUAAACGAGGAGUUUGCUGAGAGCUAUAGAAUAAGGACUGCACUAGUGGAUUUCCUUCCUGGAUUGGUAGCCCCCAGAGUAGGUGUGUUUGUCACCGAACUGGGUCAACAAACUCACUGUGUUCUUUACUUUCUUGUCUUUUAUUUCUUGUUUUUUAUCUCUGUUUAUUUCGUAAUGUUGGAACAUUGAACGGAACAUUAACGUUGAAACAUCUUACAGAACAUAUUAAAACAAGUGCGUUAGAAUUUCAUUUUUGCAUACCCUUAGUGACAGUUAACUGUUACUCCCUCCCUAACAGUCUUUGCCGAGCAAUAAUUAACUCUUAUUGGGGGUAAUAAUUAAAGUGAGAUGAGUAAAAUUCUACUAUUUUUUGCCGUCGAUUCUUGGAGAUAUGAGCUCUUAUAAUCAAAGUAUAGCAAGGUAAAUAAAGCAAAAAAAAAAAAAAAAAACAACAAAAGCAUCAAUCGAUAACAAAGUAUAGGUUUUGUAAAAUCAUCUGCUAAAAAAAAAAAGGUUUUGUGAAAUCAUAAUGGGUAAGUGUGAUUCCAAUAAAAUUUAUUGUGAUACAAAACAUUAGAAUAAAAUUGAUUUCUGCCAUUCCUCUAAGAUUUUGAUGAUAAAGUAUUGAAAAACAAUUGGAUAUACUAAUAAAAUCUAUUCAACGGAGUAUAAUAAAUGUGCAUGACCAUUGAUGAAGGAUUUUUACCUCUCAUAAAACUAUUUACACGUAAGUAUAAUAGGAUCGUGUCCACAGGGAGUUGCGUAUUUCAUAAGCAUUUUCACAAUAUUUGUCACAUUAAGUGUUAGGGUAUAAAUUGUUUGUUUGUGUAAAACUAUUUUCCUAAUCGACAUAAAAGUAAAACGAGAAGAGAUAGGGCUAUUCCGCUUGCGGUCAGAGACAUCAACCAAGCGUAACAGCUGCAAUCUCUCGAUCGAUUAACGGAUUCUAGCUUUUUAAACUAUAUUAUCACAAUCACUCGACAAUAUCAUUCGUGUCCAAAUGAUAUCGUUAUUUCUAAGAGAUCGUUUAAAUAUCGAUUUCCCAAACAUUUAAACGAUCACAAAGUCGUUUGGGUAGUUUAAUCGACGAUUUCCCAACCGAUUAAAUUACCCAAAAACAUUAAGUUCUAGAUUAAAAGUGAUUAUCAAAUAUUAACAUCCAUGUCUAGAGUGAUAACUUAAGAUAGAUUAUUAUUCUAUUUCUAGAUUCAAAAGUAUGUGUCCAUAUCAUUUUGAAUCUCAAUAAAACAAUAAAAACAAGAAUAACAACAAUAUUGAAUAAAUAAGCUAGAACCAUAUAUUAAAAGAUCAAAAGAUUACAUAAUAGCUUGUUUGAAUACCUCAAAACUACAAGAGUAGAUGUAGCUACAUAUGUCUAUGAUAGCUUUGCAAAGGAUGAAGAAAGGGUGAAGAUUCCAUGACAAGAUCCAUGAUGUCUCAACAAAUAUUGGCUUGAAUCUACUCCUAACUACCUUGCUUUGUGUUUCUCUCUCUAGAAAAGCCCUAGUCUCUCUCUAAAACCAGAAAAAUAUGAAUAAAAAUGUAAUAGAAUAUUUUGGAAAGAGAAGAGAAAACUAUUUAUAUGGGCUGACUGCGUGCCAGUUCGCUUAAGCGAAUCAUAGUUCGCUUAAGCGAACAUCCAGGAAAUCUAAUGUUGACCAUUGAGGAGCUGCCACGUGGUCCUUAUCUUCUGAAGUUGGAUGAACUUCGCUUAAGCGACACGCAAGCGAACGUGUGAGCGAACUUUCUUGGAGCUCUCUGUAACUAGUUCGCUUAAGCGAACCGUAGGUCGCUUAAGCGAAAUGACCUUUUCUUCAUGAGCGAACUGGAAGCGUGCUAGUAAGCGAAGAAUCCUGGUGCUCUCUGGAACUUGUUCGCUUAAGCGAACCAUAGGUCGCUUAAGCGAACUGAGCUUUAUCAUGAGCGAACUGAAGGCGUGCUUGUAAGCGAAUAGAACGGUUGCUCUCUGUAACUGGUUCGCUUAAGCGAACAGGGGUUCGCUUAAGCGAACAGACCUUGGUUCAGGAGCUUCCUUCUUUUGGUCCUUGCUUGUCAUUUCCUGCAUAAAUUGGGUAGAAUCAGGCAUGUAAAGCAUAAAUGGUAAUAUUACACUCAAAUGGUAGCUUUUCCUUAGAUAACUUGCAAAACAAGUCACUAAUUUGCCUAAGUUAACACAUGAAAUAUGUUACUUUUGAGCACUUAUCAACCAUAUAAUAAAAUCUAUUGAUGAAUUGAACAUGUAUUAUAGCAUGAGAAGCACUAGAGAAGCUUAAAAGACUAUAGUAGAAGAUAUGAAGAAAGGUCAACCAGAAGUCAACAUCUAGGAUCAGAAGAAAGGAUGCUCAUCAGACUCUGAAGGAUGCUACUCAGACUCUGAAGGAUCAUCUGACUCAGAAGGCAACGUGAGACUUGGAAGACCCCCAGCUCAGAAGAUCUUGAGGGACCCAGACUCCACGUCAGUUUUGUCAUCAUAUGUAGUUAUCUCUAUCAAGGAUCUGAGUACAGUUUUGUUUUCUUCUGACAACAUGUAGAAAUGGACAAAGAACUUCAUGGACAAAGAGAAUGAACGGAUAAUUUGAGUUUAAGCUAAGCAAAGGAAUUUCAAAUGAAUAUUCAACGGAAUUAUCCAUAUCAGGAAAUGGUCCAACGUCCUUGAUUUGAAACUUCUCAACAACUCUUAAUGCGAUGACACUCUUCUCCAUCGUCUCUCAAAUCCCUGCCUAUAAAAUGAGCUGAAGACCUGAAGAAGAUCAACAAGACUCUGCUAUUUUUACCGUGUCAUUACUAUGUCAAAAUCAAAUAGAGAAAAAACACUUAGAAUUUCUUAUAUAAGUUUAUAUCUUAGAAAUUCUAAAGUCUUAAGAAUAUGUUCAAUAUUUUUCUGUUUAUACCUCUGAUUCUAUAUCAAGUGUAAGAACAAAUUUGUUUACUUGUAAACAAAUAGAAAUCUCUUGCUUGUGAAGUUUGAGCACUAGAAGUCUCUCUCUCUCUCUCUCUCUCUCUCUCUCUCUCUCUCUCCCUCUCCCUCUCCCUCUCUCGCUCUCCCUCUCCCUCUCUCUAUAUAUAUAUCAGAUUCUGACCAAUGUUUAAAACUUAAAAAAAGAAUCAAACACAAUUUAACCCCAUUCUUAUGUUUUUCUCACCUUCAAAACAUGCACUAACUCAAUAUACAAAGUUAUAUAUAUGGAGAUCAAUUUACUGAAAUAGUAAACCUUUUAAAGUUGCUCUAAAUAAAAAAUAUAUAUAUUUUUAUAGUUACAUCCCGGUUACAUACAUAAGAAGAAAAAAAAGCUCUUACAAUGAUUAUGAAAUACAGUAAAGUGUAGUCAAUUUUCUAGAUUUUGUAUAAAGCAUAUAAGUUAAAGUGACUACAAAUAAUACCUAAGAAUAUAAUUAAUGAUUUGAAAAAUCCUCUCAACGUCUUUGAGUCAUGUCUGAGCUCCGUCAAGAUCAUAUCUGCCCUUAAAGUUAGGCGGAUGGUUCCUCAGAAAAGUCUCUAACAUACGAACUCCAUCAUUACCUCCAACAUUAGGCUGUUGCCCUACAGCUUGAGCCACAACUUCCAACACAGCAGCAAUAGCAGCAUCCUUCCUUCCAGCCAUCUCGGUUCACUAUACAACAAACAUUAAUUAGGAAACACAACGACAGUAUUCAACUGUCACACGACACCAACGACUCAACUACUUGGUCGAACGGACCGACUUGCUCUGAUACCAAUUGUAACACCCUGUUUUUCCAAUAUAUAAAUAAUAUAAAAAAGAUCAGAGUUCAUCACAAACAGGAUGUCACAUUUCGUUCUUCAAAAUAAUAUUUAACACAAAUAGAGUUAAAAUCCACUCUUUAUUUAAAUCAUCUGCUAACAACAAUUUUCAACAACGUCGCAAAAUAUUUAUUCUUUCAACAAAAUGGCACUAAGGCCUCAACAUAAACAACGUCAAUAAACAACAAAGUCCCCAUCCUGUUAUGUAUCAUAGCGACUCCUAAGACGACACGGGGAAUAACUCACAUCAGCGGUUACUUCUGGUUAUCUGCACGUUACCCACGUAGAGGCAACAUUCAAACAGAGGGGUGAGAUUUCACAUUCAAUAAUAAUAAGCAUAUAAUUCUAUAAAAGAAUUUAACAACACAAAAUAGCAUCAAUUCAUCAUUAACGAUAUUAAUAAACAAUAAUUCAUGUGAGAGAAUUUAACAACAUAAAACAACAUCAAUUCAUCAUUAACAAUAAUUCAUGUGAGAGAGUUUAACAACUCGAAACAACGGCAAUUCAUCUUCAACAAUGCUUCACAUAAUUCCAAUCAACAAUUCAUCAAUUAUCUUCACUUCAACAAUGCAAUAAUAACAACAACAACAAUACAACAACAACAACAAUUCGACAAUGCAACAACAACAACUCAACAAAUGCUAAUAUGCAUGUGGUACCAUCAGAGCAUCAAGCUCCUUACAACAGAGCAUCAAGCUCCCUUUUAUUAUAUAACAGAGCAUCAAACUCCCAUCGAUUAAAUAACAGAGCUUCAAGCUCCAUUUGCUUAAAAUUAACAGAGCAUCAAGCCCUCUUCGCUUAAAAUGAUUAUGUAUUAGAAAGAACUCGAUUAGUACUUUUAAUGGCAUUUUAAGCAAAAAUUAGCAAGCGAUGUUUAGAUAAACUGAUCAGAUAAAGAAACCACAUAAGAUUGAACUCAACCUUCCUUCAAAACAAAAAAGAAAAAUAUUGAACCCAACCUCUCUCUCUCUCACUCUUCUUCGGAACACCGUGACCUUCAGAAAGUUUCGGUUUUCAUCUUUGUUAACCAGACGCAACCUCACAUCACGUUUAUCGACCGUUCUCUCUUCAACUUUCCAGAUUCGACAUAUCUCCAACAACACUACUUCAUGGAUCGACGAACCGCAUCGUAAGACCUGGAUCGCGGGACUCAUGGACACUCAAUCAACGAGUCCUGAGUUAUGAGAUCUCUUAUAUGCCUGUGACAUGGAAAGGUAUAGAAAAACCAAAAGCCGUAAUAGUCAUAACAUGUCAAGAAUCAAAUACAAAAUAAGGUCCGAGUACCAAAUUGAUCCAUGUCAAAUAGUGUACACGUACCUGAGAUUGAAAGACGUGAAGCUAAUGUAAUGAGAGAGAGUUUAUUAUCUUAUGUUUGUUUUGGAUCUGAUAUGAUUUGUUUAUUUCGGAUCUGAUUUGCUUUGUUUCUUUCUUCUGGAAAAGAAUAUGAUAUGCUUUGUUUAUUAUUAUGGGGUAAUAUUAAAUUCAACAACAGUAAAUCAUUGAUGGUAAGUUUGAUAAGUUAUUUUUAAUUAAUACAUGAUGAGGACAUUUAUUCAAUCAUUGAUUUUAUCAAAAAUAAAAUAAAAUAAAAUAAUAUCUACCAUUGAUUUGUUAAUUUAACCUAUUCAAAGUGAUUUCUGUACUUUAGAGUGUGAAAUGAAUAAGAGAAUUGUUGUUCACACAUUUGAUAAGGCUGAGAAACACGAGUAAAAUUCGUUUUUGCCCCCUUGGCAGUUAACUACCGAGCAAUUCAUCAUCAACAAUGCUUAACAUAAUUCCAAUCAACAAUUCAUCAAUUAUCUUCACUUCAACAAUGCAAUAAUAACAACAACAAAGCAUAUCAUAUAACCUCAUAUCAUCAACAUAUACAUUCAUAUAAUAAUUCAUCAAUCAUGAGCAACAUCAUAUAACCUCAUAUCAUCAACAUAUACACUCAUAUAAUAAUUCAUUAAUCAUGAACAAUAUCAUAUAUAUUCAUAUAAUAAUUCAUCAAUCAUGAACAACAUCAUAUACAUUCGUAUUUAUCAACAUAUACACUCAUAUAAUAAUUCAUUAAUCAUGAACAACAUCAUAUACAUUCAUAUAAUAAUUCAUCAAUUACGAACAACAUCAUAUAUAUUCAUAUAAUAAUUCAUCAAUUAUGAAAAACAUCAUAUACAUUCAUAUUCAUCAACAUAUACACUUAUAUAAUAAUUCUUUAAUCAUUAACAUCAUAUAACCUCUUAUUCAUCAACAUAUACACUCAUAUAAUAAUUCAUUAAUCAUGAACAACAUCAUAUACAUUCAUUCAAUCAUGAACAACAUCAUAUAUAUUUAUUAAAUAAUUCAUCAAUCAUGAACAACCUCAUAUAUACUCAUAUAAUAAUUCAUCGAUCAUUAACAACAUCAUAUUCAUCAACAUAUACAUUCAUAUAGAUAUUAAAUCAUCCAACAAAGAUAUUCACGUCACACCAAGUUAGAUCCAUCACAACAUAGGUUAAAUACUCUUAAACACCUUAAUUCAACUCAUAGUACACAAGUUUUGAAUUUUGGAGACAAUCCAUAAAUUUUGGGUUGACUUACAAAUAGUUAUGCGGAAUUUUUAUAAAAUUUCACUAAGAUUGAACUCAACCUUCCUUCAAAACAAAAAAGAAAAAGAUUGAACCCAACCUCUCUCUCUCUGUCACUCUUCUUCGGAACACCGUGACCUUCAGAAUGUUUCGGUUUUCAUCUUUGUUAACCAAACGCAACCUCACAUCACGUUUAUCGACCGUUCUCUCUUCAACUUUUCAGAUCCGACACAUCUCCAACAACGCUACUCCAUGCAUCGACGAGCCGCGGUGUAAGAUCUGGAUCGCGGGACUCAUGGGCACUGAAUCAACGAGUCCUGAGUUACGAGAUCUCUUCUAUGCCUGUGACAUGGAAGGGUAUAGAAAAACCAAAAGUCGUAAUAGCCAUAACAUGUCAAGAAUCAGAUACAAAAUAAGGUCCGAGUACCAAAUUGAUCCAUGUCAAAUAGUGUACACGUACCUGAGAUUGAAAGGCAUGAAGGUAAUGUAAUGAGAGAGUUUAUUAUAUUAUGUUUGUUUUGGAUCUGAUAUGAUUUGUUUAUUUCGGAUCUGAUUUGCUUUGUUUCUUUCUUUUGAAAAAGAAUAUGAUAUGCUUUGUUUAUUUUGGAUCUGAUUUGCUUUGUUUUUUUCUUUUUGGAAAAGAAUAUGAUAUGCUUUGUUUAUUAUUGUGGGUUAAUAUUAAAUUCAAUAACAGUAAAUCAUUAAUGGUGCGUUUGAUAAGUUAUUUUUAAUUAAUUCAUGGUGGGAACAUUUAUUCAAUCAUUGAUUUUAUCAAAAAUAAAAUAAUAUCUACCAUUGAUUUGUUAAUUUAACCUAUUCAAAGUGUGAAAUGAAUAAGAGAAUUGUUGUUCACACAUUUGAUAAGGCCGAGAAACACGAGUAAAAUACGUUUUUGCCCCCUUGGCAGUCAGUUAACUGCCGAGCAAUUCAUCAUCAACAAUGUUUCACGUAAUUCCAAUCAACAAUUCAUCAAUUAUCUUCACUUCAACAAUGCAAUAAUAACAACAACAACAACAAUGCAACAACAACAACAACAAUUCGACAAUGCAACAACAACAACUCAACAAAUGCUAAUAUGCAUGUGGUACCAUCAGAGCAUCAAGCGCCCUUCGAUUAAAUAACAGAGCAUCAAACUCCAUUUGCUUAAAAUUAACAGAGCAUCAAGCCCUCUUCGCUUAAAAUGAUUAUGUAUUGACACAACCAAUGCAACAACAACAACAACAACAACCACGACAACUUUGCAUUAUGACUUCAUAAUUCAUCAAUCAUAAACAACAUCAUAUACAUUCAUAUUCAUCAACAGAUACAUUCAUAUAAUAAUUCAUUAAUCAUGAACAACAUCAUAUAACAUCAUAUCAUCAAGAUAUACACUCAUAUAAUAAUUCAUUAAUCAUGAACAACAUUAUAUAUAUUCAUAUAAUAAUUCAUCAGUCAUGAACAACAUCAUAUAACGUCAUAUUCAUCAACAUAUACACUCAAAUAAUAAUUCAUUAAUCAUGAACAACAUCAUAUACAUUCAUAUAAUAAUUCAUCAAUUACGAACAACAUCAUAUAUAUUCAUAUAAUAAUUCAUCAAUCAUGAAAAACAUCAUAUACAUUCAUAUUCAUCAACAUAUACACUCAUAUAAUAAUUCAUCAAUCAUUAACAACAUCAUAUAACCUCAUAUUCAUCAACAUAUACACUCAUAUAAUAAUUCAUUAAUCAUGAACAACAUGAUAUAUAUUUAUUAAAUAAUUCAUCAAUCAUGAGCAACCUCAUAUAUAUUCAUAUAAUAAUCCAUCAAUCAUUAACAACAUCAUAUUCAUCAACAUAUACAUUCAUAUAGAUAUUAAAUCAUCCAACAAAGAUAUUCACGUCACACCAAGUUAGAUUCAUCACAACAUAGGUUAAAUACUCUUAAACACCUUAAUUCAACUCAUAGUACACAAGCUUUGAAUUUUAAAGACAAUCCAUAAGUUUUGGGUUGACUUAGAAAUAGUUAUGCGGAAUUUUCAUAAAAUUUCACUAAGAUUGAACUCAACCUUCCUUCAAAACAAAAAAGAAAAAGAUUGAACCCAACCUCUCUCUCUCACUCUUCUUUGGAACACCGUGACCUUCAAAAUGUUUCGGUUUUCAUCUUUGUUAACCAAACGCAACCUCACAUCACGUUUAUCGGCCGUUCUCUCUUCAACUUUCCAGAUCCGACACAUCUCCAACAACACUACUCCAUGCAUCGACGAGCCGCGGUGUAAGAUCUGGAUCGCGGGACUCAUGGGCACUGAAUCAACGAGUCCUGAGUUACGAGAUCUCUUCUACGCCUGUGACAUGGAAGGUUAUAGAAAAACCAAAAGCGGUAAUAGCCAUAACAUGUCAAGAAUUAGAUACAAAAUAAGGUCCGAGUACCAAAUUGAUCCAUGUCAAAUAGUGUACAUGUACCUGAGAUUGAAAGGCGUGAAGGUAAUGUAAUGAGAGAGAGUUUAUUAUAUUAUGUUUGUUUUGGAUCUGAUAUGAUUUGUUUAUUUCGGAUCUGAUUUGCUUUGUUUCUUUCUUUUGAAAAAGAAUAUGAUAUGCUUUGUUUAUUACAGAUCUGAUUUGCUUUGUUUCUUUCUUUUUGGAAAAGAAUAUGAUAUGCUUUGUUUAUUAUUAUGGGAUAAUAUUAAAUUCAACAACAGUAAAGCAUUAUUGCUGCGUUUGAUAAGUUAUUUUUAAUUAAUUCAUGGUGGGGACAUUUGUUCAAUCAUUGAUUUUAUCAAAAAUAAAAUAAAAUAAAAUAAUAUCUACCAUUGAUUUGUUAAUUUAACCUAUUCAAAGUGAUUUCUUUACUUUAGAGUGUAAAAUGCAUAAGAGAAUUGUUGUUCAGCAUUAGCACCAGCACCAGCAUUAGGCUGUUGCCCCACAACUUGAGCCACAACUUUCAAUGCAGCAGCAAUAGCAGCGUCGUUUCUUCCAGCCAUCUUUGUUCUAUACACAACAAACAUCAAUCAAAACAGCAUAAAGACAGUAAUACAACUGUUACUCGACACUACUCGACUCAACUACUUAGCCGGAUGGACCGACCUGCUCUGAUACCAAUUAUAACACCCCGUUUUUCCAACAUAAAAAUUUCAUUUAAAUAAUCAGAUUUUUCCACAUAAACGGAAUGCUACACUUCUUAAAUCAUAAACGAAAAUAAAUAACAAUUUAUUCUUCAAAAAUCCAACAACAUAUCUAAUACUUCGCAGCGGAUUAAAUUCAACAUCUAAAAUAGUCUUGACACAAAGGCCUCAUCAAACAUCUUAUAAAAUUCAAUUUAACAACUUAAUCAUGUAUAUUCAUAAGCAAUACGUAAGGAAUAGAAAAUAGCCACAAAGUUCUCAUCCCGUUAUGUAUCAGAGCACCUAAAGACACACGUGAGAGAUAGUCCACUCACGACAGCAACUUAUUCUCGAUCACCUGCAAGUUACUCAUACGAAGGGCAACAUUUCCAAGCAGAAGGGGUGAGAUUUCACAUUCAAUAUAAUAAGCAUAUAAUUCAUCAAAAGCAUUUAACAACUUAUAUUUCAUCAAUUAAUAACAUUACUCUUAUUAUAAUGCUUCAUUAAUAACUCAAUCAACUUCUAAUCAUUAUUAACUUCAUAUUCAUCGCAUUAUUAACAACUUAGACAUCUCAUACGACUCCAAUAAUUUGGAUCAACAUCUUACAACUUAACAACUUAUACAUCUUAAUGGUAUUAAUUCAUCGCAACAGCAAGACAUCAUCGUUUAAACAUAUGCAGCAAGUCACCAUCAUUAAUAAUCAUCAAUUAUAACAAUUACAACUUCAUAUCAACGUCUUUCACAAUAUAUAAUAUUUUCACAUUUAAUCAUAAAAGUAAAUUAUCAAUAUUAAUCAUCUUAUUCAUCCUCUCUGAACCUCAUUAUAAUCCUUAACAACUUCAUUCCUACCCCAUGGGUCGACUCAUAACAUCACGUGCGACAAAAGAUCGCAAGAAACCUAAACAAGAUUGUCUGCCACAAGGUUACUCGCGAGGCGAGGCUCUCUACUCGCUAUGGCGAGUUCAGAAAAAUGGUGCACUCGCUAUGGCGAACUCACUACUCGCCAUGGCGAACUGAAAAAGGGUGCUCUCGGGAGUUUUGACAUUUUUCACUCAAAAACCUCAUUCCUGACUUCUCUACGUCCAAUCUUGAUCUAAAAACUUGCCCAAUCAUUCCUAAACAGGUUAAGGCACUCAAAACCAUCUAAAACUUGACCUCUAACAUCAACUCACAAAAUCAUGUUUCCUUCACUGGUCAACUCGCUAUGGCGAGCAAAUUCUGGGCUUACUCGCGAGGCGAGAGGGUUUACUCGCUAGGCGAGCGAUGAACUUCGUCACUCGCGAGGCGACUACUCAUACUCUCCAGGGCGAGCGAUGAAUGUUAACUCACUCUUGGUUCUAACAUCAAAACUGAUUCUAAACAUUGUUCUAUGAAUAUUAUAAGGUCUGGACACUAUCUCUACAUCAAUCUAACCGAUUAUUCAUCUUAAUUAAUCAAUUCUCCAUCUUUUAACCUAAUUCUCAAACUCUCAAAAUCAUCUCCCUCUACUUGUUAAAUCCAUUUUCAGAAUCAUACAACUUAGAAUUAGAGAAAGUCAGUCCCACCCUUACCAUAAUAUUGAUGAUCGGCGGUCUCUCUCCCUCUUGGUUCUCCUCUUCUCUUGUUUUCUCCCUUUUUCUCCAAAAAGCAGUUUCACGUAAAAGCUUUGCUAAACUUAGUUUCCUCCUUAUAUCUCUCCUCCAUCCACUUUAUCUUAUUUCCUCUAUUUCCACAAAACUCUUCUAAAUUCCAAAACAGCGCCACAUCUCAAUAUUUAUUUUAUUUUCAAAUCUUAUUCUAGUAAAUAAUAAAAUAAGUCUUUAAAUAACACAUCACAUAAAUCAUCAAAGUGGAUUCUAAACUCUAUAAAAUAAUUAAAUAAUUAAAGAGGGCGUUACAUCAGAGACUCCAAUAUCAAAUGUAGUCAUCUCCACCACCGGCCUAUUGUAACAAGAUGCAACGAUGUGUCCCAUAUCCGGCAAUGUCAACCAUUUGUCGGGAGUUGCAAAGCUACUAGUAUUUUUGGGAGGAUGCAAUCCAUCCAAAAUGUACUUGUAACAGUCCGCGCUCAUAUAUACCUCGAUGUAUUUGUUCCUAUGCUCUUUCAACUCUUUAAUAAGUGCUCUCCGCACCAUAACAUGACUUUCUUCCGUCAAACCCACGCGUUUGGCAAUAGUCCUAAACCCACAAUGUUUGUCACCAAUAACAUCCACAAUUCCGUCAAUGUAUUGUCGUCCUCCAUUAAUCUUCCGGCAAGAAGGUGCCCUGCUACAUACCGCACCAUCUCAUGGUUGUGAACGCCAUUAAGAAUAGCCAAUUUCCAAGCAUUGUUUUCCCUCACGACAUAUCCACGCACCUUGAACAAACACCCACAUUUUCUUGAUCUCGUUGCCUCAUGCUUCACUUUUGUCUUCGGUAAUUUGUGCUCGCCGAACCAACUCCAACAUAGUAUUUCUACCUUCACAAGAUCUUCUAAUGAUAAUCGUAAAUCCAGCCCUAUUUGCUUGUCGACGGACCCAACCGAGCAAUUCGUUUUUAUCUUUCCAUGUGUCUCGGGUCGAAAAUAAAUGAGUCGUGUCCACUUCGUUGUCACGAAGUUUCCACACAUCGGAAUUGACGCUUGAAGCCUCAACUUUAAUGGAAGCUUCGACCUUAGCGGGAGCUUCAACCUUAAUGGAAUCGACAACUCUAGGUUUUUGAUCACCCGAAUCAUCACCCGCAUUCUCAACCUUAUCUAUAAAUAAACAACAUACAAUUACUAAACUAAUUAAUAAACUUUUAUCUAAUAUCAUAUAAUAACAUAAACAAAAAAAAAAAAAAAAGGGAAAAAAAUUGGGCAGUAGCUACUGCCAUUUGAAAAUUUUUAAAAUUUUCUAAGUUACCGCCGACAGUUAACAACCGCUCACACCCAGCGGUAGUUAACUGCCGCUAAAGGUCGUGACAAUACAAAAAAAAACCAGAAAAUUCAAUAAAAUGUAAUGGAUUUUAACGUUGUAAUACCUGUUCUUUGAUGCAUAUUAUGUGUAGAAACAUCCUAGCAAUCGAUCAACAAUGAUUUGGAAGCAAGAUUUUGACACAAAAAUUUUGAAAUGAGGAUUUUUUGGGUAUGGUAUUGGUGAUCUAAGGUGAUGAAUGAAUAGGAGAUGUAGGGGUUUUCUGGUUUUGGGGGGAAAACCAACGGCAAUUAACGACCGCUGGAACCAGGCACGUCAGUUUGAAUGGGUCAACCUUUACUCUAAAUGGCUGAGAUGCGGAGAGCGCAUGGUGAGAUAUCUGCCGGAGAGGGUGCUUCGUUAGUUUGGGUGGGUUCAGACCAUACCAAGACAUCCUGUUCAGAGUGCACCUGUUGAUGUUAACUUGGCGGAGAUCACAAACCGCUUUCAUCGUACACUUGAUUAUACGCUGACACCUCAGGAGUUGGGAGAGAUUGCAGUUCAUGGUGUGGAUGCAGAAGAAGGAUACAUCGAGUGGUUUUACCAGGUGUCUUAUCCACGCACGAUUCUUCCCGACAUGCCGGUACGUGUUCCGAGGCCACCGGAGCGUGAGAUCCUUGAUGCGUGAGCUACUAAGGAGGAUGAAGAUCUUGCGUACUUACAACUUAGCGGAAGGAUGAGCCGCAUCAGAGACCACAUCUAUGUUGUGAUGAGAAAUUGUCUGGUGCCGAAAGGGACUGAGGAAUGGCAGCAUUUGGGGGAUGCAUUGAGAGAGGUGCAUGAUGGGAAAGUUUACCGUCGUCGGGGAGCUACUUAGGGUGGCAGGGGUGGUGGCAGAGGUGGCGGUGGUACGGGUGUAGUUAUUAGGGGCUGAUAGUAUUGUAUUUUAUGUUUAUGUUUGAACAUUUUGAAUGCUUUUGAAUUAUGUAACACCUGGAUAAUUUUUAAUGUUAUGUAAUCUUGGAUAAUUUUUAAUUAUAAUUGAUUAAUGUUUUGUUCGAAAAUUAUGUUGUGUUGAUUAUUUUAAUGUUUAUAAGUUCGAUUUACUGUUAGAACAUGUUAGCGGUAUGAUAUGUCUGUUUGGAAGCAAGCAAAAUGCGCCAAAACAGAGGCUCAGCCAAAACAGAUGGCUUCUGCCUCUGUCCUGAUGCAGUCCAGAUUAUAUAAUCCUGACAGGUUUAGCACAUUCGGAUUAUGUAAAUCAUCGUUCACCCUCCCCCCCUUUGUUGACUUUCAAUGGGGUCAUUUACACGUUUCGGAUUAUAUAAUCCGGAAGCUAUCUAACUUUUUCGGAAUAUAUAAUCCGUAACAAUAUAUUCAUAAAUGGCAUCAUCAUCCAUCAGGGUGGAUGAAGUGCCAAAAUACACGAAUAAAUCCGGAAUGAGUUCGGAUUAUAUAAUUCAGACUAGGGGUAUUAUGGAAAAAAUAUAGGGCGCGCGAGGAAAGGCAUAGGGUGGGAAAAACAACACUCUAAAUCAUAAUGCUUCGAUCUGCACUAUAUAUACCACAAGUCUCACUCUGUUUUUAUUGUGUUUUCUUUUAAAGCUAUAUCUUUUGAUUUUGCAACCCAACCUAGACCACAUUGACUAGAAAGUGCAUUCAACGUAGAGACGUGUACGGUUUUUCCUUCAUGUUAUUUUUUUUUUUCUGCAACAUCUUUGUUCAACUCUUUAUUGAAUGGAAUAUUCGAUUUAUUUAACUAAAGCUUUAAAUAGUUUCCCCAAUAACAAGAUGAAUGGUUGGUUAUAUAAGGAAAUGGAAGAAAAUAAAAAUUAAACUUUAUAUGCAAGAUAAAGACCUAUGCCACUAGGAAUCAAAAUUAUAGGAUCCCAUAAUUAGUUCCACCAAUUUGUCUUUUAAAAAACAACACUUAGUGGAAUCUGUGUAUAUAUACUUUUACCAAAAGUUCAAGAAGCACAUUUUCUUAUGAAAAUAAAGAGAUUUUAACAAGACAAGAAAGUGAUACUUUAGAUUACGUUGGUUUAGUGGCAUUGUAGCACCCUCAUUGCUCCAUUCUCCACUAUGUUUUGCAUUAGCAUGCAUUUAGCUUUGUCAAUAUUAUUUUUAGGUAGCUUUACGCAUUUUUCUUUGGACAUUUUUAUUUUGGAUUCAAUUAAUAUAAAAAAUGUAAAGAUUUUUUAUAUUGUCAAUUAGCAUUUUUUUUCCUAACCUGCCGUAAUUAGAAUCUUUGAUUCUGAAAGAGGUAUUCUCAUAAUUUAGAUUCAUUUGAAUAUGUUAUGAGACUAAUAUUCAAGUUAAUGGACAUUUAUUUAUUUUUUAUUAGAAUUGAACUACCUUCUAUCUCUCAAAUGGACGUCACACAUGUUGUUUUCUUAAAAAAAAUUAUAUUAAAAAAAUUAUAUUAUCAACUCUCUCAAUACCCUCUUUAGUAAAUUGACUUUUAUGAACAUUAAAAGUCACACAUAUGAGAUAAUUUAUUAUGCUUGUAAUAUACUAGUGUCAAACUAAAAUCUUCAAGUCUUUAUUUUACGGUAAGUUUAAACUUCAACAAAGUAAAUAAUUACUUAUAUAUAGAACAUUCCUUAAUUUUAAGGAUAUGAGUGUUACCUUAAUAAACUCGCAAUAUAGUAGGAAAAAAACAUUUCAAGGAAGGAUACGUACAAAGUCCUGUUUAAGAUAACUGGAUAAGUAAAACUUGUUCAAUAUAAUUCAAUUUUAGAUAUAAGUCUUGACUAUACCGGUCUUUAGAUCAGAUAUCGAGUUUUCAAAAAAAAAUAAAAUAGAAUACAAGGAGAACACAAAUUUAAUCGAUCUAAUUCAUAAUUAGCGAUAUAAAAUUGACGAAGUUAAGUAUAUCAAAUUCUAGAUAAGUUUGAUAUAUAUUGGAAGAUGAUGAAUGAACAAACGCGGUCAGCCUUAGGUUAUUUAUUGAUAAAAAAUUAUCCAUCUUUAUCAUUUUUUCUCUUUUAAUCUAAAUAAAUUAUUUUUACAUUGAUUUAAAUUUUUCUUCUGUGAUUCCGUUUUUCAGUUGAUUAUUGUUUUGUUUGUUGUCAAUUGAUAAAGUGAGGCAUUACUUGUUUGAUAAGUUACAUAUAUCAAACUUUUUUUUUGUCAAAUAGUCUAAUGACUAUAGAAUUCACCUUUAACACGAAUUAGUGGGGUGUUGGAGUUUGAAAUCCGACCCUUGCAUAUUUCAAUGCAUUGUCCCUAUCAAUUUAGUUGUGCUCACGGAGAUAAAAUAUAUUAAAUUUUAUAAAUUUGAUGAUAUAAUUCACAUAUAAAAACUUCUAAUUAAUCCCUUCAAAAAAACUUCUAAUUAAUGUAAUAAAACAAUUCUAAUUACUUUCUUUUUGUUUAUUGUUUCAUUCAUAAUAUUAUUAUGUAUGUACAAUACGAUCGAUGCAUGCUAGAACCCUCACAUGACCUUUCAUUUUCUUUCCAUUUCGAUCAUUGUUUACACUUUCAAAUGGCAAUUUUAUGGAUGAUAACAAAACACAUUUGAGCACAAUUAAGGUACAAAAAAUGUUCAAGCCCAAAGGGCAAGAAUAGACAUAGAAGCAGAACCCAUAGUUAAUGCAACAAAAGAAGCCUUUUUCAAACGUGGAUCAGAAUUCAUAAGCUUGUUGUGAAAGAAAUCAGCUGCUAUGAGAUCAACAAGUGCCAUAUAAAUUAGAAUUCCUGAAGAAAUUGAACCUAGUAACCCUUCAAUUAUUAAGGCAUUAGGGUUACUAUCAUCAUAACCAGUCAAUGAGAAUAAUAUCAUCCCUAAAAUUAUCCCCAUUGGGGUUGUUACUGAAAACAUGAAGCACAUGUAUGCCACUGUUCCAUAGCUAAAUCCUGCCUGCAAUUAUUAAUGGUAAGAUAUGUAUUAGCAUAACACCAUGUAACAUAUUUAAGAUUUAAAAGGUUAUUUCUUUUUAUUAUUUCUAUUCUUUGUUGUCCAUUGUAUUUGAACCUAAUGAUAAGAUUUUGACAUUUGGAAAUUCAAAUCUCAUAUGUUAUAAUCUUAAGAUGGUCAAUAGUGACACUAAUUGAUAAUAAUUUCCCAAUCCUCAAUAUUACUAUUAUUUUCUUAUAUAUAUUUGACCAUCUAGACCAUUAGAAUGGGUUUGUGUGACUAGAAGAAGAAAAUUGUUUUAUCCACGUAAGAAGUUGUUUAAAAACACAUAAAAAUGACAAAAAAAACUUCAAUGGUAGUUAACUAAAACUCGUUUUUCUUGCUUGAAGCGAGCUGCAAUUAAAUACCGUUGCGGUUUUUAGUUAUUUUCAUAUGUUUUUUGGUCAAGUAAUAUAUUGGCUAGAAUUCACCUCAUAAGGUGAAUAAGUGGAGUAUCCGAAGUUCAAAUCCCAAUCACUACAUAUAACAAUACAUUAUCUUUGUCUACUGAGAUAUGCUCCCAGUGAUAAUUUCAUGUGUUUUUAAGCAACUUCUUACAUGAAAAAGAAAUUUUCCAAAAAUAUAAUUAUGGGUAAAGGUGUAAAAACAUUAUACUAUUUGACCAUUUAAACCACCAUCUUUCUAUUAUUAAAAUAUUUGUCACUGACUUUGGUCAACAUGUUAAUUUUUGACCAUUUAAACCAUCAUCUUUCUAUCAUUUUCCAAAUGACUUUAUGACUUUGGUCAACAUGCUAAUUUUUUUUGAGUGGUGAUACAUGUACACCCCCAUGUGGCAAUACACCUCUUACACCCACACAAAAUUUUGACAUGUGGCAAGGAAAAGAGAGAGGAGAUGAAAGAGAAAGUAUGGUUGUGAGAUAAAUUUACCAAAAUAUCCUUAAUGCAUGGGCUUACAAUAGGGUGUAUGAUUAAAGGAUGUUCAUGUAACAUUUUCCUUUUUUUUCUAACAAAACUAUGUGUUUGUCACUGAAAUACAAUACAAGUACAUAUAUUGUUGUUUUCCUGGACAGAGUGGACAACAUGUUGAGUUGUCAAGAAAAUGAAAGAGUACGAGUAGCUAAAAUCAAGUUCUGUCAUGAAGCAACAAUAAAAACAAAACAAUAGAUUUGGAGAUAAGAAUCUCCAAGUCCCCAACAAAUCAACAAUAAUGAAAAUCAAUAAAAUCAUCUUCAACAUCAUUACACGUUUAAACAAAAUCAUGUAGCCACUGGGCUAGGAAUUCAAAAAUUGAGGUUCGAACUCUGACUUCUGCAUGUAUGUUAGACUUAUAUAGUAACAAUAUCACUGUAAUUCUAGUAUCAAUCAUAACAUCCAAUUAACUUUUUAUCUUUCAUAAAUCCUCUCUCUAAUAAAUAUUUCUCAGCAAUGAUAAUAAUCAAAGUAGAGCAAGAGAAAGAAAGAAUUAAGAAACUAACCUGAGCAACACAACCACCAAGACCCAUCCCUUCAAAAAUCUGAUGAAAAGCCAAAGCAGCAACUAAAGGCCUUAUAGUACAAACAUUUUGAGACAUACCCAUAGUCACACCAAUUAUAACUGAAUGAAAUAUUAUCCCAAUCUCCAAUACUUGUGAAACCAAUCUUUGUUUCAAUUUAAUUAACUCUUCCCCUCUUUCACAAUCUCCUUCACCACCUUCCAACUCCAUCUCUUUCUCACCCACCGGCGCAUACUGUCCGUGCUCCACGUGGGAACUCGCUACGAGGUCCACGAAGAGCGCGAGAAUUGCGCCGAUGAGAGUUACUAGUCCUGAGAAGGGAAAAUCCUUCCAAGGAUGACGGGAUGCCACGUGGCAGUCAGCGAGUGCUGCGUAGGCGUCUGGGAGGACGUGGACUAGGGAAGUGGAGAGUAUCACGCCUGCCGCGAAACAUUUUAUUAAUACUAAUGCUCUAUCGUAUAACGGUUUUCCUUGGAAGACACGAGCUAAAAGUACUGGCGCCGUCAUACCGACGGCGCUGGUGAUGAAUAUGACAAAGAGGGAGAUUAUUUUUAGAUGUGAUGCCGCGGCGCCGUCGCGGCAUGAGGUUUCUCGAGCUAUGUCUUGUGAACAUGAUGUUGCCAUGUGAGAGAGAAGUGUUGGGAGAGAGUGAAUGUGUUUGAAGUUGAAGAUGACGAGGAAGGUUGUUUUGAAGAGGGAAAAGAAAGUGAGUGAUAAAUGAUGUGGACCAGUUUCUGUUUUUGUUGUAGAUUAUGCACCAUGUGGGGUAUCCUAUAGAUGUUGUUUUCCAUUGUUACGUGUUGGAAUCUUGAAUUAUUCUUACACUCAUUUGUCAUUUCUCUUUUCUUUCUUUUUUAGAUUUCUAAGAAAAUAAAUUUUGAAAACAAGUGAUAAUGAUAACAACACUUACUCUAACUUUUAUUUUGUUGUCAAAAAUAAAUCGACAAAUAUCAUUAAAACUCACAUAUAUAACUGUUCAAUAACGAGUUUAAAAUCGGAUGAACGAAGAUGUACGUCAUAAAUUUUGACAAAGACAACAAAGGUAGGGUUUGUCAAAAAAUAAAACAGAGGCUGGUCUUACAUACAAUCCUAUUUUUAUUGCUAGCUUAUUGAUGAAACAUGUUUUAAUGGAGCUACUUGUAUUUUAUUUAAUAAAAGAAUCGAUAUUACAAAAGAGAGUUAUAGUAUAUGUUACUUACAAAAUAUAUAUAAUUGAAUAAAGUAUUGAGAUUUUUUUUUUGGUUGAUGUUGAUAUUAGUAAGUUUACACAUGACCUGCCUAACACGUAUUAAGAUUUAUUACGAAAUUUGAAAACUUAGUCACGGUUGUAAUAUGGAAGAGAUAACAUAAAUUUUAGUUUUUUACAAAUUUUUUACGAGGACAAUAUAAUUUUUUUUUGACAAAGACAAAUAUAAAAAAUAAAAUCUAUUUUUAAACUUCAAUACAUUAAAUUUAAAGAUCAUGCAAACUUGUGUCUUAAGGACACAUGUUAAAGAACUAUAAAUAAUAAUUAUUGAUUUUAUCUAUGGUACAUUAAUAAAUAGGGAGCUUCUAUGAAGAAGUCGAGAAAUUGACUUUUUUAGUGAAGUCGUUUAAUUCAACCAAUCAGAUUUCAAGUCAUGACACGUCAGAUGUUGGGAUAAAUUUUAAUAUGGAUCACUUGCUUCAUAUGUUCCACCAUAGACAAGUUUAUUUCAAAAUUUUAACGGUUAGAUUUGUUUGGUCUCUAUGUUAUUGUGGUACACCCUCUACACAUGAUUUUUCUUAUUUUUCCAAUUCUCUUUCCUCUUUAUCACUCAUUCAUCUCUCUCAUAUUUCUUUCUCUUUCUUUAUUUAUCCAUAUUCCCUUUCUUCCAGAUUUUUAUCAAAUCACUAUGUCACUCUUCAACAUCUUCAUCAUACAUUCAUCGUCUUCAUCAUCUUCAUGUGAAAAAAAAUCGGAAAAAAAAGAAGAAAAAGAAAUUACAAAAUUAAAAAAAAAAACAUAAUAAGUAAUUACAAUUGCAUAGAAACAACAACAACGACGUAAAAAUGCAGAUGAAGCUAUAGAUCCAUCACAAUAAACCUACCAUAGAUUCCAAAACGUCAACAACAAUUUUUGGUAUUUUUUCUUGAAAUUAAAUUUAUUUAUUUCAAUUUGAUUGCUUAAAGUUACAAAACAUUGUUUGAAAUCGCAAAAAAAUGUUACUUUGUUCAUGAAUGUCUUAAAGUUAUGUUGUUUUGGUUUUGGAUCGCAUGGGUUUUAACCGGGUCAUUAUGACCCGUCUGGAGGUAGAAGAUGAAGUAUUAAAAAAAAUUAAAAAAAACAUCUUUCAACAUUAUGGGAAUCGAACUUGUGACCAACCAUUUAAAAAUGUUUGCCUUAACCAACCAACUAACCACUAUGUUUUGGAAAAUUAGGCGUUUUGAUUUUAUUUAAUGGGUUUUAAAUUAUAUUGAAUGAACAUAUAAUUAUCAUUAAUUUCAUGCUUUAGAAAUUUCAAUACUACUCCUUUUUAUAAGAUACAAAUGUAGAAAAAUUCACCGACCAAGAAAAUCAAUUUUUCUACUGUACUACCGGAAAUUAUAUAAAAAACAAUUAUAUUGAUAAUUUUUUUUUGUUGAUAAUAUUAUUAAACUUUUAAAGAUAUCAAAGAAAAAUCAUAAGCAAUAAUUUAAUGUUUUUACUAAUAAAAAUUCUUUUAUGUGUAAAUAAUAUAUAUUGUUUUUCUUAUUAUUUAUGUCAUAAUAUAUUGUUUUUCUUAUAAUUAAUAGGAAAUUGACCAUAAAGUCUAUCAAAACAGUGACACUAAGAGCACGACUGAAGACAAUUUUGAAAAAUUUAUGAUACAUAAAAAUUCAAAAUAAAAUCACUUCUCUAACCGUACCCACUAAAGUAAAGUCAUAGCCCUUAUGUUUUAAAAAUUGGACAUGUCAUUAACACAGCAAGGGUAUUGAACUAAAUUAAAUCAAUUGACUUAGUUGAAUAGUUGGUCUCUAUAAAAAAAUUGUAGGUUCUUGUUAAUCGAUGUCUUUAGGGUAAUAGUUAAAGAAUUUACAAAUAAAUUUUUUUCUUAAAAAUAUUUAAUAAAAAACAUUUAUUAAUGUUGAUAUUUUGAAAGAGUCAUGAGUUUUCAAAAUAAAUAAAUUUCUUUUGGAGAUAUUUUAAAAAUAAUAAUGAAAUAUUAAAGUUUUAUCUUCGAUGUAAGUUGAUCUGACAAACUAUCACAUUUGAAACCUAGUCAACAUGGAAGGACAUUGAUUUGACGAUCAAAACGAACCAAAUCGACUAACGAUAUCAAAUAUAAUCAAUCAGACCGUUGAGUAUGACCUUAUUAGAAUAAGAACGAAGUAGGAACUGGGAUUUUGAAAAUCAGAAUCUUCGGUGUAAGUCGGUCUUACAAACUAUCACAUUUGAAACCUAGUCAACAUGGAAGGACAUUGCUCCAACGAUCAAAACGGACCAAAUCGACUUAACGAUGUCAAAUAUAAUCAAUCAGACCGUUGAAUAUGACCUUAUUGAAAUAAGAACGAAGCACGAACUGAAAUUUUGGAAAUCAGAAUCUUUGAUGUAAAUCAAUAUGACCAACUAUCACAUUAGAAACCUAGUCAACUAGGAAGUACGCUUGUCCGAUGACUGAAAAGAGUCUAGGUCACAAACGAAAAACAAAUAUAAUCAAUCAGACAUUUGAAUAUGACCUUAAUAGAGUAAGAAGGAAGUAGGAAUUUGAAAUUUGCAGAUCGAAAUCUAAUUGGUAAGUCGAUCUGACAAACUAUCUCUUUAGAAACCUAGUCAAUCGAGAAGUACACUUGUCCAACGACUGAAAAGGGUCUAGGUCACAAACAGAAACAAAUAUAAUUAACCAGACCGUUUAAUUAGAUUAACUUUUUUCUAUAAAGAUAUAGGAGUACAAAUAAAUAUCAGAUCGACAAAAUAUUUUAUUUAAUCUUUUUAUUAACCAGACUGUUUAAUAAUUUUUAUUUUUAAAAUCAAUAUUUUAUUUCAAAUAAAUAUCUCAACAAACUAUUGAUCUUAUCCAUAGUAAUAUCUCAACCAGACCGUUUAUGUAAUACUUUCAAUCCUAUCCAUUAAAUAUUUCACUCCAUUUGUUUAAUAAUUUUUGGUUUAAUGAAUGAACGGUUACUUCAAUUUUAACAUUAUUUGUUUCAAUAAAUUUAGUUUUAUAUUUAUUUUUGAAUUUAGAAAUUUUCAAUAAGUAGUAGUAUAAAUAUAUAAUAUAUUUCACCCAAUUAAUAUAACAAGUACUUGAUAUAGUGGUUAGUUUUUCAAGGAUUUACUUUUAAGUACACGGUUCGAAACCUUGAGCCUUCAAUAUUUUCAAAUUUUGAGUAUUUUUUUUCUAUAAAAGUCAAAGAUGUUCCAAAGUAAUUGCGCAUUUAUUUUGGUAUUUACUAUUAUCAAUAGGCAUACCAAAUCUAAUAAAUGCUUAAUUAUGUCUAUAAUGAAAGAAAUCCACAUGUUAACUUUUUUAUCAUGAUUUUUUCUUAGCUUUCCUUAAAAAAAUUUGCUACCGUAUUAAUUGGAAAGGAAUUGGAAAACAUGUCAAUUGCAAAACAAAAAUAAAAAUAAAGAGAGCAGGGAUCGAGUCCGCGACCAAAAUGUUUUGAAAAUUUGCUAAACCACUACAAUGCAUACAAUCCAUUUGUUCCUUUUUUCGCUCGUUUCUAUUUGUAAUAAAAAGUCCGAUUAAAAAAAAAGUGGAAGUCGUCUUCAACCUCCAACCGGGUCGUCUGAACCCGAUUCAGACCAUUGGCAUCCGAAAUUGAACCCGAUGAUUUGUACUUAUUUUCAAGGUCGAAAAUGAUGAUUAUAAUUCGUUUUCAAUACUCUUCUAAUUCUCCUCUUCCUUCCUAUCUAUUUAAAUCACAAAAUCAGGUGUUUGGAAAAAAUGUUGUGUUGUUCAAACAACAUUUAAACCAUCGUCGGAUUACUGCUGUUAUCGUCGCGUUCAUCCUAUCUUUGCGGCCUAUGUUGCUGAAUAUUACGACAUAGAUCUGGAAACUUUAAUAACACAAAUCAUGACAUUUUAAUUUUUGGAGGUGAAUUUGAGUAGCUAUUUUGUUUUUUGUUCAAUAAAGAAGAUGAUGAAGGUAUGAACAUGGUGAUGAUGUUCAUAAUCUUCCUGGGUUUAUUUAUUUUUAAUAAUGAAAUAUUUUUUUAUAAAAAGGAUUAUCUUAAAAAGGUUUAUUUAAAUAUUUUUUGAAAUAGAAGGAAGAAAAAUUCAAAAAGGAGAAAAGAAAUAAAUAUAGUGUGAAAGGCAACACAAUAAUACUAGUGAAAUGCUUAAUCUGAUGAUUUAAAAAAUCUAAAGGCUAAAAUACAAUUAAAUUUGACUGAAGGUACACAAUACAUACCAUGCAUCCGCCAGUAUAACAUGGCAUAACUAACACACGUGGCGUGUUCUUAUUAGCUGUAGGGUUACUUCACCGAAAAAGUCAUUUUGACAACUUCACCGUAGAAUUUCCCUAAUAAAUAAGUACUCUAAGAACACAUGUUACCACUUUUCUAAAUUUAAUAAUAAAAAUAACAAAAAUAAUACUUAUAUAUUGUAAGUAAAAGCAUAACUUAAACAUAAAUAAAAAUAGAUGAUAAAUAUUUUAAAAGUUUGAACUUGAUGAAACUUUAAGUAGUCAAAUUUAUUCAUAAUUGACUAUAUACUAAAAUAUUCUAGCAUUUUUUUCAACGCGAACCACUAAAUUAUUUGCAAGAAAAAAUCAUCGACUUUGUACCAAAGUCUUCUUGCCUUGACAAUUUUUAUUACCAGAAAUAUCUCUCUUUCUCUCUAUAGUUCUUGUUAUAUCUCUUUCGAUCAACGAACUUGUUUGGAUAGAUAAAUGUAUUUUGAAGGUAGCUAAAUUUAUUAAAAAUGUAUAUAUACUUUUUUUUGUUAGGAAGUAUAUAUACUUUUGGGUAGUCAAAGAUACCUCGUGAUUAUUAAAGGCUACAACCUUGAUUGUAAUUGAGCAAAACAAUGGUCACUCAGAAAAGUGAAUGCUUUAUAUAAAUGAUGGUACGACAAAUAUUGCGGUUAUGUGGCCAUGAUGUUGUAGAGAUUAUGUCAUUAUCUAAGUGAUCAUAUGCGAAUAUAUUUUAUAUAGAUAGCAAGGCAGUGAAAGAGAGAAUUGUGUUACAUGUGAAGUGAUUUUUCCUAUCUUAGAACUCUAUUUGGAAUAAGUGUAUCUUUGUAUUCAACUUCUAGUUUGAAGGUGCUUAUGAGUUUAUGCUUUCUUCCGAUUUUGUGUUGUAUAUUAAACAUUUUAAUUUUAUGAUAUGGUUAUAAUGUAGAUUAGGGACCAACUUGUGAUUGGUUUGAGAUUUGAGUGGUAAGGAACUCGAGUACUUUAAACAAGUGGUCAGAAGUUUGAUUUACGACUCUUGUAUUUGAAGAAAAUCUAAUUGGAAGAGAAGAAUUUACCUUGUAUGUUCAAUAGGCUUUGCGGCGAGAUCAAUCAUGACUAAGCGGCAAUGAAUAUAUCAUAUCUAUAACAUGAAUAUAAAAAAAAAAAUAUAAAUCCGAGAUCAUAUAUUUGGGAAAAUAGUUAACUUUCAUUGAAUGACAAUAUAAAACUUGUAAUAAAAUAAUAACAAUUGCUCUUUUCAAAAUAAUAAUAAUAAUAAAAAUAAAAAUAAUAACAAAACCAUAAAAAAAUUCUAAAAUGUGUGAAAUCAGGAUUUGAGCAGGAAAAUUUUAAAUUUUUUACAAAAUUAAAUUUAACAUAUUGUUUUGGUGAAUUUAAAUAAAAAGAAUAGUAAAAAGGUGGCACUUUGAUUUUUUAAAUAAAUAGAACAGUGAAAAAAACUUUACUGUAACAAAUAUAUUAAAGUCAAUCAAAACUUUAAAGGAUUUUUUUCUCAAACAAAAAAUUAAAGGAAUCAAACAUAUAACCAAUAAAAAGAAAGAUAGUAAUAGAGUAAAAAGUGUAAAAAAAAAGCCUAUUUUUCCAUAUAUAGACCUUGUUGGAAAGUUAAAAGAACAAAAAAAGCCUAGGAGAAUUAAUGGUUUAGACUAACGAAUGGGUUAUGGUCGGGUCUAAACAUGACCCCUAAUUCUGGGUUCUAGAAAUAUGGCCUCUAAUAGUAAGUAUUUUAAAUCAAUAAAUACCAAGAAAUAAUAGAUUGUUUAUUAUUUAUUGGUAUUGGUAUUUAUCAAUAAAUACCAAUAUAAAUAAUAGUAAGUAUACUGUUUUUUGAGUACACAAUUAAAAAUCAAUAAAUAAUAGAUUAUUGGAAUACCUCAUACUAUUAAAAAGAAUAAGUGAGUUUAACUCUUAGAAAAAGUGCUAAAAUCUAAGGUUAUGGGACCUUGAUUAAUGACUUGUGUAAAAUAUGACGUACAAGAGAUGCCUUUCGGCUGCUACGAAAAAUGGAAUGGCAAGUGGUUCCUAACAUCGUAAUCUAUAACAUGAUCAUUGAUAGUUCAUUUAAAGACGGACUUCUAAUUCAGGCACGACGUUUAAAUUCCAAGAUUGUUGUCUCUUUGAUGAAAUGCAUGUAAAAAUCAGCUUUCUAAUAUUGUAACUUAUAGUUCUCUUAUCAAUGGUUUGUGCAAAUCUGGGAGGAUCUCUUGUGCAUAGGAACUUUUUGGUACAAUCAGUGAUGACGGUCCAACACAAUGUUAUCACUUACAAUAGAUAAAUGCUUUCUGCAAAAUCCUAAAUAUUGACAUGGGAAUUUCCUUAUUUGUACUAAUGUUUGAAAGGGGAUUGACUCGUACAGUUUUGACUUGUAACAUCUUGAUUAAAUAGGUAUUGCAAGAGUUAAGAGGAUUGAUGAAGCCAUUAACCUCUUAAGUGAAAUGUAUAGCAAAAAUUGGGUUCCUGAUUCUGUAACUUAUAAUUCUCUUAUUGAUGGCUUGUCUAAAUCUAGGAUUAUAAGUUACAAUAUGUGUUCCUGUUGUGAAUCCCAAUUAAAACUCACACAAAUGAAAUAAACAAUGAUGUGUGGAGCAAGAGAUAGUGGUAAUCUAUGAGAACAAAUGGUUUUCAAGCAACAACAACAAAACAGCCCUAGACUAGUGUAUAGCAAAAUCACAUAUAUAGAUAACAAAGCAUAAACAAGAUAAGUAAGAAAGGAAGAACAAAACACCAAGAAGAUUGUUGACUCAGUUCAGCCAAUGUGGCCUAAUCUGGGGGAGAGAGCAGCUCUCCAAUCCAAUAUGAGAAAGUGUUACAAAGGGUUACAAGAAACUCUAGCCUUCAAGCUUUACACAUGAACAAACCAUAGAUUCUACCCUUUGGUGUUUCCCCACUCUCACAAUAUGAACCCUAAAGAGAAGUCACUAGAGGAAGCUUUAGAUCCUUCCAACUAAUGAACUCCUCCACUACCCAAGGUGAUUACAAUGUUUUUCCCAACCCAAGAGACACUCUCAACAAAGACACUCAACCCAUUGGUUCCCUCCUUUGUUAUCCAAGUUCUCUUAGACACGAUUUGCAUCUGACCCAAGAUUGACCAGUCCUUAUCAGAGAUACUUAACGAGCAAGUUUCUGAAUCGUGUCACGAUUUCCCAAAAUCGUGUCACGAUUUGGCGUCCUGCAAACUGGCUCACGGCACCUCGAAAUCGUGUCACGAUGCCAAAAUCGUGUCACGAUUUCUCUGUUCUUCCAGACCACAAAUUUGAAGCCAAUAUCAACAGUUCCUGAUGUGCUGCUUAUCAAUUGAUUCUAGGUUUUCUUAUGUAGUGAGUGAGUGAAUGGAGUUGACUCAUACUCUACAAUGACGUGAGUUUAAUUUUCAUUGUCGAUGUUAGGAUUUUGUUGAUGAAUAAUAUGUAAGUAAGAAAUUGACUCAUACUUUAUAAUGGUGUGAGUUUAACUUUCAUUGUGAAUGUUAAUAUUUUCUUGAUAAGUUGAUAGUAUGCAAGUACAUUUUGAAGGAAAAAAAUUACUAAUAUUAGUGUAACAUCUAAAUUUCAGUAAUUUUUUUUACGAAAGGCAUCAUUGAAUUUAAUUUGCUAAAUGAUAAUGAAAGAUCCAGGCAAAUAAAUUAUAAUGAUGGAUAAUGGCCCUAUUUAUCCCCUAACAAUUUUUUUUUUCUUUCAAAAAAGCCAAAUAUUUUAUUAAAAUAUGAGUCUAACACACACCUAAGAACUUAUUGCUUUUCUGAUAAAUUGCUUAGCCUCCUUUGCUGAUAAACCUUGGGUGAAUGAAUAGGAGGGUGAAUAUUUUUUGGAAGUUACUUUUUCCAUCUUUUGAGUUUCUCGUUUGCCCUAUUCGGAUUUUAAAAUCCAAAAUAUUUUAACGUAUUUUGGAGAAUUUUAUAAAGUGUUUAUGCUCAGAACUACAUAGAAAACGAAAAACUGAAUAAGAUGAGAAAAGAAGGUCUCAUAGUUUUUAGACAUUUCACUGAUAAACUAUAGAUGAAUACAAACCACUUAACCACAUCGUGCAAUUAAGUAAAAAUAAUAAACCCUAUAAUGUGCCUUAAGAAUGGUUAAGGAGUACAAUUUAAUAAUACAUUUUUCAGAGAUUAAUUUCCUUUUGGUGUAUAAUAUAGUUUUGAAUUGAUGCAGGAAGAUAACCCAAUUUUACAGAGAUUAAGAAAAUCUAUAUAUGGAGUUAAACUCACAAUGAAAGUUAAUCUUUGAAGAAAAUGUAAAAUUAAACUCCAUAAAAUUGGUCACUGAAUCUAUAUAUGGAGUUUUGACCAAUUUUGGAGAAGGAUUACAAAAUUCAAUCCAAGCAGUUAGUUUUUACAAAAAUGGAUUCAAAAACAUCAAAUAAUAUAUGGAGUUUACAUUAGAUCACUACUUAAAAAUGAUUAGUAUUGUUACUUUGUUCAAAUGAUUUCUACUAAUAUGGAGUUUUUACAUUAUUAGUGAAAUACAUUCUGAACAAUACAAUAUGGAGUUUUUACAUUAUUUGAUGUUUUUGAAUCCAUUUUUGUAAAUAUGGAGUAGUGAUUAAAAUGAUCACUACUCCAUAUUAGCAGUUAGUUUUUUUGAACCAUAAAUAUUAGUAUUGUUCAGAGUGUAUUUCAUAUGGAAAUCAAACCCUCCACCUCCUCAUCUCUUCAGUCCUUUAACUACCCACCCCACAUUGCCAACCUUAUUGAACAAUUAACUAGUAAAUAAUUUUUUGAUAAAACAAAUGAACAGUUUAGUAUUUAACACUUCUAACAUGCAAAGAGUACCGGAAAAAAUAUCCGAAUGAAUUCAUAAGCAAUUCCCCAACUCACAAUUAGAAACUUAAAUCCUUAUUCUAUCACUUAACACGUAUCAACGAGCAACACGCAAAAAAAUAGUGUUACCCUAAGCUAGCCCAUACAAUAUUACAUUACAUAAAAGGUUACAAUCUACAAAACUAAUGCAGCAACCCUUUUCAAUGAUUCAGAUGCCUUGUGAACAUCGGACUCUGAAUGCCCUGCAGAAACAAACAAUCUUAUUCCUACAGGCAAACGGCACUUGUCUAAUGUUGAUCUUCGAGAAGUCGCCACAAAUACAGAAUCUUCUUUCAAAACCUGUGAAUACAGAACAAUAAAUACCAGCAAAACCGAAAGUAAGAAAUAAACAUUGUCACAACAAUUCUUACACGUUCGGCAAUAUUUUCAAGCAGGCGUAGGUCAUCAUUCAAAGAACCCGUUGACUUCUUUAUUCUCAAAUAAACAAUUGGUGACUCUGGAUGACUCACAAUCGUGAAGCCUGGUAUUUCCAACAACCCUGCAGUAGCCAAUGCAUCUCAUAUAAAAGUUCUCAACAAAACAAUAAAAUGAAAUAAUAGACACUACAAUACAAUUCCAUUUAUGAAAGUAGCAGCGGUGAUAUCAAAGCCUACCUUUCCAUAACACAGCAAUGUUGUUCUUCAACUUUGUUAAUAUAUUGGGAUUUUCGUCAAGGACAUCAAUAGCUGUAAUUGCAGCGCUUGCAAGAUAUGGAGGCAAAGAAGCAGAAAAGACGUAGCCAGAGCUGCUCAAUCGCUGUAAGAGUUGAAAACACAGACAUUAGCGGAGGGAAAAUGAACGAGAAAUAAUAGCAUGAUCAACCAAUCACUUCGCCUUGAAAAUAAAUUCUUAAUUUCAGUACACUUGGAAAUCUAAGUUGGUUUAUGAAUCAGUAUUACAAAUGACACUACCAUACCUGGUGAUCUAUAACUCUUGCACUUCCGGUGCAGAAUCCUCCUUCUGUGGCCAAUGCAUGUCCCAUAGCAGCAGUUAUAAGAUCUAACUUCUCAACCUGCAGCACACGACCACAAUCACCAACAGCAGUAGAAAUUUGAAUGCAUUAACGGUGAAUCUGGUGGGACUGUAUGCACCCACACCCAAACGGAGAUUUUCGGUACAUACUGGAACUCCGUAGUGUUCAGUGAGACCUCUUCCAGAACUUCCAAGCACACCAAAUGAGUUGCUCUCAUCCAGUAAAAUACGAAACCGAUAUUUUUCCUUCAAUUUAAUGAUAUCAUCUAAGGGUGCUAUUUGACCAGAAUUCUGAAAUUUUUAAAAGUAAACAUAUGUUAACAAAUAAUGAUCAAGCAAUUUUAGUUUUCACUUAAAUGCUAGUAUGAAAACUAGUGAAAGAAUAUCUACUAUAAGUCAGAAUAGUUGACAAAACCAGAGCAAAUAGCAAUAGUGUUUUAAAGAACGACAUUGCAAUAGGCACCAGUCUAACAGCAACACCAUAUGCUCACAAUUUGUGUUUUUAAUACUUCGUUUAUAUCUUCAAUUUGCAUCUGUUUAUUAAUUACCAUACUAUCUCACUAGAAAUAGUAGUUCAUAUAACAACUUGCCAAUACUUCAAAUUGCAAGAAACGGGUAAUUCAUUCAACUGAAGGCUGUGAGCACUCCACUCGAAACACGAUAUAGAAGUGCAAAGCUAAUAAAAAUACGCUUCAACAAAAAUAAAAAUAUAACGCUAAUAUAGAAGUGCAAAGCUAAUAAAAAUAUAGAAGUGCACGGCUAAUAUACACAACAUCUACCUGGUAGAGAGCUUCGACAACAAUAUAACGCCUCAAAUUCUUGGUGUGCUUAUACUUAGAAGUAAGCUUCUCUAAAGUUUCUUCUAAAGAAUCCAUGUCAUUGUGCUUAAAAUACACGACAGUGCUUCUAGAAAGAUAAAGGCCAUUCUGUAUUCCCCAGUGGACUCCUUCAUCCCUGUUAAAAAAUACAAAAUUAUAUAUGAAACUAGAGCCUACUUGAAAUAUCACAGUUAUAUAAAGUGGAUGAAAAAAGAAUUAAGUUCAUUCUUCACACCAUUGUAAUAAAAAAAGUAAAGAUGGUAAUAAAACCAUCCAAAUAGUUCUAUAUAUGUGGUGUAUGGUUAUCAAUGCCCAAUAUAAAUGUCAUCAGACAAAAAAAUUGAACAAAAAUGGAUAGUAGAUGCUUAAAGUUAUGCAUACUUACGCCACAAUUAUAUCUCCUUUUUUAGAAAAAGCAGGAAUAGCACUGAACAUGGUGGAAAGUCCAUAAGAGUAUAGAAUUGAAUCAGGCGUUCCUAAAAAUUUUGCUAUUCUUGCUUCACAGUCAAGAUGUACAUCUGCACAGGGAAAAGUAUCAUAAGAGAACAUGCAUUUCCUCAAAAACAAACUUUAAUAUUAAAGCCUUACCAAUUGUUCCAUAAAAUCCACGGGGGCCACAUGAACCAACACCAUAUUUCUCUAAAGCAGAAGUGCAUGAGUCCUACAAUAUAAAGUAAAUAUAGAUUCAGUGUACUGAAGCACUGGUCAAGAAAAAGAAUUUAUUGAUAUGGGAUCAUGUCCUUACAAGUAACUUUUGAUGACCUAUAAGCCCAAGAUAGUUUGCUGAAGCAAAAUUGAUAACUUCUUUACCAUUAACUAUGGUAUGUGGGCCAGCAGCACUGCAUAAGAAAUUUAUCGCAAUCAGUAUUUUAAAAAAUGGAUAAUUGGCUGUUUUUUCACAAUACUGUUUAACUUACAUAUUAUGAGCUUAUCAUGUCAUUUAUCUGUCUAGAGUGCAAACUGUAAUCCUAAUGUCUCAUUUAUGUAUCAAUUAAGAUCAUUACAAAAACUUGUCAAGAGAAUAUACUUCAACCAAAACUACUUCUAGUGAACUAUACCAGUCUCUCUCUAUUAUCACAAUCUUACAUGAACCUUCCUAAUUUUAACUUCAAUAAAACGAACAGCUUCCCUAUAUGCUAUGAUAAAAGUUAGCAAUGAGGAAAAUGUAUGACAUACAAGGGAGACAUCUGAAAACGUAUGAAAUCACAUGAGAACUUUUAAUCUACACUAAUUUUCUUUAUCGCAAGAUAAGAAGAAAAAUGAUUUAGAAUCUAAAGGGUGGUCUUGUCCAGUGCAUAAGACUGCCACUGUAGUGGGGUCCAAGUAGGGUCUGAACUGACAACCUUAACCUUGCUACUAUGACUACCAUGUCACAAGGUGGAAAACCUACCAAUAUGCUAGGGCUUAUCCUAAAAAAAGUUCAUGAGUUUAAGUCAAAUAAAUGUAACCAUGGCAGUGAUGUUGACAAGUGCAAAACAUAAGAUUAUUUCAGGGAAGGAACGCAGACAAUAAAGCACACAAGUAACAAAUUUGAAAGUGUGCAAAACAUUUAAAAUGAUAAUAGAUGAGGAUGCUACCACAAAAGUAAAUGUAAUCACCUCUCCAGCACUGGUGGUUCAUAGUGCAUAUCUUUAUCAAGAGAAGGAAUAAGCGAUUGUGGAACCCAUUCAUCACAUAACUCGUCAAUUUCCUGCAGAAAUUAAGAAUAAAUUUAGAACAUGUCAAAAUAUAACACAAUGAAUCUCGAAUUAGAUUGUACAACACUACAACUAACAUGGAACACUAUGGUUAGAGUUCCACAUUAAUUUAAAACCAAAAAAGUUAGACGACAACCAACUGUUUUGAUCAUGAAUGAUGGGUCGACAGACAAAGGCAUUCGUUCUACUACUUUUUGGUGAACAAGCGACUGUAAGGGAACAAUUUUCCUAUUUUCAUUGGACACUUCUGACUUCUAAAAAAAAAAAAUAUGUAUUUGAAGAUGCUAGAUGAUGAAAUCAAAUUUGUAUCUGAGGAGUAUCAAGUAUGCAGUCGACAUGGUUAUGAAUACUGCUGAAAAUUUCAAGGUAGCAAGGGAAAUGUAAUCAUAAAGGGAAAUGUAAUCAUAUGCUGAAAUAUCUAAAAAGACUAACGGUUCAUCAAGUUACCGUAAAGGGGGGAAGAAGGAUAACCACGGACAUAUACUCUAGAACAAUGCUUAUUACCAUGUUGAAGAAGUCCAAAUAUGGGAGGAAUUUGACCAGACCUAUUAUGACUAGAUUUGUUACUACUAAUUUGGUUAUAGUUUGUAUCAGUGAUCUAAAAGCAUCAUUGAGAAGUAUGUUUAGGUCAAGGUCAAAUGAGUGAAAAUCAAGUAGGUUCGGAUCUUGGCAAGAGGGAAGAAAAGUAGCAAACAUUGUUUUAGAAGGUUUGAUUCGGAAGAAUGUAAUCAUAUCAUAUGCCUCAAGUUAGCUGUAGUUUCAUGGAUGUUAUAUUCUCCAUGAUAAUGGAGAUGAUCUUCUUGUAGGAUUGGACAUUUGAAUGACGAAUGAAUCAGCUCUAGUUUUUAUUUUGAAAUUUUUUAACAUUAGGAAUUCAUGUAUGAUUUGGUAUUUAUGUUGUUUGAUCUGGUGUUAUCAUUGGAGCGCUACAACGCUGAAGCGGGGCAUAGCAGCCAAUGAACAUCACUGCACCUUCCAUAUUGUUGUGGUUGUGUGCAUCAAUAAUAGCAGGAAAUGCCACCACCCCAUGAGUACCCAGGAAAAAUAUCCACAGAACAGUCGGAAAUUAAUUUGGGCUUUUGUGGGGGUAUUUUAGGGAUAUUGAGUUAAAACACUCAAGAGCAUGAGUUGCAUUAAAGUUAAGGCUUUGUUCCCAGUCUCUUUUGUCAAAACCUGAAAACAUCAAAAUGUUAGGGCAUUUUUCCCGAUUACUCCAGAAAUUUUAUGCGUCUCUCUCCGGCGAUUCUCUUUCUAGUUAUGUCCUCUCUCUGUAGAUUCUCUCUUGAACUUCUCUUUGCAUCUCCAGUGAUUCUGUCUCACGUGCAUUUGAGUAUAUUUUAGUGCUUCUGUCUCUCUGCAUCUCUGAAGAUUACUGGCAAGAACUGCUGCCUGUGUCAUUCCUAGGCAAGAAACUUUUAUUUGAAUUUUAAUGUUUAGACAAUUUAGUUACUUUAACCCUUAGAGGAUUAAACUUCUUGGUUAGUGAUUAGUGGUUACCACAAUUUUUGGUAUUUUCUAUGACUUUUUUACUGUUAAAUAUGAAUUUCAAGUAAUUUUUAUCAUUUUUUAGAAUCACUAUUUUGAGUAACUUUUUUUACAAGUCUAGGGGUUGAGUCUACAGAGGCUUCACAAAUUACCUAAAUUCUUGAAUAAUACAACCUUGGUAUAGAUUAUAGACAAUCACCCAAAAGGCAAGUCCCAAAUGCAUCAUGAAGAUAGAUGCUAUUAAGUCACCGACCAUGAAGCGACAGUGAUUACUUUCAAACUUCACAAAUUGAAAUGCUUCAUUUAUUGAUUCUUAAAACUUCAAGGCAAAAGCAUACAAAAUAUAAAUGCAAGAGUUUGUUCCUAUUUCCAAGUAAGCAACAGAAAAAAUGCAUAUGUUCAGUAAUAAAAGCAUGGCAAAGUCCACAAGUGAGGAGCAUAUUUCCAUCCAUCGAAAAGCUAAUGAUUAAUCAGAUUUGUAAGUUCUAAAACCUCAGAAAGAAUAUUUAGAAAUGCCCCAUGUUAGAUCCAUAGAAUUACUAAAAACUAUAACAGAUAAGCGUAUAUCACUCUAUUUAGAUAUAAGUGUUUGGAUAAAUUCUAAAACCUAAACAUUAAUAGAAACCACUUUUGAACUGCACAACAUACUCAUACAAACUCCACACACACAAAUAAAUUAGAGACAAAUCCUAUUAGCAUUUCAAUGACAUAAUAAACCAAUAAAGUCACUUUACCUUUAAAAAUAAAAUCCUAUUAAUAUACCAAAUGCCAACUUUAUUUUCAAAUUAUAAAUUUUAGACAGCUCUACAUAGCUAACACACAUUCAUAAAAUAACUAAAAAAAUCUAAUACAUAAUAACAACAACCAAGUCUUAUCCCACUAAGUAGGGUUGACUACAUGGAUCAAACGAUGCCACAAUGUUUUGUCAUAAAUCAUAUCUCUGUCCAACUCAUAUAUCUCUAAGUCUUCCUUUGCCUCUUGCGACUUAACUACCCUCCAUCUGAUCUAUAUUACAGUAUAGUGAAAAAACUAGAGUUAGAUGAUAGGUUAACUAGAGUUAACAAGUUGGUUAGGUAAUUAGGGAGUUAGUUACUCCAACUCACUCCCAUAUAUAACUCACUCUGUUGUAUUCAUUCUCUUUUAUCAAUCUAUUCAUUCCACUAUGGAUCUCUAUGAUUAUCUCCCACGUGAAUACUCUUAUACUAGCUUUUUUGCUACUCACUAUGAUCUUUAUCCCUAUGAAUCCAUGAUUCAUAACAAUCUACUCUACAGCAACAACUACCAAUCCUUAUCCCACUAAAUGGGGUCGGCUACAUGGAUCAAAUUACACCACAAUGUUCUAUUGCAACUCUCUAAUGUUUUCAUUCAUUCAUAACCAUAUCUCGUCUAGUCUUACCAAAAAUUGUGCAUAGACGAGAAAUCAAAAUAUAUACACACACGCUCAAAAAGAUAGCAUCAUACCUUGUUUGUCAAGGGUCUUUUAGGAGGCUUGUAACUUUUCUGAGAAAGCAAGAAAAGUAUGACCACCAAGAGAAAAACUUCAAUAAAUAAAUGUCCUGCAAACAUAAGAUAAAAAAAAAAUCAAAUUAAUUAAUCAAUUAAUCAUCCAUCUAUAAAGUAAAAAGUAAAAGAUAAUUAAGUCCAUAACAAGAAAUAUUACCACCAAAAUUAUAUCCAAAAACUAUAGCUCUUGCAGAAGGUGCAUCUAAAGCAUAUGUAACCCAAUUUAAUGUAGUGUUCACGAAAUUAACAGCAGCUGAAGCCAUCAUUAGCUUAAUAUAUCAAUCAAAAUAUCAAUGAAUCCUUCAAUUUCACUCAUGCAUGUGAGUUUUCCACUAUUGAAAUUCUUAAAUCAUGAAAAGUUUAAAUCCUGCAAAGUAUAAGAAAAUCAAAUAUAAGCAUUCCAAUUAACAAAUGGAAUCGAAAAAUUUGAUUUUGAAUAAGAAUCUAAGGAAUUGAAUUGAUGAAUCGAAACGACGUGACCUACCUUAUGAUUGAGAGUGAAACGACGAGAGCUUGAUUCCAUGGGAGAUUCAGAAAUGAUAGGAAGAGAAAAAGAAGAGAAAAGAAGAGAAAGAGAAAACAAAUAUUUUAUUUUAACGGUUAUGAUGGUGCCACGUCAGAUCUCGUUAGCGCUAACUAAACAGUUGUCAUUAGGCCUGUGCAAAAUAACCGGUUUGAGUAGUAAAUCCAUAACCAUACCCGUAACCAUUCUAAAAUAACAACAAAUUUUUAACCAAAUAUCAACCAAACCCAUUUAAAAUGGAUCGGUUAUAAACCAUUGUUAACCAGUUAUCCCUAAAAAGAAAAAGCCCAACCAGUACCAAUUUUUCUGCUUUCCAAUAGAGAAAUGAUAUUUGAACAUCCAUUUUGUGACAACUUUUGUUACAACUUUCUCUCUCAUAUUUACAUUAUUUUUUACUUUAUCUCUCUAUUGCUUUGAUUUUCGUACAAAUACCUAUUCUUUCUUUAUAAAUUAUGGUUGUCCCCAUAAGUUGUCAAUUAAAGGAUGUUCAAAUAACACUCCUCUUUCCAAUAAUACACCAGUAGAAAACGCUUUCAACUCACUCCGAUGACGUGUGCACGGCGGUUCCAUAGACGGAGAUGAAAACGCAAGAGGAGGAAGAGAAAAUCUAGAUGCAGAUCUAGCCAAUACAACUUGUCAUGAUGCGGCAUCUGUCUUUCUAUCUGGAUUCACUUCUGCUUGGCUGCUUGUUUCUUUUCCUUAUUUGCUUUCAUUUUAGGUGAGUUAUUGCAUGGUCCAAUUGUAAAAUUUUCCUAUGUUAGGCUCAUAUAUCUUUACCGGCUGGAACCUGUAAUUUCCUUAUUUAGUGGUAUCUAACUAGUUAUGUACAUCAAUGUUUUUUUUUUACACAAAUAUCAACAAAUAAAAAAUGGAACAAAAUUGCUCUUUUAGAAGGAAAAUAUAGCGUCAGUUUUCAAACUAAAUAAUUCUUUGUCAAUAAUAUAUAUUUAUAUAAACUGAAAAAAAAAUUACUUUUUUUUUUCUCGCUAAGACAUAAAAUCCACAUAAAUUAAACACCAUGAGUUUAGUUCAGUUGGUAGGGAUAUUGCAUUUUAUACCAGGGGUCGGGGGGGUUCGAACCCCGGACACUCUAUUUCUCCACAAUUAAAUUGUGUGAGCUCUAGCCAUUAGGCUACUUGACAAAAAAAAAAUCCACAUAAAUUAGUUAUACAUCCCUAAAAAUAUAGUGAAUUUUAAUUUCUAAAAGACAACAAAAUAUUUUUAUCCUAACAAAAAGUUUUUUGUUUUGUUUUUAGUUCAAUUUAUGUUCAUAUUAAUGUCAAGAUUAUCACUCUUUUAUGUUCAAGAUGUAUCCACGUAUGUCUAUUUAUUAUGUUCAACAUUUGUAUGUCCGUAUUAUGCUAAAGAAAUGUCAAACACGUGUCAAGAUUAUAUUUAUGAAGGACAAAUAAACAAAACGAUUUUUUUUUUAGAAUGAAAAUAUUUUGUUUUAUUUUUUUAGAAUAGAAUCAAAAUUGCUUAUAUUUUUAGAGACAAAAAACUUAUUUAACCCUUAAUAAUAUUUAUGAAAGACACCUAGAAAAAUAUUUAUGAAAGAUACAACAAACAAUAUUUUUUGUGUUAGCCCUUCAGUUCUUGGGGAAAGAGGGCUCUAAUAAUCCGAAGUUUAGACAAAUAUAAGUAAAGUCUGAUCUAAAAUUGUUGAUAUACGCAGAAAUCAAAUUUAAAUUCUUUUAUUAUUAUAAAUAAAAGAAUAACCACAAAUUCAAUUUACUUGAUUUUUGAGCCAAAAUGUGUUUUGAAAUUAAGGGCUCUAAACUUACUUGAUUUACUUGAUUCUAAAUGUGUUUUACUUGAUUUAGUCUUAUCUAAAUGUGUUUUACAAGAUUGCUCCUCUUCUCACAUUUAUAAUUGAAUAUAUGGUUAUUGAAAUGUGUUUUUGAGCCCUUGAGAGAAAAAAUCAAGUAAUUGAACUCAAGUGGUUAUAGCCCUAAUAAUCAAACUCAAGUAUUGGAAAAGUCAAAACACAUUUCAAACCACAAAUUCAAAUUGUUGAUAUACUUGAGUUCAAUUAUUUGGUUUUUUCUUUCAACCCAAAAUAAUAAAUAAAAGCUAACAGUGUUAGUAUUGGAAAAGUCAAAACACAUUUCAAUAACCACAAAUUCAAUUAUAAAUGUGCGAUUUCAAUUUUAUAUUUUUAAAUCCAUAUAAAGUGUGCGUUAAAACAAAUGCAUAUAAAUUUAGGUCGCUUAAUAUUUAAACCUUUCAAGUUACCUCUUUCAAAAACAACAACAAAAAAACCUUACAAGUUACCGGUCAACAAGACAAAGCAAUCCUAGCCAUCCCUAUUAAUUUAUAUUAAAUCAGUGGUUGAGUUUAGAUGAGCCUAAGAUGGGGAAAUUUUACAAUUUCCCCAUGCUAAACGUCGCCUUAUUUUUAACUUUCAAACAAACUUUGACUUUUCUUCUUUUGGAGUUGUUUCAUUUUGACAAUUCUUUUCAAGUUUUGAAAAACACAAGAAGUGAGUGUUAAUGAUCUUCUAGUUCUAGUAGAAUAGAUGAUCCUUCUAAAUUUGUCAUGCAAUUACUAAUUAUUUAUGUGGCACAUAAUCAGUGACAUAGCGAUGAUAGGGAAGAACAUGAUUGGAAAAGAAUAUGGAUACUCCACAAAUUUUAAAUAAAAUGACCAUUUUGCCCUUAAAAAAACUAGACAAGACUAUAAUACUUUUUCUUCUUAUUCCUUCUCCAAAACCAGUAUCUUUGUUCAUUUUCUUCGGCAAUCGCUGUUGUUUAAAGGAGGGGUAACAAUGGUACAAUCUAACAAACAAAUCAAAAUUCUUUCAAAAUUGAACCAACCCAUUUCUGAAUGUAAAAUAUACUCAAAAUGAAAGCAUAUCCAAUUCUGAAAACAAACAAACAAGUCUAAUCAAAAUUCUUGCAAGCGUCGAUGACAGAUCAUAGAAUGAUAUGGUGGGUUGUUGUUUUUUAAAAUGAUCGAAGCUUUAAUAGUUUCUUUCUAUUUCAUGUGAAGCUUUCAUGGUUAGGGCCACGUCACCGGAGGUGUUGCCUGUUGAUAGUUUGCGUUUUUGUUUCAUGUAAAGCUUCCAUGGUUAGGGACACGCAACUGGAGGUGUUCGUUGAAAGUUGUCGAAAAUGUGGAUAUGUGAUGAAGGCAACAACAAACAAUGAGUAAAGAGUAUAAUGAUGACUAGUGAGUUCAAAACGAAUUUCAAAGAGGAAACACACAUGGAGUACGAAAUUGAACUCAGAGGAGGAUGCGAUGGUUGUUUUGACAGGGAGACAGAAGUGGUUGUUGAUGGUGGAGACAAGUGAAGGCGGUAGUAUUUUAGUAAUUUUGCAUGUGUCUUGGAUCAUUAAGGGUAAAAUGGGCCCUACUUGCAUGGUCGUAUAUGAGGCAGGGCGAGGAGGGAGACCAUCCUAAUCCUCAAAAAAUACAAAUUUCAUAAACUAAAGAUAUACUUAGUAUGCUUGCAAAUCAUUUUUUCAAAGUAUCCGAAGAAAAUUCAUUAGUAUACCAUCUUGUAUCCAAUAUACACCGAUUAUUAGGAGCGAAUCAAACCUAAAGUUGGUGUAGAAACAUAUGCAUUGGAGUUCUAAACACAGCCUUCAUUGUUCAAGUGUUGUAGCAUUUUUCCCCAACAACAGUUUUUUAAACCAUGCAAUUGGGUAUUUGUUCUUAUUCUUUGAUAACCACUUUUCUAAUGAUGAACUUUUAUUUGAUUGAGAUUUUUUUUUAAUUCAAUUGUAAUGUUCGCUUAUUUUAAAAAAAAAUUAAACAAUUAAAAUAAGAGCUUAAUUCAAAGAUGAACAUGGGUUACAGUGACAUUCUAUAUUCUAAAAAUAAAAGAAAUGAUAUUUAUAUAACUAUUUUAGACUAUGUUCAAUAGGUUGUUGAAUGCAAACUUAAACAUGUUGAGACCAUUGAAGAUGGGUGUUGAAAGUGAGUGGAAAGUUGAUGUGGAUGAAAGAGGUGAUGAAUGCAUUAAACAUGUUGAACUCUCUCCCGUCAGGCCACGUGGCGCAAUCCGGUUCGUUCAAAAUGGCGCGUGAGAUGCACGCGUCGAGAGGGCGCGUGGGGAAGUUGUGCACGCGGAGAGAGAGAAAGAGAAAUGGAUAAGGGCAGAACACGUGGCGUGUUUCGAUUGGCUGGUUGAAUUUUUAUCAUCUUAAUAUUUUGGACUCAAUUAUUUCAUUGCAAAUAAUUUUUUUUUUUAUACCAAACUUCGUGAUUUUUUUCUCUAUAAAUUGAGACUUGGAUCAUUUGAUUUGGACACAGAAAAAAAAAACCAAGUUUUUCACUCUUUUAAUCUUAUUAUUAGCUUUCUAUUAGCUUUUCUUUUGAAGUUUUAGUCUCUAUUUAGGGAAAUGGAUCCCAAUACCAAUCAAUUCAACACCCAAAAUUCUUCUAAUUACCCAUUUAGCUACCAAAAUUCCAACAAUUAUCAACACCCAAAUCAAUUUUGGCUUAAAUGCUCUUUUGGUCCCUUAAAUAUUUAUUUGGUAUCGCUAUGGUCCCUUAACUAAAAAAAAGAUUGUUUGAGUACUUUAAUUUAAUUUUCGUUACAUUUUUUGGUCCCUUCUAUUAGGUUUCUGUUAGGUUUAAUAAAAAACGUUAAGUGUGGUACACGUGUCGUUUUGGCAUUGGCUCUGGAAACAUUAAGGGACCAAAAUGAUACCAAAUAAAUACUUAAGGGACGAAAAGAGCAUUUAAGCUUUUUUUUAUCAUCUUCAUCAAAACCUUCAUCAUAUUCAUCAAUUAAAUUCAGAAAAAAAGGAAAUAAUCGAAAAAAACUAAAAAAAAUAAAUAUCCACCGAUUCAUCUUGCAAGACAUUGAUGCAUCUUCAACCCAAAUCCAUAACCCCUCUUUUAUUUAACCAUGCCCAAAUUCAUCUUGCAGGACAUUGAUUCAUUUUCGAGUUCAAUAACUCAUCAUCAACAGUCAUCGUCGCCGUUUCUGGGAGGAUCUACUAUCCACUGUCGUUUUUCUAGAUUCAAGGUUUUUGUGAGAGAGAAAAAUGGAAAUGGUUUUAGGAAACUAUGAAGAAUAAGAUUGAAGAAAUGGUGGAUUUUGGGUUCUAAAUUGGUAAAUAUUGAAAAAGAUUUUUUUUCUGGGUUGGUGUGUUGUUGAUGAUGAAGAUCAUGAAGAAGAAGAUGGAAGGAGAAGGAAGAAGAGGAAUAGUACAAACCCUAACGUUUUUUUGAUUUUUUUUUAACAGAAGGGACCAAAACAGGUAACAGAGAUAAAGAUAAAGUACUCAAACAAUCUUUUUUUUAGUUAAGGGACCAAAGCGAUACCAAAUAAAUACUUAAGGGACCAAAAGAGCAUUUAAGCCAUCAAUUUUUCAACCAACAUCCUCAAAACCCAAAUCAAUCCCCCAACCAACAUCCUCAAAACAGGUCUAAUUUUGGUUUUGCCUCAAAUUUCAAUCACCCAUAUUAUAGAUCUAUGAUGUGAUAUCCAUCUCAAACACCCCCAUUUAAUGGUUAUAUGCCAAUGGUGAAUGAAAAUUUUCAGAGUGUUGGUGAAUAUCCUGAAUUUUCAUCAUAAAUAAAUCGUGGUGGAAUGACAAGAGCUAAUGAAGUCACUCCAAUUCCAGAGGAUACAACUCCUAAGAGCAAGAAAAACCAGCAACCAUCAUGGAACACCGAACAAAAUUUGGUGUUAAUUAGUGGGUGGAUAAAAUAUGGAACAUGCAGUGUUGUCGGGAGAAACCAGACAAGUGAAGCAUAUUGGGGUAAAAUUGCUGAGUAUUGUAAUGAGCAUUGCUCAUUCGAUUCUCCGCUCGAUGUAGUUGCAUGCCGAAACUGUUUUAAUUAUAUGAGCAAAUGAAUAAAUAAAUGGGUUGGUGCUUAUGAUGGCGCUAAGCGUUUGCAAGGAAGCGGUUGGUCGGAAGAUGAUGUUUUCGCAAAAGCGCAGGAAUUAUAUGUAUGUGGGAAGAAUGUUCAAUUUACUUUAAAGGAAGAAUGACACGCUCUCUGUGAUCAACCACGUUAUGGUAGUCAAGUAGGAGGAAAUGUUGACUCAGGAAGUAGUGGAUCUAAGAGAUCUCACAAGGACUCUGUAGGAUCUAGUGCUCGUCCAAUGGGUAGGGAGGCAGCUAAAAAAAAAGGUAAAAAGAAAAGCAAGGACGAGACCUUGGAGAAGGUGGAAAAGGAGUGGGUUCAAUUCAAAGAAUUAAAGGAGCAAGAGAUUGAACAAUUGAAAGAGUUAACCUUGGUGAAACAACAUAAAAACAAGUUGCUGCAAGAAAAGACUGAAGCUAAGAAAAUGAAAUGUAUCUAAAGUUAAGUUAUGAAGAGCAUCUCGAUGACCGAAUGAAAGAGCUGUUGGAAAAGUUGGAGCGUGAGCUGUUUGAAAAUUAAUUUUAAUCAAAUAUUUGUUUGUAUUCAGUCAAAAUUAUCAGUGUUGUCUAGUCACGAGUGUUUGCUUUAAUAUUUGUCAGUGUUGUCUAGUCCCUAGUGUUUGCUUUACCAAUUAUCCGUGACUUUUAUUUCAAACACUAUUUGAAGGUCUUCCUCCAUUUGUUGAAAUGUGUGCCUACUGUUUAAUAAAAUGAUACUAUGACGAUGCAAUGUUUCGUCGUCGGUACCGGAUGCAAAAGCACGUUUUCAUUCGAAUCGUUGUAGACCUUUCAAUUAGUGAUAACUACUUCACCCAAUGAGUUGAUGCUGCCAACAAAGAAGGUAUAUCACCGCUAGCAAAAUUUACCACAGCAAUGCGAAUGUUAGCAUAUGGUGUGGCAACAGAUGCGGUCGAUGAAUACAUCAAAAUAGGAGGUACUACAACAUUGGAGUGCUUACGUUCUAGACCGGUUUGAUGAUGUGGAACAGGGAAAGGCUCCAACGGUGAAUUACUUUGUGAAUCAACGUCUCUAUAAUAUGACAUACUAUCUAGCUGAUGGUAUCUACCCUUCUUAUCCAACUUUCGUCAAAUCAAUUAGACUUCCUCAAAGUGAACCCGAUAAGUUAUUUGCAAAACAUCAGGAGAGCUGUCGGAAGGACAUCGAACGUGCUUUUGGAGUGCUUCAAGCUCGAUUUAAAAUCAUCUGUGAACCAACUCGCUUGUGGGACAUAGCCGAUUUGGGUAUCAUCAUGAGUUCAUGCAUCAUAUUACAUAAUAUGAUUGUUGAGGAUGAACGAGAUACAUAUGCUCAACGUUGGAUUGAUUUUGAGCAAUCUGAGGGAAGUGGAUCCAGUACACCGCAACCAUACUCGACCGAGGUGUUACCCACUUUUGCAAAUCAUGUGCGUGCUAGAUCCGAGUUGCGUGAUCCAAAUGUUCAUCACGAAUUGCAAGCAGAUCUAGUGAAGCACAUAUGGACAAAGUUUGGAAUGUUUCGUGAUUGAAGAUGAUUUGUAUCGUACUAAAUAAAUUACUUGUGUGUUGUGUGCUUGUUUGUUAUCUUGCAUUUUAAGCUAUUUGUGUGCUGUGUGCUUAGUUUAUUGUAUUGCAUCUUAAGUUAGAAAAUAAAAAUAAAUUAUUUAAAUAAAUUGUGUUUUUACAAAAAAAAAAAUUGUUAAGUGUUUCUUUAUUUUUAUUUAAUUAUAAUCGAUAAUUGUAAUUUUAUGUAAUUAUCAAAACAAAAUAUAAAAUUAAAUAAGAAUAAGAAAUAAAAUUAGGUGGUGGGGUAGAGUGUUGAAUGAAAAAACCAUUGGAGAGGUAAAAAUUGAAUGAGUGUUGAAUUAAGAGAGAUAAAAUGGUGUGGAGUGUAGGGAAUUGAAAAAGUGGGUGUUGAGGGUUGUUGAAUGUUUGUGACCAUUGUAAAUGGUCUUAGAACAACUUUUGGAUCUCUUUCAUAAUCUUCUUGUGUUCUUACUCUCUCUCUCUCUCUUGUUUUUUUACCAAUAAAAAAGAAGAAGAAAGUUGCCAAUAAAAUGGUUGUACGCAUAUUAUUACUCAAAAAUAAAUUUAGAAACAUUCUUUUGUUGUUUAUUCUUAAAUUGAAGACAAUGUAACCAACCAUCUCACGAUCCACACAAAUGGAAGUAUUAAGUUUCGUUGAACAUAGUUCACUUGACUUGAGGCUUAAAUAAUACUACUUUUAGGUGGCAAAAACAAUCAAGGUAAUGGUUUCACUGAAUUAGAAAUUCUAGUGGCCAAAACAAUCAUGGUCACAAAUUCAAAUCAGCAUAACAUUUUACGAAACAUACCACAUCAAGUGCAGCUUAGCUUAGAAUCUUAUCAUGUAUGCAUUCAAAAGUUUUAUAAUACAAUGCCAAUAUUAGCUUCUACCAAUAAACCUGACCUUGUAUGUACUAAUGUACACACCACUAAAAGUCAUACAAAUGCUUUCUCCAAUGUUUUAACCACAUAAACCAUAGUGUAAAUAAUCAUUUUCUUCACCUGUCACCAAAGAAGCAGCAAUUAGGAACAAACUUUAUAGAAAAUACCAUAAAGAAUCGAUUGAUAGCGAUAAUGGCUUGGGUAACCUGUAAGAAAUUGUAAGUUUAAAAAUGCAGUCUUCAAAAAGAACUUAGAUGCACUCAAACCGGUUUGAGUUACGACUAACCUAAAUACUAAGAUAUCAGAGGCUAUGCUAUAUAAAUUGGGCGACAAUUGUCAUGCAACUCGAGUAACGAUCUAAACAUCUAAGAUUGAAGUAUUUGAUGCAAUAUAUGAAAAUGAGCCAUUUAUAUUUAUUUUUCUAUCUAACAUAAACAUCUCAACAAAUAAUUUAUAUCUAUUUGAUUUUAUCGUCCAAAUAUUUUAUUUUUUGUUUUUAUUACUUUCUAAUUUAUUUUAAUAUAAAAUUAGAAAGGUAUGAAUAUCCAUAUAGUAAAGUAUUUAUAAAUAUUUGCAAGUUAAAUAUCAACGUGUAAAUGAUUUUUUAUACAAAAAAUAAAUGAUUAUAAAAUAAUUGAAAUUAUGUAGAAUUUAUUCCUUAAAAUGUAUUAUUAAUAAUUGUGGUAUUAAUGGUCAUUUUACAAUUGUUCGGUGUGAGAUUUGAACAAUGUCUCUUAAAGAUAAAAGGCAUAUAUAUAUUCAACCCAAUAUAUUAUACCACACACUUUCACAACAAAUUACAAAUCAAAGAAAAACCAUUAAUUAGAAAAUCGAGUUAUAUUUUAUUUCAUGACAAGAAAUUUUUUAUUUAAGUACUAUGACAAUUGUAUAGUUUUACUAAUUUAAUAACGGGUACGGAUUUCUCCGAGUCUAGAUACUUAAAAAAAUAUUUUAUUUUAUUCUAUAUGUGUUAAUGAUUUUACAUUUGUACUAAACUCGGUUAUUUUCAUCCUCAUGUGCAUCUAUUAAUUUAUAGGUACUUAAAGUAUGAUUUGCUUUAUUGUAUUCGUGUAUACCCAUUAAGAUAUUUGUAGUGUACCGUUUCGUGGUAAAUUUUAUUUACGGACACCAUACAUUCAUAAUUUUGGUCAUCCUUAAUUAUAUGUCUAACCCGAAAAAUGCCGGAUAAAUACACUAGUAUUACCUAAAAUUAAGGUAAUAUAAGAGAAGAAUUGUCUAAUUUUACCUAAAAUAUUUUAUCAACAUUUUUAAUCCCCGUCACAAGUUUUGGUCCUUAGAAAGCUAGAGAAAAAAAGUUAUAGGAACUAAAAAAAGUAAUUUUAUUUUGUAUGAACUAAAAACAAAACGCUAAUAUUCAUAAAGGCCAUUUGUAAAAAAAAUAUUCAUAAAGCUCAAUUACUUAAUUAACCCUUAUUAUUAUCAGCGUUGUUAUGAUCAUCAUUGUGGUUGUCGUCUUCGUCAUAUUGUUCCUUCUCGUUUUUCUCUUGUUUUCAAGAUGAUGGUUAAUUUAGUGAUCUUAUUUUUGAGGGCUUUUUUGGGUAGAUAAAUAUAGAAGUAUAGAUAUAAAAAAAAAGAUUUAACAAUUAUAUUUGCGUAGAUUCUGAAACAAUAAAACGAGUAAAACUAUGGAGCUAAAAAUAGUUCAAUUGAAGUUAAGGAUUUAAAAAAUUCACCGUUAAGAAAUUAGGGUUAAAAACAGAAGACUUGCUUCUCAAUUAAGUAUUCUUUGUCAAAUAUUGCUCCCCUACAAGUCAUACUGAACCCCCCCACUCCCUUCUCCUUUUCGUUGCCUUCCGUAAUCUUUCCUCCCCCUUCGGAAUUAGCAAUCCUCGUAUUGAACCCAUCAUUCAUCCAUCCUCUUCAUAUCGACGACAAUGUGUUGGUAAGUCAGUUCGAUAUAUCUCUCUGCCUUCUCCGUUUUGCUUUGCUUUCUCGGUGCACUAUGGCCAAACCAUUAGGUGAAAAAAAAGGUUAGUAACCACAUACCGGAAGAUCUUGCAUUAUUCAUUCUAUCAAAACUUCCUUUAAAAUCUUUAAAACGUUUUGGAUGUGUAAAGAAAACAUGGUCUCUCUUAUUUGAAAAUUCUUAUUUCAUCACCAUGUUCCGCACUAAUUUCAUAUCUAUUCCUCACUCUUACUAUGAUGAUACAACACUCAUCCUACAAGAGAUUGUAGAGACACCUCUUAAAUGUUAUAUCCAUUCACUUUCUGGUGAGAGGUUUGAGAAUAGACUCAAAUUCCAUAUGCCAAAUCCAUUUCAAGUGGAGGACCCUCUCCUCUAUAUUUUAGAGUCUGGAUCUACUAACGGAACUCUUUGUCUCUACGGAGGACCCGAUGAACUUGUAUUGUGGAAUCCAAGUACCGAUGAAUUGAACGUCGUUCCUUCCAGUUCUAUGGUCUCUAUGCCACCUUAUCGGGAUCCUUACACUACUCUUCAUGGAUUUGGUUAUGACCAUGUUAGAGAUGACUAUAAGAUUAUUAGGUGUAUACAUUUUUUUCUACUAGAAGGCGAAGAUCUUUUUCGUCUCAACCUGUCGAAGGAAGAUGUGCAACGGGAUGAAAUAUCUUAUGCACGUGUAUGGGAGAUUUAUAGUUUAAGAUGUAACACUUGGGAAUAACUUCAUGUCGAUAUACCUCCAUAUUGUUUUUCAGGUUUAUUGUACACAGAUGGAAUAUGGCAUUGGUUGUCUAGAAAUAAUGCUCAACAUUACAUGGUGUCAUUUGACCUAAGCAAUCAUGUGCUUUUUAAAACAUUAACGCCCUUAGCAAUACCGAUAGACAUAGAUCCCAAUUUUGAUUUUGAGAAUGUGAGUAAAGAAUUGGUGAUGUUAAAUGGUUCCAUUGCUUUGAUCUCUUGGUAUGAAGAUACGACCACCUUUCACAUAUCAGUUUUAGGUGAACUUGGUGUGAGUGAAUCAUGGACUAAACUCUUUAUUAUUGGACCUUUGUCCGACCUUUUUACGUAUCCUAUUGGAGCAGGGAGUAAUGGUGAUAUAUUCUUCAAAGCAGGAGAUGGAAAACUAGUCUUUGAUUUAAGAACACAGAUGAUUGAGAAACUUGACGGUGUGGAAAAAGCAUAUUCCAAAAUAAUAAUCUAUAAGAAAAAUGGAGGAAUAAAUCAUUAGUUAGUUUUUGUUCUCAAUUAUUAGGAUCAUUUUAUCUUAAAUAAUAAAAAGUGGUUUAUCAAUCACCCAUUAUCAUAUUUAUGAUUACGAAGCAUAUGAUAAAUUAAUAAACCAUCUUGUAAUUAUGAAUGUUGCAGCUUUGACAAAUUUAUAUUGAAAGUAUUUGUACUAUCUUUCUAUUUGUUUAAUUAUAGUUCUAUUUGCAAGAUGAUAUGAUUUCUCUUUCUAUUGUAUUGAAUGGUCUCUGGUUUUUUGGUAGCUAAUGGUUUUAUUAUGACCUUGUUAUGAGUUAUUAUGAGUUUAUAAGUUAUUUUUUCAUUGUACACAUGAAUUAUUACAAGUUUAUUAAUUAUUUCAACACUAAAAGUUUAUGUCAAAGUCAUAUUCCUAAGUUUUUUAGUUUUGUUUCCCUUUGUCGAUGAUUUAUGUUAGUAUCAUGUUGAUGAGUUUUUCUUCCUUUUUUGAUCAGUUUAGAGUGUUCUCUAUUUCUUGCAAUGGUUGUCCACAGACAAGUAGGUUGCAAGUAAAUUCAAUUUUCUCUAUUUAUUGAUUUAGUAUCAUGUUUGCAGAUUAGUAAUCAAUGAUUUAUGGAAUUUUUUUACAGAUUGAGCUCAAUUUUUUUGACCCGAGGAGUUCAUCAACAUCAUCGUUAAUAUCUUGAGACAAAAGGUGCAAUAGUGGAAUACAAUUAUCAGAUGCAACCUGUUCCAGUCAGACCAAGCAGUGCUCUUACACUUUCCAGUAUGGAGAUGGUAGCGGAACCUCAGGCUAUUACGUGUCCGAUACGAUGCAUUUGGAUACUAUUUUUGAGGGAUCUGACUACAAAUUCUUCAGCUCAUGUAGUUUUUUGGGUGAGCUUUCAUGAGCCUGAAAUGGUUGAUAUUUGAUAGCAUAUCUCUUGUUUUCUUUCUUCGUGUUAAUUAGUUUAAUCUAAUCUCGGAAACCGCUACUUUGUGAAUUGAGCAGUUGUAGUAACGAGCAGAGUGGAGACUUGACAAAAUCUGACAGAGCAGUUGAUGGUAUAUUUGGAUUUUGGCAACAACAAAUGUCUGUGAUCUCACAGCUCUCAUCACAAGGGAUUGCUUCUGGAGUAUUCUCUCAUUGUCUUAGAGGAGAUAGCUCUGGUGGAGGAAUUCCGGUUCUUGGUGAGAUUGUGGAGCCUAACAUAGUUUAUACUCCAAUUGUUCCAUCACGGUAAGUUUUUAGCUAACUGCACCCUUCGCAAAUAUUUCAGGCUCAUUACAAUUUAAACUUACAGAGCAUAUCUGUUAACGGCCAGGCACUUCAAGUCGAUCCAUCAGUUUGUGCAACAUAUCAAGCAACAGAGGCACCAUUGUUGAUUAUGGAAAAAAAAUCAUAUUCCUAAGUUUUAUAAACAUGAAGGCUCGAGUAAAGGUUAAAAUUUCAUCUUAUUUGCGUCAUGUUUCUAUUCUAAUUUUUCAACAUCUAACAAAGUAAUUAUGUUAGACAGAUUUGAACUUAUACAUGUCUUUCGGUUUUUACAUGUAAAAGAGAAAAAAUAAAUUAUACUUCCAUUUCCCCAUCUUUUCAUGACAUGUUCAUAAAAGCUGUUUUCAGCUUAUUUCCAUAAGCUGUCUAGAAAAGCUUAUGAAAAUAGCUACAUAAAGCUUUAAAGAGUUUUGUCUCCUGAGGUGAAAUUUCUACAUAAAGCUUUAAAGAGUUUUGUCUCCUGAGGUGAAAUUUCUACAUAAAGCUUUAAAGAGUUUUGUCUCUCCAGGUCAGUCUACGUAAAGCUUUAUCUAUCCACCUUCUAUGCUCUUAAUGUGACAUGACACUACAAACAUUUCUACAUAUCUUGUAUUUAAAAGUUGGUUAAUAUAUUACUCAUUCCCAUGCUGGAAAUGCUGCCACACGUAUGUAACCAUGAAAUUAUAUUUUAGUUUAGUUUUAUUGAGUUAUGGAAAAUGUUAAAUUGAUAACUAUGAGCCUUGCAUAAUCGAUAAUUUAUAGCUGAAUUGAAUUGAUUACCAUGAAAUGCUGCCACACGUGUAACUGUAAAUAAAUAUUAUGUACUAUAGGUUUAUGGAUAUUUUCCAAAAUUAUUUGGUUGUCAAAUCCAUUCCUAAUUCCAAAAAUCAGUCCAUCUUUCCUCUAUUUAAUUUUGCAUUUUUUAGUUUAGUUUAAAAAAUUGAUUAUGAUCUUUGGAAAAUGAAAUUAGAGGCACUGCUAAAUUGAGCUUGAUGUGUUGUUGUAUUAAGUGUUAGAUCAUUAGACUUUGAAGCUGAUGGCUUGUUGGGAGUCUAUGCUGAGAUUUUCGAUACAAUUCUGUCUAGUUUUUCUGCCUCUGCUGCGCAAUCUCGACUACGCAAUCGCAACAUAGCUUUUGGCAUGUUGCACUCUUUUCUUAGUUGCCUCCAAAUGUGAUUAGAUGCCUACAGUUUUGGGGUUUGAUGUUGUUGUUUAGCUAGCGUGCGUUACUGUUUUGAACUCAAUUCAGUUGAAGUUCUGACUUCUAAUUCUAUCUAAUUUUUCCUUAACAGGUCUAGUUUAUGUUGUUAUGGGGUAUUUUUGAUAUAUGGUGAUGAACUGCUGGUGGGUGGUGUUUGGUCCUGCAAUGAUGGUUCUGUUCAAGGACGAGUUACCACUAUUGUCGUGUUUUCUCGACUACGAGCAUGAAUUUGUUUUUUUGGUUGGGUCUAUGAUGGUUCUCAUCUUCCGAAACUGCCAUGUUUUUGACUGUUUUUCUUUAGUUUACUGCUGCUAUAUUUCUGUGUUUUUUCCCUGCUUUGGCGAGGAGUUAUCCCCGAUUACAUAUAGAUCAGGGAUUAGUUUUGUUGCCUAACACUACUCGAUGUCAAACCUUUGGACAAAUUUUCGUUUCCUUGUUACAUAUUGGCAUCCCCACUGACUCAAAUUUUGUCUAACUUUGUCGCUUGUAGAAUGCAUUCCAAAGUGACCUGUUCAAUAUAUACACGCUGCUGGGAAUAGUUUGCACUUAUGGUUGCUGCAAGCUCAGGGGAGAUGAGCUUUUCUAGAGGGCUUGGCUGGUCCGAUAUUCAACAUAGUUGACAAACGAUGCGCAUUUGAAUUAAACUUGUUUGAUUUGCUUAAAUUAGGGUGGUAGCUAUUCGAUUUAUAUUACCAAUGAUAUACAAUUUUUUUUUGAAGAGAUAUAUAAUGUAUUUGUUCUUUUCAUUAUCAAUCAAUUUCAGCUUGUUGAAAUCUUUGAAGUCAAAUAUAUAAAUAUUUUACUGAUUGAUCUACCUAGUCUUGACUAUUCAGUAACAUUUAUGUAACAAAACUAUAGAUUGGCAACAAAUUAGCUACAAAUUACCUACAAAAUAAGUAACAUUUUUUAAGUGUUACAAGUAAUACUUUCAAGUGUUACUGAAAUCAUUUAGUAACACCGGCUUUACCUAACAUUUAUCAAAUGUUACAAGAUCUAAAUAGUAACAUUUGUUUUUGAUUUAGUUACAAUUUUGAAGUGUUACUAAAUCUCAUAUAUGUUGUAGUGUGAUAGGAAAGAAGUGCAUUUUUGCAUAUAAAUGUUAGAAAAUGGUGUAAGUUCUGAAUGAUGGGUGAAUAUUGAUGUUUGGAGUAGUGAGUGUUGUGAAUUAUACACUUGAAUGAGGAUGACCGGAAAUUUUACUAAUAUAUAAUGUUGUUUAAAUGUACCAUAUAUAUUUUUAAUGAAUGUAUUCUCACCACUGCUUUGUUGUUUUGUGUUUGUGGUGUCUGUACUCGUGGGAGGACAUAUACUUAGGUUAAGGAGUUUUAGCUGCGAGGUAUUGGGAUGGUGGCGUUGGAAGUUUUAUUCCAUCUGAUUUAUUUAUGAAAAACUGUAUAGGCAAUUACGUUGUUUUGAUUCGAUAACACUAGGGUUAAGGUGUUUUCAUCGUUUUGUUAAGUUUCUUGGAGAUGAUUUUUGAAACUAUGAUUUUAUUAUGCUAUAGUGUAGAGACCUUAAAUUAUUUUAAUUGAAGUUGAUGAACUAUUUCGCUGCUUUAAUUAUGAUAUUUGAUUUAUGGAAAGGUAGAUUGUCGAAUAUGUGUAGCACCUAUUUAAAUAAAUAUACUUUUUAUGUUACAAUUAUAGUUUACACUUGAGUGAUUUUGAGGCUCCGAUGAUUGCCAUUUCGGUGUUGAACAUUGGGAUAUGGUCGACUGGGUCAUUCCUUCCAUUGAAAGUGGACUGUGAGGGUGGUUUGAAAAUUUUGAGAACUGGCACAUUCCAGAUCUCCGCCAAAAGGGUUGGGGAUCCAAUUCCUCCGUCUCCUCAUUGUUAUGGUGGAGCUCGUCCUGUUGUUGUUGGAUCAUGUUGAUUGAAGCUUGUAGGGCUUCGUUUUAUUGUUGCAGCUUCUGUAACUGGAUUUGCAUUGCUACAACGAUGUUUGGAUUGGCGUCUCCCCCAACCACCGAUUUUGUCUAGAGCGUUAUUGCUUUGAGAAUAUUGAUGGUGGCCUAGGAUAGUUUUACCGAAGCCCCAUAGUGAACACUAACUAUACUUGAAAUAAGCACAAUGAUAACACUCGACUCAGGAGAAAGCUAAGUGAUCAAGUUCUAGGUCUGUAUAUUUAUGGUUCUCUGAGUGUGACCCCAGGGUGCUAUUUAUAGCUCCCCCUACUUUAUGGCGGCAGACUCUAAUCUUUAUUAUGAUUCUUUAUUACAUACAACUACAUUUUUUUUAAAUCAGAUAUCACUAUUUUGAAAAAAUCUAUUUAACACACAUUAUUCUAUUAAGUCCAAAAAUUUGUUGUCAACAAAACAAAAUAUCUAGUUCAUUAACUUCUUUACUGCUAUUGUAGUAGCCAAUUAUAAUUUUGUAGUGACAUUUUAGUUUUUCAUAUCUUGUAAAACACAUCAAGGCAUAAGGCUAUUAAGACUACUAAUUAAAAGCUAAAAGAAAUAUAAAUUGUAAGUGUUUCAACCAAUUAUUAAAGGUAUUCUUAUAAGUGGCGAGGAUUUAUUUAAAAAAAAUUGAGAAUAUGACAUUUUUAUUAAUUAAAGUGAUAUUAAUGACUAUUUUACUACUACUACUACGGAGGGGAUUCAAACUCAACACUUUAAAGUUACAAGGUUAAACUCUUUUCGAUGAGAUAGACCAUAAAAUUAUAGGCGGUAGGAUGGAAAAAAAAAAAAAAAAAAGGUGUGAUAUGACCGAAUUGGAUUCCAAUGCGAUACUUCUAAAAUAAGAGAGAGAAGAUCAAUCUAAAUAAACUCUUUAAUUCCUUACUAUCAUUUUAGAGUAUAAAAUAGUAACUACAAGGUCUAUGAAAUUAAGGAAAAAAAUAUUGUGUGGCAGUACAAUAACUAAAUGAGAGCUCAUGAAAAAUGUAUCAUAAUGAAUAUUGCACAUUUCUUUUACUAGCACAAUAAUCCAUUCUCAUAUGUAAGGUGUUUCUGCACUCUUUUGGGUUUGGUACUCAUAUAAUCGGCGAAGCUUUUUAGUCAAUUCACAUUUGUGAUCAACACAUUUGACAACAUAAAACCAGUCUGUAAUUUGUGGACAAUCGGCAUCAGUUUCACAAUAAAUAUCUACUGUAAUGAAAAAGGAAAAGAAAAGAAAAUAAUGUUAACUAAAACAUGAUAAAAGAUUGUGUACGAACUGCAAAGUAAAUAGAAAAAAUUGAAAAGAAUGAGAAAUGACUUACCACCAUCAACUUCCGUUAUGACAAGAAAUAAGGGAAGAAAUAGAAUCAUAGCAUAAACAAAUUCGAGAAUUUCCACCAUAUGUUUUCCUCUUUGCAUGUCAAAAAUAGAAUAUGAUUUGAUCACCUUUUAGCGUAUAAAGUUCAUGCUCUCCUAAAAUUAAAUAAUUUUUUUUAUCACUUCUAAAAUUGUAAAAUCCUUUUAUAAAAUUAUAAUCAUUAUUAAAUAUUUCUUAAGUAUUUGUUGUGUUUGUCUCUUCAACACACCUAGUAGGCGGUUAAAUAACAAACGUUCUAAUCAUUAAAAUUUAUUCUGUUUUAAUUAACUUUUCAUUACUUUUUGAACCUUUCACGAUAGUAAAAGAUUUUUUUUCUUUGUGAACCAUGAUAAAGUUAUUUUUUGGAAUAAUACACCAAUAUUAUUAUUUUUUGGACAAGAAUGAUGCACCAAUAUUAGAGUGAGAACAUGUAUAUACAUAGUGGCGGAGUAUUACAAGGGCAUAGGUGUGCCCACGACCCACCCUCCCCCUGUAUUACAAGGGCAUAGGUGUGCCACGACCCACCCUCCUCCCUCCCUCCAAAAAAAAAAGUAUAUUUUUGUUCUAUUAGUAAAAUGAUAAAAUAUCCAUGACUUUCUUUCUGACUCCGCCACUAUUUAUACACAAGUAAAAUGUAUGGUAGGAUCAAUUCAUGUUGCUGAUAAAGUCAUUGAAAAAAAAUGAAUGUGUAUUUAAUUUUGUAAUUGCAUGAUUUAUUAUACAUUUUCUUUUUUUUUUGAAGGAAGGAAUCUGUUUUUUUAUUUAUUAUAUACAUUAUCAUUCAAAUCAAUUAUAUAAUUCAUAUUGAUUUAAAAAAUAAUUUGGUACUGAAUUGAAUGUAAACUAAAAUUGAUUUUAAAAUUGAUUCAUAUAAUAAUGAAUUGAAAUAUGUUCUCAGGAGGAAUGCAAUAUACUUGAUUUCAUGUAUAUUUGCAUUCCUCCUGUUUCAUUUUCCAACGUGCCUCUCCUUGUCCAUUUUAUCGUGUUCCAUCGUGGUGUGCCUUUUUCUUGGGCUGAAGAGCACAUCUUAGUAUCUAUGUACUUGAAGGAUCCGAUUGAUUUUUCAUGGCUCCUUUACCACCAUCUCAUGUUGUUGAUAUCAAUGUUAACAGAGAAGAGGUAGUGCUACUCCAUCUAGUUAGUGCUUCAAAUGAUUACACUAUCAGUAGUGCUUAUAGUUUCCUUCAACAAUCAGCAAAUCAAAAUAUCCUUGCAGAUGACAACCAUGUAUUUUGACAUAAAGAUGUUCCUUUGAAAGUCAAUUUUUUUAUGUGGCGUCUUCUUUUCAACCGCCUUCCAACGAAUGCUAAUUUAUGAGAGGAGUGAUUCCGGCUACUUGAAGGGUGUGGUAAUUUAGAGGAUAAACAAUGCCCGUGUUGUCAAAAAGAUCGGACUAAAGCAAUGAGAGAAUAAUACCAAAUCAGCUCAACCAUGCAAAAUCAACUCAUUUUGGUCUUGAAAAACACAACAUGGCAUUACAAUUCAAGAAUAAAAAAUAAAAUAAAAAUAGUUUUUGCUUUCGUAGAGAACAACAAACUAUUAAAACUUCAAACAAAGAAAAUAAAAUAUUGCAAAAGAAAUAAAUGAAGAGGAUAGUCAGCUAAUUAACCCAUGUAUUUUUUUUGUUACAAAGGCUAAAGAGCAAGGAAAACAAAAGAAACAAACAGAUAACUAAAGUCUCAAGUAAAAGGUUCCAGCAGCAUGAGAGGCAAAAGCUCCGCUGGAGGAGAGUCGUGGCGGAUGAGCUAAUUGUCAUGGCGGAUGAGCUAAUUAACUCAUGUAUAAAACAAAAUACAUUAUUCAUACAACUGAAAAAUUAGUUAAUUUCUAGAGUUCAAGAAAUACCAGCAGAACACAAAUAACAGCCCAAACAUUUUAUAACUUUGCUAGUUAUCUUCUAUUAUUCUUACCCCAAGAUCAGUAAUUAGUAAUAAUUCACUUCAUUGAAGAUUCACAAUCUGAGUUCAAAUAUAGAGUUUUCAAAAAUGACAAUGUUUUUUUAAAAGAGAGAGAUACAUAGUCAUACUCAUAUGACAUGCCCCCAUGAAGAAAAACAUGGACCAAUGUCUUACUUUGACAUCAUUUUCAACUAGAGUUUUGAUUUCUUCGUCUACCUUCUUUUGCAUUUCUUUGCCUAGCCCUAAAAUUAAACCCAAGAACUUGCAAAAAAAUAUAUGAACUAAGAAUCAAAUCAAUAAAGUGAUACAAAGUAGUGAAGGAAAAUGGUUAGGGUUUCAAAAAAAAUGGGACUUUUUAUCUUUGUUGAAGUCUUAGCAAGAUAAUGAAGGAAGGUCACUUUCCAUCGAAGAAGAAGGACACAAUUACUUUUAAAAUGACACUGUAGGGAUGAAACAAAAAUGAAAUAAUUAGAGUAUAGCACAUGCUACAGUGACCGGAAAGUUGGUCGCUAAUUUUUUAAUAGAAUGGGUAAACAAAUAUCAGAGAUUGAAUUUUCUGUCACUAAACACCGGGUUCUACUUUAGUCUCCAAACUACAUUUGGAGACGCAAAAACUUAUUGUUAAAAAAUAUUUUAGAACUUUAUGAUGAUUGAAAACUUAUUGUCAAAAUCCUUCGCUAUAAUCCCGAUUUCUAGUAGUGUUUAUGAUUGAACACUCAUGAUAUUUUGUAAGGUUUGAACAUAACUGUGUCUUGUGGCAAUAAAUCAAGCGCAGUUGUGUAAACCUUCCUAAAAUUAUUGUAGGCUAUUUUUGGAAGAAAAGAGUAAAGUAACUUGCACAAAAUUGAGAAUGAACAGUAAAUUUUUAUCACACCUCUCUCAUCGAAAUUUAGUUGUUCCAGCCGCAUAGAACAUUGUAAGCCACCAACAACCACCAUUCCAUCUUCAUUCUUCAUUGUUUUAGCCAUGAAUCCGUUCCUUAUUACAUGACAUUGUCUUAAUCUUCAUCCUAAAGAAGCUAGUGAAGCAAUCAAAUCACCUUUUAUCCAAAUAUCAUUCGCGCAAGUUGUUAAAAAUGUUUGUGAUAUACCUUUGAGACAACAAUUCCUCAACUUAGUGUUAAAGGUGACUGGAUUGCUAUAGUAAUUCCUUAAUAUGAAUACAAAGAUGGAAUCAAAACUUGUAAGGACAACUUGUACAAACGAAUUAUCUGGAAAAGCGUGCAACACAGUUGAAGUUUGGUGCCUUGCGAGCCAAGCUAUCGCCAAUAUGGAAAUCCCUAAGUAAUGGCGAAUGACCUCUCUGGGUAAGGGUUAAUUUCUGAGUCCUCCUUUACAUCUCUAGAGGAUGUUCAAAGUGUGAGAUCGAUAGGAUCUUGAAUCUCAAGAGCAUUGGAGACCUAAAGUACUCUUUGAUAUAAGCCAAUAUUUGAUGUAGACUUUGACUAUUUUGUUUGAGUCUUGGUUGAUAUGGACCUUAAAUAUCAACCCAAGUACGACGCUCUUGUUGAGAGAACAUGGUUUCAUUUUUGUGGAGAUGAGAAUAUUUUUUGUGAAUCGAACCAACUCGAAUUUAGUUUAAAACUCGAUUCGAUAAUUGAUUUAUUGAACUUAGUUCAUGAACUAAAUGAGCUGAAUUUAAGUUGAAAAUUAAGUUUGUUAAUUAUAUGAGUCGAACAUGAACUAUAUAUAGUUCGACUCGUUUGGUUCAUGAACUGACUCGAUUAUAUAUAUAUAUAGGACAUAUCUAAUGAGAAUAGCUUUGUUAUGUGAGAAUAAUGAGAACGCAUAUGGAUCCUUAGAUUAAAAAUAAAUGGUUAUGAUUAAAAGUCCUCUUUUAAACAACACAUGUUCUUUCUACAGUGUAUCAUGUUUCUAUGUUCAACCCAUCUUCAAUCCAAACAACACCAUUCCAGUAUUGCUUUCAUCUAUGCCACCCGCCGGUGACACGACAACUCCGGCAAUUUUUCGAUUGAUGGAGGAACAAUUUCCGAAAGGUUUCUGUAACUUAAAUUGAUUGUUCUGAGAUUGCAAAGCUGACUAAUCCCUGUCGGAAUCUCGUCGGAGAUGAAAUUCCAGCUGAUGCCGAAAAACUUACUGACGUGAAACAUUUAGAUCGACGAGAGUUGAGAGCUUACCGACGACGGUGUCUAUUUUUCCGGUGAGGCCAGGAUAACCGGAUCUAGAUUCGCCGAGAUUUAGAUCAACGACUUAAUGGACGGAAAAUUAAACUCUGACAAGGUUGCAGGGAUGGUCGGUGAUGGCCACAAAGUCACAUCACCCAAAGACGAUGAAGGAACCAAAACGUUUUAGAAAAUUGGGAAUGAAGAGGAAAAAAUUGAAUUAAUUUGGUUUUUCAUCUCUCGUAUUAAUUUGGAUCUAGAUUCAAUUUUAUCAUUUUUCAUCCUGUAUGUGUUUUUCAUAAGAUUGAUUUUGAACCAAUUAUGAGAGAGAAGGGAUACGACGGAUUGGGCGUGAGGAAGAAUGCAGGAUGGAAGGUGUGUUGUUGAGAAAUUUUUUUUUUUCUGCCCUUAUUUUUGCCAAAAAACACAAAACUACCCUACUUUUUCGAAAAAUUGCAAAAAUACCCUACUUUUUCUGAUACCCCUGGCACCACACAACCCCAAGUUGCGGGGUACCCUCAAAGUUGACGAAAUUUUUGUCCUUAUUAUACCCCACAACUCCAAGUUGCGGGGUACUUUCCCUAUUUUUUUUUUUUAAUUUUAAACUACCAAGCAAGAUGGACUUGCGAGGUAGUUUAUAAUUUUUUUUUUUUAAAAAUUAAAUACCCCACAACUUGGGGUUGCAAGGUAUUUUUCUAUUUUUUUUUUAAUUUUAUAAUUAAUUAAAAUAUAUUAUUUCAUCUACUAUAAAUACUUUCUUUCAUCUUUCAAUUUAUCACACCAUUUCAUUUUUUGAUAAUUAGUUGCAUUAUUUUGGUCAGGAUAUUAAUAAUGUUAAUUUAGGCAUUAAUAAUAAAGUAAUUAUAAUAAUAAUCAUUAUCUACGAAAAAUAAUAAUAAUAAUAAUAAUCAUAAUAUAUAUAAAAUAAAAAACUUACGAAAUAAAAUAAAUAUGCAAUAAAGACUAGAUUUCUACUGAUGUCUAAUAUUAGUGCAAUCUUUGCGGGAAUGAUCAGGCAUCCUACAAACGCCGCAUCUUCUCUCAGUUUCCACAUCGUCCAUCUCGGUCCUAAUGCGAGUAAUUGGUGGACGACCUUUCUUUGCCCUACGCAUCGACUUGUUGGGAACCACCUUCAGUCCUUCAUAAUCAGGCCAAUAUGACUGGUGGUGAACCACGUCGAAGUGGAUGUUGUAUACGGCGUACACACACUCAUUCGUGAAUUUGUUAUCGACAAAAGUCUUGUAGUCGUGAGAAAAGCUAGAACAUGCGGCAAUUACAUGUGAGCAUGGUAGGUGUAACGCUCUGAACCGUCCACAGUCACACCAUUUAUUUUGCAGGUCCACCUUGUAUUCUCCCUUUGGUAAUCCUUCUUUAUGGUCGAUGGUUUCACAGACAGAAAAGGUAUAUCGAUCCCGGUCAAACUGAGUGACAUGAUGACUGUUGGAUUUAAUAACCUCAUUCCUGAGAUAUUUCAUGAUGUUUUCUGAGAAUGGCUCACCAGAAUUUACCCUUGCCGCUGCUUCAUGUCCUCUUUUAGCAAACAAGGCCGCCAACCUGUAAUAGGAUGCUUUCACAAUUGCUGUGAUCGGGAGUCCUCGAAUUCCCUUAUACACGUUGUUUUGUGACUCUACCAAGUUACUUGUCAUGUGGCCCCAUCGUCGACCAUCAUCAUGUGAUUGAGUCCACUUUUCUUUGGGAAUGUUGUCGACCCAUGCUAAAGCCUUCCGGUCCGCGACAGCGAUUUCAGAGCGGUAGUAUUCGAAUGUUGGGAUGUUCAUGGCGUAACCUGCAUUGUUUUGAAAAAAUUUAGAUGUGUCUUCUUUAAACAAAUAAUAUGUCGAAAUUACAAGGAUAGAGAUAUAAUUUUUACCCAUGCCUUCAACUUUCUUCUUAAGUUCUCCAUCCUUGAACGAUCGCAUAAAGUUUUGUGCAAUGUGUCGGACACAAAACACAUGGCUUGUCGGAGCAUCAUGCCAUCCAUUCUGUGGAUCAUCAUAUGCGCUCUUUAUCGACACAUGUCUAUCAGAAAUGAGACAUAUGUUCGCCUGUGGGGUGACAUGCUGCCUUAGAUUUUUCAAAAAGAAACUCCAUGCCUCCUUGGUCUCCCCUUCCACGAUUGCGAAAGCAAUGGGAAAUAUCUUGUUGUUCCCAUCUUGCGCAACAGCUAACAACAAUGUUCCUUUGUAUUUACCAUACAACCAAGUUGCGUCAAUCUGGACAAUUGGUUUGCAGAAUUCGAAGCCCAAGAUGCACGGACGAAAGGCCCAAAAGAGACGCUUGAAGACGAUCUCAUUGACCACUUCUGUUGAUGGGUCUGUUUGAAAAUCAAUAAUUGUUCCUGGCAAAUCUUUUUCCAUGACCAUCAACCACUGUGGUAGUUCUUUAUAAGAAUCCUCCCAGUUACCAUAAAUUGAUUCAAUCGCCUUAUUUUUUGCUCUCCAUGCCUUUCUAUAAGAAAUUGUAUAAUUAAACUUCUCUCGGAUGUGUGCAAUUAUAACUUUCACCGUAAUUGAAGCAUCCAUAUGUAGUAGUGAUUUAACACUUUCACAUAUGACAUUGUAACUAAGUUUGCAAUGAUCUUGCGUCAAUUCUGUUGAGACACAUGUAUGAGGAUCCUUCAUUUUUCCAAUCUCCCAUCUAUCAGAUUUUUUCCUCCACGAGGCCCGCAAUUUGAAACCACAAGUAGUAUCUUUACAUUUGAUGACAUACCUUUCAUGAUCCGAUUGCUUCACAAAAUAAUCCCAUGAAUUUUUUAUGUGAUAAUAUCUAAUUGCGAGAAUGCAAUCAUUCUUGUUAUGAAAUUGCAUCCCCGGAGAAAUACCUUCAUCGACUGGAAGAGUCAUUGACUGAUAAAGCUCAGUUGAGUGGUCAUCAAUGACGUUGCGCAUAGACCUUGGUGGGUUGUAAGAAGCUCUGAUCGGUGAAAUUGGUAGUUGUGGCACAAUGUCUUCUUCGUCUUCUUCGUUCUCAUCACCGCUUUGUGCAGCAAGGAGUUCUUCAUCAUCAUCGUCAUCAUCAUCUUGAACUUCAUCAUUUGAGUGGUCCUGGAUUUGGGAGGUGAAUAUAUUUAUUUCAUCGUUUAAAGUUUGAGAUUGUGUUUGAGAGGGAUCAACUUGAGUUAAUCUUUGUGAUGGUUCGUACUGAUUUUGUGACCAUUGUGAAUGAAAAGAUUUUGAUGAUGAUGGAUUGUAGUGCGGUUGUGAUGAUGAUGGAUUGUAGAAUUGACUAGAACUUGAUGGGUAAUUUAACUCAAGAUUAGAUGUUGGAUUCUUCAUCUCAAACGUAACAUAAAGCUCUAUGUAGGACAAAGAACUGUGACUCUUAUGUACGUCAAACAUAAACUCGACAUCGUCGUUAUCGGUUAGUCUUAACGCCUGGUAGUGAAUUGUGCUAGCUCCAUGAAGAGGGUGCACCACUAAGCACUCGUACACGACAACACAUACAACCAAGUCCAUUUAUUGAGGAUUAUCUACGUCAAGCUGGAUUUUAUGAGGUUACGCAAAUAGGGCAUUAUAAAAUUGACAGACAUAUCGUAACCGCUCUUGUAGAAAGAUGGCGAUCCGAGACACAUACUUUUCAUUUUCGAACAGGUGAAUGUACAAUCACGCUGGAAGAUGUAUAUAUGUUACUUGGCAUACCUUUUGGAGGACAAAUUGUUACGGGUCCUCCACAUCUUUCAUGGGAUAUUUGUUUUCAACUCUUGGGAAUAGCUGCUCCAGAACGCAAAACUGAUGGUUUUACUCUCUCAUUGGCGUGGUUAAAGGAAAAUAUGGUCGAUCCAAACUUCAAUCAACAAUCACCUCCAGAAGUCAAAAUACAACACACUAGGAGGUACAUACUAUACCUCAUUGGGGGUUUCUUGUUUCCAAAUACAACUGGAUUAUAUGUGCACAACUCUUGGUUGUAUUUGUUAAUGGAUUUUAAUGAAACAAGAAAAUAUAGUUGGGGAUCGGCAGUUUUAUCUUACCUUUAUCGUGGCUUGUGUGAGGCAUCCCACCCAAACAUAAAAGUUAUAGCUGGAUGUCAUUUUCUCUUACAAGUUUGGGGAUAUUGUCGAUUGACUCAUAUCGCUCCGAGAAAUUCAAAACCACUCCAGUGGCCGUUAGGAUUAAAGUAAGCAUGGUCAACACCCUUUUUUUUUAUUUUUUAUUAAUUCCCGCACAUAUUCUCGCCUAUUACUAUUUUUAUUUUUUUAGUAAAUCUAAUUUUUUUAAUUUAAUUUGUUAGAUGGACAGGAGUAGGUUCAAGGUACUACGACAAUCCAAGCCAUGACACUAUAUCUUACAGAAAACAGUUUGAUGACAUACUACAGCAUGAUGUAAUAUAUCCUUCAUUUUUGAAUUAUUCCUUCAUAUAUAUAUGUAUAACAAAAUUAUUAACAAUACACUAUAUAUUCUCUUUUGUCCCAGUUUAAGUGGAGACCAUACAAGAGAGUUCCACACGAUUUGCCUGCUGACUAUUGGGAUUGUACUGCGACAACUUACCUUAUAUGUUUUGAUAAGGUUGAAUGGCAUCCAACUGAUAGGGUCAAGCUUCAAUUUGGUUUGUCACAAGAAAUACCAGGGGCCCCAAUAAACAUGCAGCAAUUCCAUAAGUUGGACAAACGGUACAAGGCGUGGUAUGAAUCAAGAGGUUUUCGCUUUCCACAAGAGAGCGAACAUUGGGACAAUCGACGCCUUUAUACAUUACCACAAAUGCGGCCAAAAUCUCUCACCCCAACUCAUUCGUAUAUUGAUUGGUUGACAACCACUUGCAAUCCACGUCUGAGGAUUUCAAUUGACAGAAUGCCAAUAAAUUCAGAUCCAGAAGAGGAAGAAGAGCCGGAGAUAGAACCAGAGCAUGAAGCUGAAAUUCACAACAACCAACCACCAAUUCAUGAUGAUUUUUGGGAUGAAGACUUUCUUAACCGACUAGAUGAUCCUCAAUCCCAACCACCUACAACACAAAACACUCAAGGUUCUAUAAUGUAUGAUUUUCUUGACACCCCACAACAAAAUAUCAUCCAACCACCACCAUAUACCACCCCAAGAAAUGCAUAUAACCGUAAUUAUCAGUCAACUUACCAACUGAAUUCAAUGUCAAAUUUUGGUUACAAUGACCCAAACCAAGCUGGACCAUCCACCGGUAACUACUUCUCCUAUAAUGACCCAAGCCAAGCUGGACCGUCCAACACCAAUUACCCCCCCCCCCCCCUACAACGACCCCCAAUACUCAAUGUACACCAACCAAAACUACAACCAACCAACACCAACAAACCUACUAUCUCACUUCUCUCCGGAUGCGAUGAACUCCAAUGAACAAUUUCUGGAUAUGGGUUGGCCAACAAGGGAACACGAUGUGUCGUUGUCGUUGGGUUAUGGCAGUCAGACACAAUCAACUGCAGAUAAUAAUGACGAAACCCAACAUGACGCUCAAGUAAAUCGUCAAAGAAAUCGUCGUAGACGAGGGUGUGGGACAGGAGGGCAUUUGUAAUAAUUGUAUAUUUGUUAUUAGUUUAUAAAAAUUAAGUUUUUUCUAUUUUUUUUGUUAUUGGCGCGGAACCCCAAGUUGAGUACCUUGCAACCCCAAGUUGUGGGGUAUUUAAUUUUUUAAAAAAAAAAUUAUAAACUACCUCGCAAGUCCAUCUUGCUUGGUAGUUUAAAAUUAAAAAAAAAAAAUAGGGAAAGUACCCCGCAACUUGGAGUUGUGGGGUAUAAUAAGGACAAAAAUUUCGUCAACUUUGAGGGUACCCCGCAACUUGGGGUUGUGUGGUGCCAGGGGUAUCAGAAAAAGUAGGGUAUUUUUGCAAUUUUUCGAAAAAGUAUGGUAGUUUUGUGUUUUUUGAAAAAAAGAAGGGCAGAAAAAAAAAAUUCGUGUUGUUGAAUGGGUUCUUGAAAAAUGAUAGAAUAAGGAGUGGAACAGGUGUUAUUUUAAAUGUCUUUUUUAAUCUCAAUCAUCCAUUUUUGAUCUAAUGGUUAAUAAACAUUCUCACCAUUCUCAUAUAAAAUAUUCAUUCUCAUAUGAUAUGUCCUAUAUAUAUAUAGAGAGAGAGAGAGAGAGAGAGAUUUGUUAGAACACACCCAUUAGUUUUUAUGUGGGAGUGUUUUAGCAAGUUAUGACUAAAAAGUUAAUAAAUACACCAUAAGAUGUAUGUUGCUAUAACACACCUUCUAAAAAAAAAGUGAGUGUGUUCUAGCAAAUUCUAUAGGCAUUUGCUAGAAUACACACAUAUUUUUUAGAAUGAGUAUUUUAGCAAGUGAAAAAUUAAAAAGUGAUUAAAUACACUUUAACGUGUAGCUUUGCUAAAACACUCCUACAUAAAAACUAGUGGGUGUGUUCCAGCAAACCCUAUAUAUAUAUAUAUAUAUAUAUAUAUAUAUAUAUAUAUAUAUAGGGUUUGCUACAAUAGACCCACCUUUUUUCAUGAAGGUAUAUUUUAGCAAGGUGCACCUUUUACUUUAGACAUAAUAACCCAUAUAUUUUAGCAAGGUAUAUUUCAUGAAGGUAUAUUUAAUAAAAUAAAAAAUAAUCUGAAAAUUUUAAUAAAAAUGAAAAAGAAUCCGGUAAAAUGAAAAAAAUUUGGAAAAAUUAAUAAAAAGUUCUAGAAAAUUUUAAAAAAUAAUAAAAAAUCUGGAAAAAUUUAAAAAUAUGAGAAAAAAUUUAUAUUUCUGGAAAAUUCAGGAACUUCUUAUAUUUCGAAAUUCAUGAAUAUAAUAAGAAAAUACAUUUUAUUUUUUUAAAAAAAAAGUUCAGAUUUUUCUUUCGAAAUUAAAAAGUUUGUUUUUUUUUAUUUUUUAUACAAAAAAUAAAAAUAUUGAAAAAUAUUUCAAUAAUUAAAAACACAUAACAUUAGAUCAUGAAGAAUAGAAUUAAGGGCUUCUUAUUCAAUAGUAUAACAUGACUUAUAUACUGAUGUUAAUCAAAAUCCAUUGUAUCUUGUUAUUCAUCUAGAUUAUAUUUUCGAAUAAAAUAAAAUUCUAGCAAUAAAUUUUCAUAAUUAAAAUAACUAUAUAAUAUUAUAUUGUCGAUUUUUUUUAUAAUUUUAAUUUAAUUCAGAAUGUUUUUAUAUUUUUUGAAAAAUUUGAUAUAUAUAAAUUUUUUCCAUAAUUUUUUAUUUUUUUUAACUUUUUCCAGAUUUUUUUUUAUUUUCGUGAUUUUUUUUCUUAAAUUUUCUAUAUUUUUUCAUAAUUGUUUUUUCAUUAUUUUUUAUUUUUAAUAAUUUUUCCAGAAUUUAUUUUUUAUUUUUAUUUUAAAAAAGAAAUACAAAUGCCACGUGUACCAUUUAAAAAAAAUAAAAAAUAAUAAUAAUGCAGUCAUCACGCCACAUAAUCAGAUAUGCACAGUAAGCAUGCCACAUCAUCUCGCCACGUCAGCAAUUAUGCACAGUCACAUAGAUCAGGGGCUAAAAUCAAAGAAUCUUAUUUUACAUGGUUGGAAACUUUUUUUUUACUGGAAGGUAAACCGGAACUCGCCUAAAUUACAGGGAUAAAUACAUAUUAACCCUUAAUGUUUUUUACUUUAUUUUUUCUUCUCUCUCUCAUUCUAUCUCUUUCGGUUCCCUUUGUUCUUCCUCUUUUUUUUCUAUUCCCUCAUUGGUAAUUCUUAGACAGUCACGAAUCAAGCACAUGAAAUUGAAGAAGAACCUUAAGCUCUCAAUGUUGCUCAAUAGCUUCUUUGUUAAAGGCACAAACGUUUGUUUUGCUUCAAAGAAUUUGGUAAAAUGAAGUAGUUUCUUGAUCUCUUCAUUCAUUCUUCAACAACAAUCACCAUUAUAACACUUAGAUCCCUGGAUUCAAAAUACUACGAGUUUGAUUCAAAAAAUUAUGAAUGGAAAGACCAUCUUAUUUUCCCUUGUUUUUAUACAUACCAGUUUGAUUCAAAAAAUUGAAUCAAGGACCGGUAAUGUUUUGAAAUUAUUGUUGUGGAUUCAACUGAGUUUCAAGGAUAAAAUUAUGUUGAAGGUGGCGAUGGUGAUUGGAAUGUCCAUGAAAGAAGAAUGGUAGAAGAAUAGAAAAAGGGAAACCCGACAUAAGAGAAUGAAAGAGAGAAAUGAAGAAAACUAAGGAAAUAAAAAACAUUAACACUGUGUUUCGUAGAGGAGAAAAAGGAGAGAGAGAAGUUGAAGAGAGAGAAAUAGGAGAGAAGUCCUUCACUUCUGUUGUUUGGUUGUGGUGAGAAACAGAGAAGGGAGAGUUAAAACCUGUGGGACCCACUGCUUUUUGAAUCUUCUCAUGGAUGAGGAGAAACAGGCGAGAGAGUUGCAAUUUUUGCAAUUUUCCAAUUAUGCCCUUCCAUUGCAUGAAGAAAAGACAAAAUCUUAAGUAUAUAAUUGAAUGGUUGUGUUCGUAUGUGAAGUUUAUUGCACUUUUAAUUAAUUUCAUAGUAAAAAAUCCUCAAAGUAAAUUAACUUAGCAACUAAAAUAAUAUGAACCACACUUCACUAUAAAAAAAUUAACUUAUUAACCACACUUCCGUACUAUAACUUAAUGAAAAUUAUUCAUUUUUUAAUUAAUUCAAAUAAAGAUUUUAGUUAACGUUGUUAAAAAAAAUGUAUUGCAGGUAAUAUAAAUUAUUUUUUUCACUUAUUCAAAAAAAAAAAAAAAUUCACAAAAAUGAACAUAAAUUAUGUUUUUCUACUCCAAAUAAUUCAAAUAAAGAUUUUAGUUAACGUUGAUAAAAAAAAGUAUUGCAGGUAAUAUAAAUUUAUUUUUUCACAAAAGGAAACAUAAAUUAUGUUUUUCUACUCCAAACAAUUAUUUAGUUUCUUUUUAUUUUGUUUAAGGGUAUUAUUGUCCUUUAAAAGCAAUUACAUUAUUCUUUCUCUUCUAUCUCUCUUAUCUUUCUCUUCUACCAAACAUUACAUCAAAUUUACUCAAUCUCUCACCUUUUUCUCUCUUCUCAAACUCUCUCUUAGGGUGUGUUUGGUUGUCAGAAGAAAGUGUAAAGAGAGAAAGAGGUGAGAGAGAGUUAGAAAAGAGAGAAGUUGAUGAGAAAUAGAGUAGAUUUGAGAUAUUGUUUGGUAUAAGAGAGAAAGAAGAGAAAUAGAAGAGAAAGAAGUGUGUUCAUUUUUUAAAAGACUUAAAUACCCCUAUACUAAAAAAGUUAAUAUAUGAUAUUGUUAUAUUUGAAUUUAAUUUCAUAUAAACAUUAAUGUACUUUUUUAUAUUAAUUUAAUUAAGAAUAAUUAAACCACAUUUUUACAGAGAAAUUGAGUAAAUUAUUUACUUAAUUAAUUAUUCAAGAUAUUUGAAUUUAAUCGAUUAAAUUAAUUCUUUUUUACGUAGUCAUUUAGAUUAAAUUAAUUCAUUAGUUAACUAAUCAGUAAAUUCCAAUAGUUUAAUCCUGUUUUACAAGAGAGAUCAAAUAAGGAGAAGCAUAUAGUUGCUUAGUUUCCUUCGCAACUUUUGUUCUCGACCUGCUACAACAAUAAAAGAAAAAUACUAGAAAACAAAAUGAUAAAUAAUACUAGUAGCCACUAGGGGUUCAGAACCGAACCGAUCCAAAAAAAAAACCGUCAACCGAUCCAAAAAACCGAAAACCGCAAAAAACCGAUUUUUUUUGGAUGUGUUUGGGCCAUAAAAAUUAAAACCGACCGGUUCGGUUCGGUUUUCGGUUUAUAACUUAAGAACCGGACCGAACCAAACCGAACCACACUUAUUAUACUGUUACUAGACUAUUCUAUUACUUAGGCCGGUUUUGUCAGCUGAAACCCUUCAGAUCGCUCUCAUCAGUUACCAAAGCAAACUAGCCAACUAUCAAAGUACCAAGUACCAAGAGCGUGUUUAAUUCUUUCUUACUCCCAAUGAUGACUUUUGCUAUUAAACUGAAGGAAUCAAAUGGUUCAUUCACUAAUCUACCAACACUCCAAACACUAAUCUCCUCUCUUCUCUCCCUUUGCAAUGCGUCGCUCAGGUAACAUUUUUGUGCAUACUCACUACUACUCUGAUAGUCUUUUCCUUCUCUUCAAUAGCUGAAUCAGAUGGAUUAGAAAGAAUGGGUUUUUUUUGGUCCUAUUUGUGAAAUCCAUGAUCAAAGGGCGCUAUUGAUAAUGUAAUUUGGGUUUCUUAUAAUUUUGAAUGCUACUGGUAGCUUAUAUUUUUUGCAUUAUAAGGAAGGGAUGCGUCCCUGUAGAGUUUGGUAGCUAGCUUUUCUUAAAUAAAAUUAGCUUGUGAAAAUCCAUCCGGAAGAAUAUAUUAGAAAGGAUGGGUUCUAAUUAAAUAAAAUUAGAUUAGAAAUUUAUCUUAGAAAAAUUAGCUUGGGUUUCUUUAAGUAUUUUACUUAAAUAAAAUUUAUCAAUUUGUCAAAAUCCAUGAUCAAUAGUUGAAUGAAAUAGAUUAGAAAGAUCAAGUUCUUUGAUUCACUUGCUUCUUUGUGUAUAAAAAAUGUUGAUUGAUUUUUUUUUUUAUCACUUACUUCUUUAGUAUAAUUUCUUCUUGUAUAAAAAAUGUUUGGAACAACAAUUGUUGAUUUGUUUUUUUCCACGUAAGAAUGUAUGUUUGUUUAAGGAAAAAAAUAAAAUUCAAAACAAUCAAAAUUUAUGUUUGAAAUCUUCUUUGUUAUAGAAUUAUUUGUUAAUUCGUAUGUGUAUACUUUGCAGGCUGAAAACACUCAAACUAAUAAGAGUAGAAUAGCUGAAAAUGUUGAAUCUAUUGCUGAACAUGAACUACUUGCAACACUACCAUGGAUAGCAUUUGUUUAUAUUGUUUCAGGCUACAAAAGUUUCUUUAUAAUUGCAUGCUACAAAAGUUUGCGGCAACUUAUAUGUAUCCGGUAUACUUAUCCUACAAAUUAUAGAAUUAGGAAAGAAUUUUCUACAACAUAAUAUAUUAAAUAUAAAAGAGAUACUAUAAGUCAUAACUUUAUAGGUGUAGAAUAAGGAAAAAGCUUCUCUCAAAAUAAUUUUUAAUAAGAAUAUUACUAUCACUUUUUUACAAUUUGGAUAACCGAAAACCGAUCCAAAUUAAAUCGCGAUAAUUUGGAUCGGAUCGGUUCGGAUUUUUUUUCUACCACCAAUUGAACCGAGCCGAACCGCAUAUGUUUUAUUUUUUGGAUCGGUUCACUUUUUGCCUCAUAACCGAGCCGAACCGCACCGCAAACACCCCCAGUAGCCACUGUAUAUAUCACUGAAACAAGGGAGAAAUGUGGAAAAUAGAAAAAAGUUUGUGUCCAUUUCUCCGCACAUAUGGAGAGAAGUGAAAUAGGCAUGGGUCCCACAAUAUUUUGUCUCUCUUCUCAACCAAACACAAGAGAUUGCCCAUCUCUCUCCAACUUCUCUCUCCCUUCUUUCUCUCUUUUGUAUUUCUCUCCUACCAAACACAUCGUUACUUAUUUCUCUAGAUCUUCACAAUUUCUCUUCGUAACCAAACACACCCUAAUGAUUUCAGUCAAACAAAAUAAAAUCAUUUAUGACUAAACUAAAAUUACACGUAUGUCGCUUUGUCAAAAAGCAAAAAUAUGGAUAUUAAUGUCUAAAAUAAAAGGUACACCUUGUUAAAAUAGACCUUCAUAAAAAAAUAUGAGUCUAUUAUAGCAAACCUCAUUUAUAUAUAUUAUAGUUACUCUCAUUUUUAUUUAGAAGAUAUAAAAAUUAUAUUCAAAUAAUUCACUAAUAACAACAACCGUCGACCCUAUCAAUUGUAUCUUCGAACGACAUUUUGCAGUAACUAGUCUGCACAAAAUAAUCUCAUAACAAUAAUGUGGCAUGCGGAAAUAAAGUAUAGUUUUUUAUUUGACAAAAGAAAUAAAAUAUUGUUGAGAAAUAACAAUUUAUCAGUUUUUAUAAUGAAUGAAAAUGUGUAAAAGUUUUUAUUUUUAAAAGAAAAGGAUUUUUGUUUAGAAAAAAAAAAGGCUUAAUUGAUCCUCUCGUCUCUUAACUUAAUUCUUUUUUUUGAAUUGGUCCUGUAACUCUUAAAAGUCUCAAAUUGGUCCUUUAUAUGUGUUUCCGUCGGUCAAUUUAAUCCUAUUUCGUCAAUUUUAAUCUUCUAAAAAGGGAGACCGUUGGAUAAAGGAGGUUUGUGAGAUUUAACCAUGUAUCACCAACACCUAAUUUAUUUCACUUUUCAUCAUCUUCUUCCCUCAUCUUCAUCUUCAUACAAGCUUCAUCAAUCUUCAUAAAAAAAAACCUAUUUUUUUCUUUAAAAAAUUAAACCAUUUAAUUUCAACAAAUACUACAUAAUCAAACCCUUAAAUCUAGAAUUAACAUCACCACCAUAUUAAUAUAAACCUAGAAGAUCAACAACAAAUAACCCAGAAAACAAAACAAAACUCAUCAUUUUAACUCCUCACCUCAUCAUUAACAAAAUAAAAUCCAUUUCUUAAAACCCAUUUGAAAUUUGAAACCCGUCAUCACUUCAAAACUCAUCAGCAACAGUAAAUAUCUCUAUAACGACAGAUUCAAUGAAAGGAAAAGAGAAUCUUAAAACCCAAUGCUUGAUUAAAUAAAUGUCCCAACCCAUUUCUCACAAACCCAUUAAGCAUCAAAAUUCUCAUACUUGCAAUUGAUUGCUUUCCAAAUAUGAUUCCAACGGAGAUUUGAUUUUGUGUAUGUGGUUGUGAUUCUGAAAAGGACCGUGAGAUGGAGAUUUGAUUUUGGUGCAGGUUCAAGAACACAUGCAUGUUCUAGCGUUUCUGUUGAAAUGGUGUUGGUGUUGAGAUUCUGGUGAUGGUGUUAUUGUGGUAAUUCUGAUUUAGGAGAAGAGAAGAGAAGAAUAGGAGGAGGAAGGAAGAAUAUUAAUAUUUAUGGGUAAUUUUGAUUUUGUGGGUAGUUCAGAUUUGCUGGGUUUAUUUUUGGUUUAAUUGCUCAAUAUUUAUGAAGUUAAUGAAGAGGAAGAUGAAGAAAAAGUAUGAAAACCUUUAUCUUGAUAAGAUCCACAGUUUACUCAACCCUUUGCGGAGAACAAGUAUGAAAAUUUGACAAAUUCUAUUAUUAGAAAAUUUGAUUAAAUUGAAUGUUAUACUAACCCUUGAAUUAUUCAAACAAAUCAGCACCUAAUAACAAUAUGAUACAUUGAGCUGGAAAUUAAUGGAAUUCAAUGCGGCUAUAACAUAUGGGGUGCACCAUGUGCGAAGGUGAUUAUGAUGAUAAUGUUGGAUUUGGGUAUGAGAACAGUGUGAUCUUGGGAAGCAAUGAUAAUGCUAGAAUCGGGUAUGAUAUUUGAAGUUGGUAGGAUGGAUUUUUGAAAGAAAAAAAGAAAUGUAUUUUUUUACGAAGAUGAUGAAGAUUGUUGAAUGUUGGAUGAAGAUGAAGAUGAAGAUGAGGGAAGAAGAGGAAGGAAAGUGAAAUAAAUUAGGUGUUGGUGAUACAUGGUUAGAUCUUACAGACCUCCUUUAUUCAACGGUCUCCUUUUUUAGGAGAUUAAAAUUGACAAAAUAGGACUAAAUUGAUCGACAAAAAUACAUAUAAAGGAUCAACUUGAGACUUUUAAGAGUUAUGAGACCAAUUUAAAAAAAAAAUUAAUUUAAGGGCUGAAGGAUCAAUUAAGGCAAAAAAAAAAAAAACAGUUGUCAAAAACACAAGUACGUUACUAUUAUAAAUUUCUUUCUAUACACAAGAAUGGUGUUCUUUCUGUUAAGCAGUGAAUUUCUGCAUAUUAUAUUUUAUCGAAAAAUUGGUAAAAUAGAUAAACUUGUUCAAGAUGUUCAAUACAUUGAAUUAAAGUGGAUGCAUAAGACAAAUAUCAGUAAAUGACACACACCGGAACUAAUUACUCCAAAGAUCAUUAUUCUGUCGGCCACGUUUUAAAGGUUAAAGUGGAUCAAUCAUACUAUUCCUAACAAUUAUACAAUAAUGGACUAGAUUCAUAAACAUUGAUGUACUUUUCAUUUGUGUUCAACUCGGAAAACAAAGAGACAAAUAAUAUACCAAUAAAAGGAGUGAUAUUUGUACAAUUCUUGUGACAAUUACAUUUCUCUUCUUUUUAUUGAACAAAAAUAAAGGAGAGAAAAAAAGAAAAGAGAGAAUAAAAACACAUGUAAAUAUGAGAAAAAAUGAUUAUUUUAAAAGUUGUUUAAAUGGAGAUGUACACUUUCUCUAUCAAUUUGAUCCCGAUAACAAAUUUGUGAUUGAAAAUGUGUGUCCUAGAAACACCCAAUCAAUAAUGGAACCUUGCAAGCAAGUUGCAUAAACUUGUGGUUGAAAAUGUGCGUCCCACGUGAACGUUUGCUCACAAUUAUUGACCACCCUACUUUGCUGACUUUCUACUUUCAUUGCAUUUAUUCUCAAAGGUCUCCUUCAUAAUAGUUCAGCAUUCAUUAUAUCUAAACAAAUUUCUAAUCUUCUUAUCUUUUCAACUCUUUCUUUCUUUUCACAAAAAAAAAUGGCUGACGCUUUGCUUGGAGUUGUGUUUGAAAAUUUGACGUCUCUCCUUCAAAAUGAAUUUUCAACCAUUUCUGGAAUCAAGUCAAAGGUUCAAAAGCUAUCAAACAACUUAGUUCACAUCAAGGCUGUUCUUGAAGAUGCUGAGAAGAAACAAUUCAAAGAACUCUCUAUUAAGCUAUGGUUACAAGACCUCAAAGAUGCUGUUUAUGUGCUCGAUGAUAUCCUUGAUGAGUAUUCAAUCAAGUCUGGUCAACUUAGAGGAUCAUCCUCUCUCAAACCAAAGAACAUCAUGUUUCGCAGUGAGAUCGGCAACAGGUUAAAAGAGAUUACAAGGAGGUUAGAUGAUAUUGCUGAAAGUAAGAACAAGUUUUCUCUACAGAUGGGUGGAACUCUUAGGGAAAUCCCAGAUCAAGUAGCUGAAGGGCGCCAAACCGGCUCAAUUAUUGCUGAAUCAAAAGUGUUUGGACGAGAAGUUGAUCAAGAAAAGAUUGUCGAGUUUCUUCUCACCCAUGCGAAGGACUCUGACUUCAUUUCUGUCUAUCCCAUUUUUGGUUUAGGUGGUAUUGGAAAAACAACUCUUGUUCAAUUGAUCUUCAAUGAUGUUAGGGUGAGUGGCCAUUUUGAUAAAAAAGUUUGGGUUUGUGUUUCUGAGACUUUCUCGGUCAAGAGGAUUUUGUGUUCUAUUUUCGAAUCUAUCACAUUAGAGAAGUGUCCUGACUUUGAGUAUGCUGUAAUGGAAGGAAAGGUGCAAGGAUUGUUGCAAGGGAAAAGAUAUUUGCUGGUUUUGGAUGAUGUGUGGAAUCAAAAUGAACAAUUGGAAUCUGGGUUAACACAAGAUAGAUGGAAUCGUUUGAAAUCUGUUUUGUCGUGUGGAUCUAAAGGUAGUUCCAUUUUAGUGUCCACUCGUGAUGAGGAUGUUGCAUCAAUCAUGGGGACAUGGGAAAGUCACCGUUUGUCUAGUCUCUCUGAUAGUGAUUGUUGGUUGUUGUUCAAACAACAUGCAUUUAAACGUAACAAAGAAGAGGAUACAAAGCUUGUGGAAAUUGGAAAGGAGAUAGUAAAGAAAUGUAAUGGAUUGCCUCUUGCAGCAAAAGCAUUGGGGGGUUUGAUGAGCUCAAGGAAUGAAGAGAAGGAAUGGCUUGAUAUUAAAGACAGUGAGCUUUGGGCUUUACCACAAAAAAAUUCUAUUUUGCCUAAUGGAUUUAUUUCAUCUAUGGGUAAUUUGGACGUUGAUGAUGUUGGAAACACGGUUUGGAAGGAAUUGUACCAAAAAUCAUUCUUUCAAGAUAGAAAGAUGGAUGAAUAUUCUGGAGACAUUUCUUUUAAGAUGCAUGAUCUUGUCCAUGAUCUCGCUCAAUUAGUAAUGGGGCCAGAAUGUAUGUAUUUGGAGAAAAAAAACAUGACCAGUUUGUCAAAAAGCACACACCACAUUGGUUUUGACCUCAAAGACUUGUUAUCCUUUGAUAAGAAUGCUUUCAAAAAAGUUGAAUCCUUGAGAACAUUGUUUCAGUUGAGUUAUUAUUCCAAAAAAAAACAUGAUUUCUUCCCAACAUACCUUUCUCUUCGGGUUUUAUGCACAUCCUUUAUCCGGAUGCCAUCACUAGGGAGUUUAAUUCAUUUAAGGUAUUUGGAACUUCGUUCUCUUGACAUAAAUAUGUUGCCUGACUCAAUUUACAACCUAAAAAAGCUGGAAAUCUUGAAAAUAAAACACUGUGAUAAACUUAGCUGGCUUCCAAAACGCUUGGCUUGUUUACAAAAUCUUAGACAUAUAGUCAUUGAAUAUUGUGAAUCUUUGUCUCGUAUGUUUCCUAACAUUAGAAAAUUAACUUGUUUAAGAACAUUAAGUGUGUACAUUGUUAGUUUAGAGAAAGGGAAUAGCUUGACAGAGUUACGUGAUCUAAACCUCAGUGGAAAACUGAGUAUCAAAGGAUUAAACAAUGUUGCUAGUUUAUCUGAAGCUGAAGCGGCUAAAUUGAUGGAUAAAAAAGACCUUCAUGAAUUAUGCUUGUCAUGGGGAUACAAGGAGGAAUCUACGGUUAGUGCUGAGCAAGUACUUGAAGUGCUUAAACCUCACUCAAAUCUCAAAUGCUUGACAAUAAAUUACUAUGAAAGAUUAUCGUUACCAAGUUGGAUAAUUAUUCUUAGUAAUUUAAUUUCUCUUGAACUUGAGGAAUGCAACAAAAUUGUGCGGCUUCCGUUACGUGGUAAACUACCAUCUCUAAAAAGACUGAGAUUAUCUCGUAUGAAUAAUCUGAAAUACUUGGAUGAUGAUGAAUCUGAGGAUGGUAUGAAGGUGAGGGUUUUCCCAUCUCUGGAGAAACUCUUAUUAGAUUCUCUACCAAACAUAGAGGGGUUAUUGAAAGUGGAAAGAGGGGAGAUGUUUCCUUGUCUUUCUAGGUUGGAUAUCUGGAAUUGCCCUAAACUGCUUGGACUGCCAUGUCUUCCAUCUCUUAAAGAACUCGAGAUAUGGGGAUGUAACAAUGAGUUACUGAGGUCAAUCUCUACCUUCCGUGGUCUUACUCAGCUUUCCCUAUAUAACGGUUUCGGAAUAACAUCCUUCCCAGAGGGGAUGUUCAAAAACCUUACUUCUCUUCAAUCUCUGUCUGUAAAUGGUUUCCCAAAACUGAAGGAGUUACCAAAUGAACCCUUUAACCCAGCUUUGACGCAUCUGUGUAUCACUUAUUGUAAUGAGUUGGAGUCCUUACCAGAGCAAAAUUGGGAAGGUCUUCAAUCCCUUCGAACUCUAAAGAUUCGUAAUUGUGAAGGAUUGCGAUGCUUGCCGGAGGGUAUUCGACACCUCACAUCUCUUGAAUAUUUAUAAAUGUCCAACAUUUGUGAGAAGGGUGCAAAGAGGGAAUGGGGGAGGAUUGGGACAAGAUAGCUCAUAUUCCAAAAAUACAGUUUAAGUUUGAAUGGGAGGAUUAAGAAGCAGAGACGUUUACCCUUUAUCUGCCUUAAUCACCAUCGCAAAAAUAUAUUUUACUGGUAGGAUCUCAAUUUCCCCUUCUUAUGUUUGGAUUUCAACUGCUCAAAAAUCUUUAUUUUUAUUUUUAUUUUUGAUAAAAAAAUCUUUAUUUUUAUUCUCGUAGUUAACUUCUUUGGAACCCAUUCCACAGAAACAGUUCCUGAGUACGUACAUGAAAGAUAUUUUACUGCUCAACCUACGGACAAUUGUUCUAAUUCUGGUAAUUUUCUUCAUCAUACUUUUAUUUUUUUAAUUUUAUUUUUUGAUUUUUUUUUUAUAAUUUUGCUGAUUUUGUGGAGAUUGAAUUGAAUGGUUAGGAUUUCCUUUGAUACACAAGGGUGGGGUCGACAAAUAAAGGGAGGGAUUAACAGGAACAAACGUACCUAAUGAUGAAGAUGACAUGGUUCGGGUCGGAGCUCAGUGCACAGUAGAAAGUCUGAUCAUCAAGGUUUUCUCCAUUUUUAUUCUUAAGUUUUUGUUGGUCUUUUUUAUUUAUUUGUUUUAGACUGUUUAUUUGAAUGAUAUAUUGUUUGGCUUCCUCUAUGAUAGCUUGUAAAAUAGCAGCAAUGGUUCCUGAUAGAGUUCUCUCCUUGGCUUUGCUAAAUGCAACAGGUGGAGAUUUUCAAUGUUUGCCAGAGGUAUAUGUCCCUUUUAUAAUUCUUUGAACAAUUUGAUUUAUUUUUACGGCACUGUGAUUAGAGCAUUGACGACGCUAUUUUUGUAAGACGUUAACUACAUCAAUGAUUGCUAGCCACACUUUUUAAUUACAAACUUAGUUCAGGACGACUGGACUUGCAUACAUAAUAAGUAUAAUUUGUUGGUACUGAUUUUAGGUGAUCCUUUAGGACAAAUUUAGUUGAGAAUUUAUCUUUCUAUGGCUUUGAGUCAGAAUUUUGUUAAGAAUUUCGUAGUACUAAAAUCGUCUUGGUACGUUAUUUGCAGAUUUUUAAAGAAUAUUGACGGUUGUCGAUGCAUGCACUAAACUCUGACCAACCUGUGAAGUAUUUCUCAAGACAGUUAUCUGGAAGAAGAUGUAUGCUAGUUUUAUCUCUUCCCUGCAUCUUCUUAUCCCCAAAUUACUUUCUAAUUUAAAUUUCUAUAUGCAGGAAUCACUUGCUUUCUCUGUUUUUGUAUGGAAUAUGUCUACGAGUAAAAUUAUUGUGAGAAUUGGGCCAUAUCUUUAGAAUUGACGCUGAGCUUGUUAAUGCAACAAAUCAAAAUUCUUGGUUCAAGCUAUUAGCCAGGUGUGUAUACAGCUCUUCAUUAGGAAGGUGUGUAUUUAGCUAUUUCAUGAUUCUAGUCGAGUCACUCAUGUUAUUUCAUUAUGUUUGUGUCAGAUAUGUUGUGGAAUGCUGCUGAAUCGCAGCCAUGUUUGUGUCGGACAAUGUUAUUGAUCAAGUUGUGUUGUGUCCACUGCUUUUGCUGAAAGCAAGAGGAUACUUCAGCUGAACCACAGAAACUAUAAGAGGUGAUGAUUUUGGAUGAUAUCAAUGAGAAAUCAACCGUUUAAUUUGAUAACAAAGUGAAUUUUACAUCUUUUAACUCUUUAUAUUUUAGUAUAUUAGCAUUAGUCAUAUCACUUACAGAGAGCAUCUCCUGUGAAACUGAACAGGUGACACUUAUUUCGCUUCGAACUAUGGAUAUUGUUGAAUGUGAGGAAUUCAGAUCCCUGCCAUAAGGUAUUUGGCACCUCACUUCACUUGAGUUUUUGAAUAUUCGUGGUUACCCAAAAUUUGUUUAGUGGAAUGAAGACAUUUUUUAAGAGACUUUAUUCAUGUGAACCUUGUGAUUUUGUCUCAGACGAAAUCGAUUAAAAUUGUCAACCUUAUGGGUCAGAUUAUCGUUAUCGCAUCUCCACUUCCGUUGAUGCUGGUAUUGAUAUGGUAUAGAUCUUCAUUCCUAUAGUAUUAAUUUUAACAUAUAUUACUUGAUUUCAAUUUAAAUACAUGUAUCCAUGAAAAUAUGCAGGUGAUGGUCCUUCAUUUAUGAAAUAGCCCUUUCAUGUAUAAUAUAUUUAUGAAAGAGUCGGAGUUUCAUGUUCGAUCAGGGGAAACACCAAUAGCCGGAAUUGGCGACGUUGUUAAGAAAUAUUAGGAAUGAAGUUUGCUGCUGAAGAUUUCAAUUUCCUUUAACUGAUAGCUCUUUGCUGGUUAUGGUUAAUUUCAAGGUAAGGCAUAGUUCAUAUCUUAGUGAAUACUUUAACAUGAAUUUUCUGCCUCGUCAAACUAAUUUAUUUUAACAUACAUAUUAAAACCUUAGUCGGCUUUCUUUUUAUGGCAUGCUUCAACAAAGUAAUACUCUUUCCACCUCCUUGUGGUUGGAGUUGGUUUUCAGGACUUUAUAAUGCUAAUUACCUUCACAUAUCAUUUUUUCACCAAACAUAUUUAAAAUUCCAUCCUUAUAGCAAAAGAAAAACAAUAGUAUAUUUUAGAUGUAUGGUAAGAUUUGAUAAAGGAAUUGAAUGUAUUUUUUUCAUACAUACAGGCAAGGGACUGAACGUAUUUUGGCCUGAAAAAUCAAUCUCCAAAGAAGGCAGUGAACAAUGGUGAUCCAACACAUGAGCCAAACUCAAUUCCAACUAAUAACAGAUGUUGAAAAGAGUUAUAUAUAGCUUCUCCUAAGCCUCAGGAGGUUGUCCUUGAUUUUACAAUAUCUACUAAAUGGAAGGGGGUAGAGAAGUAUAUACCAUUGAUGUAACCAUCCACUAAGCAAUACACACAACCACAAAGGAUUUGAGGAGUUAAUGAAUAGUCCGGUGCAACAGUCGUGCGAAAAAAAGCAACAGAUGAAGUCUCAACAAACUUGAGUUCAUUAUCAUCAGCACACAUGAAUGAUCCUUAAGAAGGGACUUCAGCUUGAGGAUAUAUAAUAUUGAUUAACUUCGCAAAUUAGCUUCCACUGAAUAUAUUUAAGAACUCAUCCUUAUUUUAUUUCAAAUUCUUGUUUCUUAUCUGUUCAGUAAGUGAACUUGUUAUAAAUAUCCCUGUGUCUGGGAAGUUUGUUUAUAAUAAUUCGUGAUAAGAACUAGGAUUCGACAUAAAACAAAGUCAAUAGAAUUCUCGAUCUCUCAAACUCUGAAAUGCUUAUUAUUUUAAUGAUUCUAGCUAGAGCAAAGUGGUUGAUUUACUGCUUGCAGACGUUGCACAAAUGAAGGGUGGUUGUGCCUGAGUCGAACACAUCUGAUGUGAAAAUUGGAAAUAUUAGUGAAUAUACACUAUCAGCGUAAAAUUGUUUUGCAUUAACGUUCAGAUAGAGCUCAUUGUUUCCAUGUUUUGCCAAGCUAUGUUUUCAUCUCUACAAUGCAAUUGUAUAAUUCUUCUUUUCCGCCAUGCCUCCCUCGGCCUCAUCAUCGAACUUAGUUGAUUCUCCAAAUUAUUAAAAUCAAACCACCAGAGAAUGCCAAUAUAUUUAGCAAGGUUCCCUAAUUAUCCUGGUUAUGCACAAUUUAUCUGGCGCCAAUAUUUGUUUGUGCACUCUCCUUCUCUUUUUCUUUUUUAAACUGUGUGAUUACUUGUAAUAUUAGAUAGCUUGCGCAGCAAGUUACUCUGCCAUUCCAUAGAUCUUUACUGUGUACUAGCAUCAUAUGAUUCUAAUCCUAGAUAAUAGUUUGUUAGAGUUAGUUAGGAUCAUAUAGAGCUUUAUAUUAGCUUUGUUGUAACCAAUUUCAGAUCAAUUCAAUGAAAUCUAGAAUUUUCUCUAAUUUGUUAGAGUUACCUUUUCUCUUUUUCCUAAAAAAAAAUAAAAAUAUACAGCUUUAUAUAGCUUUCUUGUAACCAAUUUCAGAUCAAUUCAAUGAAUCUAGAAUUUUCUCUAAUUUUCUCUCUUUCUUCUUCAUUGAACUUCUGCAUUUUCUCUGAUUCCACCAUGGAUAUGGUGAAGUUUAAGAGAAUUAAUAGAAUAAAACCUAAAUAGGAUUAGAAGAAAACCUUUGUGUAAUCUAAAGACAAUAUACACAAAUAAUAAUAUUGUAGUUGUUGUGAAUACGGACUCAAAACUCACACCAAUACAAACUAUGAUGUGUGGAGCAAAGGAAAGUAGUAACCAAUAUCAAAGUGAACACAAGCAAUAAUCAACAAUAACAACACCUAGAUCUAAUCUAGGAAUCAAAGUGAAAAGCACAAAUUCACAAGCAAAAGAUAAAAGGAGAGAAGAGAGGAACAAACACACCAAAGAUUGUUGACCAGUUCGGUCCAACUUGACCUAAUCUGGGGGAGAGAUUGAUCUCUCCAAUCCACUAUCAAUGAGUAUUCUUACAAAGAAAUACAAAAGGGUUACAAGAAAUUAGCUUCAACAAGUUCACAAAGAACCCUAAUUUCUACCCUUUUUCCCAAUCUCACAAAUGAACAAGACACUCAAUGAUUUUCACUCACCAAGGUGUUUACAAUGUUUCGCAACCCAAGAGAACUCUAAUCAAAGACCCUCAACCCUAAAAUUACCUCCUCUGAUUUCCCAAGUUUCUCUCUCUUCAAGCUCUCCUUCAAAAUCUGCAAAGAACACUUAUAUAGCAGUUUUCAGCGUCAAAAUCGUGUCACGUUUUCCCAAAAUUGUGUCACGAUUGAUGCGUACGACCAACCUUAUCCUGAAAACUUGCCUAGCAAGUCGAAAAUCGUGUCACGUUUUCCCAAAAUUGUGUCACGAUUGGACACUCUGAAAACAUCUCUCGACAUUACCAAAAUCGUGACACGCUUGUCAAAUUGUGUCACGAUUUCUCUGUUUUCUAACUUUGCAAUUUGAAGACAUACACACCAGGAGUUGUGAACCUAAAGGAUACAAAUAGAAAAGGAAAAAAAAAAGAGCUGAAAUGGUUGAUAACAACACUUUGAAUAAUUUUGGCAAUGUUAAUGACAUGUCUUAGGGUAGUGGAACAACUAACUUGGAACAUAGUAUUGAUGCUAACACUAUUCAUGAUCACUAACUUAGUCAAUUAAAACAUCAACCAGAUUCUCACCAUGCUCCCUAGCAAUGUUGAAAUCUUUAAUGCCGUCCAUUCUCUUAACAAGGAUAAUACUCCUGGCCCUAAUGGAUUUGGAGCAUUUUCCUUUCAAACUUAUUGGAAAUUAUUAAACUGGAGGUUAUAAAUGUUGUUAUGCAAUUCCUCUCAAAUGGACGGCUUCUUCCUAAUUUUAAUCCAAAAACUAUUGUUUUGACCCCAAAGGUCCCUAAUGCUGAUAAUGUGAAUCAAUUUAGGUCUAGAGCGUUAGCCAACUUCAAGUUCAAAUUAAUUACAAAAAUCAAUGCUAGAAGAUUAACUUAGAUCAUGCCAUUAUAAAAAAUAUGUUUGAAUUACAAAGCUAUAGAUUUGUCAAUGUUUGAAAGGUCUUGGCCUAAUCUCCCUUUCUGUUUGUUUUCUUUCCUUUCUUUGAAAACAACGUAACUAUGUGAUACACUUAGAGCAUCACCAUUUACAAAAAAAAAAAAAAACAAUUGGCAUUUGCCAAAUAUUUUGAUACUUUAGACUGGCACUUUUCUAAUAAGGGUUUUCAAAGCUUUUGAUUUAAACUGUACUUUUUGCAAUUGGAUAAAUUGUAGUCUCAAAUCAACAAUGCUUUUUAUGUUGUGAAUGGCAAACAAGAAGUCUACUUUUCUUUUAAGAUACGAGAUAGACAGAGAGACCCCAUCUCCCAUUUACUUUUAUGUCGUAAUAAAGAAGUCAAUAGUGUAACAUCUCAUACUGUUUUUAGGAUUGACGAUUGACCCCACAAAUCAAUAUGAGUCUUUUUAGUAUAUUUUGUCCUUACUCGCACGCUUUUCGAGAAACUUUUCAGAAGGUCACCCAUCCCAAAAUUGCUCCAAGUUGAGCACGCUUAACUGUGGAGUUCUUAUGGUUUGACCUACCGAAAAGAAGAUGCAUCUUGUUUUUAUAGAUAGUACCAAACAAUUCAUAUAAGCCUCCCUUCAACAAUGAUGUUCCAUACUUGCACAACCUCAGGAUCCCCCUCAUUCCGAUGUGAUUUGGUUUUGCCUAUAAGCAUGCCAGGAGUCGGACCACUACCUGCCCUUGUCAGUCUCGGACGUUACAUGACCACCAAGCAGAGGCAUUACAUUCUCAACUGCUUCCGCUUGGUUCGUCCCCGAACCACAUCGUACUGGAGAGGUCUACUUUGAUACCACGUGUAACAUCUCAAACUGCUUUCAAGAUUGCCGAUUGACCCCACAAACCAACACGAGUCUUUUCAGCGUGUUUUGUCCUCGCUUGCACGCUUUUCGGAAAACUUUCAAGAAAGUCAUCCAUCUCAAAAUUGUUCCAAGUCAAGCACACUUAACCGUAGAGUUCUUAUUGUUUAGGCUAAAACAAUUUAUAUCUUGUUUUUAUAGGUAGUAUAAAACAAUUUAUAUAAAAACGACACACAUAAAAAAUAUUAAUUUUACUUCUUAUUGUAGUACAAUGGUAUUAUUUUAUAGUUAUAUUCUAGUUUUUCUUAUCUUCUAAAAUCCAACAAGACAUGGAGGCUAUUAAAACUAAUUAAAAUGUAAGAGUAAUAUAAAUUUUGAAGUGUUUCUCAUAUCUUCUAAAACCCAACAAGACAUCUAAAUUAUUUAUUAUGAUAUCAAAAUAAAAAUAAAGACUAUGAAGUAAGGUAAAAUUUAUUUAUCAACCUAACUAUUAAAGUUAUUCUUAUAAGGCUGAUAUGCCUAAAUUGUAUAACAUGAUGAUACCUCCAAAAUUAAUGGAGAAGAGGACAAUCAAAAUAAUAAUCUUUAUUAACUUAAAGUAAGUUUUUUUGGUACAAUAAAGCAAGCUUAUUACAGUAGAACACUAUAACUGCAAGUUUCAUCAAAUUAAAAAAAUAAAGGAAAAUGUUAACUUGUGCUCUUAAGACAUAAACUAAUGAAACAAAUAUAGAAAUAGUUUAUUGAAAUAUGUGCAUUACAUUUAAUUUUUAGUUUUUUAAUGAAUUGAAUGCACAAAAUUUUAUAAAAUAUUUCUUCUUUUAAAUUUCUUAACAUGAAAUCUAAGGACAUAACUUAACACUACCCAAAAAUAAAAUACUAAAAUUAUUGAAUGUCAUCCAUGGUCCGAAACUAAUAUAAUCAUAAGUGCGCUGCUACCAAUUCACAUUUGUGAUUAAUACAUCUACUUACUAAGUCCUUAGUAUUUUACCAUUUUGCCCCUUUGAGGGGCAUUUUAGUAAUUUUAUAUUGAUGGGGUGUGGUUAAUGCACCCUCAUCAUUUUAGGUGCAUUUCUCAUUUUGCUCUUCACCAUUUUUUUAAUUAUUUUAUAAUUUUUAUAUUUUUAAUAACUUUUACAAUUUUUAUUUUUUUAACUAUUAUUCAAUUUGUUCAUCCAAAUUCAGUUGCUUCUGAAUUGUCGUUGUGGGAGAGUAAGGUAUCGCUUGAUCCGGCAUUUUUCCAACUUCUCUACAUUUUUAAGGAGAAGUUAGAUCAAACACACUAUCAAUUAUUUUAAUUUCAAUAUUGUUUAAUCAUCACAACCUCACAAAUAAUUUUAUUCACACUGUCAUUUAAUGAUACCAAAUACUAUUAUUUCCUUUCUUCAACCUCGCAAAUAUUUACACACACAUUAAUGUUUAGAGUAAUAUUUUAUGUCCGUCUGUCUGUGUUUUUGUUAAGCUGAUGCAUAUAAUUUUUUUUAGUGUUGCUUGGUUGAGUGCUACUUCACCGAUUUGUUUUAACUAUUUUCCAAUUUUUAUAUUUUUAAAUACUUUUAACUAUUUUCCAAUUUUUCCUCCCAAAUUAAGUUGUUUCUACAUUGCCAUUGCGGGAGAUUAAGAUACCGUUUGACCCGGUUUUUUUUUUACUUCUCAACAUUUUUAAAAAGAAGUUAGGUCAAACACAAUAUCAAUUAAGUACUUACUAGAAAGGAAACAUUUUUUAAUGCAUAAAAUUGAAUGGAAUGAGCUUUGGCCAAAAGUUGUUAAAUGCUACUUUAAAAAACUACUUCUCGACAAUAUAUUUCACAAACACCCCUUUUCAACUCACGCUGGAAACCUUUUCUUUUAUUUUUUAAUAUUAUAUUUCAAUAUAUUUUCUUUUCAUUUAACUUUUUUUUUUUUUGAACAAUUCCAUUUAAUUUUAUUAUCUUUUUUUCAAAAGAUUUUUAUUAUCUUUUUAUCACUUAUAUAUUUAAUUUCAAUAUUGUUUAAUCAUCACAACCUCACAAAUAUUUUUAUUCACGCUGUCAUUUAAUGAUACCAAAUAUUUUUAUUUCCUUUCUUCAACCUCGCGAAUAUACACAUACACACAUUAACGUUUAAAGUAAUAUUAUAUGUCCGUCUGUCUGUUUUUUGUUACGCUAAUGCAUAUAAUUUUUUUUAGUAUUGCUUGGUUGAGUGCUACCUCACCGAUUUUUAUUAACUAUUUUCCAAUUUUCAUAUUUUUAAAAACUUCUGAUUAUUUUCCAAUUUUUUUAUUUUUAACUAUUUUCUAAUUUUUUUUCUCACAAAUUCAGUUGCUUCUACACUGCCGUUGUGGGAGAUUAAGAUAUCGUUUGACCCGUUUUUUUUUUCUCUUCAACUUCUCUACAUUUUUAAGAAGAAGUUAGGCCAAGUACAAUAUCAAUUAAGUACUUACUAAAAAAAUGUACUUUUUUUAAUGCAUAAAAUUGAAUGGAAUGAGCUUUGGCCAAAAGUUGUUGAAUGCUACUUCAAAAAACUAUUUGUCGACAAUUUAUUUCACAAUCAUCUCUCUUCAAUUCACGUUGGGAACCUUUUCUUUUAUUUUCAAAUAUUAUAUUUCAAUAUGUUUUUUUCUUCCAUUUAAUUUUUUUUUAGCCGUUCCAUUUAAUUUUUUAAAGGAGGUUCCAUUUAAUUUUAUUACCUUUUUUUCAAAGAAAUUUUAUUAUCUUUUUAUCACUUAUAUAUUUAAUUUAAAUAUCGUUUAAUUAUAACAACCUCACAAAUAUUUUUAUUUACGCUAUCAUUUAAUGAUACAGAAUAUUUUUAUUUUCUUUCUUCAACCUCGCAAAUAUACAGACACACACAUUAGCGUUUAGAGUAAUACUUUAUGUGUGUCUGUUUUUUUGUUACGCUAAUGCGUAUAAUUUUUAUAAAAUUUUGAUUUUAAUUAAAAGUAAAAUUGUAGAUGUCUUUUCUUCAAAAAAGGUAUAGAUGCCUAAAAAAAUUAUGCUUAUGUUAUAUAUAUAUAUAUAUAUGGGUUUGCUAGAACACACCCACUAAUUUUUAUGUGGGAGUGUUUUAGCAAGUUAUAACUAAAAAGUUAAUAAAUACACCUUAAGGUGUAUGUUGCUAUAACACACCUUCUAGAAAAAGCAAGUGGGUGUGUUCUAGCAAAUCCUAUAGGCAUUUGCUAGAAUACACCCACUUAUUUUUUAGAAGGAGUAUUUUAGCAAGUGAAUAACUAAAAAGUGGUUAAAUACACCUUAAGGUGUAGCUUUGCUAAAACACUCCCACAUAAAAACUAGUUGGUGUGUUCUAGCAAAUGCCCAAAUAUAUGUAACAAUUGGUCAGGUUCGAGGUUGCUCAUCAACCUACAUCAUCCGGUUGUUGAGAAGUUUAAGACUUAGUAAGUUUGCAUUAUGAUUUCACAAUACAGUGUUAGAGUAACUUAUUAUUUCACAAUCCGAUUUGAUUGAUUUUUGACCAUGUUUCUUGAAUUGUUGUCAUGACUUUAACACUUCUCAAGCUCAUAGUCAAACUUCAGUUAAAACUUAAGUCAGAGUUCGACUUCUUCUCAACGUACUUCAUACAACGAUUUUUCCAAACUGUCACAUGUUAGGCCAAUUGCUGAAUUUAUAAACUUAGUCAAUGUCUGCUUUUUUUAUGCACAAACAUGCUUUAAGUUUUUUUACGCACAAAUUAAAAAUACAUAUUGCAUUAUUCUUUAUUUCAUGUGCAUAAUUUGUGUUAGGAAACAUAUUGCAUCACUAUUUAGAAAACAACUAAAUUCAAUCAUAACCAGUUUGGAUUGUAUUAUGAGAGCUGCACCAAAUGUUCGAAGACAUCAAUGUCAGAUGGUGCUGGCUAUAUAUGCACAUGUGGAAGUGAUGCUUAAUUUCCAUUUGUUUCAACAAUGUUAAUUGGUCAACGGGGUGCAUAUAAUGUACAUGCAUGCAUUUAUCUAGAAUUUAUAGGAAGAUAAUAGGAUGAUAAAGUAGAAGUCAAGUUACAUUUUCUUUAGCUUAAAAUCAGUUAUGCUACCUUUAUUUUAUAAAUUAUAUGUAACUAUAUUCGCAUACAUCUUAUCCAUAUGCAUUAGACUAAUAUUGCAGUUAUUUUCCUGUUUAGCAUUUCCCAAACGAGGUGUCAAGAACAAUUCUGAAAGGAAAGCGCAAAACAAUCACUCUUAUUGAUGACCAGACACAGAGACAGUACAACUGUCAUCUCAUUACCGCCGAUAGAGCAAGCUAUGAAAAUUACUUGGGUGGUCAGUGGUUCAAUUUCUGCAGAUAACGAGUGAUGGAAGAAGGUGGUAAACUCAUCUUUGAUCUCGAAAAGUCACAGAAGAAAGUGCAAAUUCGAGUUGUUCCAAAGUAGAUAUUUGUUGUUGAACUAUUUUAACUUCUACUAUUUUGAUGUAUCGCUUUGGACUGAAGUCGUAAACUAUCUUGAUUUUGGGAUGUCAUUUGUUCUUUUCAUUUUGUCUGAUGUAAGUAUUGGCAAAAAUUCCUUUUUGGUUAGUCUAUGAAACUUGCAAUCUCUUUUAUAAACCUAACUAUUAUGUAACGUUAAUCUGUACAUUGUUGGUUCCUUCAUUGGUUCCAAUUAGUAUCAUAUUAAUUGUAAUGUUGUUUUUCUAAUCUCUUGAGAAAAAUAAAACAUGUUAUUUUCCUACAGUAAAUCUUUACAAUGCUUUGGUAAAUGUUUUAGAAAUGUGCAUAUAUAUAUAACUUCUAAUUAACACUGCAAUUUGUUUUGUACCUAGCACUUGUCAAAUGAGAUAUCAAUGACAUUUUUAAAAGGAACACAGAAAACAAUCACACUCAUCGACAAACAAGCUCAAAAAAGGUAUAAGUGUCGCUUGAUAACGGCAGAGAGAGCAAGUUACAAAAAAUACUUAGGCGACCAAUGGUUCAAAUUUUGCCGAGAACGUAUGUUAGAGGUAGGUGAUAAGUUAAUUUUUUUUAUCUAGAGAAGCCACCUAAAAAUAUGCACGUUCAAGUCGUUUCCAAAUAAAGAUUUGGUGUUCAUGAUCCACACUUUCAACAUAUCACCUUAACUUUAAUUCUAGACUAGAUUAUUUUCACUCACUGAUGCUACUUCUUUGCUUGAUUUCAUUUGAUGUAAAUAUGGGUAUUACAACAAAACUCUUUUUUUUUUUUUUUUUUUUUUUAUAAUUUUGGAUAAUAUGUAAAUUCACACAUCAUUGAUUCCUUUAUUGGUUCCAAUAGUUUUCAUCCUAAAUAUUAUGUCAAUUCCUAAUCUCAUAAACUGAUUAUAUGCUCUCUUAAUCAGUCCAUACAUAUUUUAUGAUGAAUCACGAUGUUCCUUCGUUUUAACAUCUCUUCUUUCAAAGAAUUUUUUUAUCAAAUAUGUUAUUGAACCCGUGCUUCUAACUAGUUUAUAAAUAUAAAACAAGUUCCCACUUUUUGGACAAUCAGCAUCAAUUUGACAUUUAUCACGUGCUGUAAUAAGAAAAGAAAAAAAGUCAAGAAAAUAAUGCUACUAUUAAAUGAUUGUGUACGAGCUACAAAGUAAAGAAAGAAAUUUGAAAAGAAUAAAAGGAAUGGCUUACCAACACCAAAUUUCGUUGCGAUGAGAAAUAAGGAAAUAAAUAGAAUCAUGACACAAACAAACUUAAGAAUUUGAACCAUAUUUUAUCUUGUUUGAGUGUAAAAAAUAGAAAAUGAUUUGGUCUAUUUAUAAUUUUCCUGCUCUCUAAAAUAAUGAAAUAUUUUUAGCACUUACAAAGUUGAAACCGUCGUUCAUAAUAUUAUGAUCAUUAUUAAAUAUUUAUUAAGUAUAUCAAUGUGUUGUGUUUGUUCUUUUAGCACACUUAAGGUGGGUCAAAUAACAAAAUUACUAAUCAUUAAAAUUCAUUCUUUAUAUCUAACUUUUAUUUACUUUUUUUAAAGUUAAAAGUUUUCUUUUAGACCAUCGUAAUAUUAUUAUUUUGGAAUAAUAUACAUAAUUGGAGAUGAGAAAUAAGUAGAGUGUAUUGUAGGAUCAACUUUUAUUGUUGAUAAAAUCGUUGAAUUAAAAAAAACACCUUUCCUUGAUUUAAAAAAUUGAUGUGUAUUUUAUAGAACUUUUUUUAUUCAAUAAUAUUUAAGGUUCAAAAACUCAACCUAAAAGUAGUGGUUUAGGGACAACCUAAAUGCAGAUGACAUUUAUCUAUAAGAACAAUUAAAAGUAAUAAAAUUUCAGCGUCUAAAAACAUCAUAUAUAUAUAUAUAUAUAUAUAUAUAUAUAUAUAUAUAUAUAUAUAUAUAUAUAUAUAUAUAUGAGUUUUGCUAGAAGAUAACUUUUAUCAGUGGCGGAACUAGGAAAAAAGUAUAGGGUGGGCUAUAAAUAGUGAUGGAGCUUAAUUUUCUUACAGGUACAUUUUAUCAUUGGUUAGUUUCAAUGACUACAAAUUUGUUAUUUGUUGAAUAUAAUUCAAACCGGUAUUUUAAAAUCCGAACCGUUUAUCAACCUUGAUAAACUACAAGAUAAUUGAUCGAACAACUAGGUCAUUAAACCUAACGACUGAAUUAAAUGACUCAACUUCAAUAAACAGAUGUAUAGGUAUUAAAUCGAAUUGAAUCAAACGACCGAGUAAAAAAAAAAACUCAUGACAUAUAUAUAUAUAUAUAUAUAUAUAUAUAUAUAUAUAUAUAUUAAUGUAAAAAAGAUCAUUACAUAAGAAAAUAUACUUAUAAUCAAGUACAAUAAUGAAAUCAUAUUGUACUUGCCUCAAUUAUUUUUAUGAUUUCUAACAAAUUCUAUUUUAUUUUAUUUAUGAUUUCUAAAAAUUAUUUUUAUUUUUUAGAAAAUAGGAAUGAAUCAUAUUUAAACUAAGAUCAAUAUGAUAUCUGAAGUAAGAAAUGAUGUUAGUGAUUGGCCCUUGCCUCAAGUCACUAACGUUGAUGAAUGGGUUCCUUUUGAAGGGCAACUAUUUGAAGAUAAUGAAUAUGUAAAUUCUUUAACAUUUCAAGAGCUACAACAUGAACCCUUGCCUCAAGUCAACAACAUUGAUGAGGGGGUUCCUUUUGAAGGGCAAGUAUUUGAAAGUGAUAAUGUUGCUUAUGAAUUUUAUUGUUUAUUUGCAAAACAAAAUGGAUUUUCUAUUAGGCGUGAUCACAUUUAUAAAUCUAGUAAAAAUGUGUCUGAAGAGAAUCCAUCUGGUGUUUAUAAGAGGGAAUUUAUUUGUCAUGGUGGUGGUAUUGUUAAACCACGCAAAACUGUUGAAGUGGAAAAUCAAAGGAAACGAAAAUCUUCAAGAUGUGAUUAUGGUGCAAAGAUGGUAGUUAAUAAGAGAACAAUUGGCUUUGAGAAAAAAUGGGUGGUUAAAUAUUUCAACAAUUCUCACAACCACGAGUUAUUGGAUAACAAAGAGGUUCGAUUUCUUCCUGCUUAUCGUAACAUUCCAAUUGUUGAUCAAGAUCACAUACUAUUAUUAUCUAAAGUUGGUUGCUCUGUAAGUAUUAUAAUGAGAGUGCUUGAGUUAGAGAAAAGAACGGGCACAGGAAAUUUACCAUUCUUAGAAAAAGAUAUUAGAAAUUUUAUUCAGUCAUAUAGUGGUAUUGGUAAAGAAAGUGAUGCUGCAGAUGUUCUCAGAUUGUGCAAAAGUUUGAAAGAUCGAGAGGAGGCCUUCCAAGUUGAAUUCACAAUUGAUGAAAGUAACAAAUUGGAGCAUAUUGUUUGGGCAUUUGGUGAUUCAAUUCGCGCAUACGAAGCUUUUGGAGAUGUUGUAGUUUUUGAUACCACAUAUAGAAUAAACCGUUAUGGGAUGCCUCUUGGAAUAUGGGUUGGUGUUGAUAAUCAUGGAAAUUCAAUUUUUUUUUGGUUGCGUUCUAUUGCAAAAUGAGAAGAUUUCUUCCUUCGAAUGGGCUAUAAAGGUAAAUUUCUAUUUACUCAAAGUUGUUAUCACUGUUAAAUUUUUAAAUUUGAAACUUUAUUAAAUUAAUUUAGAUUUAUGUUACAAUUUUCAGAGUUUCCUAGCUUUUGUGAAAGGAAAAUAUCCAAAAAUAAUUCUUACCGAUCAAGAUCUUUCAAUUAAAGAAGCCAUUGCAACGGAAUUGCCAAACACAAAACAUGCAUUUUGUAUAUGGCAUAUUGUCGCAAAGCUGUCAAGUUGGUUUUCUUUUCCACUAGGUUCGAGAUAUGAUGACUUUAAACAUGAGUUUCAUAAGGUAUAUCAUUUAGAAUGUGCAGAUGAUUUUGAACGAGAAUGGAAAAUAAUGGUCUCACAGUUUGGUUUGGGCGUGGAUAAGCAUAUUGACUUGCUCUUUUCCCAUCGUAAAUUUUGGGCCUGAGCUUAUUUGAAGGACUUUUUUUUUGCUGGAAUGACAACAACAGGACGCUCAGAAUCGAUAAAUUCAUAUAUAAAAAGAUUCUUAGAUGCUAACAACAGGACGCUCAGAAUCGAUAAAUUGUUAUAUUUUUGUGUAGGUUGGUGUUGCUGUCAAAAUUAGAAAUCAAGCUGGAGAAGAGGCACGAAUGCGUCAAAAGUAUCAUAAUCCUCAUAUUACAACACAUUUUCCUAUUGAAGAACAUGCCUCGUCUAUACUCACACCUUAUGCCUUUAAGUUGCUUCAAUAUGAGAUCGAAUUAUCCGCAAAGUAUGAAGCAAUUGAAGCUGACAAUGGCUCUUAUGUUGUGCAACAUCAUACCAAAGUUGAUGGUGGUCGUAUAGUAAGUUUGAUAACAGAAGAAGAGUCAAUUCAUUGUUCUUGUAAAGAGUUUCAAUUUUCAGGAAUACUAUGUAGACAUGCAAUUCGAGUGCUAAUGUUUAAAAAUUGUUUUGUUCUUCCAUCAAAAUAUCUUCCUUUUCGAUGGAGACGAGAAAGAUCAUUGAUCCCAAAAUCUAGUCAUGUGAUUAACUGCAAUGAUGUAUCCUCUGCCAAAUUUCAGUCUCUAAUUCGAUGUUUGGAAGUCGAAUCAUUAAAGACAAGUGAACGAGAACAGGUUGCUACAAGAGAGUUAGAAAAUAUCAUCAUAAAGAUAAAAAGGCAUGCCUGAAACUCAAGAACAUGUGAUUGAUUUGGAAGCGGAUGUUUCCAACAAUGACGACUACGACGUUGAAAAUCCUGUUGUUUCAAAAACAAAAGGUCGGCCAAAAGGAUCAAGACCAAAAGGAGGGGUUGAAGCUGCCAAGAAGCCUCGUCGUUGUCAUGUUCCAGAUUGUGGUGGAACUAAUCAUGACUCACGAAACUGUCCAAACAAAAAGAGAAAAAUGGAAGUAUUGCCUUCUCAAUCUCCUAAUAAGUAAGUUUUAAUUGGUGUGUCUUGUUCUACUCAUGACUAAUAUAUUAAAUUAAUGUUGACUGAAUUUUUAUGGUGCUUUGAUAGGAUCAUGAAGGGUUGGAAGUAGUCAUCUUGAAAUAGUGAAUUUGACAGAUGAAGCAGCCAAAUAGUUUAGAUCAAACCGUGUAAUUAGUGAAUUUUGUGGCUGCAAUCUGUAAGAUCAAACUAGCAGUAUAUUUUGUAGGAUUAUUAUGAUCAAAUUGUAUAAUUACUAGUAUAUUUUGUACCAGUAUAUAGCCUGUGUUUUGUUCCAGUUCGCCCAAUCUUUCUCUUCUUGAGAGGUCCUGUUUGGCUUAAUAUAUUAUUGCACAUUAUUAUGAUUAUGUGAAAUGUUGAUGUUAAUUAUUGAACAUCAAAUUGGUUAUUAAAAGUCAAAGAGUCUAAAAAAAAAAAAAGUAAAAGAUCAAACUAGCAAUAUAUUUCUGUGAAAUAUAUUAUUGCAUAUUAUUGCACCUCUUAAAAAAGAAGUAAAAGAUCCAAUGAAAAAAUGUGUUCUCUUUUUGACAAACACAUUGGUUGUAGGAAGAGAGAGAAAAUGAUGAUUUCUAGGUGAAUGGGAAAUGACUUUAAAGGACAUGUAUUAUAUCAUUAUUGAAGAACAAUCUAAAUUUCCUUUGAAUUAAUUUGAUUUACAUGAUUGUGAAUUAAUUUGUAUUAGGAGAAGUGAAUCAAUCUAAAUUUAAUCAUUUGUAUUAUAUCAUUACGGGGGAGUAACUAGUGGUUUAAUGACAAUCUAAAUUUCCUUUGAACAACCCCACAAACAACUUGAACCUUUUUUUUUUUUUUUUUUUGUCAAUUAACAACUUGAAAAUUUUAUUUCUUAAAAUACUCACAUUGAAAUAAUUAUUUUAUCCACGUUGGGUUUUGAUAAGGUAUAUAAUACAAUGAUAAGGUAAUUAUUUUAUUCAUAUUAAAUAAAAUAUUACCUCAAGAAAGAAAAAAAAGUUCAUGAUUGGUAAAUAUGUAUGUUUGGAUUGAUGAAAAUGCAAGUAGUAAAAUCUAAAGAUUCUCUACCCUAUGGUAUAAGUUACUCUAUAAGGCAAACUAUACUUCUCUCAAAAAAAUAAAAAAGGCAAACUAUACUAGCGAUAAAUUUACGUUAAAAUGACCCUCUUUUAAUUCAUCAUAUAUAGGAAAAUGAAUUGAAUUUUUUUUUCGCGGACAACGGUGGUAUUUUUGUUAGUUUGUUUUAAUUCAAGUUUAGUUUAGUGAUAAUCACAAUCAGUGGUUAAUCACAUUUUGUUUUAGUUUGUUAUGAAGUUUGUUACAAGUUUGUUAGAGGUUAGUAUAUAAGAUCUAGAGUUUGUUACAUUGCUUGUGCUUCAAGCAACUUAGCUAGAUAUUGUAUAUAAGCUACCUCCUUUGUACAUUUUCGUAUGUAGAAUCAAUAAAGAUCAAUUACAAUUUCAUCAUAAUUUUUCUUCUCUCUCAAUUCUCUCUCUAAUUCACAAAACCUUAGAAUAAGAAACUACUUCUGAAACUGCUUCUGAACUAGCUUCUGAACAAGCUUCCGCUUCUGGUUUUUCUGCGCUAUCAAAUUGGCAUCAAGAGCCUUUGGUUUCAUUCUAAGGGGUAAUCAAGAUCUUCAAUCACGCAAUUUGUAGGAAGAAACGCUGAAGGAAACACCAUGAAUGGUAGCAGCAGUUUCAACACACAUCUUCCAAUUCUUGAAGCACGCAAUUGGGAAAGAUGGAGUGCAGUGAUGAAGAAUCUGUUUGGAGCACAAGAUUUGCUUGAAAUUGUGCAGAAUAGUGUAGGUGAAUUAGCUGCGAAUGCCACUGAAGUGCAAAGGAACGCACACAAGGAAUUGAAGAAGAAAGAUUGCAAGGCUCUGUUCUUGAUUCAACAAAGUCUUGAUGAAGGAAACUUUGAAAGAAUCUCAAAAUCACUAAGUUCAAAGGAAGCAUGGGACAUUCUUUCAAAGUACCAUGAAGGUGAUGAUAAAGUGAAGUUGAUUAAGCUUCAAUCACUGAGAAGGAAAUUUGAGCUGAUGCAAAUGGAAGAUGAUCAGAAGAUUUCUGAGUACAUCUCUAAACUCAUCAAUCUUGUGAAUCAGAUGAAGGCUUGUAGUGAAGCAAUCACUGAUCAACAGAUAGUUGAAAAGAUUAUGAGGACCCUAUCUUCAAGGUUUGAUUUCAUUGUGGUGGCAAUUCAGGAAUCAAAAGAUGUUAAGACAUUGAAGAUUGAGGAGCCGCAGAGUUCAUUAGAAGCUCAUGAAUUGAUGGUUUCAGAAAGAAGCAAUGAAAGAUCAAUUCGACAAGCCCUGCAAGUUCAAACUAUCAAGAAGGAUGAUUAUGAUAGGAAGAACUUCAAGAAAGGGAAGAAAAACUCUAAGGGAAGAAACUGGUCUAAAGGCAAGAACAAUGGAUCUGAUAAAGGUGAAUCUUCAAAGGAAGGAAAUUCUAAUCAAAAGAAGAAAGUUGAUAAGAAGAAGAUUCAGUGUUUCAAAUGUGAGAAAUUUGGACACUAUGCCUCUGAAUGUUGGUCUGGUAAAGGAAAGCAAUCAAAUAAUGAUGAAGAGGAAGCCAAAAUUGCACAAGAUGAUUCAGAUUCUGAGUCAUUAUUCAUGAUGGUUACAACAAUUAGUAAUGAGAGCUGCAAUUCAGAAAGUUGGUUCUUAGAUACUGGUUAAUCUAAUCAUAUGACUGGAACCAAGACAUGGUUAAGAGAAGUGGAUUUUGGAAGAAACACAAAGGUGAAACUUGCAGAUCAUAGAGUAUUAGUUGCAGAAGGAAUGGGGAAUAUUGCUAUUGAAGGAAAGAAUGGGAAAGUGGCAAUAAUUGAAUAAGUUCUCUAUGUUCCUGGAAUGCAGUGCAAUUUGCUGAGUGUAGGUCAAUUCAUUCAGAAAGGAUACUCAGUUACUAUGAAGGACAACACCUUUAAGUUGUUUGAUAAUCAUCAAAGGUUAGUUUUGAAAACUCCUCUUGCAAAGAAUAUAACCUUUCAGACCAAUAUGAAAGCUGUAGAAUUGAACUGUUUAUCUGCUAUGGUAAAAGAUGAAGAUAGCUGGUUAUGGCACUAUAGAUUUGGUCAUCUCAAUUUUAGAGGUCUUAAUCAAUUGGUUGAUAAAGAAAUGAUUCUGGGAGUGCCUAAAAUUGAGAUACCUAACACAGUUUGUGAUACUUGCUUGUUGGGAAAGCAACCUAGAAGUGCAUUCAGUUCAAGUUCAGCAAGUAGAUCAAAGGAGCUGCUUAAUGUUGUAUAUUCAGAUGUGUGUGGUCCUUUAGAGGUUCCUUCAUUAGGAGGAAACAAAUAUUUCAUCAGUUUUGUUGAUGAGUUUAGCAGAAAACUCUGGUUAUAUUUGAUUAAGGCCAAAAGUGAAGCAUUUGAUAUGUUCUAGAAGUUUAAAAUCUUAGUUGAAAAACAAAGUGGUAAAUCCAUUAAGAUUUUAAGAACUGAUGGUGGUGGUGAGUAUACCUCAAAGGUGUUUGAGAAGUUUUGUGAAGACAAUGGCAUUGUGCAUGAAGUCACUGCUCCUUAUACUCCACAACACAAUGGUUUGGCUGAAAGAAGGAAUAGUAGCCUGCUUGACAUGACCAGAAGUAUGCUAAAGAUGAAGAAGAUGCCUAAUACAUUUUGGGGAGAAGCAGUAAGAACUGCAGCAUACAUCUUAAACAGAUGCCCCACUAAGAAACUUAAUCAAAUUCCUGAAGAAAUUUGGUUAGGAUGCAAGCAGUCAGCAAAACACUUGAGAAUUUUUGGUUCAUUGUGCUAUAUGCAUAUCCCUGAUGCAAAGAGAAGGAAGUUGGGGGACAAGAGUGAGCCUAUGAUACUGGUUGGCUAUCAUGAAACAGGUGCAUACAGAUUGUAUCAUCCUCUAAAUCACUCUAUAGUGAUUAGGCUACCUGACCCAAAAAAAAAUUCUACAAGCCACUUUUCUCACGUUGUUUUCGCUAUUUUCUUAUAUCUUGACCCUUACUUAUUGAUGUUGUUGAAACCAAGUUGGUCCACUAAUAACAAUAUCAUUUUAUGUUUUGAUGAUUAAAAAAAAUAUCUAAAUGGUUUUUCAAUUCGCAUUUAACUUAAUUUCUUAUUACUUUGAAAUCUUUCAACAAACUAUAUUCAUUUUAAAUUUUGCAAAUUUAUUUAUGUUAGUUCUAACAUUUAUCCCGCCAUUGCACGGGUCAUGAGCUAGUAAGUGUUAUUGGUACAUGGAGCCUUAAUCUUCUUGCACAAAUACCCACUUAAAAGUUUCAAUUGAAUGGGGUGGGGUAGCUCAACUGGUUUGAGUUAAGGGAAUUUUUUCUAGAGGUACUGAGUUUGACACGGACAAAGGAGAAAAGAGAAAAACUAAUUUCUAACAUACAUUAAAAAAAAAAAAAUAUCUUCUUAAAGCACCAACCCAAUUCAUAUUUUUUAUUUAUGUACUAAAAUGAUAGAUCAGUAUAUUUUUUAUUCAGUACAAAUUUGAAUAUCUGUUUAAACUGUACAUUUUUUAUUGGGUUAAAUAUGUUUUUGGUCCCUAUAAAAUUGGAAACUUCUAAGUUUAGUCCUUACUUAAUUUUAAUAACAUUUUUAGUCCCUACAAAAAUAAAAUUACAUGUAAUUUUAGUCCUUCUAAAAACUAAAUUUGUUUAAUUAUUCUUGAAUUCUUAAAUUUUUGAACGAUUUUUUGGAGACAUGUUUAGAACAUUAUAAAAUGUUCAUUUACUAAAAAAUAUAAUUUUUUAACAGGAGAAGAAUUAAAUAUGAAUUUUUUAAACGACAAAAAUUCAAGAAAAGAGUAGUAAAAAUCUGAACGUAGAAAUCAAAUUUUGAGUUAAUAUUUUGUAGAGGGACUUUCCGUAAUGUUCUUAAUAGGUGUACAAAAGAUUGUUUAAAAAUUCAAGAAUUUAAGCAUAAUUAAACAAAUUUGGAUUAAGAAUGGACUAAAACUAAAUGCAAAAUGAUUUUUUAGGGAUUAAAAAAGCUAUUAAAAUUAAGUAAGGAUUAAAUUUAAAAGGCUCCAAUUUUAUAAGGAUAUAAAACAUAUUUAACCCUUUUUAUUUGAUGUCAAAAGGAAAAGUUCAAUCAAUAAAUUUGUUUUUGUUGUAAAAUUUUGGAUAGUCGGGCAUGAGUGAUAUGCAAAACUAAAACAAAAAAAAAUACAACAAAUGUUACAUGAAGGAUUUUGAUUGAUGAAACAAAACUACCUUGACAAAAAAAAAAGAAUUAAAAGAAAGAAAUUGAAUAAGUUAUUAAGAUUAAUAAAAUUUUCUUGAAACAUCACCGAAGGGUUGUCUUUGAAUAAAGAUUUUAGGAAAUUGUAUAUUUUUGUAUAUAGAAGUUAUAGUUUUUAAAUGAUUGUAUAUUUACUAGAUAAAUGCUUCCUUAUCUCCAAUCCCCAUUACAACUCUGACUAAGUCUUAGGCUUUGUUUGGAUUGAUGGCAUGUGGUGGAAUGGAAUGGGAUGGAGUGGUAUAUAAUAGAGUUCCAUUGUUUGGAUAUUUAAAAAAUGAGUGGAAUGGAGUGGUAUAUGAUGGAAUCCAUUCCAUCCCAUUCCAUCAUCUUCCUUUAUUUUCAUUCCUCCCAAUUUGGGGUGUAUAGAAUGGAAUGAGGUCUAUUAAUUUGACAAUUACCUUUUUAACCUAGUUUUUUUUUUUAUUUCCAAUUGGUAGCCACGAAUUUCCGAUUGAACCCAGUUUUUUAUUUAAUUACACACGUUACCUCUAUACCCAACAACAUCAAACUCUACAACACUGUUCUACAUAGCACUAGACAGUCCAAUACAUCAAAAUCCUUUCUACAAAGCCAAACUACUCAUGAAAAUCAAUGAAAGUUCAUUAUAAUUAAAUAAAAAAAAUGUAAAAAAUGCAACGAAUGGAGAUGGUGGGGGUAACGUGAUGGACAAAUUUUUCAAACAAAAUUAAAACUUUUUUGCUACUAUUAUUUUUGUUACUAUUUUAUUAUAACUAUACAAUUCUAUAUAUGAUAGUAUUUUUAAAUAAGGGUAAAAAUGAAAUAAACAAGUUUGUUCCGUUCCGUCGUAAAAUGAGUUCUAUAAAAUACCCAAACAAUGGAAUGGAAACUCUAUCCCGCUCCGUUCCAUUCCAUCCCGCUCCAUUCCAUUCGUUUUAAAAUAUCCAAACAUAGCCUAGUGUUCCAUGCCUGAUAGUAGCUGGUUAUAUGUAAAUUCUAUUUUCUUAUAUUGAUAUUUCAAUUCCGUUCUUAAUUUUUUUUUUUUUUUUUUUUUUUUUUUUUUUUUUUUAUGCGAAAUACAAAAAUGAUAUUUGACUUAGAAAGUUGUAGACAUAGGCUUUCUCCGUAAGAGAGAGAUAUGGGUAGGAGCAUUUGUAGAUGUUAGUUACCAGGUAUUAGUCUCUGUUUGCAAUCAUACACAUUGUAUGAUCUUAAUGUCGUUACUAAAAAUAAUGAAUCUCAUAUCGUUUGUCAGAUAUGGAAACAUGCGAUCAAUGAAGUAAAUUAAACGAUUAAUUAAUGAAUCCCAACAAUAUUAUCUCUUUGUUCUUGUUUCAUUUUUUUUUAAGAAGUUAAACUAACCCCUUUCAAUUGACACCAGAGAUAAUUGAACCUGAGACCUUAAGAAGGAGCACUCUCAGGUUACAAGUCAAUACGACUAGGCCAACCUAAGUGGGUUUUUCUUAUUUCAUUAUUUAAUUGCAAAGACAAAUAUAUGUACAAAUAAUCCAUCGUUAUGUACUAAAAACAAUAUUCGUAUUUCAAAAAUAUUGCACGAAUUCCUAUGGAUACGGUAACCAUAAAUAUUUAUUUUGGGAAAUGAUAGGUGCAGUGACAAAAUUUAUCAAAAAAAUUUUAAGACAGUGUAUUUGCUAACACCUUUUCUUAAUUACACAACAUUACCUCCCUUAAUUUUCGUCAAAUAACAAAUUUAAUUGAUUGAGACAUUUUCUUAAUAUAUUUUUGAUAAAAACUCUAGAUAAAUAGAAAUGCUCAUUUAUUUUUUUAUACAGCUAUAAAAGCAGCUGAUCACUAAGUAACUAUUUUUUUUAUCUCAAUCUGUUUGCAAUAUUUCAAAAAUUAUUAGAUAAUUUUAUAAAUUAUUACCCCAAAAAUAAAAUUACCAUGUGUGUCACAUGGGAUAAAGAUCUAGUUUACCCUAAAUUUAAAGUAGUUGGAUUAAACCUUCAAAAAAUUGUAUUAAAGUGUUUGCAACUACUUUUAUAUCGACUAAAAUCCUACAAAUAUAAAUUAAAGUGUUUGCAAAUUGAAUUGUUUUUCAUAUCUUUUAAAGCUCAACAAGACAUCUAAUGUAUUUAUUUUGACAUGCAUAAAUUAAAAAGGCUUUGAAGUAAGGUAAAAUUUAUUGAUAUACCUAACUAUUCUAUUAAAGUUAUUUUUAAAAGGUGUGAUACCUCCAAAAUUAUGAGAGAAGAGGACAAUGAAAAAAAAAAAUCUUUACUACCUUAAAACUAUCUUAGAGUAACACACCAUAACUACAAGGUUCAUGAGAUUAGAGAAAUUAAAUUAAAUUAUAUCAUAGAGUGCCAACAUAAUAACCAAACGACAACUCAUGAAAUAUUCUAUCAUAUUUUAAGUUGUUUUCUUUGACAUUAUAACCCAUUCUCCUUUGUAGUAUGUUUUUGCACUCUCCAUGGUUUGAAACUCAUAGAAUCAUGCAUGUGCUUCUACCAAUUCACAUCUUUUAUCAAUGCACUUAAAAACAUAUAACAAGUCCCUAUACUUUGGACAAUAAUCAUCGGUUUCACAUUCUUCAUAAACUAUAAUGAAAAAACGAUAAUAAAAUAAUGUUACUAAAUAUGUUAAAAGAUUGUGCACAAACUAUAAAGUAAAGAAGGAAAUUUUGAAAAGAAUGAAAAAAAUGACUUACUGUCACUCAGUUGUGUUCUGAUGAGAAAUACUAUGGAAAUGAAUAGAAUCAUAGCAUAAACAAACUUUAGAAGUUGAAUCAUAUUUUUUCUUGUUUGCAUGUAAAAAAUUCGAAUAUGAUUUGUUCUAUUUAUAAUGUUCAUGCUCUCUUAAAAAUGAUUUUUAUAGUUUUGGCACUUAUGAAGUUGUAAAAACCCUUCAUAAAAUUAUAAUCAUCAUUAAUUAUCUCUUAAAUAUAUCAAAGUGUUGUAAACAUAAAGAGGUCAAAUGAAAAACUUACUAAUAAUAAAGAUUUAUUCCUUUUGACUAUAAUAUUCAUAUGUAAUUGAGCUUAAGUGGUUAAUGAACUUCACCAAAGAACGAAUCGUUCCGGAGAACCCGAGUUUGUUUCUGAUUUUAUCCAAAUGCAUUUUGGUAUUAUGCCUACCCAACUUGAAAUAGAUUGACGGAAACCAUUGAUGAUGAGGCAUUCUCUAGAUGGAUUUCAUAGUUCUCACCUUGAGAACAAAUUGUAUAGUCAGAGGUCUUUUUGACUUUGGAAUAAGUUCAAAUAGAACUCCUUCACAACUCCCUACAUUUUAAGCUAUAACUAUAAUAAGUCAUUACGAAUCAUGUGUCUUCAUUGUGUUAUGAUAAUGUGAGGAUGGGAGAAUAUUUGUAGAGUUUUAAUUAUGAUAAAUAAUACUGGAAUGAGGAUAUUAUUUCAGUUUUUCAUCAACUUUUUGUGAUGGAAUAUAGGAUAUGCAUUAAUUGCACUAUGACUGCUACACUCAAGCUAUUCGUAUUUCUACCUAUUUAACAUUUGGCUUGAAGUUGAUUAUUUAAAUGAAAAAUGAGUGAAUUUAAUAUCGAAUAUACUGUCACAAUAUAUUCUAUUUUUACUUUCAUUGAUUAGAACUCAACUAUUAUCAAAUGAAAUCAGUGCAGAUAAUUAGACAUUCAAGAUUUUGAGCUGGGAGAUUAGAAUGCAUUGAAGGAAUUGUUUGCCAAACACAUUGGGAAACUUUGAUGAAGGAGCUUGCUUUCACAUAACUCAGGAGAAAAAGACCUGUUCAAACACAGAUUAUCCUUGCAAGUACAAAAAAAAAAAAUGAAAACAAUUGUGUAGAACUAAUGUUAAUGAACCAUUUUUUUUGGACAAACAGAAAAUGUUGAUUCUUAUGUUAAUGAUAGGAUUAGAACCAUGUAAAGAGGAUGCAAGUAUUGGUGGCUCUUCAUUGCUGCUGGUUCCUCUAGUCCCUCAUUUGGCUUUGGGGACCUAUAGAAUAGAGACAAAGAUGAUGCAAGAAAUUGUAUGUAUAUAAAUUUUGAACUUAUCAAAAGGAGAAGGAACAACAACUCAUGAAGGAAAAACAAUCAAAAUUUCUCUUACCAAGCAGAAUAUGAUGUAUUUAGCACCUGAAGAUAGUGUGAAGGAUUCAGCAAUGUGGCAAAUGAAACUGUCGUUCAGCUUUUUUGUCUCUCUUUUUUACUUUAUUUUCUCUUUUUUUACUUUCUCCAACCUUUCUCUCAUGCUGACAGUGGCUUUUGUGGGAUCUUUUACUUUAUUUUCUCUGUUUUUUUUUUUUAAAAACUUUUUUUUAACAUUUCUACCAUUUUCAACUUUACAUGUAAAUAUUACUCCAGCUGCAACUAUUGUUGUUGUCUUUUAGUGCAAUAUAAGAAAUAAGAAAUAUGCCAGUGUCGGCAUGAAAAAAGGAAAAGAUUCCACAAAGUGCAGAGCAUUCAAUUUGCCCCUCUUUCAUUUUCUGAAUAAUCAAUAACCAAUGAAACUUUUUUAUACAUCUUCCUAUAAAAUUUAUUUCAAAGAUAACACAAAAAAUUAUGUUGUAAACUACUAUGUUUUAGUUUUGUUAAUAAGUAUGAUUUUUUUUUUGCUUAUAAUAUGGGACGGAGGGAGUACAUACCUACACCGCUUUGUUAUUCUCACUAUAUGCUUCUCAAUUCAUUCGUCGCCAUCUUCGAUCCAUUAUUGAAAGGAGAAUUAAUACAACUAAUAUUUUUAAUCUAUUAUUGAUGAUCCCAAAUCAUUCGAAUCACAUUGAGUAUUAUUUUAAUUUUUUAACAUGUGUAGUUUAAUUUUUUUAUGAUUAAUUUUGUGCUUAAUGUUUAUUAGUACAAUAUAAUUUUUUUGACCCAUCCGAGAUUUUCUUUCUGAUUCCGCCACUAUUUAUACCCAAGUAAGUGUAUGGUAGAAUCAAUUUAUGUUGUUGAUAAAAUCAUUGGAAAAAAAAUGUGACUGUGUAUUUAAUUUUGUAAUUGCAUGAUUUAUUUUACAUUAUCAUUCAAAUCAAUUAUAUAAUUCAUAUCGAUUUAAAAAAUAAUUUGGUAUUGAAUGUAAACUGCUUUUAAAAAUUAUUCGUAUAUCUAAUAAUUAAUUGAAAUAUGUUCUUAGGGCAGCUUUGUAUGUACACCUUUUUGUACCACUCUGUAAAAUUUCAGUUAAUCAAAUAUAUGGUCUCCGUGACUACGUUUAUUUAGUUGCGUGAUCACUAUUUAUUUGGUUAACUAAGUGGAAAAAUAGUGGUCACGCGCAUUUUAGUUGUGCGACCACAUUUUUUCAGCUUUUAAAUGCUGGAAAAAUAAUGGUCAUUGGUCACGCUGAAAUUUUUCAAAGUGAUAUAAAGAAGUGUACACAUUAAGGGUGUCUACCUACCUAUCUUUAUUCUUCCUCCUGUUUUAUUUUUCGACGUGCCUCUCCUUUGUCCAUUUUAUCGUGUUCCAUCGUGGUAUGCCUUUUUCUUGCGUGAAGAGCACAUCUUAAUAUCUAUAUACUUGAAGGAUCCGAUUGAUUUUUCAUGGCUCCUUUACCACCAGCUCAUGUUGUUGAUAUCAUUGUCAGCAGAGAAGAGGUAGUGCUAUUUCAUGUAGUUAGUUCUUCAAUUCAGCGACAACUUACUGUUGAUGUUAAUGACAGGUGGCGGUGGAAUUUGCACUCUUCAAAUAAUUACAUUGUUUGUAUUGCUUAUAAUUUCAUUCAACAAUCACCAAAUCAACAUAUCCUUGCAGAUGACAACCAUGUAUUUUGGCAUAAAGUUGUUUCUCUGAAAGUCAAUCUUUUUGUGUGCGUCUUCUUCUCAACCGCCUUCCAACAAAUGACAAUUUAUUUAUGAGAGGAGUGAUUCCGGCUACUUAUGGGAGGGUGUGGUAAUUUAGAGGAUAAACAAGAGAAUUGUUGUUUACACAUUUCAUAAGGCUGUGCCACACGAGUCAUUUACGUAAAUGCCCUUCAGCAGUUAACUGCCGAAGUUUUUAGUAAACCGGCGGCAGUUAACUACCGAGGAUUUCCUCGGCAGUUAACUACCGAUGCGAACUGAACAUAACAGAAGCAGAAACUCAAUUUUCUGAGUAUUGAUUCAUUGUUCAAAAAUUCUCCAAACCAUCCAACUUCUCCAAUUUCGAUUUGUCAGCAAAAUCAAAUGCAUCAUCUCCAUUUAAUCACAAGUAAGUAUCUUGACUCAUUUUUAAUCAUAAUGUUAAUUUGGGUAGGUUUUUUUUAUAAAAAAAAUGGUAGUUUUUAUGUGGUUAGGGUUGAUGUAGGAAUUGAAUUUUUUAUGAGUGCAUGUAGUUUAUAAUUGAAUGUAGUUGCUUUAAUUGAUGAUUGAAUGAUGUUAGGGUAUAAUGUGGUUUUCAAUGGUGGCAAAAGAACACAUUUUUAGUAUGUUUGAUAUUUUGCACACAAAGUGUUUGAUAAAAUGUGUCAAUGACAAUUUUAUUGAUUAUUUAGUUAGUUUAGGUAUUGGAUAUGAUUUUGAUUGUAAUUCGAAAAAGUGUAUAUUGAAUUAGGUUGAAUGUGUAUAUUGAAUUAUGUUUAGUUUAGGUUGAAUGUGUAUGACAAUGCAUUUGAUUAUUUACGUUUGAAUGUUAAUGAUAAUGUGUAUGAUAAUGUUUAGGUUCAAUCAAUGUCUUUAUUUUGGUAAAGUGGUUUAAUGUGAAAGUGGUUAUGUUUAGGUUGAAUGUGAAAGUUUAGGUUUUGUUUAGGUUUAGUGUUUUUGAUAAAGUGGUUGAAUGAUAUUAAUUUUAUUAUUUUUUUUGUAGAUAUGGCCGAUCAGGACCCCAUUGAUCCAUCGAAGAUGAUUGGUGGUAGGCGUGCGAUGACUCAGAGCCACCGCAGGAAGAGGCAGAGCAGCCACUUCCCAAAGAGGGGUAGAGGUCGGAGGGGAGAUGGCUCAGGAAGCUCUCAGGCUACACAGCCUGAGGAGUCACAGGUUGUUGACCCGUCACAGCCUGUUGACCAGACUGGGGUGGAGUACCUGAACUAUCAGGAUCAGGUACAGCAUGAUGUGACGGAUGGUGGAUAUGACCAGGAUCAUAUACCACAGCAGCAGGAUGCAGGAGACGAGGAUGACAUUGCAGCAGCUGCUGCACCGGAGGUGUUACCUAUGGAGCCUCCAUUUCCUGGUGGACCGGCUGACUUGUCAUUGCUCCACUCUUAUGCCGAUCAUGUGGCGUUGCCACUCUGGUAUAAUUCAAAUAAUGUAACUGUAUUUUUUUUAAAUAUUUUUUCUUUAUGUUAAAAUAUUUUCUUUAAUUUAAAUGUGUAUUUGUUUAAUUAUUAUAUCCAGUUUUAUAUGUGUUUUUUUUAAUUAUAUUUUGUAUGUUUAAUUGUUUUCUUUAAAUGUGUGUUUGUUUAAUUAUUAUAUCCACUUUUAUAUGUGUAUUUUUUAAUUCUAUUUUGUAUGUUUAAUUCUUUUCUUUAAAUGUGUGUUUGUUUAAUUAUUAUAUACAUUGUUUUAUGUUUAUUUUUUUAAUUCUAUUUUUUAUGUUUAAUUGUUCUCUUUAUAUGUGUUUUUGUUUAAACCAUAUUUAUUUUUCUAUUAUUUCAGGUUCGUAAGCUCCACGUGCUUAAACCGAUUAAUCAUGGGGCCAAGAUUCUCACUCUCGGACGCCCUAACGGGAAUGAGAAUUGGUUUUGGGAUCCGCUUAAGCAGAGCGGGCUACAUGAUUUGGUUUACUUGGGGUACUCCACCGUGCCUCAUCCGGAGACCAGCACCUUUCACAUGCCCAUGGGGGAGAUGACUGUGACAUUGGAUGAUGUCGCAUGUCUCACGCAUCUUCCUAUUGAGGGGCGGAUGUUGGAUCAUGGGAAGAAGAUGCCCAAGCAUGAGGGAGCGGCACUGCUGAUGAGGUAUCUGGGUGUGUCCCAGCAUGAGGCUGAAAAGAUCUGCAACCAGGAGUACGGUGGGUACAUUAGCUACCCGAGGCUGAGGGACUUCUAUACCACGUACCUUGGUAAGGCCAACUUAUUGGCGGGUACGGAGGAUCCUGAGGAGCUUGAGGAGCUGGCGAGGGUUAGGACAUACUGCGUCCGGUGUUACCUUCUGUACUUGGUCGGAUGCUUGUUGUUUGGCGAUAGAAGCAACAAGCGCAUCGAGCUGAUAUAUUUGACGACCAUGGAGGACGGCUACGCAGGGAUGCAUAAUUAUUCCUGGGGAGGUAUGACCCUCGCCUACCUAUACGGCGAGUUGGCUGAUGCAUGUAGGCCUGGACACAGAGCUCUUGGGGGGAGCGUGACACUGCUCACUGUAAGAAAACUUAAAUUUUAUAUUUAUGUUAACUUUAUUUUUUUGUUAACUUUUAUUUUUUUGUUAUAUUUUUCCGUGCGUAAUGAUUUAUAAAUGUUAUUUGUUUGGUUUGUGCAAGCAUGGUUUUUGGUGCAUUUUCCAGGGUUUUACAGUGUUGAUCCCAACACUGACUACGUGGAAAACUAUCCAGUUGCAGCGAGGUGGAAGCUCCAGAAGGGUCAUGGGGGGAGAUCACGUAUCGGUCACUGCUUGAUCGUAUACAAUUAGAUGAUGUAUGUUGGAGGCCGUACGAGGAGCACAGAGAGAUCCAGGACUUCGAGGAGGUUUUCUGGUAUUAUGGGUGGAUUAUGUGUGGUGUCCGUAGGGUGUACCGUCACUUGCCCGAGAGGGUUUUGAGGCAGUACGGAUACGUGCAGACCAUCCCCAGACAUCCGACUGCUGUUAGGGACCUCCCACCGUCUUCCAUUAUGCAGGUGUUCGUUGACUUCCGCACUCACACGAUUAAGGCGGACGAUCGGGGUGAGCAGGCAGGAGAGGAUACAUGGCGGGUGGCGGAUGGCUAUGUCAUAUGGUACACUAGGGUGUCUCACCCUCAGAUCUUGCCACCUAUUCCAGGAGAUCUUCCGAGGCCUGCAAAUAAAGAGCAGAUCAUUGCAGACCAGUGGGAGCGGUAUGAGGCGAGAAGCUCGCCUGACACCUAUGACAUGGUUAGUGGCGCUGUUGCCUAUGCUGAUGCGCAGUUAGGCCAGGAGGAGGUCAUGAGCAUGACCCCUCAGCAGUGGUUUGAGGCCAUGACCCAUAUGAGGGAGCAGAUCGCGCCGAUUUUGACCAGGAGGAGAGCCCAGAGGCCGAGGAGGAGGCACUAUCUGCAGGAUCAGGACCAGUAGUACUAUUUUCCUUUUUUAGGACUUAGUUUUUAGUUUUAGUCUUUUGAUGACAUUGAGUUAUGUAUAUUUGUAUAUUUGUAUAUUUAUAUUUUUAUGACAUUAUUUUUAAUUUCAUGGGCUCGUUUUACUUUGUUUAAUGUACAAAAAUGUUGGUUUAAUUAAAUUGUGCAUUUGCACCAAUAUUUUUUUGUUAUUUGAACCGUUAUGAUGAAUUUUAACCGUUUGUGUAAAAAUCCGGCUUUCAAAAUAAUUUAGAAUGAUAUUGAAAUGCUUUUUAGAAUUAUGAAGAUUUCCUCGGCAUGAAAAUUAAAGUUUGUUCUUGUAACUUCAUGUAUUGAUAAUAAGCAAUUUUCAAUGAGACGUGAUCGUUACCUUUUUUCUAGAGUGUAGUAGUAGUAUUUUAUUACUAAUGACAAAGUUUUAGUUGUCUAGUCAAACCUGAACACUACUAUAUAAUAUAAGUGUGCCGUUGAUUUGCCUCCAAUUCGUGAAAGAAGAUUUGGCGAAGAUUGGAGAGAAAUUGAGAAUUUUGUAAAGUUUUGGAUGUUCAGUUUUCCUCGGCAGUUAACUAUCGAGGUUUUCUUCGGCAGUUAACUGCCGAAAUUUUGAAAAAUCCGGCUGCAGUUAACUGCCGAGGGAAACCUCGGGAGUUAACUGCCGAGGAUCUUAUGCGCUACAAAAUCUGGCAGAAUCUCCUCUCAUCCAUUAUUGAUCUUAUCUUCCAAAUAAUUUCUUCAAAUUUCUCUCAAAAUCUCUCUAAAAAACACAACCAAAUCCAACCAACUUUAUUCAACAAAAUCACAAGUAAGUAAUUAUAAUGCUAUUAACUUACAUUUUAGUUGUUAUAAAUGUUAUUAUUUUUUAGUUUUUGAGUACAUUUAUUAUUUUUUAGUAGAUUUACAUGUUAUAAUUAAUUUUUAGGGUAUAUGUUAGUUGAUUAAUGUUGUUAAAAUAUUUGCAUGAUGUUUAUGUUAUAUGAUUAAUUUUUUUAUUUUAGUAAGAGUAUAUGAUUUAUAAUUUUAGGAUUAUUUUUAUGAAUUUUAGAGUCUAUGUAUAAUGUGCACAUCAAGUGUUCGAUGAAAUGUUUGAAUGAGUUUUUGAUUGAUUGUUUUUAGUUUCUUAUUGUGUAGAUUUAAAACAAUGGCCAGGUGGAUCGACGUUCAUGCGCAAUUCAACGGCGGAGAACCUCAGAGGUUGAAGGUUCGGUGCCUUGGUGUAACGUUAAGAGGUCUCAAGGAUAAACUGACUGAAUUCAACCAAGGAGUCAACCCCAAAGAUACAAGGAUGGUGGAACACGUUUGGUAUAAACGUCCAACGCUCGACGAGGGGAGAGUAUCAUUCACUUGGGUGGAAUUAACGAAUGACGAAAACGUGACGACCAUGUUUUGGGAGCACAGCAUGUUCCAGUGGAUCGAUAUGCGGGUGAAGUUGGUUAGAUCAACUGAAGAUAUCAUCAAAAGUUUGAUUCCGCCGGAAGAUCGUCAUUAGUUAGGGUAAGGUGCAUUCCAACUACAACAAUUGUCUUCCUUUGAAUGAGAUCAAUUCAAACCUGCCAAACAACAGGACUCGAGCAUUUCGCUCGGCAUUCAUUUUUUUCCUUUGAAAAGAUUAAAUUCUUGUUAGGCUGAUUUAGAUGAAGGUAUUAAGUGUCAAGGAAUGAACCUCAUUUCGUUGGCACUUGAAUACCAUCAUCUAAAGCACGCCUAACAAAAAUUUAUUCUUUUCAAAGGAAAACAUGAAUGCCGGGUGAAAUGCUUGAGUCCUGUUGUUUUGCAGGUUUGAAUUUAUCCCAUUCAAAGGUAACAUAAUUGUUGGAGUUGGAAUGCACAUUCCAACUGCAACAAUUGUCUUACCCUGGAUGGGGCAAUUCAAACUUGCUAAUCGGCAGGACUCCAGUAUUCGAUGAGCAUCUUGAACAAUGGUAUUCAAGUGUCAAGGAAUGCACCUCAUUCUGUUGACACUUGAAUACCAGCGUUCAAGAUGCUAAUCGAAUACUGGUGUCAUGCUGCUUGGCAAGUUUGAAUUUGCCCCAUUCAGUGGUAAGAUGAUUGUUGCAGUUGGAAGGUAAAUUUCGGAAUGUAAUGUAAUAUGUAAUACAAUGUAAUGUGAUAACAUAUAUUUUGUUUUGAAUGGAACAAUAAUUAUCUUAUUUUGUUUUCAAAUUUAUUUAUUCCAAAUGCAAUUUUAUUAUAAGCACCAUAAUGUCAAACAAAAUGUGCGCGACACAAAAAUUAAACAUAAAAAAAUCCAAAACAAUUAGGCAUUAAAAGUCAUUACAUUUAUUCUUCCUCGUCACACAAAUCAAUUGGCUUGUCCGCUACAGUCCCUGCAGUACCUUGUUUUGGUCGAGGACCGAAAUAACAUGUCCUCUCGCUCCUCCUCAACCUCGAGUGAUUGUACACUGGCACCUUCGAACCCUUCUUUUUUUCAGAACCAUUGCAAACAAUUCCAUGCCACGUCAUAGGUGAUUUUUCUUUUUUCUUCUCAUCAUCGUGAACGUUACCCUGAUUCUGAUUCUGAGAUAUAUCUACAUUAAAAAAAAAAAUGGCGAUCAAUUCAACCUAUACUAACCUAAACUAUCCUAACAAUUCUAACCAUUCUAACCUAAACUAUCCUAACAUAUCAUAAAAUCAACAAAUCAAUAUAAUCGAAAUUUAACAAAAAAUAACAUACAAUUCGACCACAAAGCAACAAUACAAUAGAAUUCAAAAAACUUACUUGUUUUUGUUAUUAAAAUUGGCUUGUAAUGGCUUCAAAUGACUCAAAAUCGCACCUUGGAUAAUUAAAACGCAAACUUGGAGUUUUGGAAACUCCUAUGCAGUUCUGUUCUUAUAACAUUUUCCUCGGUAGUUAAAUGUCGAGGUUUUCCUCGGCAGUUAACUGCCGCCGACUUCCUAAAAACUUCGGCAGUUAACUGCCGAGGAGCAUUUGCGUAAUUUACUUGUGUGGCAUAGCCAAACUAAAUGUGAGAAAAGCAAUUCUCGAUAAACAAUGCCUAUGUUGUCAAAAAUAUCGGAUUAAAGCAAUGAGAGAAUACCAAAUCAGCUCAACCAUGCAAAAUCAACUCAUUUUGGACUUGAAAUACACAACAUGACAUUACAAUUCAAGAAUAAAAAAAAAGAAGUCUUUGCUUUGGUAGAGUAACAACAACAAACUAUUAAAACUUCAAACAAAGAAAAUAAAUAUUGUAAAAGAAAUAAAUGAGGAUAAUCAGAUAGUUUUUUUUUUUUUGGUUACGGAUAAUCAUAUAGUUAACUCAUCCAUAAAACAAAAUACUAGUAUUCAUACAAUUUAAAAAUUAGUUAAUUUCUAUAGUUCAAGAAAUAGAAUCUUAAAAAAUGACAAUGUUUUAUUAAAAGACAGAGACACAUGGUCAUAUGACCUGCCCCAUGAAGAAAAACAUGGACCUAUGCCUUACUUUGACAAUGUUUUAUUCUGUCGGCCACGUGAACGUUUGCUCACAAUUAUUGACCACCUACUUUUCUGACUUUCUACUUUCAUUGCAUUUAUUUUCAAAGGUCUCCAGCUUGGUUCAGCACUCAUUCUAUCUAAACUAAUUUCUCAUCUUCUUAUCUUUUCAACUCUUUAAUUUGUUUUCACAAAAACAAUGGCUGACGCUUUGCUUGGAUUUGUUUUUGAAAACUUGACGUCUCUCCUUCAAAAUGAAUUUUCUACCAUUUCUGGAAUCAAAUCAAAGGUUCAAAAGCUAUCAGACAACUUAGUUCACAUCAAGGCUGUUCUUGAAGAUGCUGAGAAGAAACAAUUCAAAGAACUCUCUAUUAAGCUAUGGUUACAAGACCUCAAAGAUGCUGUUUAUGUGCUCGAUGAUAUCCUUGAUGAGUACUCGAUCGAGUCUUUUCGACUGAGAGGAUUUACCUCUUUCAAACUAAAGAACAUCAUGUUUCGCCAUGAGAUUGGUAACAGGUUCAAAGAGAUUACAAGGAGGUUAGAUGAUAUUGCUGAAAGUAAGAACAAGUUUUCUCUACAGAUGGGUGGAACUCUUAGGGAAAUCCCAGAUCAAGUAGCUGAAGGGCGCCAAACCAGCUCCACCCCUCUUGAAUCAAAAGCGCUGGGAAGAGACAAUGAUAAAGAAAAGAUUGUCGAGUUUCUUCUCACCCAUGCGAAGGACUCUGACUUCAUUUCUGUCUAUCCCAUUGUUGGUUUAGGUGGUAUUGGAAAAACAACUCUUGUUCAAUUGAUCUACAAUGAUGUUAGGGUGAGUCGCAAUUUUGAUAAAAAAUUUUGGGUUUGUGUUUCUGAGACUUUCUCGGUCAAGAGGAUUUUGUGUUGUAUUAUAGAAUCUAUUACAUUAGAGAAGUGUCCUGACUUUGAGUUAGAUGUCUUGGAAAGAAAGCUGCAAGGAUUGUUGCAAGGGAAAAUAUAUUUGCUGAUUUUGGAUGAUGUGUGGAAUCAAAAUGAACAAUUGGAAUCUGGGUUAACACAAGAUAGAUGGGAUCGUUUAAAAUCUGUUUUGUCGUGUGGAUCAAAAGGUAGUUCCAUUUUAUUGUCCACCCGUGAUGAGGUUGUUGCAACUAUCAUGGGAACAUGGGAAACUCACCGUUUGUCUGGUCUCUCUGAUAGUGACUGUUGGUUGUUGUUCAAACAACAUGCAUUUAGACGUUACAAAGAGCAUACAAAGUUUGUGGAAAUAGGAAAGGAGAUAGCAAAGAAAUGUAAUGGAUUGCCACUUGCAGCAAAAGCAUUGGGGGGUUUGAUGAGCUCAAGGAAUGAAGAAAAUGAAUGGCUUGAUAUUAAAGACAGUGAGCUUUGGGCUUUACCACAAGAAAAUUCUAUUUUGCCUGCUUUGAGGCUGAGUUACUUUUAUUUAUCACCAACCCUAAAGCAAUGUUUCUCUUUUUGUGCUAUAUUUCCCAAGGAUAGAGAAAUCCUAAAAGAAGAAUUGAUUCGACUUUGGAUGGCUAAUGGAUUUAUUUCAUCUAUGGGUAAUUUGGACGUUGAAGAUGUUGGAAACAUGGUUUGGAAGGAAUUGUACCAAAAAUCAUUCUUCCAAGAUUGCAAGAUGGAUGAAUAUUCUGGAAACAUUUCUUUUAAAAUGCAUGAUCUUGUCCAUGAUCUCGCUCAAUCAGUAACGGGGAAAGAAUGUGUGUAUUUGGAGAAUGCAAACAUGACUAAUUUGACAAAAAACACACACCACAUAAGUUUUCACUCUGAAAAAUUGUUAUCAUUCGAUGAGGGUGCCUUCAAAAAAGUUGAAUCCUUACGAACAUUGUUUGACUUGGAGAAUUAUAUUGCAAAAAAACAUGAUCACUUCCCAUUAAACAGCUCUCUUCGAGUUUUAAGCACAUCCUUUCUACAGGUCCCAGUAUGGAGUUUAAUUCAUUUAAGGUAUUUGGAAAUUCAUUCUCUUGGCAUAAAAAAGUUGCCUGACUCAAUUUACAACUUACAAAAACUGGAAAUCUUGAAAAUAAAACACUGUAAUAAACUUAGUUGCCUUCCGAAACGCUUGGCUUGUUUACAAAAUCUUAGACAUAUAGUCAUUGAAGAAUGUCGAUCUUUGUCUCGAAUGUUUCCUAACAUUGGAAAAUUAACUUGUCUAAGAACAUUAAGUGUGUACAUUGUUAGUUUAGAGAAAGGGAAUAGCUUGACAGAGUUACGUGAUCUAAACCUCGGUGGAAAACUGAGUAUCAAAGGAUUAAACAAUGUUGGCAGUUUAUUUGAAGCUGAAGCGGCUAAUUUGAUGGGUAAAAAAGACCUUCAUGAAUUAUACUUGUCAUGGAAAGACAAACAAGGAAUUCCAAAGACCCCUGUUGUUAGUGCUGAGCAAGUACUCGAAGAGCUUCAACCUCACUCAAAUCUCAAAUGCUUGACAAUAAAUUACUAUGAAGGAUUAUCAUUACCAAGUUGGAUAAUUAUUCUUAGUAAUUUAGUUUCUCUUGUACUUCUCCAUUGCAAGAAAAUUGUGCGGCUUCCGUUACUUGGUAAACUACCAUCUCUAAAAAAACUGAGAUUAUAUGGUAUCAAUAAUCUGAAAUACUUGGAUGAUGAUGAAUCUGAGGAUGGUAUGGAGGUGAGGGUUUUCCCCUCUCUGGAGAUACUCGAAUUAUCUUGUCUACGAAACAUAGUGGGGUUAUUGAAAGUGGAAAGAGGGGAGAUGUUUCCUUCUCUUUCUAAAUUGGUAAUCGAUUGUUGCCCUAAACUUGGACUGCCAUGUCUUCCAUCUCUUAAAGACCUCUAUGUUUACCCUUAUUUGCCUCAUAUUCCAAAAAUAGAGUUAUAAGAAGCAGAGACGUUUACCCUUAUCUGCCUCAUUAGCCAUCACAAAAAUCAAUUUUACUGGUAGGAUCUCUAUUUACCCUUCUUAUGUUUGCAUUUCAACUGCUCAAAAAUCUUUAUUUUUAUUCUCGUUGUUGACUUCUUUGGAACGCAUCCCGCAGAAAGAGUACAUGAAAGAUAUUUUACUACUCAACCAACCUAAGGACAAUUGUUCUAAUUCAGGUAAUUUUCUUCAUCAUAAUUUUAUUUUUUUAAUUUUAUUUUUUGAACUUUUUUUAAAUUUUGCUGAUUUUGUGGAGAUUGAACUGAAUGGUUAGGAUUUCCUUUGACACACAAGGGUGGGGUCGACAAAUAAAGGGAUUAAUAGGUUCCUAAUGAUGAAGAUGACAUCGUUCGGAGUGGAGGAUGUGACAAUGAGUCCGGUGGUGGUAGAGGUUUUCGCUUUUGAUCAUUGGGGCGUGGGUCGGAGCUCUGUGCACAAUAGAAAGUCUGAUCAUCAAGGUUUUUAUUGGUCUUUACUCUUUUGUAUUUAUUUGCUUUAGAUUGUUUAUUUGAAUGAUAUAUUGUUUGAUAAUAAUUUGAAGAAAUGAAAGUUUUUGAAUGUAAUUAUAUGGGUUGGUGUCAUAUCAGUAUCUAAACAUCAGACAUGUCAUCAAUAUGAAGUGUUGGUGCUACAUUAAUUUGAAUAAUUUACAAACAGUGAAAUGGAAAUUUGAAUAUUGGUGAAUGAUUAUUGGGUGCAGAACAGUGAUCAUGGCAAAGGAUGCAAUUACUUUGUUGGGUCAUUUAGGUUGGAAAAAGGCUCAUGUUUUUGGGCAAUUAGCGGGUUAUUAUUUUGUGUGUGUGUUUCUCUGUCUUUGAUUUGAUUAGGUUGAGUUUAUUUGUGUGUUUAUUUUUAAAUAGUUUGCCUAUUGAAACAGGAUCUAUGAUAGCUUGUAAAAUAGCAGCAAUGGUUCCUGAUAGAGUUCUCUCCCUGACAGGAGAUUUUCAAUGUUUUCCAGAGGUAUAUCUCCCUUUUAUAAUUCUUUGAACAUUUUGAUUUAUUUUUACGGCACUGUGAUUAGAGCAUUGACGACGCAAUAUUUGUAAGACGUUAACUACAUCAAUGAUUGCUAGCCACACUUUUUAAUUACAAACUUAGCUCAUGACGAGUGGACCUGCAUACGUAAUAAGUAUAAUUUGUUGGUACAGAUUUUAGGUGAUCCUUUAGGACAAUUUUAGUUGAGAAUUUAUCUUUCUAUGGUUUUGAGUCAGAAUUUUGUUGAGAAUUUCAUAGUACUAAAAUUGUCUUGGUAUGUUAUUUGCUAAUUUUUAAAGAAUAUUGACGGCUGUUGAUUCAGACACUAAACUCUGUUGAUUCAUGCAUAUUUGAUUUCUAAGUAUUUCUCAAGACAGUUAUCUGGAAGAAGAUGUAUGCUAGUUUUAUCUCUUCCCUGCAUCUUCUUAUCCCCAAACUACUUUCUAAUUUAAAUUUCUAUAUGCAGGAAUCACUUACUUUCUCUGUUUUUGUAUGGAAUAUGUCUACGAGUAAAAUUAUUGUGAGAAUUGGGCCAUAUCUUUAGAAUUGACGCUGAGCUUGUUAAUGCAACAAAUCAAAAUUCUUGGUUCAAGCUAUUAGCCAGGUGUGUAUACAGCUCUUCAUUAGGAAGGUGUGUAUUUAGCUAUUUCAUGAUUCUAGUCGAGUCACUCAUGUUAUUUCAUUAUGUUUGUGUCAGAUAUGUUGUGGAAUGCUGCUGACUUGCAGCCAUGUUUGUGUCGGACAAUUUUAUUUAUCAAGUUGUGUUGUGUCCACUGCUUUUCCUGAAAGCAAGAGGAUGCUUCAGCUGAACCACAGAAUCUAUAAGAGGUGAUGAUUUUGGAUGAUAUGAAUGAGAAAUCAACCGUUUAAUUUGAUAACAAAGUGAAUUUUACAUCUUUUAACUCUUUAUAUUUUAGUAUAUUAGCAUUAGUCAUAUCACUUACAGAGAGCAUCUCCUGUGAAACUGAACAGGUGACACUUAUUUCGCUUUGAACUAUGGAUAUUGUUGAAUGUGAGGAAUUGAGAUCCCUGCCAUAAGGUAUUUGACACCUCACUUCACUUGAGUUUUUGAAUAUUCGUGGUUACCCAUAAGGAAUUGAAGACAUUUUUUAAGAGACUUGAUUUAUGUGAACCUUGUGAUUUUGUCUGAGACGAAAUCGAUUAAAAUUGUCAACCUUAUGGGUCAGAUUAUCGUUAUCGCGUUUCCACUUCCAUUGAUGCUGGUAUUGAUAAGAUAUAGAUCUUCAUUCCUAUAGUAUUAAUUUUAACAUAUACUACUAGAUUUCAAUUUGAUUUCAUGUAUUCAUGAAAAUAUGCAGGUGAUGGUCCUUCAUUUAUGAAAUAGCCCUUUCAUGUAUAAUAUAUUUAUGAAAGAGUCGGAGUUUCAUGUUCGAUCACGGGAAACACCAAUAUUAGGAAUGAAGUUUGCUGCUGAAGAUUUCAAUUUCCUUUAACUGAUAGCUCUUUGCUGGUUAUGGUUAAUUUCAAGGUAAGGCAUAGUUCAUAUCUUAGUGAAUACUUUAACAUGAAUUUUCUGCCUCGUCAAACUAAUUUAUUUUAACAUACAUGUCGAAACUUUAGUUGGCUUUCUUUUUAUUGCAUGCUUCAACAAAGUAAUACUCUUUCCACCUCCUUGUGGUUAGAGUUGGUUUUCAGGACUUUAUAAUGCUAAUUACCUUCACAUAUCAUUUUUUAACCAAACAUAUUUAAAAUUCCAUCCUUAUAGCAAAGAAAAAAAUAGUAUAUUGUAUAUGUAUGGUAAGAUUUUAUAAAGGAAUUGAGUGUAUUUUGGUCAUACAUACAGGCAAGGGACUGAAUGUAUUUUGGCCUGAAAAAUCAAUCUCCAAAGAAGGCAGUGAACAAUGGUGAUCCAACACAAUAGCCGAACUUAAUUCCAACUAAUAACAGAUGUUGAAAGAGUUAUAUAUAGCUUCGCCUAAGCCUCAGGAGGCUGUCCUUGAUUUUACGAUAUCUACUAGUAGUAAUGUUGCUGAAAUAAGGGAUUCUUUGUAUUAAUCUCUUUCCCAUUCCUCUAGUGUAGUUUUUUGUUGGUGAGCUUAUAAUCAGACAUUUUGUGCCUUGGUUGUACCAAACAAUGUACAUACAUUUUUUAUUUAAAAGGGACAAAUACUUUUUUGAAUUCAUACUUAAUCAAGUAACUACGAGAUAUUUUUGUCAUUUAUAAAAUUCACUUGUCAACAGAAAUGUAACCAGACAAAGAAUUCAAUAAACAUGGCACAAGUUAUCAUCAGCACACAUGAAUGAUCCUUAAGAAGGGACUUCAGCUUGAGGAUAUGUAAUAUAAUAAUAUUGAUUUCCUUCACAAAUUAGCUUCCACUGAAUAUAUUUAAGAACUCAUCCUUGUUUUAUUUCAAAUUCUUGUUUCUUAUCUGUUCAGUAAGUGAACUUGUUAUAAAUAUCCGUGUCUGGGGAGUUUGUUUAUAAUAUUUCAUGAUAAGAACUAGGAUUCGACAUAAAACAAAGUCAAUAGAAUUCUCGAUCUCUCAAACUCUGAAAUGCUUAUUAUUUUAAUGAUUCUAGCUAGAGCAAAGUGAUUGUGCCUGAGUCAAACACAUCUGAUGUGAAGGGUGGUUGUGCAUGAGUCGAACGCAUCUGAUGUGAAAAUGGGAAAUAUUAGUGAAUAUACACUAUCGGCGUAAAAUUGGUUUGCAUUAACGUUCAGAUAGAGCUCACUGUUUUCAUGUUUUGCCAAGCUAUGUUUUCAUCUCUACAAUGCAAUUGUAUAAUUCUUCUUUUCCGCCAUGCCCCCCUCGGCCUCAUCAUCGAACUUAGUUGAUUCUCCAAAUUAUUAAAAUCAAACCACCAUAGAAUACCAAUAUAUUAAGCAAGGUUCCCUAAUUAUCCUGGUUUAUGCACAAUUUAUCUGGCGCCGAUAUUUGUUGGUGCACUCUCCCUCUCUUUUUCUUCUUUGUUAAACUGUGUGAUUACUUGUAAUAUUAGAUAGCUUGCGCAGCAGGUUACUCUGCCAUUCCAUAGAUCUUUACUGUGUACUAGCAUCAUAUGAUUCUAAUCCUAGAUAAUAGUUUGUUAGAGUUAGUUAGGAUCAUAUACAGCUUUAUAUUAGCUUUGUUGUAACCAAUUUCAGAUCAAUUCAUAGAAUAAAACCUAAAUAGGAUUAGAAGAAAACCUUUGUAUAAUCUAAAGACAAUAUACACAAAUAAUAAUAUUGGAGUUGUGAACCUAAAGGAUACAAAUAGAAAAGGAAAAAAAAAGAGCUGAAAUGGUUGAUAACAACACUUAGAAUAAUUCUGGCAAUGUUAAUGACAUGUCUUAGGCUAGUGGAACAACUAACUUGGAACAUAGUAUCGAUGCUAACACUAUUCAUGAUCACUAACUUAGUCAAUUAAAACAUCAACCAGAUUCUCACCAUGCUCCCUAGCAAUGUUGAAAUCUUUAAUGCCGUCCAUUCUCUUAACAAGGGCUCUGAUGGAUUUGGAGCAUUUUCCUUUCAAACUUAUUGGAAAUUAUUAAACUGGAGGUUAUAAAUGUUGUUAUGCAAUUCCUCUCAAAUGGACGGCUUCUUCCUAAUUUUAAUCCAAAAACUAUUGUUUUGACCCCAAAGGUCCCUAAUGCUGAUAAUGUGAAUCAAUUUAGGUCUAGAGCAUUAGCCAACUUCAAGUUCAAAUUCAUUACAAAAAUCAAUGCUAGAAGAUUAACUUAGAUCAUGCCAUUAUAAAAAAUAUGUUUGAAUUACAAAGCUAUAUAUAGAUUUGUCAAUGUUUGAAAGGUCUUGGCCUAGUCUCCCUUUCUGUUUGUUUUCUUUCCUUUCUUUGAAUAUAACGUAACUAUGUGAUACACUUAGAGCAUCACCAUUUAUAAAAACAAAAAAAAUAUAUUGGCAUUUGCCAAAUAUUUUGAUACUUUAGACUGGCACUUUCUAAUAAGGAUUCUCAAAGCUUUUGAUUUAAACUGUACUUUUUGCAAUUGGAUAAAUUGUAGUCUCAAAUCAACAAUGCUUUCUAUGUUGUGAAUGGCAAACAAGAAGUCUACUUUUCUUUUAAGAUACGGGAUAGACAGAGAGACCCCAUCUCCCAUUUACUUUCAUGUCGUAAUAAAGAAGUCAUCAGUGUAACAUCUAAGACUGUUUUUAGGAUUGGCGAUUGACCCCACAAAUUAAUACGAGUCUUUUUAGUAUGUUUUGUUCUCUCUCGCACGCUUUUCAAGAAACUUUUUAGAAUGUCACCCGUCCCAAAAUUGCUCCAAGUUGAGCACGCUUAAUUGUGGAGUUCUUAUGGUUUGACCUACCGAAAAGAAGAUGCAUCUUGUUUUUAUAGGUAGUACCAAACAAUUCAUAUAAGCCUUCCUUCAACAAUGAUGUCCCAUACUUGCACAACCUCAGGAUCCCUCUCAUUCUGAUGUGAUUCGGUUUUGCCAAUAAGCGUGUCAGGAGUCGGACCACUACAUGCCCUUGUCAGUCUCGGACGUUACAUGCCCACCAAGUGGAGGCGUUACAUUCUCAACUGCUUCCGCUUGGUUCAUCCCCGAACCACAUCAAACUGGAGAGGUCUACUUUGAUACCACGUGUAACAUCCCAGACUGCUUUCAAGAUUGUCGAUUGACUCCACAAACCAACAGGAGUCUUUUCAGCGUGUUUUGUCCUCGCUCGCACGCUUUUCGGAAAGCUUUCAAGAAAGUCAUCCAUCCCAAAAUUGUUCCAAGUCAAGCACGAUUAACUGUAGAGUUCUUAUUGUUUAGGCUAAAACAAUUUAUAUCUUGUAUUUAUAGGUAGUAUAAAACAAUUUAUAGAAAAACGACACACAUAAAAAAUAUUAAUUUACUUCUUAUUGUAGUGCAUUAGUAUUAUUUUAUAGUGAUAUUCUAGUUUUUCUUAUCUUCUAAAAUCCAACAAGACGUGGAGGCUAUUAAAACUAAUUUUUUUAUUUUUUAAGCCAAAUAGGGAAUAUACUCCCUCCGUUUCAUAAUACUUGUCCAUUUUAGAGAAUAAUUUUGUUUCACAAUACUUGUCACUUUCAAGUUUCAAUGCAACAUUAGUUAUUGUCUUGUCAAUAAUACCCUUGCAUAUUUAUUGUAGAGAGAGAAAAAAAUAAAAUGAAAUAAUAGAUGAUUAAGGGUAUUAUAAAAAACACACACAUAUUUUCAUCAAAAAUAACAAAAUUUAUUUGGUUUCUUGGUUAGUGCAAUUUCUCCAAAAUGGACAUGUAUUUUGAAACGGAGGGAGUAAUAAAUAAAAAGGAAGACAUACAAAGACUGGGGCAUAGGACCUGACCCAGGGACAACCCAAACGGGGAUACAACAUGAUAAAUUAGUCUAGGAGGAUCAACUCUAAAUUAUCCUAACAUAAAUUCACUAAAUACGAGCGCUACCCAACGAAUCCGCGUACAGGUGCAAAACUAGGUUAAAAAAAGAAUGAAAAGUGAAAAUCCGCACAGGACAUCUAGAGAAUGAAAAAUAGGCUAUUAAAACUAAUUAAAAUGUAAGAGUAAUAUAAAAUUUGAAGUGUUUCUCAUAUCUUCUAAAACCCAACAAGACAUCUAAAUUAUUAUUUAUUAUGACAUCAAAAUAAAAAUAAAGACUAUGAAGUAAGGUAAAAUUUAUUUAUCAACCUAACUCUUAAAGUUAUUCUUAUAAGGCUGAUAUGCCUAAAUUGUAUAACAUGAUGAUACCUUCAAAAUUAAUGGAGAAGAGGACAAUCAAAAUAAUAAUCUUUAUUGACUUAAAGUAAGUUUUUUUUUUUUUUUUUUUUUUUUUUACAAUAAAGUAAGCUUAUUACAGUAGAACACUAUAACUACAAGUUUCAUCAAAUUAAAAAAAUAAAGGAAAAUGUUAACUUGUGUCUUUAAGGCACAAACUAAUGAAACAAAUAUAGAAAUAGUUUAUUGAAAUGUGUGCAUUACAUUUAAUUUUUAAUUUUUUAAUGAGUUGAAUGCACAAAAUUUUAUACUCCCUCCGUCCCUUAAUAAGUGACACAGUUGACCCAAUUACGCAUACCAAUGCGUAAAUUUGAGUUUAAAUAUCUUGAAUAAUAUAUUGGAAAAAAUUAUGAAAAUUUGAUAUUUUGAAAAUACUCAUCGAGACGAAUCUAACGACAUCUUAUAUGAUAUUAUUUAUCUUUGUAUAUUAAUAGAAAAAUAUGGUCAAAAUAAGUUAGGUCAAAAUUGCACAUUUUCAAAUAUGUCAUUUAUUGCGGGAUGGAGGGAGUAAAAUAUUUCUUUUUUAAAGUUUUAAUGGUCCGAAACUAAUAGAAUCGUAAGUGCGCUGCUACCAAUUCACAUUUGUGAUUAAUGCAUUUAUAAAUAUAAAACAAGUUCCCACUUUUUGGACAAUCAGCAUCAAUUUGACAUUCAUCACUUGCUGUAAUAAGAAGAAAAAAAGUCAAGAAAAUAAUGUUACUACAUGAUUGUGUACGAGCCACAAAGUAAAAAAAGAAAUUUGAAAAGAAUAAAAGGAAUGGCUUACCAACACCAAAUUUCGUUGCGAUGAGAAAUAAGGAAAUAAAUAGAAUCCUGACACAAACAAACUUAAGAAUUUGAACCAUAUUUUAUCUUGUUUGAGUGUAAAAAAUAGAAAAUGAUUUGGUCUAUUUAUAAUUUUCCUGCUCUCUAAAAUAAUGAAAUAUUUUUAGCACUUACAAAGUUGAAACCGUCGUUCAUAAUAUUAUGAUCAUUAUUAAAUAUUUAUUAAGUAUAUCAAUGUGUUGUGUUUGUUCUUUUAGCACACUUAAGGUGAGUCAAAUAACAAAAUUACUAAUCAUUAAAAUUCAUUCUUUAUAUUUAACUUUUAUUUACUUUUUUUAAAGUUAAAAGUUUUUUUUUUUUAAGAAGCUAAAAUGAAUUAUAUUACCACCUCAAAAGAGUCUUUCCUAGCACAAGACGUACUAAGGAAAAAACAACAAUGUCCUAUUACAAUCUCCAGUACAAAGCUAAAGAUAAAAGAGAAGAAACAUUAGCCUAUGCCCAUAAUAGUAAACGGGCUAAUCCACCACCCGUGGUAAUUGAGGGGAAGAGAGGAAUACUUCGCCUUCAACCACGUAAAGGCAAGCGACUUAAUAUUGUCUACCACCUGAUUAACCGAGCAUUCUUUGACAUUAAACAGCAUAUUGUUUCUUUCCUUCCAAAUUUCCCAAACAACUGCAUACCAAAUAACCUGAAGAAUAGAGCGAUGUGCCUUUGUGAAACCACCACCCAAACUAAACUGGUUAAAAUGAUCGGACACCUGAAAAGGGGAAGCCACGGACAAGCCUAACCACCUAUGAAUAAAGUGCCAUACAGAACCAAAAAAAUUACAAUGUAAGAACAAAUGAUUUGAAGUUUCCAGAGAGCCACAACCAGCGACACAAAGCCUGGAAGUUUGGUUAAUAACACCACGACGGAACAAAUUAUCUUUUGUGGGCAAUCUAUCUCGAAACAACCGCCACGCAAAGAGCACCACCUUCAACGGAAUGUCUCUAUGCCACAAAAAACAAGCAUCCACUGAAAGCACUAAAGGAGGUUGAAGAGUAAGAUAGUUAUAGGCACUUCGGACAGUGAAGACACCUGAAGAUUCUAACGUCCAAAGCCAUUUAUCAACCUUCGCAACCUGUAAAUUCACAUUCUGAAGCAAUAAUAUUAGAUCCCCGAAUAACCCUUCCUCCCAUACAAACAACCUCCGCCUCCAUGUCCACGCCUCACCGCCUACCCCCCAACCUAAAUGACACAUAUCAAACACCGAGUUCCCCUUAAACACCGAUAAUUCAUAUAGUCUAUUAAACCUGACCCUAAACUCCUCUCCACCACACCAAACGUCCGACCAAAAAAGAGUAUUCUCCCCAUUACCUACCGCCCUCCUGACGUGGUUAGUGAACCACUCCUCCCUAUAUAUUGCGUAAACAUCAUGCCACCACAACGAAGCCUCGCGGCCUCCUCCCAACAGCCUCCCUCCCUCCAACCCAUACCUCGCUACCAACACCCUAAACCACAAAUUGACAUUAUCCUCCAACAACCUCCAACACCAUUUCCCUAACAACGCUAAAUUAAACUCCCUAAUUCUCCUUACCCCCAAACCACCAACCUCCUUACCACGACAAAUAGUGUUCCAAUCCACCCAAGAUAUUUUCCUGUGGUCAUCACCCCCCCCCCCCCCCCCCCCCCCCCCCAAAAAAAAAAAAAAACAAUUUAAAAUAGAUUCGAAAGAGGAUACGAUACCUGACAAACAAAGUUUUCUUUUAGACCAUCGUAAUAUUAUUAUUUUGGAAUAAUAUACAUAAUUGGAGAUGAGAAAUAAGUAGAGUGUAUUGUAGGAUCAACUUUUAUUGUUGAUAAAAUCGUUGAAUUAAAAAAAACACCUUUCCUUGAUUUAAAAAAUUGAUGUGUAUUUUAUAGAACUUUUUUUAUUCAAUAAUAUUUAAGGUUCAAAAACUCAACCUAAAAGUAGUGGUUUAGGGACAACCUAAAUGCAGAUGACAUUUAUUUGUAAGAACAAUUAAAAGUAAUAAAAUUUCAGCGUCUAACAACAUCAUAUAUAUAUAUAUAUAUAUAUAUAUAUAUAUAUAUAUAUGGGUUUUGCUAGAAGACAACUUUUAUCAUCGGCGGAGCUAGGAAAAAAGUAUAGGAUGGGCUAUAAAUAGUGAUGGGGCUUAAUUUUCUUACAGGUACAUUUUAUCAUUGGUUAGUUUCAAUGACUACAAAUUUGUUAUUUGUUGAAUAUAAUUCAAACCGGUAUUUUAAAAUCUGAACCGUUUAUCAACCUUGAUAAAGUACAAGAUAAUUGAUCGAACAACUAGGUCAUUAAACCUAACGACUGAAUUAAAUGACUCAACUUCAAUAAACAGAUGUAUAGGUAUUAAAUCGAAUUGAAUCAAACGACUGAGUAAAAAGAAAAACUCAUGACAUAUGUAUAUUAAUGUAAAAAAGAUCAUUACAUAAGAAAAUAUACUUAUAAUCAAGUACAAUAAUGAAAUCAUAUUGUCCUUGCCUCAAUUAUUUUUAUGAUUUCUAACAAAUUCUAUUUUAUUUUAUUUAUGAUUUCUAAAAAUUAUUUUUAUUUUUUAGAAAAUAGGAAUGAAUCAUAUUUAAACUAAGAUCAAUAUGAUAUCUGAAGUAAGAAAUGAUGUUAGUGAUUGGCCCUUGCCUCAAGUCACUAACGUUGAUGAAUGGGUUCCUUUUGAAGGGCAACUAUUUGAAGAUAAUGAAUAUGUAAAUUCUUUAACAUUUCAAGAGCUACAACAUGAACCCUUGCCUCAAGUCAACAACAUUGAUGAGGGGGUUCCUUUUGAAGGGCAAGUAUUUGAAAGUGAUAAUGUUGCUUAUGAAUUUUAUUGUUUAUUUGCAAAACAAAAUGGAUUUUCUAUUAGGCGUGAUCACAUUUAUAAAUCUAGUAAAAAUGUGUCUGAAGAGAAUCCAUCGGGUGUUUAUAAGAGGGAAUUUGUUUGUCAUCGUGGUGGUAUUGUUAAACCACGCAAAACUGUUGAAGUGGAAAAUCAAAGGAAACGAAAAUCUUCAAGAUGUGAUUAUGGUGCAAAGAUGGUAGUUAAUAAGAGAACAAUUGUCUUUGAGAAAAAAUGGGUGGUUAAAUAUUUCAACAAUUCUCACAACCACGAGUUAUUGGAUAACAAAGAGGUUCGAUUUCUUCCUGCUUAUCGUAACAUUCCAAUUGUUGAUCAAGAUCACAUACUAUUAUUAUCUAAAGUUGGUUGCUCUGUAAGUAUUAUAAUGAGAGUGCUUGAGUUAGAGAAAAGAACGGGCACAGGAAAUUUACCAUUCUUAGAAAAAGAUAUUAGAAAUUUUAUUCAGUCAUAUAGUGGUAUUGGUAAAGAAAGUGAUGCUGCAGAUGUUCUCAGAUUGUGCAAAAGUUUGAAAGAUCGAGAGGAGGCCUUCCAAGUUGAAUUCACAAUUGAUGAAAGUAACAAAUUGGAGCAUAUUGUUUGGGCAUUUGGUGAUUCAAUUCGCGCAUACGAAGCUUUUGGAGAUGUUGUAGUUUUUGAUACCACAUAUAGAAUAAACCGUUAUGGGAUGCCUCUUGGAAUAUGGGUUGGUGUUGAUAAUCAUGGAAAUUCAAUUUUUUUUGGUUGCGUUCUAUUGCGAAAUGAGAAGAUUUCUUCCUUCGAAUGGGCUAUAAAGGUAAAUUUCUAUUUACUCAAAGUUGUUAUCACUGUUAAAUUUUUAAAUUUGAAACUUUAUUAAAUUAAUUUAGAUUUAUGUUACAAUUUUCAGAGUUUCCUAGCUUUUGUGAAAGGAAAAUAUCCAAAAACAAUUCUUACCGAUCAAGAUCUUUCAAUUAAAGAAGCCAUUGCAACGAAAUUGCCAAACACAAAACAUGCAUUUUGUAUAUGGCAUAUUGUCGCAAAGCUGUCAAGUUGGUUUUCUUUUCCACUAGGUUCGAGAUAUGAUGACUUUAAACAUGAGUUUCAUAAGGUAUAUCAUUUAGAAUGUGCAGAUGAUUUUGAACGAGAAUGGAAAAUAAUGGUCUCACAGUUUGGUUUGGGCGUGGAUAAGCAUAUUGACUUGCUCUUUUCCCAUCGUAAAUUUUGGGCCUUAGCUUAUUUGAAGGACUUUUUUUUUGCUGGAAUGACAACAACAGGACGCUCAGAAUCGAUAAAUUCAUAUAUAAAAAGAUUCUUAGAUGCCAACAACAGGACGCUCAGAAUCGAUAAAUUGUUAUAUUUUUGUGUAGGUUGGUGUUGCUGUCAAAAUUAGAAAUCAAGCUGGAGAAUAGGCACGAAUGCGUCAAAAGUAUCAUAAUCCUCAUAUUACAACACAUUUUCCUAUUGAAGAACAUGCCUCGUCUAUACUCACACCUUAUGCCUUUAAGUUGCUUCAAUAUGAGAUCGAAUUAUCCGCAAAGUAUGAAGCAAUUGAAGCUGACAAUGGCUCUUAUGUUGUGCAACAUCAUACCAAAGUUGAUGGUGGUCGUAUAGUAAGUUUGAUAACAGAAGAAGAGUCAAUUCAUUGUUCUUGUAAAGAGUUUCAAUUUUCAGGAAUACUAUGUAGACAUGCAAUUCGAGUGCUAAUGUUGAAAAAUUAUUUUGUUCUUCCAUCAACAUAUCUUCCUUUUUGACGGAGACGAGAAAGUUCAUUGAUCCCAAAAUCUAGUCAUGUGAUUAACUGCAAUGAUGUAUCCUCUGCCAAAUUUCAAUCUCUAAUUCGAUGUUUGGAAGUCGAAUCAUUAAAGACAAGUGAACGAGAACAGGUUUCUACAAGAGAGUUAGAAAAUAUCAUCAUAAAGAUAAAAGGCAUGCCUGAAACUCAAGAACAUGUGAUUGAUUUGGAAGCGGAUGUUUCCAACAAUGACGACUACGACGUUGAAAAUCCUGUUGUUUCAAAAACAAAAGGUCGGCCAAAAGGAUCAAGACCAAAAGGAGGGGUUGAAGCUGCCAAGAAGCCUCGUCGUUGUCAUGUUCCAGAUUGUGGUGGAACUAAUCAUGACUCACGAAACUGUCCAAACAAAAAGAGAAAAAUGGAAGUAUUGCCUUCUCAAUCUCCUAAUAAGUAAGUUUUAAUUGGUGUGUCUUGUUCUACUCAUGACUAAUAUAUUAAAUUAAUGUUGACUGAAUUUUUAUGGUGCUUUGAUAGGAUCAUGAAGGGUUGGAAGUAGUCAUCUUGAAAUAGUGAAUUUGACAGAUGAAGCAGCCAAAUAGUUUAGAUCAAACCGUGUAAUUAGUGAAUUUUGUGGCUGCAAUCUGUAAGAUCAAACUAGCAGUAUAUUUUGUAGGAUUAUUAUGAUCAAAUUGUAUAAUUACUAGUAUAUUUUGUACCAGUAUAUAGCCUGUGUUUUGUUCCAGUUCGCCCAAUCUUUCUCUUCUUGAGAGGUCCUGUUUGGCUUAAUAUAUUAUUGCACAUUAUUAUGAUUAUGUGAAAUGUUGAUGUUAAUUAUUGAACAUCAAAUUGGUUAUUAAAAGUCAAAGAGUCUAAAAAAAAAAAAAAAAGUAAAAGAUCAAACUAGCAAUAUAUUUCUGUGAAAUAUAUUAUUGCAUAUUAUUGCACCUCUUAAAAAAGAAGUAAAAGAUCCAAUGAAAAAAUGUGUUCUCUUUUUGACAAACACAUUGGUUGUAGGAAGAGAGAGAAAAUGAUGAUUUCUAGGUGAAUGGGAAAUGACUUUAAAGGACGUGUAUUAUAUCAUUAUUGAAGAACAAUCUAAAUUUCCUUUGAUUUACAUGAUUGUGAAUUAAUUUGUAUUAGGAGAAGUGAAUCAAUCUAAAUUAAAUCAUUUGUAUUAUAUCAUUACGGAGGGAGUAACUAGUGGUUUAAUGACAAUCUAAAUUUCCUUUGAACAACCCCACAAACAACUUGAACCGUUUUUUUUUUUUUUUUUUUUUUUUUUUUGUCAAUUAACAACUUCAAAAUUUUAUUUCUUAAAAUACUCACAUUGAAAUAAUUAUUUUAUCCACGUUGGGUUUUGAUAAGGUAUAUAAUACAAUGAUAAGGUAAUUAUUUUAUUCAUAUUAAAUAAAAUAUUACCUCAAGAAAGAAAAAAAAGUUCAUGAUUGGUAAAUAUAUAUGUUUGGAUUGAUGAAAAUGCAAGUAGUAAAAUCUAAAGAUUCUCUACCCUAUGGUAUAAGUUACUACUAUAUAAGGCAAACUAUACUUCUCUCAAAAAAAUUAAAAAGGCAAACUAUACUAGCGAUAAAUUUACGUUAAAAUGACCCUCUUUUAAUUCAUAUAUAGGAAAAUGAAUUGAAAUUUUUUUCGCGGACAACGGUGGUAUUUUUUCCAAUUUUGGUGAAAACACUCUACAUUUUUUUUUUAUUGAUAAACGAAAUAACAAGAACUAUUGAAAACUCACGUAAAUGGAGGAGUCUAGUUCAAACCUCGACCACCAUAUCCAACAUAACAAUUUUAGUAUUUUAGAACUAUGACUUAUGUACAAAACACUACAUUUUAAAUAGAGAUUACUUCUUUAAAACUCAUCUCAAACAUGUUUUAUUGGAGCGACCGAGCGUGGGUCACCUUCAGUUUAGGAAACUCUCCCUUUUUGAGAGGGGCGGGUUGGUUAAACCCUUUUCUGAGGAUGAGAUUAAGGCGGCUGUGUGGGAUUGUGAUAGUUUUAAGAGUCCGGACCCUGAUGGGAUCAACUUGGGUUUUUUUAAGUCCUUUUGGCCUGAGUUGAAAACAGAUCUUGUGCGCUUUGUGACCGAAAUCCAUAGGAAUGGGAAAUUAACGAAAGGCAUAAAUUCUACAUUCAUAACCCUUAUUCCUAAAGUUGCUAGCCCACAAUCUUUGAAUGAGUUCCGCCCUAUUUCUUUGGUGGGGAGCUUGUACAAAAUUUGGUUAAUGCAACCUCAUCAUUUUAGGUGCAUUUCCCAUUUUACCCUACACCAUUUUUUUAAUUAUUUUAUUAUUUUUAUAUUUUUAAUAACUUUUACAAUUUUUAUUUUUUUAACUAUUUUUCAAUUUGUUCACCCAAAUUCAGUUGCUUCUAAAUUGCCGUUGUGGGAGAGUAAGAUAUCGCUUGAUUCGGGUUUUUUCCAACUUCUCUACAUUUUUAAGGAGAAGUUAGAUCAAACACACUAUCAAUUAUUUUAAUUUCAAUAUUGUUUAAUCAUCACAACCUCACAAAUAUUUUUAUUCACACUGUCAUUUAAUGAUACCAAAUACUAUUAUUUCCUUUCUUCAACCUCACAAAUAUUUACACACACAUUAAUGUUUAGAGUAAUAUUUUAUGUCCGUCUGUGUUUUUGUUAAGCUAAUGCAUAUAAUUUUUUUUAGUGUUGCUUGGUUGAGUGCUACCUCACCGAUUUGUUUUAACUAUUUUCCAAUUUUUAUACUUUUAAAUACUUUUAACUAUUUUCCAAUUUUUCCUCCCAAAUCCAGUUGUUUCUACACUGCCAUUGUGGGAGAUUAAGAUAUCGUUUGACCCGGUUUUUUUUUUUACUUCUCAACAUUUUUAAAAAGAAGUAAGGUCAAACACAAUAUCAAUUAAGUACUUGAUGAGUCAUUUAUUGACUAUUUUAAUAUGCUUUUUAGUUUAGUUUUAUUUAGAUUUUAUAUAAUUUUAUAUUAGUAUUAUUUCCUUUUUACGAUAGUUUACUUUAAAUUGCAUUUUAUUAUAUUUCAGGAAAGAAUAUUGGAUGGAUUGAGUCUUGGAGCAAAAGAAAGAGACUUGGAGCCGAUUGGACACAAAAAAUAUGAAGAUUGAGAGACAAAAUAUGUCUCCCACAAGUCAGAAGCCUAGCACGGCCCAUGCUAGCCUUGGCACGGCCGUGCCACCCUCCAGAGUGCCUUUUGCUGCUUUUGCUUAGAUUUUAAGCUACUCUAUUUUUGGCCCAAAUGUAAUAGCUUAGAUUUUAAGUCGAUCAAAUGCUAUAAAUAGAGUAGCCAUCCAUCACAAAUAUUCAUCUUUUCUUAGAAUGCAAUAUGUGACAAUUGUCUUUCUAAUAAAAGUUCAUUUACUUUAUUGUUAUUUACUUUUAUGCUUUCUCUCUUCUUCUCCUUGUCUACGAUAAACAUUAGUGAGUAGACUUCUCUUGUCUUGGGAUUGUUGGAUAAGCCUAAUGACAUAAUCCUAAUCAAACAAAGCUUUAAACCUUAAUCUUAUGUAACCCUAAUUCCUUAUCUAAAUUCACCGCUUUAACAUGGAUCAACCAUUAUCAAACUGUGGAAACGAAAGUGGAGGGUUUGAUAAUUGUUUAUCCAUCAUCUUAAAUAUCAAUUCAUAAAACGAAAGUGGAGCUUUGAUAUUCGAACAAGUGAAUUCAGACAAGGAUUGCAAAGUCAGCGAAAUAGGCUUUGCAAUCUUUGAGACAUAUAGUUUCGAUCUUCAAGGGAACUGAUAAUAAUCAAGUCAGCGAAAUAGGCUUGGUUGUUAGAGGAACCAAAAUCUAAUAGUAAUCAAGUCAGCGAAAUAGGCUUGGUUGCUAGAGGAACAUAAGAGAAACUGUCUUGAGAAAUUAGGUCUAACAUAACAUUAUAAGCUUAUAGUUUUGGUUUGAGAAGGACUUGUCAUUUAGAGGAAACCAACGAUCCCAAGGCUCUUUUUAUUAUUAUUAUUUUCUUCCAAACGCUUGAAAACCCCCAACUUACAAUUCUCUCCUCUCUUCUAAUCAUCUCUAAAAAGUUAAUUGAAUUGAACUACUCCCUGUCGGAACGAUACUCUUUUAUACUACUUCGGUAAGACCGUGCACUUGCGGUUUUAUCUCAUCAAGUUUUUGGUGCCGCUGCCGGGGAGUAAACUAAUUUGAUUAACUCUUUCCUUGUGAUUAGAACUCUCUUCUCUUCCUUUUUUUUUCUUCUACUUCUUUUGGCGAAAAUUCUAGCAAACAAGUUGAGGCAGGUUAUUGGAAGUGUUGUGUCGGAAACUCAGUCUGCUUUUGUGAAGGAUAGACAAAUUCUUGAUGGUAUCUUGAUCGCGAAUGAGGUGGUUGAUGAGGCAAGGAAAACUAAGAAAGACCUUUUGUUGUUCAAAGUGGAUUUCGAGAAGGCGUAUGAUUUUGUAGAUUGGGGGUACCUUGAUGAGGUGAUGGGGAGUAUGUCGUUUCCGACGGUGUGGCGAAAUUGGAUUAAAGAAUGUGUUGGUACUGCUACUGCCUCAGUUCUUGUGAAUGGAAGUCCUACUGAUGAGUUUUUUCUUGAACCGGGAUUACGUCAAGGUGAUCCUAUAUCUCCUUUUUUAUUUUUAUUGGCAGCAAAAGGUUUGAAUGUGUUGAUGAAAGCGUUGGUAGACACAGAUCUAUUUACGGGGUAUAGAGUGGGGAGAGAGAAUUCAGUGGUUGUGUCACAUUUACAGUUUGCUGAUGAUACGCUUCUUAUUGGGAACAAAAGUUGGGCUAAUGUGCGGGCGUUGAGGGCUGGUCUCGUCUUGUUUGAAGCUAUGUCGGGAUUGAAAGUUAAUUUUCACAAGAGUUCACUGGUAGGGGUUAAUAUUAAUGAUUCGCGGCUGUCAGAAGCGGCUUCUGUGUUGGGGUGCAAAGUAGGUAAAAUCCCGUUUCUCUAUUUGGGGCUCUCGAUUGGGGGCGAUCCGCGUCGACUUUUGUUUUGGGAACCUGUGGUGGAUCGUAUUAAAUCUAGAUUGUCUGGUUGGAAAAGUCGGUUCCUAUCUUUCGGUGGUCGUUUGAUUCUACUAAAGUCCGUCCUGACUGCUCUACCUGUCUAUGCACUUUCCUUCUUCAAAGCUCCGACAGGUAUAAUCUCUUCCAUUGAAUCUUUGUUUAAUAAAUUUUUUUGGGGAGGGAGUGAGGAAAAAAGAAAAAUAUCUUGGGUUAGGUGGGAGACUUUGAGUAUGAGGAAGGAGUAUGGAGGGUUGGGAGUUAAGAGGUUGAGGGAGUUUAACAUUGCUUUGUUGGGUAAAUGGUGUUGGAGGUUGUUAUUGGAGAGGGAUGCUUUGUGGAGACAGGUAUUAGUGGCUAGGUAUGGUGUGGAGGAUGGCGGUUUGGAGGAUGGGGGCCGGAGUUGUUCUUCAUGGUGGAGGGAGAUUGUGAGGAUUAGAGAUGGGAUAGGUGAGGGUGGAGAGGGUUGGUUUGGGACAUGUGUUAGGAGGAGGGUGGGAGAUGGUGCAGAUACUGAUUUUUGGCGUGAUUGUUGGUGUGGAGAUGUUCCUCUGUGUGUCCGGUUUAGACGCCUUUUUGACUUGACUGCUCACAAAUCAAUCUCAGUUAGGAAUAUGUUCCUGCUGGGGGUGGAUGUGGGCGGGGAGGCGUUGAGGUGGCGUAGGCGGUUGUGGGCUUGGGAGGAGGAGUUGGUAGAGGAGUGUAGGGCUUUGUUACUAACAGUUUCUUUGCAGGAAUCAGUGAUAGACAGAUGGCUCUGGUUACCUAAUCAUGAUGAUGGGUAUUCUGUACGUGGAGUCUAUGACAUGCUGACAUCACAGGAGCAGCCCCAGUUACACCAUAAUAUGGACUUAAUUUGGCAUAAACAGGUUCCUCUCAAAGUAUCUAUCUUUGCUUGGCGACUUCUGAGGGAUCGGUUACCUACAAAACUUAAUUUGGCAAAUCGUGGCAUUCUAUCUGUGGAGGAGCGGUUAUGUGUUUCUGGAUGUGGGAUUGUCGAAGAUGUUUCUCAUUUGUUUUUGUCUUGUACAACUUUUGGUGCAUUAUAGCCGAUGGUGCGGGAUUGGUUAGGCGUGGUAGGUGUCGACUCUCGAUCAACUUCAGAUCAUUUUGAGCAAUUUAUUAAUUAUGCAGGUUGUUCGAGAGGGCGACGGUCUUUCUUCCACUUGAUUUGGUUGCUUUGUGUUUCGGUGUUGUGGAAUGAAAGGAAUGAUAGGCUUUUUAGAAAUAGACAAAGUAUUGUGCCACAAUUGCUAGAUAAAGUGAAAUCAACUUCGUUGUGGUGGUUAAAGACUAGUAAUGUUGUAUUUAGUUUUGGCACUCAUCAGUGGUGGUCGAGCCUGCUUUUAUGUCUGGGUAUUUGACUGAUUUGUUUGUAAUUUUGUGUGGACCUUGACAUUUUUGUGAUUGUUUGGCACAUCUUGUGCGGUAACAAUUACGGUGUCCGUAUUAAUAUAUCUCAUUUUUGCAUGUUCAAAAAAAAAACCGACUUAAAUAUGUUUUAGCACAUUUUAAAGAAUAAUCAAAUCAAAAGAUUACAUAUGUUUUAAAAACUCGUGAAUUUUUCUUUUCUUGAUAUUUUCUCUAUUUUAAAGUUCUACAAGUCACGUCCCUGUGAGUAUAGCUCAGUUGGCAGGGACAAUGUAUUAUUAUAUGCAGAGGUCAGGGUUCGAACUCCGGACACUCCACUUAUUCACUUGAAAAAUAAAUUUCUAGCCACUAGGCUACCUGACCCAAAAAAAAUUCUACAAGCCACUUUUCUCACGUUGUUUUCACUAUUUUCUUAUAUCUUGACCCUUACUUUUAUUGAUGUUGUUGAAACCAAGUUGGUCCACUAAUAACAAUAUCAUUUUAUGUUUUGAUGAUUAAAAAAUAUAUCUAAAUGGUUUUUUGAUUCGCAUUUAACUUAAUUUCUUAUUACUUUGAAAUCUUUCAACAAACUAUAUUCAUUUUAAAUUUUGCAAAUUUAUUUAUGUUAGUUCUAACAUAUAUCCCGCCAUCGCACGGGUCGUGAGCUAGUAAGUGUUAUUGGUACAUGGAGCUUUAAUCUUCUUGCACAGAUACCCACUUAAAAGUUUCAAUUGGAUGGGGAGGGGUAGCUCAACUGAUCUGAGUUAAGGGAAUUUUUUUUCUGGAGGUACUGUUUGAAACGGACCAAGGAGAAAAGAGAAAAAACUAAUUUCUAACAUGCAUUAAAAAAUAAAUAAAUAUCUUCUUAAAGCACCAACCCAAUUAAUAUUUUUUAUUUAUGCACUAAAAUGAUAGAUCAGUAUAUUUUUUAUUCAGUACAAAUUUGAAUAUCUUUUUAAACUGUACAUUUUUUAUUGGAUCAAAUAUGUUUUUGGUCCCUAUAAAAUUGGAAACUUCUAAGUUUAGUCGUUACUUAAUUUUAAUAACAUUUUUAGUCCUUCUAAAAACUAAAUUUGUUUAAUUACUCUUGAAUUCUUAAAUUUUUGAACAAUUUUUUGGAGACAUGUUUAGAACAUUAUAAAAUGUUCAUUUACUAAAAAAUAGAAUUUUUUAACAUGACAAGAAUUAAAUAUGAAUUUUUAAACGUCAAAAGUUCAAGAAAAGAGUAACAAAAAUCUGGACGUAGAAAUCAAAUUUUGAGUUAAUAUUUUGUAGAGGGACUAAAUGCAAAAUGAUUUUAUAGGGACUAAAAAAACUAUUAAAAUUAAGUCAGGACUAAAUUUAAAAGGCCCCAAUUUUAUAAGGAUAAAAAAACAUAUUGAACCAUUUUUAUUUGAUGUCAAAAGGAAAAGUUCAAUCAAUAAAUUUGUUUUUGUUGUAAAAAUUUAGAUAGUCAGGCAUGAGUGAUAUGCAAAACUAAAACAAAAAAAAUACAACAAAUGUCACAUGAAGGAUUUUGAUUGAUGAAACAAAACUACCUUGACAAAAAAAAAAAAAAAGAAUUAAAAGAAAGAAAUUGAAUAAGUUAUUAAGAUUAAUAAAAUUUUCUUGAAACAUCACCGAAGGGUUGUCUUUGAAUAAAGAUUUUAGGAAAUUGUAUAUUUUUGUAUAUAGAAGUUAUAGUUUUUAAAUGAUUGUACAUUUGUAAAUAGAAGAUAAAUGCUUCCUUAUCUUAGGCUUUUUGAAAUAUCUGAAAAUAAAAUGAUUCUUUGUAACCAAUCCCCAUUACAACUCUGAUUAAGUCUGUAGUGUUCCAUGCUUGAUAGUAGCUGGUUAUAUGUAAAUUCUAUUUUCUUAUAUUGAUAUUUCAAUUCCGUUCUUAAUGUUUUUUUUUUUUUAUGUGAAAUACAAAAAUGAUAUUUGACUUAGAAAGUUGUAGACAUAGACUUUCCCUGUAAGAGAGACAUGGGUAGGAGCAUUUGUAGAUGUUAGUUACGAGGUAUUAAUCUAUGUUUGCAAUCAUACACAUUGUAUGAUCUUAAUGUCGUUACUAAAAAUAAUGAAUCUCAUAUCGUUUGUCAGACAUGGAAACAUGCGAUCAAUGAAGUAAAUUAAACGAUUAAUUAAUGAAUCCCAACAAUAUUAUCUCUUUGUUCUUGUUUCAUUUUUUUUUUAAGAAGCUAAACUAACCCCCUCAAAUUGACAUCAGAGGUAAUCGAACUUGAGAUUUUGAGGAGGAGGAGCACACUCUCAGGUUACAAGUCAAUACGACUAGGUCAACCCAAGUGGGUUUUUCUUGUUUCAUUAUUUAAUUACAAAGACAAAUAUAUGUACAAAUAAUCCAUCGUUAUGUACUAAAAAUAUUCGUAUUUCAAAAAUAUUGCACGAAUUCAUAUGGAUACGAUAACCAUAAAUAUUUAUUUUGGAAAAUGAUAGGUACAGUGACAAAAUUUAUCAAGAAAAUUUCAAAACAGUGUAUUUGCUAACACUUUUUCUUAAUUACCCAGCAUUACCUCCCUUGAUUUCCGCCAAAUAACAAAUUUAAUUGAUUGAGACAUUUUCUUGAUAUAUUCUUAAUAAAAACUAUCUAGAUAAAUAGCAAUGCUCAUUUAUUUUUUAAACAGCUAUAAAAGCAGCUGAUCACUAAGUAACAAUAUUUUUUUAUCUCAAUCUGUUUGCAAUAUUUCAAAAAUUAUUAGAUAAUUUUAUAAAUUAUUACCCCAAAAAUAAAAUUACCAUGUGUGUCACAUGGGAUAAAGAUCUAGUUUACCCUAAAUUUAAAGCAGUUGGAUUAAAUCUUCAAAAAAUUUAUAGUCACUAGCAGAGAGACAUGUCCGUCUUUCCGCUCCUUUUAUAGCACUAACAUUUAAAAAUUAUAAACAAUGUUUUUUUUUAUGAAAUUUUAAUUUUGAUUAAAAGUAAAAAUAUAAAUGUUUUUUGUUUUCAAAUUAUAACGAAUCAAACUAACUAUGAUUAUCUAUUUCAAUGAAACUAACACUAUAAAAAAAAAAAAAAUCUAAAUUCAAUUUUUUAAUGACACCAACAACGAUAUUUAUAAUAGAAAAAGUUGUUGUAUAAGAGUAUAAUUGGGAUAAUGAAAAAGUAAGUAUAGAUACACUCUUCUAGUUUGUUACACUUUUUAAAUGAUAAAGAAAAAAAUUGGAAAUUUGUGUUUGUUACACUUUUAUUUUCAUAUUUGUGUUUUCCUUAUAUAUAAUAUAGAUUCAUAAUAAUUUCUUAGUUUUAAGAUUUUACCCUUAUAAUUAUUUAAUGCAUACUAAGAUAUGUUCCUUUUAAAUCACAUCUCACUAUUAUGAUAAAAUAUAUUAAACACACACUAGUCUAUAACAAAAGUAAUACUAAGCUUUCUGCAUAGAGUCAUACACCAAUCUCAUGGAGACAACAAAAUAUAAACUAAUUAACUUUUUUUUUAACUGUUAUUAGUGCCUUAUUGUUAUUUUAUAGUGACAAUAUUCUAGUUUUUUAUAUCCACUAAAAUCCUACAAAUAUAAAUUAAAGUGUUUGCAAAUUGAAUUGUUUUUCAUAUCUUUUAAAGCUCAACAAGACAUCUAAUGUAUUUAUUUUGGCAUGCAUAAAUUAAAAAGGCUUUGAAGUAAGGUAAAAUUUAUUGAUAUACCUAACUGUUCUAUUAAAGUUAUUUUUAAAAGGUGUGAUAUGCCAUGGUGAUACCUCCAAAAUUACGAGAGAAGAAGACAAUGAAAAAAAAAAACUUUACUACCUUAAAACUAUCUUAGAGUAACACACCAUAACUACAAGGUUCAUGAGAUUAGAGAAAUUAAAUUAAAUUAUAUUAUAGAGUGCCAACAUAAUAACCAAACGACAACUCAUGAAAUAUUCUAUCAUAUUUUAAGUUGUUUUCUUUGACAUUAUAACCCAUUCUCCUUUGUAUUAUGUUUUUGCACUCUCCAUGGUUUGAAACUCAUAGAAUCAUGCAUGUGCUUCUACCAAUUCACAUCUUUUAUCAAUGCACUUAAAAACAUAUAACAAGUCCCUAUACUUUGGACAAUAAUCAUCGGUUUCACAUUCUUCAUAAACUAUAAUGAAAAAACGAUAAUAAAAUAAUGUUACUAAAUAUGUUAAAAGAUUGUGCACAAACUAUAAAGUAAAGAAGGAAAUUUUGAAAAGAAUGAAAAAAAUGACUUACUGUCACUCAGUUGUGUUCUGAUGAGAAAUACUAUGGAAAUGAAUAGAAUCAUAGCAUAAACAAACUUUAGAAUUUGAACCAUAUUUUUUCUUGUUUGCAUGUAAAAAAUUUGAAUAUGAUUUGUUCUAUUUAUAAUGUCCAUGCUCUCUUAAAAAUGAUUUUUAUAGUUUUAGCACUUAUGAAGUUGUAAAAACCCUUCAUAAAAUUAUAAUCAUCAUUAAUUAUCUCUUAAAUAUAUCAAAGUGUUGUAAACAUAAAGAGGUCAAAUGAAAAACUUACUAAUAAUAAAGAUUUAUUCCUUUUGACUAUAAUAUUCAUAUGUAAUUGAGCUUAAGUGGUUAAUGAACUUCACCAAAGAACGAAUCAUUUCGGAGAACCCGAGUUUAAUUCUUAGGUGGUACCAUUCUUGUCGGACUAUAAUUACUUCACAGCCAAAAUGCAGAUUACUGCACACACACAAAAAAAAUUCAAUGAUAAUAAAAGUAAAAUUAUCUUUUUAGACCAAUGUAAUUUUUUUUGUUUUGAAUAAUGUAUGAUUGGAUUAAGAACAUAAAAAAUCGUUGAAUUUCCAAAAAUAAAAAACUAAAAUACACAUUUUUCUUUGGUUAAAAAAACUGGAUGUGUAUUUCAUAACACUUUUUUUAUUAAAAUAUAUUUGAAGGUUCAAAAAGUACUCAACCGAAAAUCAGAUAUGCAUAUGUCAUUUAUUCAUAAGAAUCAUUUCGUCUUUUUAAUUUGACAGAAUUCUCAAGUUAAUCAUUUAAAUUUCGAAAGUUUCAAUUACGUCUUUUUAGUUUGACAUAAUUCUCAAAUUAGUCUUUUAAGUUUCAAAAGUUUUAAAUAAGUCAUUUAAGUUGAUAAACUGUUUUACCGUUACCCCUACUAUCAGUUAGUAAUUAACUUAUGCUGAUGUAGUCGUUAAGUUGUUGACUUGGAUCAAAAUACUGUUUUUUAAAAGCCCCAAGGUGUCAAAAUGUUACGUUUAAUCGUCACAAAUGAUCAUUCUAACACUAUAAAUGUUGUUUAAUAGUGCCAAAAAGACUUUGUUGUUGUAAAUAGUUGUCUUUCUAGCACUAUAAAUGAUAAUUUGUGACUAUUAAACAUAGUGGUUUGACACCCUUAAACUUUUAAAAGACAUUAUUUUGAUCUAAGUCAACAACUUAACGGCUAAAUCAACAUCAGUUAAUUAUUAUCUGACAGCAAGGGUAACGGUGAAAUAGUUUAUCACAACUAAAAUGACAUAUUUGAAACUUUUGAAACAUAAAGGACAAACUUGAGAAUUCUGUCAAAUUAAAAUGACCUAAUUAAAAUUUCGAAACUUAAAAUACUAACUUCGAAAUUCUGUCAAACUAAAAGGAAUUCUGUCAAACUAAAAGGAACAAUAGUGAUAUUUAACCUAAAAAAAAAUACACCAAAUUUCGACACACUUGAAAACAUCCAUAUAUAAGAUAUAUAUUAUAAUAUAUUUUUAUUCACAUUUCAUAAUUUUGAUUAAUUUAUAGAAAAAAAAAACUACUUGGCCGCCUAAAUGUUAGUAAAGUUUUGUAAUUAAUCCUUAAAUUUUAAUUGAUAUUCCUUAAAGCCAUCUGGUUAUGUGUAAAUUAACAAAUGACAAGGGCAUGUGACCCCUAUGCUAUAUAUAAAAUGUCUAUAGCUACAAUACCUAGUGGCUCUCAAAUUCAUCAAUAUUACAUGAAAAUGAAUUGAAAAUCAUAUGUGGUGGGUGGUAUUUUUUAAUAAAUUUGAAAACACUCUACAUUUUAAAUAGAUUAUUACUGGGAAACUCAUGCCAAACGUAUAUGUUAUACGUCUCUGUUUUAUUAGCUGACUUAAAGACGUUUUUAGUCUGUUUUUAAGAAGAACCGACUUAAAAGAUCAUAUACGUUUUAAAAACUCGUGAAGCUUUUUUUUUUUCUCGCUAUUUCUCCUCUUUAUUUUAAACAAAACCCUAGUAGUCACUUUUAUCCCGUUGUCCAUCUAGAAAUCACGCGAUUUAACCCCAACUAUAGUGCAUCACACUACAUGUCAUUGUACAUGGACACUUCGGAAUCCAUCCCAUACUCUAAAUGAUAUAGCAAAAACUAUAAAUUGGAGCAAUCCGUCAAGUUUACAGGAAUCGCUCCUAUAAAUUAGGUAUUACUGAAGCCGAGUUGUUGUAGAUGCAACAACCGAUCUAGUUGUUGUGGAAUUAUUGUAAAGAAUUUUUCUUGGAACAAAUAGAGAAUGCUUAUUUUGAGGGGAAAUAGAAAAUCCUUGGUGAUUAAGAAAAGUUAAAACUAAGAGAAUAUGAGUGGAGAGAGAUAGUGUUCUAUUUUGUGAAUCUUAAUGAUUAUGAAUAAGGGAAUGAAUAUACAAAAGUCUUUGAUGUAAGCAUUUAUACACACUCAUAAAAUGUAACUAACUAUUUCAUGCAUCUCAAUCCAUGUUGUGCCAUGCCAGUUGCUAAGUGCAUAGAACUAUUUCAAGAGUUGAGGAUUUUAUUUCGGUUCAGUGGAUAUUGACUCCUUGAAUUCGAUAAACUAGUGUGUUAACCCGUGCAAUGCACGGCGACAAGCUUCAAUUUUUUUUAUUUUCAAAAAUAUAUUAUUUUUUGUUUUUAUUUAUUUUAAUUUACCCGUGUUUUCUUACAUCGCAAUGACAAAUAUGUAUUAUGUAAUUUUAUGUUUAUUAACGAUAAAUAUAUGUCUUAUGCAUCUGUGAAAAAUAUAUUUCCAUUAUUUUCUAUAUUUGUCAACAAAAAUUGGUUGGGAGGAGGGGGUGAAGCGUGGAGGUGGAGGAGGAGGCUGUGGGCAUGGAAGAAAGAGUUGGUAGCAGAGUGUGUGACUUUACUUCACAAUGUUACUUUGCAGUCUAAUGUUUCAGAUCAGUGGCAAUGCACCCCGACUUUGAGGGGGGCUAUUCAGUGUGUACAGGUUAUCAACUGCUCACUUCACAUGAAUUUCCUAUUUCGGAUGCUUCAGAGAACUUAAUUUGGCAUACUCAGGUGCCCUUUAAGGUUUCUAUUUUAGCUUGCGUUUGCUCUGUGACAGGUCCGACUAAACUUAAUUUACUGAAUCGCGACAUAAUAUCUAUUGAGGCUACCCUUUGGUAGCAGGUCUGGUCUUGGAUUGGCGUUUCAAGGGUUGAUCAUCAAAGUCUCCGUGCUCAUUUUCCCCAUUUCACUCACUACUUAGGUGGCUUGAGGGCUCGUCGAUCUUUCCUCCAGCUACUUUGACUUCUUUGUGUUUGGUUAGUGUGGAAUGAACGAAAUAAUAGACUAUUUAAUAAUUCUCACACUUCCAUUUCAAAGCUUAUGGAUAAAGUUAAAAAAAAAAAAAAAAAAAAAUCUUACUAGUGGUUGAAGGCUAAUAAAACCACCUUUGUAUGGUUGUCAGUAAUGAUGGUCGGACCGCUUGUCUUGUUUGGGUAUCAGCUAACCGGUGUUCUUGUAAUUAUUUGACUGACAGAUUGUAUUUUGAGUUGUUUUUUAGUACGCCUUGUGCUCAAGAGGCGACUCUAUAUGUGUUAAUAUAUACCAUUUUUGCUUCUUAAAAAAAAAAAACAAGACUAAUUGCUAGCAAAAAUCUGAGAUUAAAAACCAACUAUGUUUUUAACCUUUGAGUCAUCAAAUUUUGUGUAAUUUGAGUAAAUUAAAAAUCAAUCUUUUGAUUAUUUUUUCCACUUGUAAGACAGAAAAACUUACAUGAUAUAGUGUUUAAAAACCAACUAUGUUUUUAACCUUUAUUAAUGUUGCACAUAAAGUAUUUAAAUAAAAAUUAUACAAUCAAACCCCUUUAGGAGGGAACUACAACCUAAUCUUCAAAUUGUUGAUUGUUUCUUCACUUCUUCAAAUCUUCAACCUUGUCACUUUCAAGGAUGGAAACAACCAAAGGUUUUUUUUUACUAGGUUCAUUAAAUUAGGUAAAGAUAAAUAGUUAUUGGAUGCCACUAUAAAUGACUAAAAGCUACCUUAUGAAAUAUUUUAUCAGAAAGUAUUUUGCUAGCACAAUAAUUCAUUCUCCUCCGUUUGAUGGUUUUGAACUCUGCUAGAUCCGGUACUCUUAGCGUCUUCGAAUAAUCUUAAUCCAUUCACAUCUGUUAUUAAUGCACUUAUGAACAUAAUUCUUAUCCCAAUUUAUGAUAUAGGAUUUUGGACAGUCCACGUUAGAUUCACAUUCAUCAAUUUCUGUAUAAAAUUAACAAAUGUUAAAAUAAUGUUACUAAUUAAACAUGACAAAGAUUGUGUAAAAACUAACAAGUAAAGAAGUAAAUUUGAAAAAGAUGAAAAAUAGCUUACUAUCAACAAUAUCCAUUGCAACAAGAAAUAUGGGAAGAAAUAUAAUUAUACCGAAGACAAAUUUGAGAAUUUCGGCCAUAUUUUUUUUCUUUCUUCUUUGCAUGUAAAAAGGUAAUAUGAUUUGAUCUCUUUAUAUGAUUUAAUCUUCAUAGCACUUAUGAAGUUGAGAAAAUCCUUCAUAAAAUUAAAAUCAUUAUUAAAUAUCUCUUAGUUAUAUGUGUGUUUUGUGUUUGUCCCUUUAUCACACCAAGUAAAGCAAGCAUUCACAUCGCAUAAUAGAAAAGAGAAUUCCUUUUAACCUUUCUUGUCACUUCUAAUUUUUCAUUUCUUUUUAAACCUUUCAUGAUAGUAAAGAGAAGAUAAUAGUUUCUUUUUAGACCUUAGCAAAGUUAUUUGUUGGAAUAACGAAUACACACACAUUAUGGAACCAUGUUUUAAGCAAAGUUUAUGUUCAAUACCAAAAAUUUUGUAAAGCAUUGUGAAUUAUAUAUUUGAUGUGAAUGGUAGUGUAGAAUAAAUCGUGCAAUUACAACAUUAUAUACACAUUCUUUCUUAUUCAACGAAUUUUUUUUUAAAAAAAAAAGAUCUUACAAUAAUUUCUAUGUUAGCAUAAACUAUGUUAUCAUCUCAAUGUUGUAUUAUUCAAAUAAAUAACUUUACCUAGGUAAAAAAAAAAAAAAAAUAUCUCUUUAAUACCAUGAAAGGUUAAAAAAGCAAUGAAAAAGUUAGGAGUAAUGAAAGGUUAAAAGAGAAAGUUGUCCCUUUUAUAACAUGAAAGGUUAAAAAAUAACUGAAGGUUAAAAAAUUCUAACUUAAAGUAGAUAUUUAAAUGACAUUUAUGAAGGUGAGAAAAACACAAGAAGGGGGUUGAAUUGUGUUGACUUUUUCUUCUUUUUCUUUAAAGCUGAAAACACUGAUCAGAAGCAGAUAUAGUUCUACUUCUGAAGUGAUGUUCAGAACUAGUUGCAGCAGAUAAAACAGAGAGAGAGAGAGAGAGAGAGAGAGAGAGAGAGAGAGAGAGAGAGAGAGAGAGAGAGAAGAAAGACACAAGCAAUUUAUACAGGUUCCUUCCACAACCAGGAAGUCAGUCCUGUCCCCCUUGCACUUCCAAGGAGGGUUCACUAUGUAAUAUCUGAUUACAAAUGCUCACUAUUAAACUUAGUAAGAGACUUCAAAUUGUUCAAGCACAACUGCAAGAGAUUUCCUAUGCUCCUGAACACAAUCAAGAGACUUCUAUUGCUCAAGCACAAAUGCAAGAGACAUUUGAAUUCAAACAGAAUUACAAAGAAUAUGUUUGAGUUUGAACACUUGAUAUACAAUCAGUGAUGUUCACAAUACAAAUCAGAUACAGACUCUAAAGACUCUAGAAUUUAUAAGAUAUGAGCUUUGAUAAGAAAUUCUAAGAGAACUUUGAAUGCAGAACAAUUUCAGCAGAGUUUUGGCUCAGUUAAUUCUUGGUAUUGUUCUUGUGAAACUCUGAGUCUUCACUCCUUUAUAUAGAGGUGUGAAAGAGAUGUUGAAUUGCCAGCACAUUCAAAAUAGAGUCGUUUGAAGCUUUUGAUCAAUCACCAAUGAUCCUUUGCCUGAUAUGGUUAUUGUCCUAAGAAGUAUCAAUUUCAAAUGCAUUCCCAUUGUAAAGGAACAUCGUUGCAGGUAGAGCUGUUUUUCUUGUCUUGUAGCAGAGACAAAACAGAGUAGUGGAGGUAGUGGUUGUACACUUCGUACAAACGUACUUUGUCAACGCUCUUUGAAGAAUAAACAUCCAAUGCCUUCAAAUCCUUUCAAAAUAAUCGUUGCUUUGCCUUUCCAGUCUUCUGCAAUCUUUAGACGAGUUUGAAUCCAUUAAACAACUUUUGAAGCUUUAAGUUGCAUCUCCUGAUGAACUGCAACUUCUCGUAAUUCUCAGCUUAUGAUAAAUUUGCUUCUGAUGAACUUGCUUCUGAUGACCUUACUUUUGAUGACGUCAUCACUUCAGGAGCACUUUGUUUUCAGGAGCGCUUUAUCUUCAGGAGUAGUUUUCUUCAGACGCUUUAAGCUUUCCUUUUUGCUGAGUUCUUUGCUCUUUAUUGUUCUUCCAAGACCUUUUUAAGAUGACAAUUUUUUGUCUAUAGUCAUGUACACUUGAACAAAUAUUAGCAUAUCCAAUUGACAAUUUAUAAUACAUUGUUAUCAUCAAAACUCUUAAGGGUUAAUGUUAGACACAUUUUGUUACAACAAUCUCCCCCUUUUUGAUGAUGACAAACAAUAGUAUUUAAAAUGUUCAAUUGUUGUUAAUCUAAUUAACACGUUGACUAUAAGGGUAUGAGGUUUGUAAGCUCCCCUGAGUCCAAUAGUACUUUAAGGUGAGGUUUGUAAGCUCCCCCGAGUUCUAUCCAUGUUAAUUAAAUUCAUCAUUUAAAAAUGAAAUAACUCUCAGAAUAAUCUCACAUAAAAAGACUAAGAGAUUAGAAGAAGGUCCUAUUAAUUUAACUUGAUUAGAAUUAAAUUAAUGAGGCUCAGAGCCUAUAAAUAGUAUACAUCUACUCCCCCUUUUGUCAUCAACAAAAAGUAUAAAAUAAAGACAAAAAGAAAGAUAUGAGAAAAAAUACAUUCAGGAGCAAUAUAACACAUGUAUAUAUAUAGUGAGAAAAAAUAGUGAGAAAUUAUGUAGAUAAAUACAUUCAGAAGCAAUAUAACACAUUGAAAAAAAAUCAGGUCAAACAGUAUCUUAAUCUCCCACAACGACAGUGUAGAAACAACUGAAUUUGGGAGAAAAAAAAUUAGAAAAUAGUUAAAAAUAAAAAAAAAUUGGAAAAUAGUUAAAAAAAAAUCGGUGAGGUAGCACUCAAUCAAACAAUACUAAAAAAAAUUAUAUGCAUCAGCGUAACAAAAAAAUAAACAGACGGACAUAAAAUAUUACUUUAAAUAAUAUUAAUGUGUAUAUGUAUUCGCGAGGUUGAGGAAAGGAAAUAAAAAUUCCCUUUAACUCAAAGUAGUUGAGCUACCCCACCCCAUUCAAUCGAAACUUUUAAGUGGGUAUCUGUGCAAGAAGAUUAAAGCUUCAUGUACCAAUAACACUUACUAGCUCACGACCCGUGCGAUGGCGGGGCUAUAUGUUAGAACUAACAAAUAAAUUUGCAAAAUUUAAAAUGAAUAUAGUUUGUUGAAAGAUUUCAAAGUUAUAUGUUAGAACUAACAUAAAUAAAUUUGCAAAAUUUAAAAUGAAUAUAGUUUGAUGAAAGAUUUCAAAGUAAUAAGAAAUUAAGUUAAAUGCGAAUUGAAAAACCAUUUAGAUAUUUUUUUUAAUCAUCAAACCAUAAAAUGAUAUUGUUAUUAGUGGACCAACUUGGUUUCAACAACAUCAAUAAGUGAGAGUCAAGAUAUAAGAAAAUAGCGAAAACAACGUGAGAAAAGUGACUUGUAGAACUUUCAAAAAGAGAAAAUAUCAAGAAAAGAAAAAUUCACGAGUUGUUAAAACAUAUGUAAUCUUUUAAUUUGAUUAUUCUUAAAAAUGUGCUAAAACAUAUUUAAGUCAGUUAAUAAAACAUGUGACAUAAAACAUGUUUGAGAUGAGUUUUAAAGAAGUAAUCUCUAUUUAAAAUGUAGUGUUUUGUACAUAAGUCACAGUUGUAAAAUAAUUGUUGUGUUGGAUAUGGUGGCCGAGAUUUGAACCAGACUCCUAUAUUUAUGUGAGUUUUCAAUAGUUCUUGUUAUUUUGUUUAUCAAUAAAAAAAAAAAUAUAGUGUUUUCACCAAAAUUGGAAAAAAAAUACCACCGUUGUCCACGAAAAAAAAUUUCAAUUCGUUUAUAGAGAGAGUAACUUAUACCAUAGGGUAGUAAAAUCUAGUAGAGAAUCUUUAGAUUUUACUACUUGCAUUUUCAUCAAUCCAAACAUACAUAUUUACCAAUCAUGAACUUUUUUUUUCUUUCUUUUUUUUAUCGAAUCCUAGUUCUUAUCAUGAAAUAUUAUAAACAAACUCCCCAGACACAGGGAUAUUUAUAACAAGUUCACUUACUGAACAGAUAAGAAACAAGAAUUUGAAAUAAAACAAGGAUGAGUUCUUAAAUAUAUUCAGUGGAAGCUAAUUUGUGAAGGUAAUCAAUAUUAUAUAUCCUCAAGCUGAAGUCCCUUCUAAGGAUCAUUCAUGUGUACUGAUGAUAAUGAACUCAAGUUUGUUGAGACUUCAUCUGUUGCUUUUUUUCGCACGACUGUUGCACCGGACUAUUCAUUAACUCCUCAAGUCCUUUGUGGUUGUGUGUAUUGCUUAGUGGAUGGUUACAUCAAUGGUAUAUACUUCUCUACCCCCUUCCAUUUAGUAGAUAUUGUAAAAUCAAGGACAACCUCCUGAGGCUUAGGAGAAGCUAUAUAUAACUCUUUUCAACCUCAUGUGUUGGAUGGAUCACCAUUGUUCACUGCCUUCUUUGGAGAUUGAUUUUUCAGGCCAAAAUACAUUCAGUCCCUUGCCUGUAUGUAUGACCAAAAUACACUCAAUUCCUUUAUAAAAUCUUACCAUACAUCUACAAUAUACUAUUUUUUUUCUUUGCUAUAAGGAUGGAAUUUUAAAUAUGUUUGGUGAAAAAAUGAUAUGUGAAGGUAAUUAGCAUUAUAAAGUCCUGAAAAUCAAUUCCAACCACAAGGAGGUGGAAAGAGUAUUACUUUGUUGAAGCAUGCAAUAAAAAGAAAGCCGACUAAAGUUUCGAUAUGUAUGUUAAAAUAAAUUAGUUUGACGAGGCAGAAAAUUCAUGUUAAAGUAUUCACUAAGAUAUGAACUAUGCCUUACCUUGAAAUUAACCAUAACCAGCAAAGAGCUAUCAGUUAAAGGAAAUUGAUAUCUUCAGCAGCAAACUUCAUUCCUAAUAUUGGUGUUUCCCCUGAUCAAACAUGAAACUCCGACUCUUUCAUAAAUAUAUUAUACAUGAAAGGGCUAUUUCAUAAAUGAAGGACCAUCACCUGCAUAUUUUCAUGGAUACAUGUAUUUAAAUUGAAAUCAAGUAAUAAUAUAUGUUAAAAUUAAUACUAUAGGAAUGAAGAUCUAUGCCAUAUCAAUACCAGCAUCAACGGAAGUGGAGAUGCGAUAACAAUAAUCUGACCCAUAAGGUUGACAAUUUUAAUCGAUUUCGUCUGAGACAAAAUCACAAGGUUCACAUAAAUCAAGUCUCUUAAAAAAUGUCUCAGCUAUUUCAUAUCAUCCAAAAUCAUCACCUUUUAUAGUUUCUGUGGUUCAGCUGAAGCAUCCUCUUGCUUUCAGGAAAAGCAGUGGACACAACACAACUUGAUCAAUAACAUUGUCCGACACAAACAUGGCUGUGAUUCAGCAGCAUUCCACAACAUAUCUGACACAAACAUAAUGAAAUAACAUGAGUGACUCGACUAGAAUCAUGAAAUAGCUAAUACACACCUUCCUAAUGAAGAGCUGUAUACACACCUGGCUAAUAGCUUGAACCAAGAAUUUUGAUUUGUUGCAUUAACAAGCUCAGCAUCAAUUCUAAAGAUAUGGCCCAAUUCUCACAAUAAUUUUACUCGUAGACAUAUUCCAUACAAAAACAGAGAAAGCAAGUGAUUCCUGCAUAUAGAAAUUUAAAUUAGAAAGUAAUUUGGGGAUAAGAAGAUGCAGGGAAGAGAUAAAACUAGCAUACAUCUUCUUCCAGAUAACUGUCUUGAGAAAUACUUAGAAAUCAAAUAUGCAUGAAUCAACAGAGUUUAGUGCAUGAAUCAACAGCCGUCAAUAUUCUUUAGUACUAUGAAAUUCUCAACAAAAUUCUGACUCAAAGCCAUAGAAAGAUAAAUUCUGAACUAAAUUUGUCCUAAAGGAUCACCUAAAAUCUGUACCAACAAAUUAUACUUAUUACGUAUGCAGGUCCACUCAUCAUGAACUAAGUUUGCAAUUAAAAAGUGUGGCUAGCAAUCAUUGAUGUAGUUAACGUCUUACAAAUAUUGCGUCGUCAAUGCUCUAAUCACAGUGCCGUAAAAAUAAAUCAAAAUGUUCAAAGAAUUAUAAAAGGGACAUAUACCUCUGGAAAACAUUGAAAAUCUCCUGUCAGGGAGAGAACUCUAUCAGGAACAAUUGCUGCUAUUUUACAAGCUAUCAUAGAUCCUGUUUCAAUAGGCAAACAAUAUUAAAAAUAAACAAACAAAUAAACUCAACCUAAUCAAAUCUUAGGAAAAACCAUCUGAAUUUUAACUAAAUCAAAACUCAAUAAACACACAAAAUAAUAACCCGUUGAGUACCCAAAAACACGAGCCUUUUUCCAACCUAAAAUGACCCAACAAAGUAAUUGUAUCUUUUGCCAUGAUCUUUGUUCUGCACCCAACAAUCAUUCACCAAUAUUCAAAACUUCACAUUGAUGACAUGUCUGAUGUUUAGAUACUGAUAUGACACCAACCAUAUAAUUACAUUCAAAAACUUUUAUUUCUGCAAAUUAUUAUCAAAACUAAGCAAAGAGGAAGCCCAACAACAUAUAAUUUAAAUAAACAAUCUAAAACAAAGAAAUAAAGAAGACCAACAAAAACUUAUAAAAAUGGAAUAGACCUUGAUUAUCAAAAUCGCAAUCCUCGAUACCACUACUGGACCCAUUGUCGCUUCCUCCACUCUAAAAGACUUCGUCUUCGUCAUUGGGUAUGUUUGUUCCAUUAAUCCCGUUAUUUGUCUUGUGUGUUGAAGGCAAUCCUAACCAUUCAAUUAAAUCCCCACAAAAUCAGUAAAAUUAAAAAUAAAAAAAAAUCGAAAAUGCAAAUUAAAAAAAAUUAAACUAUGAUGAAGAAAAUGACCUGAAUUAGAACAUUUGUAACUUUAGUUGAGCAGUGAAAUAUCUUUCAUGUAUAAAGAUUCUGGUGCUCAUUCUGGGGGGAUGGGUUCCAAAGAAGUCAAGAUUGAGAAUAUAUAAAAAUAUUUUUGAAUAAAAAUAAAGUGAAUUGAGGCAAAUAAGGGGAAAUAGAGAUCUUACCAGUAAAAUUGAAUUUUGCGAUUGUGAUUGAGGCAGAUAAGGGUAAACGUCUCUGCUUCUUAAUCCUCUGUAAACAGUAUUUUUGGAAUAUGAGCUAUCUUGUCCCAAUCCUCCCAUGUUCCCUCUUUGCAUCGUUCCUCUAAUGUUGGGCAAUCAAUGAUAUCAAGAAGCUCAAGAGAAGUGAGGUGUCGAAUACCCUCCGGCAAGCAUCGCAAUCCUCUACAACCCCAAAUCUGUAGAGCUCGAAGGGAUUGAAGACCUUCCCAGUUUUGCUCUGGUAAGGACUCCAACUCAUUACAACAAUUGAUACACAGAGAUUGAAGAGAAGUAAGGUUUUUGAACAUCUCCUCUGGUAAGGAUGUUAUUCCUUCACCACUAUUUAGGGUAAGCUGAGUAAGACCACGGAAGGUAGAGAUUGACCUCAGUAACUCAUUGUUACAUUCCCAUAAAUGGAGGGAUUUAAGAGAUGGAAGACAUGGCAGUCCAAGUUCAGGGCAAUCCCAGAUAUCCAACUUAGAAAGACAAGGAAACAUCUCCCCUCUUUCCACUUUCAAUAAUCCCUCUAUGUUUGGUAGGGAUUUUAAGUUGAGUUCCUCUAGAGAUGGGAAAACGCUCACCUCCAUACCAUACUCAGAUUCAUCAUCAUCCAAGUAUUUCAGAUUAUUCAUACCAUAUAAUCUUAGUUUUUUUAGAGAUGGUAGUUUACCAAGUAACGGAAGCCGCACAAUUUUGUUGCAAAUCUCAAGUUCAAGAGAAAUUAAAUUACUAAGAAUAAUUAUCCAACUUGGUAACGAUAAUCCUUCAUAGUAAUUUAUUGUCAAGCAUUUGAGAUUUGAGUGAGGUUGAAGCACUUCAAGUACUUGCUCAGCACUAACCGUAGAUUCCUCCUUGUAUACCCAUGACAAGCAUAAUUCAUGAAGGUCUUUUUUACCCAUCAAAUUAGCCGCUUCAGCUUCAGAUAAACUGCCAACAUUGUUUAAUCCUUUGAUACUCAGUUUUCCACCGAGGUUUAGAUCACGUAACUCUGUCAAGCUAUUCCCUUUCUCUAAACUAACAAUGUACACACUUAAUGUUCUUAGACAAGUUAAUUUUCCAAUGUUAGGAAACAUGAGAGACAAAGAUUUACAUCUGUCAAUGACUAUAUGUCUAAGAUUUUG
This 314280-nucleotide long non-coding RNA is filed under the name Medicago truncatula (barrel medic). The record is from RNAcentral. Lineage: Eukaryota; Viridiplantae; Streptophyta; Magnoliopsida; Fabales; Fabaceae.